RNAcentral lists this long non-coding RNA (211567 nucleotides) under Citrus x clementina. RNAcentral describes it as "Citrus clementina (C. clementina) long non-coding RNA (CCLE_LNC002331)". Lineage: Eukaryota; Viridiplantae; Streptophyta; Magnoliopsida; Sapindales; Rutaceae. The record is from RNAcentral.
UAGCAAAGCAUGUGGGCAGUGGGCUUGAAUCUCUUAAAAACUUGGAACUCCUCCAAGCGUAAGUAUACGUAUACUGGGAAAUGUGUUAGAUGUGGAUGAGGCUAAGAGAUUAGAGCUUGACAAAAUGAAAUACCUCUGUCAUUGAGACUUAAAUUUGAUGGGGAAGAAGAAAAAGAAUAGGGAAGGAGAAAGAAUGAGAAUAAUCAACUUGUUCUUGAAGCCUUGCAACCACCUCUGAAUUUGAAGGAAUUAGAGAUUUGGUCAUACAGAGGCAACAUUGUUUCCCCCCGGAUGAUGCAAAAGUUGAAGGAAUUUACCAAUCUAAGGAGUUUGACACUCUUUAAAACUGCAAAAAUUGAGAGCAGUUGCCUUCUUUGGGAAAAUUGUGAUCCUUUGAAAAUCUCAGCAUAUUGUACAUGGAGAGUGUGAAAACAGUGGGUAAUGAAUUUAUGGGAAUAGAAAGUGAUCUUCAUGACUCAUCUUCAUCUUCAUCAGUUAUUAUUGCCUUCCCCAAAUUGAAAUCACUUUCAGUUGAGGGAUUGAUGGAAUUGGAGGAGUGGGAUUAUGGGAUUAAAAGAACAGGAAACACCUUCACCAACAUUAUGCCACGUCUUUCUUCCUUGGAAAUUAGUGUGGGGUUAUGGGAUCGCACAACGACGUUGAAGGUAUUGCAGAUUGUGGCAUGUGGUACUCUAAGAAGACGUUACAGACAGGGGAGAGCAGAAGACUGGCCUAAAAUGCUAAUGUGGAGUACAAUCAUAAAAUGCUAAUGUGGCCACCCUGGUUCUUAAUUAAGGUUGUGCAUAUUAUUGUAAAAGAUGAUUAAUUCAAUUUGAGUCAUUCGUUUGCUUUGAUAAUGAUAGUAAUUUUAUAUUUUGACAAUUUGCAAGGUGAGAAUGGUGCUGAUUGGUGAUACAGGAUAUGGUUCAAACACCAUUGAAUAAAGCUACGGACAUGGUGGCUCAACUUAGCUAGAUUGCUGUCAAAAUUGGUAAGUUGGCUUGUCAAUGUAUUGAUGCUUUUGUUUUCUCUCAACCCUAAUUACCUUACCUUCAUUUAGUUUGGCUUUGGAGUUGAGUAAUAACUUUCAAGGUUCUCAAACAGAGCAGGACAACCGAAAAAAAAUAGCUUAAUUUGCUGCAGAUCACGUGUUACCAAUUAUUUAAGGUAAUUCUCGUUUACUUGCUUCUACACUAUAGAGUACGUGUUCUGGCUGGUUUAUGUAAUUCAUCAAAUGUUAUUUCCUUAUUGUUCCAUUGAUAUGUUUGUUAGAAAGUGAAACCAUUUCCAGGCAGCAGUUGGCAGUGAAUUCAUGCAAAUGUUGAUGCCAUUCAUAGAUAUUGAAGACAAUGAUGAGCCAAAGGUGAUAAAUCAUUAAUGCAUAGUUACCAAAACCUCCAUCCUUCUCUCAUUGUAAUUUGAUUUGAAAUGAAUAAUUGCUAGGUAAUUGAAGCCAAUAUUGUUAGAAACGGUGUUGAGCUACCCAAGCUAAGAAGUUAGCUGCCAAAAAAUGCAGGGGAUCAAAAGAAGCAUUGCAGUGCUACAAUGAAGCUACUGGGAAAUUUAAAUCCCAUAUUAGACUUUCCUCACAUCAGAAGCUGUGGAUCUUCGGACAUCAGGUUUUUUCACAGUUCUGAAACUCUCAGGAUUAAACUCUAUUAAAGUUGUUGUAGUUGUCUACGUUCUCAGGUCAAGGAUUCUAAGCUGCCUAUUAAGGCAAAAUGUCAGAAUUCCCCUAUUAUUUUUUUUUCAUGUAAAAUUAUGUUGUUGUCUUCGCCCAUGAAUCUUAGCUAAAUUCUGAACCAAUUGUUUGCUAUUAUAAAUUUCAUUGUUAAAUAUUAAUUGUGAUGUUGGUGUUGAGUUUCUUUUAAAGUCACAGAAGCCUGACGAUUGAGUUCCGUGAUUCUGAGAAGCAGUAAUAUUUUGAACAAGUGAAGGUUCUUCGUUUUUAAUUAUGUUCUGCACCUUUACAGUAUGAGUAAAUGUCUAAGAGGCGAGAUUUUAAUUUCUGUAAAUGCUAAAUUUCGCAAAACAAUAAAAAAAUAAAUGCAUGACAGUGACUUCAAGAAAUUAGAUUAUUGAAUUUGGCCAUUUUAAAAUUGAACCAGAGCUCAGAAAUGUAGAAUAUAAAUAUUGGAGAUUUGAACUUCAAUCAUUAGAUUUGAAGCUAAAGAGGUAAGCCAUUAAUUACAUCAAAUGAUUUGGAAAAUGGAGGAAUUGUAAAAAGGAAACUUUUUCUUUGUCCGAUUCAAGAGGAACAAGAGUAGCCUAAGAUAUUAAAGACAAUGUUGAGGCAAAGGAAACAUAAAUCCCAACCAUUGCAUGUGAACAUGAUCACAAUAAAUCCCAACCAUCCAAACCAUUUUUUUGAGAAUUUUCAAUUGAAAGUGAAACCUUUUGACAUUUACCUAAUAAAGUAAGUUAAACGAGAGAAAUAAAGGGGGGAAAAAAAAGUUGACUCAAGUCAAUACAGAAUUAUUAGUUCAACCUAGAGUAACUAAAACAGAGCCACUUGAGUUUCAAAAAUAUCUGCAUUCAUCACCUUCUCCAACAGCUUAUGAGCUACACACGAAUCAUUUCCUUUUAGCAUUUUUGCAGCAGCAAUUUCUCCCCUCGUUUGUCAUCAAUUUCUCCCUUCUCUUGGGGAAAAAAGGGCAGUUGUAAAUUACAUUAUUUGUAACUUUGGCGGACUCUUUAUAUAACACAAAUUCUAUCAUUUAAAGAAAUUAUAAUGAUGCAAUCGUUUCCCCUCUCUUGGAGCAGCUGAUUAUCUUUGCUGCUGAAGAGAUGAGACAACAGGGGAAGCUGGUGAGUGUUGGAUGAGCGGAUCACAGCAUGCGCCAAAUUGCAAAUUGAGAGCGGCAUUGAUGACAAUGCUCUUGGUGCUCCUUAUCUGAAGAAGAAGGUAUAUUCCUGCUUUCCUGCUUCUUGCUUUGGUUUCAAGCAAGUCUUUCACUGUCAUAACAUUUAUUGUAAUUUCAUUUGGAGAUAUGUAAUAUCUGUUGUACAGAUAUAUUUCAUACACCAGCUGUUAAUAAUUCUGCCUGCAGAGAACUUACAAAGGAGCUGUGUGAUGUAAUAGAAGACUAUGUAGUCUGGUCAAUUUUUUCAACCUUAGAUAUUAGGAAGUUAUGUAUUUCAUUAUCAGUUAUCAUUAUGAUUUUCAUCUUCAAAAAGAUAAAUGGAUGGCUUUGAAUGGCUUGUGUUUGAGGAUUUUAGUUUGACUUAUCUUGAUUGAAGUACUUUUUGACAAUAGAAUUCCUUCAUGAUUUAAACAUUCUUUUGAAAACCAAAUAAUAAAAAAAUAAAUAAACUAACAAAUAUUAUUUUAUUAGUGCUCUUUUCAUCAAAUAUACAUAAGAGUAUUGUAAUUUAUAGCAACUAAUUUUUCAUUAAAUACACCCAUAACAAACUAUUAAAAAUAAAGUGAUAGAAAAAUGCCUAAUUUUUCAUACUUUCUAAUUUCUUUUGGCCCUAAAAUAUGGGUAUUUAUGCCAUAAUAAGCCCAUGUAGAUCUCAAUGCCGAAAGUUCGAUAAAUGGCUUUCAAGGAUUGAUAAUUAUCUAUUAACAUUCUUAAUUAUAUUCAGUUAAAAUAUUAAUAUUAAAUACAUUCUUAAUAUUAAUAUUCUUGGAUGAAUUUCUUUGUGGAUUUAAGAAUAAAAUAUUAAAUAAUUUUAUUUUUCUUUUAUUCCGUAACUUAGACCAAAAAAGGAAAUGAGUUUCCCAAGGACUUCUCAUGUUUCCCAUCCUCCAUACUGUGCAGAGGAGUUUAGCACCCAUCAACUUUUAUUUUUUAAAACUCAUAAUGGCCAAUGAAUAAAGCUGUGGUGGCUGAACUUAGGUUGAUGUCAAAGAGGUAAUUGAAUUGGCCUGUUAAGAUGGAUGCUUUUUGUUGAUCAGGCGACAGAGCAGGACUAUGAAAAAGACAAGCUUAUUACCGGUAACUCAAGUUUACUUGCUUGUUAUAUAAUAUGCUUUUUGUCACCGAAUUUCAUUUCCAGUACGUCUCCAUCGGUAUCAAGAAGAAACAGAACUCAAAGAAAUAUUUUUUCAAUCUUCAUAUUUGUCUGAAUUCGUCCUUUCAUUAAGAAUAACCAUUUUCAGGCAGCAGUUGGCACUGAAUUCACGCAAAUCUUGAUGCCAUUCGUAGUCGCAGACAUUAAAGACAAUGAUGAGCCAAUGGUGAUUAAUCAUAAAUGCAUAAUUAACAAACUUCCGUCCUUCUCUCAUUGUAAUUUGAUUUGAAAUUAAUUAUUGCUAGGUAACAUUAAUUCCAACCAUUGCAAGAUUUUUCCCUUAACAUAAUUCGGUAACAUUUAAUUGCAUGUGAAAUUGAUCAUAAUACCGUGAAGGACCUACCAAAACUUUUUUUUGAGAAAUUUCGAUUGAAAGUGAAACCUUUUGACGUUUACCUAAUAAAUUUAGUAAAUCUGGAAAAAAAAAAAAGUUGACACAAGCCAAUGCAGAAUAAUUAAUUAAAUCUGGAGUGACCACAUUUUCAAAAAUAUCUGCAUUCAUCACCUUCUCCAACAGCUAGUCAGCCACACACUGUUGGGGAAAAAUUAGGUUUUUAAAUUUUAUAAAACCUUUUGAAGAUCGCUCUCAUAUAAUAUAUAAGAAUUUGUAUUCUAGAAAUCGUACCUUGAAAAUCCGAGUUGGCUUUUUCCGCUGAAGUGAUUUAGGCUCCUAGAUCACGAUCCGCCACCACCACUCCUGUUAGAUCACAAUCCGUCACCACCACGCUUGUUAGAUCACGAACUGUCUCCAAUGAUCUUCCAAGUUAUAACUCAGGUUCGAUCUACACUUGACGUGUGGGUGCCUUUAUCACUACCAAAGCAACUAGCACGAGAAAAUUUUUCUUCAAUAGAGAGAAAAAUCUUAUUCUCCGAUUUGUAUAAAGUGGCUUCUACCUUUUCUUUAGAGAAAAAUAAGCUUUUUAUAUCACCCUUUAGUGAAAACCCUAGGCUCCAAAUAAUGCCCAAAAUAAAACUCACGUUACUUUUCAUUUAAUAGGGGACCCACCAUGUAAAAUAACAUAAGGCCCUUUACACAUAAGCUAAUUAAAUGGAGCCUCUUACUAAAUGAUAUAUUUAGGCUUUUGACCCAAAUAACUAGUUAUCUUGCUUAUUAGUCCAGUAGUGGUGCAGUCAAUUAAAUGAGCUAACCCGGGGAUCAUUUGGGAACAUACAAUAAUGGCUACAAUAAUUAGGCCUGUAAUUAAACUAGCCCAAUUAUUUAAUUUCAAAUCUACUCCACUAAAAGAUUGGAACUGACUUCCAUAAUUGCAUGCUCGAAUAAUAAUUCGUCCCAAGCCACAUUGAUUUCUUUACUGCACAAUCCUUUGUACCACAUCGUUAAUUAAAUUGAUAUCUCAACUGUCCAAUCAAUUUAAUAACAUCUUAUUCCUUGAUCCUUACUGAUUUUUUCUAAUGAUCAUUUUCAACAUACUAAAUAUGUUGACACACUCUGGCCAGAGAAUUCUAUGAUCAAGUGCCGAAAAUCUAUCAAGAGAUGUGUUGUACAAAUUCUAUAUUGUCAAUCCAUAACUCCAAUACUCAUAAUUGCUCCCACCAAGAUACCGGGUAAUCUUGACCACAAGGAUGUGUCGUGCCCAUUGGUAACUCAAAUGGAAUAACAAUUACAAUCAUGAAAUCAUAAUUAACUCAAGAUUAAGAUUACAGUAAAAUCAACGCCUAUGAGAUUUAAUAAGUCUGACAGUUAUUACAAAGUUAAUUAAAUCUCAUAUGUGAUCCUGUUCAAUGUAGUCGUACUACAUCAAUAAAUUCAUACAUGAUUAAGACAAAUCAUUCAAUGAAUUUAUUACAGUCUAUACCUAAAUAAAGUGCCCAACUUUAUUUAUCAACUGCAAACAAAAUUUAUUUAAUCAUAAGAUAACUUGUAUUUAUGUCUUCUGUGAAUCCACAUGGUGAUCACAUAAAUACAUAUAAUAUGAUUAAAUGGACUUUAAUAAAAAUAUUAAUACAAUUAAGAUAUUUGAAUAAAAUACCUCAUUAAUUUUAUUAAUCAGAAAAAAUGUUUAUUACAAUUAAAUAAACACAUAUGCUUUUAAAGAGCAUAUUUUCCCAACAAUCUCCCACUAGCUCUCAAAGCAUAUCUGGCAUAUUGCACAUGCUUUCGGGCUCUAAGUGCAGGUUAUAAAGGUUUCCCACUAAUGGCCAUUGUAAUAAGAUCUGCCAUUUAGCAUCUAAUGCCAUUUAGGGUACUGUCAUAUAACCUUUCUACACUAUUCCCUUAUAAGAUGAUACUUCAUGUCAGUAUGUUUUGUUUCUUGUGGUUCCUUAGAUUGAGCUACUGCACCACCAUUAUCACAAAAUAGUUUAAGGGGUGUAGUUACAACAGGUACCACCUCAAGAUUUUGUAGGAACUUGCGGAGCCUAUAUAGCUUCUUUUGCAGCUUCAGAUGUAGCCACAUAUUCAGCUUCAGUUGUGGAGUCUGUGAUACAAGAUUGUUUCACACUCAUCCAACUAAUAGCUCCACUUCCUAAUGUAAACACAUAGCCGGAAGUUGAUUUUCUAAAAUCCUUAUCUGACAAAAAAUCAGAAUUAGUAUAACUCACUAGAAUAAGUUCAUCACCAGAAUACACAAGCAUAUAAUUUUUAGUUCUUUUCAGAUACUUUAUAAUAUGCUUGACUGCAGUCCAGUAUUGAGGUCCAUGAUUAAAUUGAUAUCUGCUAACCAUCCCUACCGAAAAACAGAUGUCUGGCCUAGUGCAAAGCAUGGCAUACAUGAGACUUCCCACAGCUUCUGCAUAGGGAACUCAUCUCAUUCUCUCUAUCUCUUCAGAUGUUUUAGGUGAUUGAUCCUUAGAGAAUGUAAUUCCAUGUCUGAAUGGUAAUAAACCAGUCUUGGAAUUUUCCAUGCUAAAUCUAGCCAAUAUCUUAUCGAUAUAGACCGCUUGAGACAAGGCUAAAGUUUUAUUCUUCCAGUCUCGUAGUAACUUGAUACCAAGAAUAUAACUUGCCUUUCCCAGGUCUUUCAUAUCAAAUUGUUUUGCUAACCAAAUCUUUAUUGUAGUCAAUACAUAUAAUAUGAUUAAAUGGACUUUAAUAAAAAUAUUAAUGCAAUUAAGAUAUUUGAAUAAAAUACCUCAUUAAUUUUAUUAAUCAGAAAAAAUAUUUAUUACAAUUAAAUAAACACAUAUGCUUUUAAAGAGCAUAUUUUCCCAACACACACGAAUCAUUUCCUUUUAGCAUUUUGCAGCAUCAAUUUCUCUCCUGUUAAUCUGGAGGAAUCCGUCAGACUUUGGCUGGAUCGGCUCAAGUACGCAUCCUACGACAUUGAAGAUGUGUUGGAUGAGUGGAUCACAACAAGAGCCAAAUUGUAAACAAGAGGUUGAUGACAAAUAUAUCUGUUGCUUCUCAUCUGAAGAAGAAUGUAUCUUCCUGCUUCCCUGCUUUUUGCUUUGGUAUCAAAUAAGUCUUUCUCCGUCAUAACAUUUAUUGUAAUUUCAUAUGAGAUAUUACAUAAUAUAUCUGUUGUUCAAAUAUAUUUUAUAUACAAGCUGUUAAUACUUAUGCUUGCAGAAAGCUUACAAAGGAGUUGUGUGAUGUAAUAGAAGACUACAGUCUGGUCAAUUUUCAACUUUAGAUAUUCAGGUCAUCAGUUUCUCUUGAAUUCUUUCUUGAGUUUCUUUGAAUUAUUUGUGAAUAAGAUCUUAGUUGGCUGCUCCUCUUCAGGAUAAGGAAAGUGUGGCAAAACUCGUGAAGCUGAUAGAUAAAAGCAAUGGGUAUAUCUUUGCUGGCAUGGAUGCCAGCGCAGUUGAAUUCAGCAAGGUUGCCAUUCGCGAUGUUGAUUGGGAUUACUUCAGAUAUCCCUCUUUUCACCUAUUUUCAAUCUUGUGAUUCUCAUUUUCAUAAAACAUUUUGGUUAUUUAAUUAUGGCUCAUUGUAUGCAUCUGCAUCCUCUAACUUGUUCGUUUGAGAAACAAAUUUUGCUGUUAGGUAGGCUUCAAGCUUGAUUCAUGCUUUUUCCAUAAAUGUACCAAAAUCAUGGAAACAUCUUUUUCCCAGAUAUUGUAUCCACACUUUUCCCAUCUAAAAGACAAGUUUUGCUUAACAAAGAAAUCUACAGUAGCUGAAGUGCAGGAGAAGUACAUUAAGGAUGAUGACGAUGUUAACUAAAAGGGAACGCGAAGAUAUGUGGUGUGCAAAUCGUAAGCAAGCUGUGAGUUGAAUGAAUAAAGUUUGGUUUCCAGAAACGACCACGUUUUGGAGCUGUAAAACCUUCAUUAGUCACGUGCUGCUGUUCUUAACUGAAAACGAUUUAGUCGAAACGACAUGGGUGGAGCGCGUUUUACAUAUCAGUUUAAGUUAACCACAUGAGGAAGCAUGUGAUGAAGGUUAUUCUGAGUUUGUUAAAGGUUGUUAACCACGUGUCAACGAGCUGUACAAUCUAGAAAUCAAGUUGGCUGCCUAAACAGAGUAUAAAGGCUAGGUUUUGGGGAAAUUCAGGAACGAAUUUCAUGAGUCUUGCUGUGAGGGUUUUGUGAGAGAGAAAGUAUUAACUUGUUCUUUGUAAAGUCUGGUGGAAGGCUCUGUAACAAUCUCCAUUGUUGAUUCAAUAAAGCUCAUCUUGAGGCUUCUCCAAUGGAUGUAAGCUGAGCAUUCCAUGCUCAACUGAACCACGUUAAAUCUUGGUUUCUGUGGGUUUCUUGUUUCUAGUUCUUGUUCUUUUUGUUAUUGAGUGAGUUUGUCUAAUUAGAUCUUGGGGUUGUGCAACUUGCAUUGACUAGAUCACUAGCAUCCUGGGCAGUGAUCAAUUUAGCUUGGUUUAAAGGCUUGCUGUUCACUACAAUUGGUACUAGAGCUUGGUGUUCUGUGAUCAAGUCCAAGUAUGGUGUCUUCUAAGGUCGAUGUAGAAAAAUUUACAGGCAAGAAUGACUUCAAUAUGUGGAAGAUGAAAAUGGAAGCCUUGCUGAUCAUUUAGGGUUUGGGAGAUGCAAUUGAGCCUGAAAUGAAGGAAGGUAAAGGGGUUUCUUCAUCAAAGACUCCAGAGGAAGUUGUUGAAAUCCACAAAAAGGUCAGAAGUACAAUAAUCCUGAGUCUUGGUGAUUCAGUCAUUAAAGAAGUGGCCAAAGAUAAGACAGUUGCUGGAUUAUAGAGCAAACUGGAAAGUCUUUAUAUGACCAAGUCACUUGCAAACAGACUCUACAUCAAGAAAAGGAUGUUUACACUAAAAAUGGUGGAAGGAGCUUCACUGGAAGAACACAUCGAUGAGUUUAACAAGGUAUGUGAUACCCUGGAAACCAUUUAUGCUACUCUGGAUGAUGAGGGGAAGACUCUCUUGCUAAUCAAUUCAUUACCAAAAUCCUAUGAAAAUUUGGUUGAUGCCCUGAUGUAAGGAAGACAAACCCUAACACUUGAUGAAGUUAAAUCUACCCUAAAUACAAGGGAACUUCAAACUAAACAAGGGCAUUUGGAGAAUAAUAGAAGUGAAUGACUGAUAAUAAAGGUGAAAACUGACAAGAAGAAGAAGAAAGGCAAAUCCAAGAACAAAGAAAGAGACCUAAAAUGCUUUCAGUCUCACAAAGAAGGCCAUUUUAAGAGGGAUUGCCUUGAAAAGAGAUUCAAGCCCAAAGAUUCAAGAAACCAAAGUGGAGAUGCAGCUGUAGUGGAAGAGGAAGGAUAUGAGUCUGCUGGUGUAUGUGUGGCAAUAGAAAACAGCCAAAAAGGUAAAUGGGUUCUGGACUCUGGAUGCACUUUUCACAUGUGCCCUUUUAGAAAUUACUUUAAUAAAUAUCAAGAUUUUGAUGGAGGUAGAGUAAUUAUGGGAAAUAACUCUAUUUGUAAAAUCAUUGGAAUUGGGGAUGUAAGCCUUAAGCUACAUGAUGGUUCAAUAAGAGUGCUUAGGCAAGUCAGGCAUGUGCCAGACUUGAAAAGAAAUCUAAUUUCUCUUGAGGUGUUGGACCAAAUAAGGUGUAGAAUUAAGCUUGAAUCUGGAGAAUUGAGUGUUUUGAAUGGUUCAAAUCUAGUCAUGAAAGGGACGAGGAAGAAUGGAGUUUACAUCUUAGAUGGUGAGGUGAUAUCUGGAGUAGCUGAUGUAUCCAUUAAGCAUGCUAAAGAUAAAACCAGGUUAUGGCAUCCAAGGUUAGGGCACAUGAGUGAGAGAGGAUUAAAAGAGUUAGAAAAACAAAGGUUGUUUGGUUCUGACAAGAUUGGUAAUCUAGAGUUUUGUGAAGAUUGUGUUCUAGGGAAGUCUUCAAGAGGCAGCUUCAAUAGAUCUAGUCAAAAAUCAAAUGAGAGGUUGGAUUAUGCACACUCAGACUUGUGGGGGCCUGCACAGUGUGUAUCUCUGCGAGGGAAUAAGUAUUUUUUAUCUAUCAUAGAUGACUUCUCUAGGAAAGUUUGGGUGUAUGUGUUAAAGAACAAGGAUCAGACUUUUGAGAGGUUUAAAGAGUGGAAACAGAUGGUAGAAAACCAAACUGGUAAGAGAUUAAAGAAGCUGAAAACUGAUAAUGGUCUUGAAUUUUGCAACCAGCCAUUUGACAACUUUUGUGCAAAUAAAGGUAUUGGUAGACAUAAGACAGUAAGGAUGACCCCAUAACAAAAUGGGUUAGCUGAGAGGAUGAAUAGGACUCUAUUGGAGAAAGUAAGAUGUAUGCUGAUUUAGUCCAAGCUCCUAAAAACAUUGUGGGCAAAAAUCUUACUCACAGCAUGCUACCUUGUCAACCUAAGCCCUUCUAUUGGAAUUAAUUUCAAAACACCUUUUGAAUGUGGUCACGGAAACCUGCUGACUAUGGAAUCCUUAAAGCCUUUGGCUGCCCAACCUAUGUUCAUGUCAGUCAAGGUAAGCUAGCAGCUAAAGCCUUGAAAAGUGUUUUCAUAGGCUAUCCAGAAGGAGUCAAAUGGUUUAAAGUUUUGUGCACUGAGCUUAAUCCACCAAAAUGUAUAGUGAGUAGGGAUGUGGUGUUUAAUGUGGGGAGUUUGAUGAAGGUGAAUCAUGAACCUGAUCUGGAAACUGAAAAUUCAAGACUAAUAGAGAAACUAGAGUUUGAGGUGGAGCCAUCUACUUCCAGAAACACAACUGAAGCUGCAGAUUCAGGUGGUGUUCCUGAAAACACUGAUGACACACAGGCACCUCAAGAUCAAUCAAGUUCUCAGGAGCAAAUCAGAGAAUACCAGCUCACCAGAGAUAGACAAAAAAGGCAGAUCAAACCAACAAGGAGAUAUGGCUAUGCAGAUUUAAUAGGUUUUGCUCUAACAGUUGCAAAAGAUAUAGAUGGUGAGGAACCAAAGAAUUUUAAGGAAGCAACCCAGAGCCUGUUCAAAGAAGAAUGGCAAAGAGCUAUAGAUGAUGAAAUGGCCUCCCUCUAUAAAAACAACACAUGGGAGCUGGUCAAGAAGCCUAGAAAUAGAAGAGUGGUUGGCUGCAAAUGGAUUUUCAAAAUUAAGGAGGGCAUAAAUGGAUCUGAACCAAGGAGAUUCAAGGCUAGACUUGUGGCCAAGGGUUAUAAACAAAAGGAAGGGAUAGAUUUUAAAGAAGUAUUUUCUCUAGUGGUUAGACAUGCCUCAAUUAGAGUUAUGUUAGCCAUAACAGCUGUGCAAGACAUGGAGCUUGAUCAACUCAAUGUCAAGACAACAUUUCUGCAUGGAAGACUUGAGGAAGAAAUACCGAUGUCCCAACCUGAAGGGUAUGAGUUCCCAGGUAAAGAAGACCAUGUGUGUCAACUAAAGAAGUCACUCUAUGGGCUUAAACAGUCUCCCAGACAGUGGUACCUAAGAUUUGAUAAAUUCAUGCAACUGCAUGAGUUCAUCAAAUGUAGCUAUGACUGCUGUGUUUACUACAAGACAAUCAAGGAUGGUCUGUACAUAUACCUCCUUCUAUAUGUAGAUGACAUGUUGGUUGCUUGCAAAGAUAAAGAGGAAAUUGAUAAGCUCAAGGUGCUGCUGAAUUCAGAAUUUGAAAUGAAGGACCUGGGGUAUGCAAUGAAGAUUCUAGGAAUGGAGAUCAGAAGGAAUAUAAGUAAAGGGAUCAUGUUUCUGUCACAAGAAAAAUACUUGAAAAAAGUGUUAGAAACAUUUGACAUGAGUAAGUCUAAACCUGUGCAACUACCAUUAGCUUCACAUUUCAGGUUAAGCAAUUUGCAGUAUCCUUAAACAGAAGCUCAAAAGCAAGAUAUGGCAAAUGUGCCCUAUGCAAAUGCAGUAGGCAGCCUUAUGUAUGCAAUGGUAUUGACCAGGCCAGACAUAACUCAUGAUGUCAGUGUAGUUAGUAGAUAUAUGGCACAACUUGGGGAAGACCAUUAGAAGGCUAUAAAAUAGAUACUCAUGCAUCUCAAAGGCACUGUAAAUUGUGGUCUGAUGUAUGGCAAGACAAAAGCAAAUGAUGAGGUUUUGGAAGGGUAUGUUGACUCAGAUUAUGCAGGGGAUUUGGAUAAAAGAACGUCUCUUACAGGUUACAUAUUGAUGUUAAAUGGUUGUACUGUAAAUUGGAAGGCAACUCUACAAAGUGUAGUGGCUCUUUCAACAACUGAAGCAGAGUAUACAGCUGCUACAGAAGUUGUAAAGGAAACACUUUGGCUCAAGGGGUUGGUGACAGAGUUGGGAUUAAAUAAGAAGUCAGUAUCAAUCUGCUGUGAAAAUGGUGAAGAUUCAUACUGAUGAGAAUUCUGCAGAUGCUGUUACUAAGGUGAUUCCUGUGGAUAAGUUCAGAGCUUGCCUGGACCUAGCUGGCUUGUGCAGUCAGUGAUAUGCAUAAGGUUUGGAGAAGGAUUUAGAGUGAGGGUAAACUUUGAUUCAAGUUGGAGAAUUGUGAGUUGAAUGAAUCAAGUUGGUUUGCAUAAACGAUCGCGUUUUGGAGCUGUAAAACCUUCAUUAGCUCACAUGCUGCUCAGCUGGUUCUUAACUAAAAACGAUUUAGUUGAAAUGACAUUGGUGGAGUGCGUUUUACAUAUCAGUUUAAGUAACCACGUGAGGAAGCAUGUGAUGAAGGUUAUUCUGAGUUCAUUAAAGGUUGUUAACCACGUGUCAACGAGCUGAACAAUCUGGAAAUCAAGCUAGUUGCCCAAACAGAGUAUAAAGGUUGGGUUUUGGGGAAAUUCAGGAACGAAUUUCAUGAGUCUUGCUGUGAGGGUUUUGUGAGACAGAAAGUAUUAACUUGUUCUCUGUAAAGUCUGGUGUAAGGCUCUAUAACAAUCUCCAUUGUUGAUUCAAUAAAGCUCAUCUUGAGGCUUCUCCCGUGGAAUGCUCAGCUGAACCACGUUAAAUCUUGGUUUCUGUGGGUUUCUUGUUUCUAGUUCUUGUUCUUUUUGUUAUUGAGUGAGUUUGUCUAAUUAGAUUUUGCGGUUGUGCAACUUGCAUUGACUAGAUCACUAGCAUCCUGGGCAGUGAUCAGUUUAGCUUGAUUUAGAGGCUUGCUGUUCACUGCACAUGCCUUUUGCCUUUGUGGAUGUUCAAGCUUGUGAUUCAUGUUUGUUAAUCUAUUAUGCUCUCUUGCAGGAUUUAUAAAGUUUUCGAUCAAUCAAGCAUUUGACUCAAGUUCUUAGCUCUUCACUGCUUGAAUGGGUCAGAUAGGACAAGCGCCGAUGAGGUGGUUUUAAUCAGACCCCUCCUAAUUAUGAUGUAUGGUCCGAAUCUUGGACUUUUUGUACAAAUGUAGCUAUUGAGGACAAUGAUGAGACAAAGGUGAUCAUUCAUUAAUGCGUAAUUACCGAAACCUCCAUCCUUCUCUCAUUGUAAUUUGAUUUGAAAUGAAUAAUUGCUAGGUAAUUGAAGUCAAUAUUGUUAAAAACCGUGUUGAGCUACCCAAGCAAAGAAGUUAGUCGCCAAAAAAUGCAGGGGAUCAAAAGAAGCAUUUCAUUUGAAAAGGCAUGAGAUUCUGUUUAAAUUUGUGCUACUACGGUGCGGUAAUGCUGCUACUGGGAAAUUUGAAAAGGCAUCAGAAGCUGUGGAUCUUGGGACAUCAGGAUUUUUCACAGUUCUCAAACUCUCAGGAUUAAACUCUAUUAAAGUUGUAGUUAUCUUGUUGUCAGAAUUCCCAUAUUAUUAUCUUUUUCAUGUAAAAUUAUCUUGUUGUCUUCACCCAUGAAUCUAAGCUAAAAUUUGAACCAAUUGUUUGCUAUUAUAAAUUUCAUUGUUAAAUGUUAAUUGUGAUGUUGGCGUUGAGUUUCUUUUAAAGUCAUAGAAGCCUGACGAUUGAGUUCCAUGGGAUUCUGAGAAGCAGUAAUAUUUUGAACAAGUGAAGGUUCUUCGUUUUUAAUUAUGUUCUGCACUUUUACAGUAUGUGCAGAUGUCUAAGAGGCAGGAUUUUAAUUUCUGUAAUGCUAAAUUUCGCAAAACAAUAAAAAAAUAAAUGCAUGACAGUGACUUCAAGAAUUUAGAUUAUUGAAUUUGGUCAUUUUAAAAUUGUUGGAAUGUUGAACUUACGUAAUUUUGAUAAACCAGAGCUCAGAAAUGUAGAAUAUAAAUAUUGGAUAUUUGGACUUCAAUCAUUAGAUUUGAAGCUAAAGAGGUAAGCCAUUAAUUACAUCCAAGGAUUUGGAAAAUGGAGGGAUUGGAAAAAGGAAACUUUUUCAUAAACUUCAAGCAUUGGGCAUUUUCAUUUGUCCGAUUCAAGAGGAACGUCAUAGAAAGGGGUAAAGAAAAGAGUAGCCUAAGAUAUUAAAGACAAUGUUGAGCCAAAGGAAACAUAAAUCCCAACCAUUGCAUGUGAACAUGAUCACAAUAAAUCCCAACCAUCCAAACCAUUUUUUUGAGAAUUUUCAAUUGAAAGUGAAACCUUUUGACAUUUACCUAAUAAAGUAAGUUAAACGAGAGAAAUAAAGGGGAAAAGAAAAGUUGACUCAAGUCAAUACAGAAUAAUUAGUUCAAUCUGGAGUAACUAAAACAGAGCCACUAUAUUUUCAACAGCUAAUGAGCUACACACGAAUCAUUUCCUUUUAGCAUUUUUGCAGCAUCAAUUUCUCUCCUCGUUUGUCAUCCAAAAUUAUUCACCAAUACCAUGGCUGAUGCAAUCGUUUCCCUGGUCUUGGAGCAGCUGAUUAUCUUUGCUGCUGAAGAGUUGAAACAACAGGGGAAGCUGGUGAGUGUUGGAUGAGUGGAUAACAGCAUGCGUCAAAUCGCAAAUUGAUCAAUGCUCUUGGUGCUCCUUAUCUGAAGAAGAAGGUGCAAAUUGAGAGCUGAAUUGCACUGUCAUAACAUUUAUUGUAAUUUCAUUUGGAGAUAUGUAAUAUCUGUUGUCCAGAUAUAUUUCAUACACCAGCUGCUAAUAAUUCUGCUUGCAGAGAACUUGCAAAGUGAUUCUGGGAUAUGUAAUAUCUGUUGUAAUAUCUGGAGAUAUGUAAUAUCUGUUGUCCUAGAAAUAUAGAUGUGUGGUUCGCAAAAUUUUCUUGAUCUUAAGAAAGAGUUAUCUUGAAUAGAAGAUAACAUGGAGAAUUCAGCAACUAUACAGUCAUAUUGAUGUCUGUCAACUUGGGUCAGAUGGUGUCGUUUGGAUGGAGAUGUUAGGUCCCAGAUGGUAUGCUUGUUAUCAAUUCCAGUCUAAUUCAUUCAUGCUUUGAUGACAUAUGCGGUGCAGCUUCUUAUCUAAGACCUGUAUAUGUUCAGUCAUCAUUCAGUUCUGUAUUUGGCUGCCAUUCUUUCAAUGAAUUCAAACCACUUUCUGAAUACUUGCAAAUUCAUCCAGUGUUGUCAUUGAGAUGCCAAUAUGUAAAGGAGCAAUAGUUGCCCUUGAUAGUAUGCUUAUUGAUUGCCUCUUGCCUCACUCAGCCUAAGGAAUCUGGUUGUAUGGUGUUCUUGUAAUUUCAUUUGGAGAUAAGUAAUAUCUGUUGUUCAAAUGUAUUUUAUAUACAAGCAGUUAAUAAUUCUGCUUGCAGAAAGCUUACAAAGGAGCUGUGUGAUGUAAUAGAAGACUACAGUCUGGUCAAUUUUUCAACCUUAGAUAUUCAGGUCAUCGGUUUCUCUUGAAUUCUUUCUUGAGUUUCUUUGAAUUAUUUGUGAAUAAGAUCUUAGUUGGCUGCUCCUCUUCAGGAUAAGGAAAGUGUGGCAAAACUCGUGAAGCUGAUAGAUAAAAGCAAUGGGUACAUCUUUGCUGGCAUGGAUGCCAGUGCAGUUGAAUUCAGCAAGAUUGCCGUUCGCGAUGUGGAUUGGGAUUAUUACAGAUAUCCUUCUUUUCACCUACUUUCAAUCUUGUGAUUCUCAUAUUCAUAAAACUUUUAUGGUUCAUUGUAUGCAUCUGCAUCUUCUAAUUUGUACGUUUGAGAAACUAAUUUUGCUGUUAGGUAGGUGUCAAAUUUGAUUCAUGCGUUUUUUAUAAAUUUACCAAAAUCAUGGAAACUUCUUCUUCCCAGAUAUUGUAUCCACACUUUUCCCAUGUAAUUCAGUCAGACAAGUUUUGCUUAACAAAGAUAUCUACAGUAGCUGAAGUGCAGGAAAAGUACAUUGAGGAUGAUGACGAUGUUAACUAAAAUGGGACACGAAGAUAUAUGGUGCGCAAACCGUAAGCAUGCCUCUUACUUUUGUGCAUGUUUACUUGCUUGUGAUUCAUGUUUGUUAAUCUAUUAUGCUCUUUUGUUGGAUUUAUAAAGUUUUCAAUCAAUCAAACAUUUGACUGGUUCAGACAGGACAAGCGCGGAAGAGGUGGUUUUAAUCAAACCACUACUAAUUAUGAUGUAUCUCGGACCUUUGUACAAUAUCAAGCGAUUUUUUUAGUUGAAUCAGCUAGUGUACACAAAUGUCGUUUAUUGAUUUUUCUCUAGUAUAGUUCGUAAUUUUGGUAACACAUCUACUCUAGUAUCGAUUGUAAUUACAAGAAACAAAGUAAUGAAAUUUAUCACUGCAUUCAUAGUUAUGCUUAAGCUCAAAGACCACUGUCAAGAUCAUUUUGGGGCCUCUAUUUGUUCUAUAACAUGAUGUUGACACAUGUCAAAUUAUGAAGCUUGUGAUUAAAAUACUUUUCACAUAUAUAUUUUAAGUACCACUAAUAAUUAAAUAUAUGAAUAAAUAUGGUCAAUGAGGAGGGGAUAAAAUAAAAUGGUUUUAUUUUUUGAAUUACUCAACUGCUUCAAACUUCUAAGAAGUAGAUUUACGAUGAGCGGAAUCUUAAAUUGAGUACGAGCUAGGGAUAACUUAUAAAAUUGGGAUACAAGCUUCAAAGAAAGUGUAUUACUAUUCAUAUGUAGAUUUCGAAUUAAGAAGAUAUGCCAACUAAUUGUAUAAAAAUGUAAAAAUUGAUCACUGACAUAAUCCCAAAUGAUAAAAUGAGCUACCUCGAUCAAAAGGUCAAGAACCUACCUUCUCUUAGGGAUAAGUGAAAGCUUCCCAAUUGAAGGAAAGUGAAGAGAAGAUUCUAUGCUCUCAUUAUUAUUAUUAUUUGUUAGAAUGAAGUGCGAAGUGAGCACAUCAUGCAAGCUCAGCAGAAGUGAUAAGGUGACUUGUAACUCAGCUGGCACUCAAGAGACAAAGUGUAGUGGAGAAAAGUUUCCCAAUUGAAGGAAAGUGAAGGGAAGAUUCUAUGCUCUAAUAAUUAUUAGUUGACAAUGAAUUGGCAAAUAAAAACAAAAUAGCAAGCCUGUAAAGUAAUGAAGUGGAGACAAUGACCAUGUGAUUGAUUGGUAAAUAAAAACAAAAGAGCAAGCCUGUAAAGUAAUGUAAACUAUAGUGUAUAUUCAAGUUAAAGUAAUGGAAACAGUGUAUAUUCACAAAAAAUUCUUUUAUCUCUCAUUGUCUUGUUCUUUUCUUUAUUUACGUUGUCCAGAAGUAAAGCCAUACAUGUGAUGAAGCAUAAAUAAGAAAGCUAUCGCCCGAAAUUCAUUUUCACAAACACUUCAAUAUCCUUUUGAUCACUUUUGCAAACAUCAAUUUGUCUCCUCUUGUAUUCACCAUGGUUGAUGCCAUCGUUUCCCCUCUCGUGGAGCAGCUGAUUUCCUUCGCUGCUGAAGAGAUAAAACAACAGGUGAUCGAAGUUACACCCCUCAUAUUACAAAUACUUACAAUGAUUUUAUUUGGUUUUGCUUUUAUCAAAAACAUUAUAAUUAUAAUUUUUGAAAUUUGAAUUGAAUUUAAUUAAAAGGUGAUAUAGUAACCACUCAUUUUUAUUUUAUUUCAUUUAUAUUCUCGAUAACUACCCAUAUUGUGGUAACUUGCUAUAACUCUCGUAUAUAAGAAAUGAUCAAAACCCAUAAUUUUAACUCUGUAUAAAUAUUCAAUGUUGAGCUAAGGUUUUGUAGAACAUUCAAGUUUAUCAAACAGUCAUUAAUUUAAUGCUUAGUAAAAUCUCAACUCUGCACUGAAUCCCAUAACUAUUACUUAGACUCUAUGAAAAAUUUCAUAGUUUUCUUACAUUCUUUGAGUUUGGUAAGUGAUUUCAUAUAAUUUAUUUUCAAGUUAAAUUUUAAUUUGGUUUCUGAUAUAGUCUCUUUGCCGAAUUGUCUCUUUUAUGAUUCUUGGAUUUUGGGCUUCAACUUUUUAGGAUUUGAUAGUCACAUUUUAUGCCGUGCUCAGAUUGAUUUUCAUGAUUAUUAGUAGCCGUUAAGUGACUUACAAUUUGACGAAAGUUUGAAAGGAAAAAUGUUUCAGGAUUAUGUUUUAAUUGACCUUUUAGUGGAAAUAGGAUGCUUAUAACUUAAUGUGGAUGGUUCGUAAAAUCAUGAAAUUUGGAUAGGAUUCACUAGAAAUAUGUUCAAGACUCUCCAUAAAGUUUCAUAAUUUUUCAUUGGGUCUGGGCUGUUACAGGUGAUGCUUGUGACUGGUGUCGAGAAGGAAGUGAAAAGCCUUACGAACCACCUUCAUGCCAUUCAAGCUGUGCUCGAUGAUGCAGAGGAAAAGAAAGUGAAGAACAAAGCUGUUAGUCUUUGGCUGGGUAGGCUCAAGUAUGCAUCCUACGACAUUGAAGAUGUGUUGGAUGCGUGGAUCACAACAAGACGUAAAUUGCAAAUUGAGGGUGGCGUUGAUGACAAUGCUCUUGCUGCUCCUCAAAAGAAAAAGAAGGUGUGUUUCUGCUUUCCUGCCUCUUGUUUUGGAUUCAAACAAGAAGAAUUUGGUUUCAAACAAGUCUUUCUACGUUAUGACAUUGCCAACAAGAUCAAAGAAAUGAAUGAAGAGCUACAUGAUAUUGCCACUCAAAAAGACAUGUUUAAUCUUAAAAGUGGUGAAAGACCAAGGCGUGUACAGAGUACCUCCUUGAUUGAUGAGGAAGAGAUUUGUGGUAGAGUUGGUGAGAAGAAUGAACUCAUAAGCAAGCUGUUGCGUGAGAGUAGCGAGCAACAAAAAGGCCUCCAUAUCAUCUCAAUUGUUGGUAUGGGAGGCAUAGGGAAAACUACUCUUGCACAACUAGCUUGUAAUCAUGACGAGGUGAAGAGAAAGUUUGACAAAAUUCUGUGGGUGUGUGUAUCAGAAACUUUUGAGGAGUUUAGGGUAGCCAAAGCGAUCGUUGAAGCUUUGGAUAGUCGUGAAUCUCAUUUAGGUGAAUUUCAAUCUCUUCUUAAAUAUAUUUAUGAAUCAAUUGCAGGGAAGAGCUUUCUUCUUGUCUUAGAUGACGUGUGGGAUGGAAAUUACUUGAAAUGGGAACCAUUCUACCGUUGUCUAAAGAAUGGUCUCCAUGGAAGUAAAAUUUUAGUUACCACACGUAAAGGGUCAGUCGCAUCCAUGAUGGGAUCCAUAACUAUUAUCUCCGUUAAGGAGUUAGCUGAAGAGGAAUGUUGGUUGUUGUUUAAAAAGAUAGCAUUUUUUGAUCGGUCCAUCGAGGAACGUGAAAAAUUAGAACAAAUUGGGCAAAGAAUUGCAGGCAAGUGCAAAGGUUUACCUCUUGCAGCAAAGACAAUAGGGCAUCUCAUGCGUUCUAAACAAACUGAAGAAGAGUGGAAAAGAAUUUUAAAUAGUGAUUUAUGGAAAGUAGAAAAGAUUGAGAAAGAUGUUUUGUCCUCUUUAUUGUUGAGUUAUAAUGAUUUGCCAUCUAGAGUAAAAAGAUGUUUUUCAUAUUGUGCUGUCUUUCCAAAAGAUUAUAAUAUAAGAAAAGACAAACUAAUCUCAGUAUGGGUGGCUCAAGGUUAUCUUAGUGCAGAAGCAGCAGAACAAAAUGAGGAGUUGGAGACUAUAGGUGAAGAGUAUUUUAGCAUCUUAGCUUCUCGCUCUUUCUUUCAAGAGUUUAAGAAAAGUUAUGAUAAUUGGAUUAUAGAGUGUAAGAUGCAUGAUAUGGUACAUGAUUUUGCCCGAUUUGUAAGUCAAAAUGAAUGUUUUUCCAUGGCAAUUAAUGGUAGUGAAGAAUCAAACGCCACAAACUCUCUUGAUGAGAAGGUCCGUCAUUUAAUGUUAAUCUUUAGUAAAGGGGCUUCAUUACCUGUUUCCACUCUUAGAGUUAAAAGAAUGCGUAGCCUCUUUAUUAACGAUAGUGAAUCUGAUCAUUCAUCAUUAAAUGGUGAGAUCCUAGAAGAAUUAUUUAGGGAAUUGACAAGUUUAAGGGCAUUAGAUUUUGGCAAAUCGUGUAACUCAAGUUGGUCUUCGACUCUGGAGUAGGGAUGGCAAAAAUCCCCACGGGGACGGGUACCCUCGGGGAUUUUCCCCAUUCGGGGAGGGUAUGGGGAUAAUUUCAUACCCAAUUUCUUAUUCGGGGAGGGGACGGGGAAAUUUUUUUACCCAAUUUCUUAUUCGGGGAGGGGACGGGGAUGAGGUGGAAUCCCCAUCCCCUACCCAUUUCCCCAUUUUAAUUUUUAAUUUAAUUUUAAUUUUUUAAAAUUACUAGUAAAUAAAUUAUAAAAUUUAAAUUAUAAAAUUAUAAAUAUUGGUAAAAAUAAAAAAUAUCAAAAUAUUUAUAUUAUUAAACUUUUAGGCCUAAUUAGCUAAUUAAAGUUCUAAAUUUUUAUUUAGGACAUUAAAAAGACUGAGUAGAUUCUAUUAGCCAAAUUUUUUUUUAAUUUUGAUAUUCUUUAAAUAUUUUAAACUUAAAUCUAUUUUUUAUUUAAUUUUAGAUGUUAUAAUUGCCCACAGCGAAUCACAAUUUUAAUAUCUAAUCUAAUCUAAUCUAAUAUUUACUUUUGAUUUGCUCCGAUUUAACUAUUGUGUUGUAAAGGGAAUAGUCCACAUUUAUAAAGUGCCCACGCCACCAUUGAAAAAGUUAAUUUUGAAUCUAAAUUUGAUUUUAUUUGUAACAAUUUUGUAUUAGACUAUUAAUUUGUUCAUGAUAGUUUGUAAAAUAAGUUUGUAUCUCUUGUAUGUUGCGUUACUUACUAAUUUAAUGUAUGUGACUUUUGUAAUAGAUAUUAAUGUAAGAUAUAUUUCGAACUUUACUUUUAUUUGAAUUUUUUAUUUUAAUAUGAUUAACUCAAAAUCGAAAAAAAAAUGUAUUAGUUAAUCGGGGAUCGGGGACCCUCGGGGAUCCCCUGUUAUUAUCUUCNNNNNNNNNNNNNNNNNNNNNNNNNNNNNNNNNNNNNNNNNNNNNNNNNNNNNNNNNNNNNNNNNNNNNNNNNNNNNNNNNNNNNNNNNNNNNNNNNNNNACCUUAUUUGUGUUUUCAGAAAAUAGUGAAACUACCGGAGACAUUAUGCGAGUUGUAUAAUCUAGGAAAGUUAGAUAUUAGUUGUUGUUAUAGUCUUAAAGAAUUACCUGAAGGGAUUGGGAAGUUAAUAAACAUGAAGCAUUUACUAAAUAGAGAUACUCAUUCUUUAAGGUACAUGCCAGUAGGGAUUGGGAGAUUAACGGGUCUUAGGACCUUGGAUGAGUUCCACGUGAGUGCAGGAGGAGGUGUUGAUGAUAGGAAAGCAUGUAGGCUUGAAUCUCUAAAAAAAUUGGAACACCUUCAAGUAUGUGGUAUACGUAGACUGGGUGAUGUAUCAGAUGUGGGCGAGGCUAAGCGAUUAGAACUUGACAAAAAGAAAUACCUCUUCAGUUUGACCCUUGAGUUUGAUAAGAAGGAAAGAGGAAGAGAAAGGAGGAAGAACGAGGACGAUCAACUUCUUCUUGAAGCCCUGCGACCACCCCUGGAUUUUAAGGAAUUAGAGAUACGGUUCUACCGAGGCAACACUGUUUUCCCCAGCUGGAUGACGUCAUUAACCAACUUAAAGAGUUUAGAUCUCUGUAACUGCGAAAAUUGCGAGCAGCUGCCUCCUUUGGGAAAAUUGCCGUCCCUUGAAAAACUCAGCAUAAUGUUUAUGCCUGUGAAAAGAGUGGGUGAUGAAUUUUUGGGGAUAGAAAGUGGUCAUCGUGACUCAUCUUCAUCUUCAUCGGUUAUUAUUGCCUUCCCCAAAUUGAAAUCACUUUCAAUUGAGUCUCUGGACGAAUUGGAGGAGUGGGAUUAUGGGAUUACAGGAACGGGAAACACCUUCAUCAACAUCAUGCCACGUCUUUCUUCUUUGGAAAUUAAUUACUGCCCCAAAUUAAAGGCACUGCCCGACCACAUUCAUCAAACGACAACAUUGAAGGAAUUGCGCAUUUGGGGGUGUGACCUUCUGGAAGAACGUUACCGCAAGGGAGAAGGAGAAGACUGGCCUAAGAUAUCACACAUUCCCAACCUCCAUAUUGGGCUUUGACAAGUAAUUUCUUCUCUUACUCUGAUUUGCUUUGUUGUUGUUUUUAAUCUAAUUAAGAAGCGUAAAUAGCAUUUUGAAUCAAACUCUAUAUCAGAAAUCUGCAAUACUUACUUUCUAAUAUUCUGAUUUUCAUAUCCUAUGAAUAUACGAUUUUUAAUUUGUGAGAUGGGUAACGUUACUGUAAAAGAUUAUUAAUGCAAUAUGAGUAAUUCUUUUGCAGGACAAGUGACCUACAUUUAGUUUGGCUUUGGAGUUGAAUAAUAACCUUUCGGGAACUGGUGUGGACUGGCAAAGGAUGAUGAGAUAGUUUUUUGAGUGAGUAAAUUUUGGGAGCUUGAGUGUAUUGGGAUUUGCAAUUACAAUCAUCCUCUGCUUCAGGUGAUUUCUUCUCUUGCUCUGUCAUUGUUUGUUCUCUAAUUCAAAAGCAUGAAAUAUUUCAAUCAAUUUUUAUACCAGGAAUAUGCAAAAGUUUCUAAUAUUUUAUUUCCAUCUGUUACAAGAUCAAACUGAAGCAGAACUCAAACAAAAGUAUGCUACUUCUUGCGGAAAUCUUGCCUUUGUUCAGAUUAUGAAACCAUUUCCAUGCAGCAAAUUCAUCCAAAAGUUUGAAUAAGUUUCAUGGUCGGACACUGUUGGCUUCUUUUUCUUCUGGGGUGCAUUUAGGUGCUAUCAAGUGACAGCUGUAAGUAUGAUUGCACUAAGCUGCUGCUGGGAAAUUUGAGGUUUUGAUGGCUGCCCAUGUUAUUUUCAAGAAACUAUUGAUGUAAGAAGCCGUGGUUCUUUUCAUCAGCUUGAACCUGAAACUGUCGCUAUGGAUAACUCAGGUUUUUGUUAUCAACUAUAUCAUCUUUUUCACUAUUUUGAAACUCUUAAGAUUAAACGUUAGUAAAGUUGUUUCAGCUAUUCAAAUGAAAAACUCAUUGAUUUGAGACUUCCUUCAUUAUUGUUUCUAAUUACAAUGCUAACGAUCCAGAUAAAAUAAUAUUUAAUCGGCGAAGGUGUCCCUUGGAAGUACAUCCUUCUUUUUCUUUUAUUAUAUAAAUUCUUGCAAUGAGCUUAGUGAAGCUGUUGUGCUAUCAUGCCACUGCAUAAUUUGGCCCCUAAUGUGGGUACUCUGUUUCAUUGUUCUGCAAAUUCUCCAGCAGUUAAAAUCAAUAAAUUUUCUAUUAGCUCUAGUGCUUUGACCUAAAUGCUAUUCUAUAUUCUGAUUACAAUGUUUUAACCUUUAAAUUAACUACUCCUAGAUGUUGGAUUUUCUAGAACUUCAAAAUGAUUAAUGGAGAAAGAUCCCAUUAUCGUUAUUGCUAUAAGAAAUUGAUUUAUGCAUCCAAAGAUACAUUAUAUAUUUCUGUGUCUCUAUUUAUAGAUGACAUUUAAGCAUCCAUAAACCGUCAGACAGAGGAAGGGGGUUCAGUGCAAAGAUUCUGUUGACCUAGGGUUGACUGCAUAAUGUCACUUGUUCGCAAUCUAUUAUUUAUUUUAUAUUUUGAAGAAUUUAAUGGGUAAUCCUAAUUGUUUGUUUUGGCAGGUAUGUGUUGUUAUCUCCUUCUAUCUUACAGUCAUACCUAAAUAGCAUAGUUUCAUCUGUGUUACCAUGUGAUGUACAUAAUUUCACAUUUGCCUCAGAUUAAGCUUAAUUUCCCACAAAAUAGAGCUGUCGCGACUGGACUUAGGUUGAUGUCCAAAGAGGUAAAUUAUUGGCAUGCCUAGAUAAUUUGGCCAUUUCCUAAUUCAUAAGUCUACGUUAAUUUUGAUUUUGAGUUGACUGAUUUCUUUUCAAGGUCUGCUUCCUUAACGGAGUGACCAAUGUUUUUCAACUAAAUUUAUCAUAUGAUGCAGGAAGCAGGGCAGGAUAUGAAAUGAGAAGCUCAUUGGUGGAAGUAUUGCCAGUAGCAGAACCCAAUGAAAAUGAAACUAUUUCAAGGCAGCAGUUGGCAGUUGCAAGUGAAUGGAGGCCCUUGACAAAAUUCUCAAGCGGUUGCAAUGCAAUUACGAUCAUCCUCAGCCUCAGGUAAUUUCUUCUCCUGCUUUGUAUUUAUUUGUUAUCUAAUUAGGAAGCGUAAAGUAUCUUGAAUCAUUUUCUGUAUCUGGAAUAUAUGCAAGAGUUUCUAAAAUUUUGAUAUGAGUGUAAUGAUGGUAAUUUCUGUUUUCUGUCUGUCAUCAAAUGUUAGAAAACUUUCAUUGAGACCCUUGAACCGAGUCAUUUUUGACAAGUGAAGGACAAUUGCUGAAGAGUGGGAAUGGUGCUAGAUUGGGGAAUAAAGACAAAGGAGGUAAAUUAUUUGCAGUUUAUUCAGCAUUAUUUGCUUUGGACCAGCGCCUGAUUCACAAGUCUCCAUAAUUUGGCUUUUGACCAGUUAAUAAAUUUUUAAUUCCAUUGGUGCUAAAUGUACACGUGAAGCAGGCAGAGCAGGACUGUGGAAAUGAGAAGGUUUUUAGUGAAAGCUUAAACUCAGGUAAUUCUAAAAAGUACAUGUUUUUGCUGAUUUAUCUAAAUCAGGAAAUUUUAUUUCCAUCUGUUACAAGAUAAAACAGAAACAGUCAAACAGAACACACAGAAAAAUAUUCUACUUCUUGUGGCAAUCUUGCCUUCAUUCAGACAAUGAAACCAUUUCCUUUCACCAAUUUCUUCCAAAAGUUUGAAUAAGUUUCAUGGUUGGACAUAGUUAGCUUCUUUUUCUUUUGGUGCAUUUAGGUCCUAUCAAGUGACAGCCAUAAGUAUGAUUGCAUUAUUGGAAAAUUUUAGGUUUGGAUGGUUCCCCAUGUUAUUGCCAAGAAAGUCCUCAUGUCAGAAGCUGCGGUUCUUUUCAUCAGCCUGAACCCGAACCUGUCGUUAUGGAUAACUCAGGUUUUUGUCGUCAACUAUAUCAUCUUUUUUACUGUUUUGAAACUCUUAAGAUUAAACUUCAGUAAAGUUGUUUCAGUUAUCCAUGUAAUCCGGCUAAGGAUAUUUAGCAGCUUAUUUAGGCAACUGCCAGAAUUCAGUUUGUUUGCUCGAAACUUGUAUGGUGACAAGGAUACUGGCAAGGAUAGUGAGAUAGUUUUUUGUGUGAGUGAAAUUUGAAAGCUUGGGUGUUCUGGGAUUUGCAAUUGCAAUCAUCCUCUGAGUCAGGUGAUUUCUUCUCCUGCUCUGUCUUGAUUUUCUCUCUAAUUGAAAGCAUAAAGUAUUUCAAUCAAAUUCUGUACCAGGAAUACGUAAAAGUUACUAAUAUUUUAUUUCCAUCUGUUUGCAUUGAUAACUCGGCCGCAUAUGUUCUAGUUAAAGAACAAACAGAAACAGAGUUCAGGAAAAAGUUUCUUCGGCCACCAUAUUUGAAAAUGAAACCAUUUCCAGGAAGCAGUUGGCAGCAAAUUCAUAUGGAGUGUAGACAAUGAUGAGCGAAAAGGUGAUUCGCAAUUUCUUUUUUUUUUUUAAGUGAAAUUAUUUGUUAGAUUGAAGCUGAUAUUGUAAGAAGGCCAUUGAGCUAACCUAUGUCGCCACUUGCCUAGAUUGCAGGGGGUCAAGACUCAAAAGAAGCACUGAAAUUUAAAAAGCAUGCAAUAGUUCUUUUGCCAUGUGUCAAUUAAUGCAAGUUUGAAUAAGUUUAUUGGCUGAACGAUGUUAGCUUCUUUUCCUUUCGUGCACUUUGGUAUGCUAUCAAGUGACAGCCGUAUGUAUGGCUUGCAUAUAGCUGCUGCUGGGAAAAUUGACGAUUUCAUGGCUGGCCGUGUUAUUGUCUUAAAUUAGUUGUGAUAAGCUGUUGCUUGGAGAUUCUGUUGCCAAGACUUUGCUCACAUCAGAAGCUGUGGAAUCUGAACCCUUCGUUAUGUAUCAUCUUUUUCAUUGUUUUAAAACUCUCAGGAUUAAACUUGAGCGAAUUUGUUCGGUUGUCUAUAUAAUCAUGUAUUGAGUAAACUCUCAGGAAACUGAACAUGCAAAUGUUAUAACUCGGGUUGUUAGCCAAAAACUUGUUGAAUAGGGAUUUGGAUUUGUUAGGAAGUUAUCAUUUUUUAUUUUUUAUUUUGUUUUAUUUUUUUAUUUUUUUAUUUUUAUCUUCUGGUGGUGCUAUAUUUUCAAACGACAGUCCGAUUCAAAACUUGAUAUUCCAAUUAUAUUCAUAAGCUUCUAUAGUUAUCUUCAAAAAGACAAAUGGAAGGCUUUGAACGGCUUGGGUCUGAGUAUUGUAGUUUGAUUUAUUUUGAUGAAAGAACCUUUUGACAUUAAGAUUCUUUCAUGAGUUAAACAUUCUUUUUAAAACCAACUUAUUAAAAAAAAGUAACGAACAUAUAUUAUUUUGUUAGUGCUUUUUAAAUCAAAUAUAAAAAAGAGAACUGUAAUUCUUAGCAACCAAUUUUUCACUGAGUACAGCUACAACAAACUAUUAAAAAAUAAAGUGAUAGAAAAUGCCUGAUUUUUCGUACUUUCUAAUUACUUUUGGUCCUAAAAUAUGGCGAUUUGUGUAAUAAUAAGUCCAUGUAUAUCUUUAUGCCAUUAGUUUGAUAAAUAGCUAUCAAGGAUAACUUAUUAAGCUAAAAAUAUUUGAAGGAUAAAAUGAUAAAACUAAAAGGGUGGAGUAAUAUAGUUAUUUAGGAUUACAUAGUAAGUCAACUAUAUUCAAGGGAUAAAAUAUUAAAACUUGAAUAGUGAUAUUAAAAAUAUCUCGGUUAUUAUACUAUUAAAUCAUAUGCCGUAAUAGUAUUUUUUUUCAAACUUUAAAAAAUUCAGGAUUUUAAAUUAAAACAUGGAUUUCUUUAAGAUGCUAUAUAUGUUUUUUAUAGUAUUGAUAUUGGGAUUAGUGUGGACCCUUAGAUGAAAGAGUUUUAAUCUGAAUCAUUCAUUUAAUAUAAUAGAUAAUUAAAUAAUUAAUUAAAAUAUAGCAGGUAACUUAUAGGUUGUAGGUAAAAAAUUAAUUUUUUAAUUUUAAAUUAAAAUUAAUUUGGAAAAAUACCAUCCACACCCCUAAAGUUUACUUAAAUGAUCAUAUAAAUCCCUUUAGUUUCUACAUAGUUAUACAGAGCCUCUUAAUUUCAUAAAUUAUUAUUAUACUUUUAAUUAAAACAACCUAAAUGAAUAUAAAUAUAGUAAUAGGAUAGAAAUAAUAAAUAAAUAUCAGAUGAAACAAAUAAAAUAUUACAAUAAAUACAAUUAAUUAAAUAAUAUGUAUGAUGAAAAUUUUAUUCAUAUUAAGUUAUUAUUAGUCUAUCCCGAUGGAUUUACUCAAAUCAAUUAAUCCAAAAUUUAAUUUUAAGAUUGAUAUUAAUAUGGACAUAAUUAAAUAAGAUGUUGUAAUAUAUACUACUUUGAAUGUUAAGUAUAAUUAUCUAAUAUUAUUAGUAUGUGAAAUAGAUUUUAAUAUUAUUAAAAGAAUAUGACAAUAUAUAAUUUUGAAAUAAAUUUUUUAGUAUUCAUAAUAUUUUAUAAAUUUUAUCUUAUUUUAUAUAUUAUAUUUUUUUAUUUUAAUGUAUUAUAUAUGAUCAUUUAAGCAAAUUUUGGAGGUGCGGUGGUCUUUUCCCUAUUAAUUUUAUAGCAUAUUUAAAGUGUUAUAUCAUACAUCAUACAUCGCACUUUUGUUAAAGUGUUAUGUUAUUAAAAAUUAAACUUUGCAUUUAUAAUAUACUACCAUUUUAAUGUAAAGGUAAUAGAAAAUAUGAAGAUAUUUUUAAGUAGUCAAUUGUAGUUUUCUUUUACAAAAUAGCAGUAUAGAAAUACACACACACACACACACACAUAUCAAGUACUUGUAUGUUCCCCUAACUUUUAUUAAUAGGAAGGAAAUUAAAUUCAUAAUUUUCCCGGUGAAUUAUGAAUUGAUAAAUGAAAUAUAAAUAUUAGAAAAAAUUAAUUUGUCGACUAAAGAAGUAAACCAUAUUUUAUGGGCAUUUAAUACAUUAAUUUAAGGUCAAAUGAGAUAUAUCACAUGAUAUUUGAUAUAGUAGUCCAAUUUUCAACAUUUGCAUAUAGUUUCUAAGCUAGUAAUCUAAUAAAAUAUACCAAAUGAGAAAUUGAAGGCUAUUAUUUAUAUUUCACCAUUGGACAAACACCAUACAUUAGAAUAAAAAAAUCUCACAGUAGAGACGGCAUCUGUUUGCAUGUUUUGAAAAUAGAUUUUGAAAUUAGUUUAAUUACAUGAUAAUUAAAUUAUAUUAUAAAAUUAAGAAUAUGAUUUAAGUACUAUUUUAGCAAUUUUGAGUCUCACAUUGAGUAUUGAAGUUAAUUAAAUGUUGAAACUCUUUUCUAUUUGGCUUGAAAUCACUACUUAAUAAAAUUACAAAAAGUCAAUAAUGAAUGAUGUAGGACACAUAUGUAAAAUAAAUUUUAAAGUGUAAUUAAACAUUCCUAUCAAUAUUAGUUUUGUAUACAUAUUCAUAUAUUUUACUGAAACCAUAUAUAAUUAAAUUUUGUGUAAUUAAGUAAAAUAUAUUAUUCAAGUGAAUUUAUGAGAAUAUGUAAAAUUGUAGGGGUGGUCACUGAAAUUUGCCAAACUUGAGCCAACCGUGCAUGAUCCAAACAGUUUAUUUUAAUAAUUCUCAAUAUGUUAGUCUGUUUGACUGUUGGCAAAAUGAAUUCCUAUCAGCAAUGCAACACAAUUCAAAAUCAUAUCUGCAUACAACGAACAAUAUCUCAUCAAAGAUCAAAUUAUACAUUUUUUACACCAAAGCAUAAAUAUCUAAAUUGUCCCUCUUCAACUCACCAAGCUCAUACCUAACAACAGCAAGAUUAAAUGUCAUUUGAUCCAUCUUUUUUAUUAAGCUUUAUCAAUUCUUCUCAUGGUUGCAAUUUUGAAAGCUCGCUUCGCUAUUUCCAUUUGCUUUUAUGCUUUGUUUGAGCUCCAUCUACAUUUUACACUGUAAAAAAAAUUUAAAAAAAAUUACAAAGCUUCUUAUACUAGAAUAUGAGCAACAAUAUAAAUAAUAAACAAUAAAGUUAUGAUAGCACAGCAUACUCAUUAAAGUGCUUCUUUUUUUUUUUCAGCAAGAAAUUACUACUGAAUUAAAGAAUUGGCUUUGCAUUAAGGUUUGCCUUCAAUAACUCAACUCCCCACUUGGGUUUUGUCGUUUUCUUAAAAUCUCUGCUCAAUCAAUUUAAAGAUCCAUUUUUUUUUUCUUUCCAAAGAUCUAAAAGCAAUGUCUUUUAUUGGUACCCAACAAAAAUGCAAGGUCUGUGAGAAGACAGUUUGUCCAGUUGAACAGUUAUCUACUGAUGGGGUUGUUUAUCACAAGUCUUGCUUCAAGUGCUCUCACUGCAAAGGCACACUCAAGCUAAGCAAUUACUCAUCCCUGGAAGGUGCUCUUUACUGUAAGCCUCACUUUGAGCAGCUUUUGAAGGAGUCGAGUAACUUCAACAAGAAUUUCCAAUUACCUGCAAAGUCAGCUGAGAAGUUAACUCCUGAGCUGAGAAGGUCGCCUAGCAAAGUUGCCAGCAUGUUCUCUGGGCCCAAUAAAAAUGUGCUUCUUGCAGUAAAACAGUGUGUCCGUGGGAGAACGUAGCAGCGGAAAACCAAGCCUCUCACAAGACAUGUUUCAAGUGCUCACAUGGUGGUUAUUCCAUUAGCCCGUCAAAUUACGCAGCCCUAGAAGGCAUCUUGUAUUGCAAACAUAAUUUCUCCCAAUUGUUCAAGGAAAAAGGCAGCUACAACCACCUUAUAUAAAAUCUGCUUCCAUGAAGCGUGCUGCAGUCUCUGUUCAAGAAGCUUGAACAUGUUAUGUUAUCUUCCAUAAAUCUUAUUUGGCGUGGGUUUUCUCUGGCUUGAGGGUGUGCUUUCUAUUUUGAUCCCUCUUGUUGUUUUUGCGGGGAACUACCAAACCUUCGGUUCCCUCUGCUUCUUUGGAUCAUCUUUGUUGGGACAAAUUUCAUGUAAUUAGAGAUACUGAUUUAUGGGAGGCAUAAUCCCAUGGUCGUAAAUUGACCAUUUUCUGGCAAUGUUCUUUUUAAAAAGAGAUGAGCAGUUGUUUAACAAAAAAAAUAGCUGGCCUUCAUCAUGGUAUGUUACCAAACUGCUAUGUAUAGCUGCUAACUAUGAGCAUCCGAAAAUAUGGUGCAUCGUGAUUCAUGUAGUGCAAUAUGGCUACCAACGCAUCCUAAAUGGAGUAUUACUCAGUUAGUCAGCAAAAUAAGACAACAUAACUGAUAUUAAAAAAAUAAAAAAACUACAUUAAUAAGUGGGCAAGAUCAUGCCAGUUUAACUUUUCGCGCGUCGCUGCUGGAGAUAAUCAAAUCGGGGCAGAGAAAAGGAGAAUGGAAUCAGAGGCUAAGAUUAAUAAGUGGGCUUCUGCUUGCUUUGCCCCUCUUUCUUAAACGAUUGGUAGACUGCUGCUUCCACCGAUUAACCGGGUCUUCAACCACUGCUUUUACUGCCUGCCAUCUUGUUGUUUGUCGAAGGGAUGAAUUCGAGUCGAAAAGAGAAAGCGCGCUGAAAAAGAUAAAUCACUAGUGGUUAACUGCUUACUCAGCCAAGUGUUGGCUUCACUUGAUUCACCGAUUGAGGUUAUUUUGUCUUCUAUCUAAUGCAGCGAAGAAGCUUUGCUGCUUAACAUGCUGCAAUGCAACUUUAUCCUUUGAAGUUCACACUUCAGGGCUGCGCACUUUAUGUAAUCCUAUGAGUAAAAAGAAUUUGUUUUCAAAUGUGAAAAAAGAAAAUGUAAGGUAGUAACUAAAUAUUUUAUAGCAUCAAAGCAAUAUUUGAUAUGAAUUUAGUACAACAAAGAACAUCAAAUCUGUGAUUCCUUGUCUAGUGUCACCAUCGAGCAACAAAUUUAAAAGCCUACCUAUCAAAUACACGAGGCAAUAAACGGAGAAAAAGUUGAAUUACAAGAACAAGUUUACAAUUCUUGUCAAUGGUUAAUGAUUUGUGAACUGAGACAGCUUUCAAGAAUCCAAUUUCAAUACAACAACGUAAAAGAUAAACAGAUGAUGAAUUCUAUGAGAUAAAGAAGGAGAUCGUGUUUUAUCGUAUCUCUAUUUUCUUUCUUUUUAAAUUUAAAAUAAGCUUUUCAACCGGUUUGUUAACCGGUUAUAAUAUUUUUUAAAAUAAUUAAAUAUUUUCAUUAUUAAAAAUAAUGUGUACCGUUGAUUACAUCUAACGGUAUAUAUUUCUUACACUACUAAUAUCGUAAAAAAAAAAUACAGCAUCAUAGAGGGACCCUUAAAACAUUUUCAUUUGAAAUUAUUUGGUGAAGUGAAAAAGUUAAGAAAGAAAUAGUUGUCCCUUUGGUCAUUUCACAAAAAUGAAAGCCCCAUAUAACAUGGACUUGAAUGGAAGCCCAAUUGUUGUGUUUGAUUUCAAGCUUUAUCGGACCUUUGGACCUGGAUACUUUACUGCGGCCUCUAAGCGCUACAAAUUUUUUUUUUGGGAUAAAAGGCGCUUCAAUGAAAAAGCACUUUAAAACUUUGGAUUUUGCCAAAACUUCAAAGCGGUUGGUCCGGUUACGGUGUUAUGCUAACGGGUUUAAAGGUUCUGAUCCAAUGAGUUAGGGUGGAAUAUGAAUAUAUAAAUUCCAUAGCAUGUGAGGACUAGGAUUUGUUUGUUCAUAUCAAGAAAAAAGAUCUGAAAAUUUGAUGAUCAGAAGAUAAAAACACUUAAACACGUUUAUUACAGAGAAACAAACGACAACACGAUACUAGUAGUAGUUAUUCUUUUCAUCCGAUAUAUUACAUGGUAAUAUCACCACUCGUUCCACUGGUUUCAUAUACACCAUCGACCAGCAACAUGAUAAUUUUGUGUCAGUUCAUUUUGUUUGUAGGAAAGAGCAGUAUCUUUUUUAGAACUUGAAAAUAAUAAAAAGAUUUUAAAAUAUAAAUUGCAUAUUUGUUUAUUGCUGUUGUUUGGUCUAAUUUCUUACGUAGAAUUGCUUGUCAUUCUUUGUACGUUAUUGAUUAUAUUUUUGUCAGACUUGGCGUAUAUAUUCACAUAUGUUUUAUUUUGUCAUUUUGUAGAACAUUUUUACAUGCCAUAUUAUCACGACUCUUCUGUGUCUGAAUAAGAAGAAAGCAUAAUGCGACCCUCCAACAGCUUAAUCUAUGGAAUUAUCGUGUUUUGUAAGUUGAGGUCCAAUGGCGUUUUGGCACAUCAUAUGAUAGACCACUAUAUUGCGUUGCUUUACAAAAGAUUAAUAUUUUUAAAAUUAUUAGGUAAGUUUAGGCUCAGUGGCACUUUAACUCAUGAUAUGAUAGUCCAGGUUUUCAUCAGCCUGAACAUGGACCUGUCGCCAUGGAUAACUCAGGUUUUUUUUUUUUUAAUCAACUACGUCAUCUUUUCCACUGUUUUGAAACUCUUAAGAUUAAACUUUAGUAAAGUUAUUUUAGUUAUCCAUGUAAUCAAGCUGAGGAUACUUAGCUGCCUAUUUAGGCAAAUGUCAGAAUUUAGUUUGUUCGCUGGGAACUGGUGUGGUGACAGCGUCCUGGCAAAGGAUGAUGAGAUAGUUUUUUGAUUGAGUAAAUUUUGGGAGCUUGAGUGUAUUGGGAUUUGCAAUUACAAUCAUCCUCUGCCUCAGGUGAUUUCUUCUCCUGCCCUGUCGUUGUUUGUUCUCUAAUUCAAAAUUAUAAAAUUUUUCAAUCAAAUUUUAUGCCAGGAAUAUGCAAAAGUUUCUAAUAUUUUAUUUCCAUCUGUUUGCCUUGAUAACUUUGCGGCAUAUGUACUAGUUAAAUCCCUCAAAACGUAAACAAAACUCUGUUGGUAUUGAUUCCUAAGGUGGACCAUCCUACCAGUUUAACGAUGUUUCGGCCUAUAAGUUUAUGCACUGUCGCCUAUAAGACAGUGACUAAAAUUAUUGCCACUCGUUUACAAGAACUAUUACCUGAGCUGAUCGGGCCUCAUCAGACAAGUUUUGUUCCCGGACGACACAUUGUGGACAACAUUGUUAUUGCUCAGGAAGUGGUUCACUCCAUGCGCAGAAAAACUGGUAAAAGAGGGCUUAUGGCUAUUAAGGUGGAUCUCGAGAAGGCAUAUGAUCGGCUGAACUGGUCGUUUAUUUUUGAAACUCUUCAAUUGACAGGGCUCCCGAUUCAAUUAUCUCGGCUCAUCAUGGAAUGUGUUAAAUCAGCUAGCAUGAAUAUUUUGUGGAAUGGCGAGGUAACUGAGGAGUUUUUUCCGGGAAGAGGUAUUCGGCAGGGUGACCCUCUAUCUCCGUAUAUUUUUGUGCUCUGCAUCGAGCGUUUGAGCCAUGGAAUAUCCCAAGCUGUGGGGGAUGGAAGUUGGAAGCCAAUUCGGCUGGCUAAACAUGGCACUCCCCUUACCCACCUUUUUUUUGCUGAUGAUUUGCUUUUAUUUGCAGAAGCUUCGAUUGAUCAAGCUCAUAUCAUUGAUGCGGUUUUGGAGAAUUUUUGUCGAAGUUCUGAAGUAAAGGUUAACAAAGUGAAAACUACAAUUUUCUUUUCGAAGAACGUUGCUGCAAGAGAGGCCAAGCUCAUUGGUGCUGCCUUGGGGGUUUCGAUUACUCAUGAUCUGGGAAGCUAUCUUGGAAUGCCGUUACUUCAUUCGAGGGUGAAUAAAGCUACGUAUCAAUCUAUUUUAGACAAGGUAGACAUAAGGCUCAGUGGCUGGAACGCGGCUCAUUUAUCCUUUGCUGGUCGUGUUACUUUGGCGCAAUCGGUGAUUCAAGCUAUGCCAAUUUAUGCAAUGCAAACGACCAUGCUUCCUGCUUCGGUGCGCCAUAGAAUUGAUAAGAGCUGCCGUAGAUUUAUUUGGGAUGGGAAGUCGAAGAGUCCUAAGAUGUGCAUGGUGGGCUGGGAUAAAAUCUGCUUGCCGAAAUCAAGUGGUGGCUUGGGGUUUAAGAACUUAGAGGUGAUGAAUCAUGCCCUGUUGAUGAAGAUUAGUUGGGGCAUUAUCUCCAACUCAGAUAAGUUAUGGGUGCGGGUUCUCUGUUCCAAAUAUGGAUUGGACCCAUGCAAUUUGCCGUCUUCCCUCCCUGACAAACAAGGUUCGCGUAUCUGGUCUGCUAUAAGAAAAACGUGGAAUGCAACCAUGCAUGGAGCUCGCUGGGCAGUGUGUGAUAGUGCUCGAAUUCGUUUCUGGCUGGACUGUUGGGUGACGAAAUAUGAGCCUUUGAUUCACCUAGCUCUCCAACCGAUCCCUCAGGCCUCUCUCAAUGCUACGGUUAGCGAAUUUACUAAUGAUUAUGGUGGCUGGAGAUGGGCGAGCUUUGAAUUCCUACUGCCCCCUUCUGUUCUUAUGCAGAUUGCCUCGAUCAUGCCACCUGCGCCGCAUCUUGGUCCUGAUAGACUAUAUUGGAGUUAUAAUCCAAGAGGGUUGUUCACAGUCCGAACUGCUUAUGAGUCUCUUUGCUACCAUAACUUAGACACUCAAGAUAAAGUAUGGAAAUUGCCAUGGUCUUGGAAAGGGCCCCAAUCUAUAAAGCUCUUUAUUUGGCAGACUUUGCAUGGCAAAUUGAAGACCCACAGUGAGCUUAAUAGGCGUAAUAUCCCCGUUUCUGAAGUUUGUGUUAGGUGUGGGGUUUCGGCUGAGGGCAUUCUUCAUGCUGUGAGAGAUUGUAGUUGCAUUAAGAAUCUAUGGCUUAGUCUUGUUCCAACCUGUCAUCAACUUGCUUUCUUCCAAUCCAACUUACGUGCAUGGGUUGCUGCCAACAUGCAAAAUACGUGGAAAAUUGAUUCGGAGCUUCCUUGGGAUUGUAUUUUUGGAGUGGCUAUUUGGAGAUUAUGGUUUUGGCGUAAUCAAUUUAUUAUGGCUGGGAAUUUGGUAGAUAGCAAGACAAUAUAUUCGGAUAUUAUGGCCAGAGCUAGUGAGAUCCAUAGAAUUAAUAACUCACAUCUCAGCCCACAACCAAGGCGUAAGGAGAUUUUUAUUGGUUGGUUGCCUCCUCCAUGGCCAUGGUGUAAGUUGAACACAGAUGGUUUCUGUAAACAUACAGGAGCAACUGCAGCGGGUGGGGUUAUUCGCGACUCCGUUGGUAACUGGGUCUCAGGCUUUAGUAUGAAUAUUGGGGAAAGCUCAGUGAUUAUGGCUGAACUUUGGGGCCUGUAUCAAGGAUUGUCCCUCGCCUGGAAUGUUGGAAUUAGACAUCUUUUGGUGGAAGUAGACAGCCUCUGUGUAACUCAGAUGAUUUCUCAACAGAUGGUUGUGCCUAAUGUCUCCUACGCUUUAGUGGUGGCAAUUCGUGAUUUUUUAAACAGAAAUUGGCAGAUUAAUAUCUCGCAUAUCUACCGUGAAGCGAACUCAGCUGCGGAUUUCAUGGCAAAUAUGGCCCAUUUAAUACCGCAUGGUCUACAGUUAUUCUCUAACCCGCCUGUGGGUAUUUAUUCUAUUCUUUCACAAGACAUGUAUGGGGUUUGUCAACCCCGCAUUAUUCCUAUCUAGCUCGCCUUGAUGAGCCCCUUUUAAUAAAAAAAAAAAGAAGAACAAAUCGAAACAGAGCUCAGUUAAAAGUUUCUUCUGCCGUCAUAUUUGAAAAAUGAAACCAUUUCCAGGAAGCAAUGGGCAGCAAAUUCAUAUAAAGCGUAGACAAUGAUGAGUAAAAAGGUAAUUCACAAUUUCACUUUUUUUUUAAUGAAAUUAAUUGUUUGGUUGGAGAGGAUAUUGUUAGAAGGCCAUUGAGCUAACCUAUGUCACUACUUGCCUAGAUUGCAGGGGGUCAAAACUCAAAAGAGGCAUUGAUUUUAAAAGGCAUCCAAUAAUUCUUGUGGCCAUAUAUCAAUUCAUGUAAGUUUGAUUGUAAUUAUUGGUGAAGGGGUUUCACUUCCCGUCUCUAAAUAAAAAUACUGAUUCUUUAAGGUACAUGCCACUAGGGAUUGCGAGAUUAACGAGUCUUUGGACAUUGGAAGAGCUCCUUGUGAGUGGAGGAGGAGGUGUUGAUGGUAGCAAAGCAUGUGGGCAGUGGGCUUGAAUCUCUUAAAAACUCGGAACUCCUCCAAGCGUAAGUAUACGUAUACUGGGAAAUGUGUUAGAUGUGGAUGAGGCUAAGAGAUUAGAGCUUGACAAAAUGAAAUACCUCUUUCAUUGAGACUUAAAUUUGAUGGGGAAGAAGAAAAAGAAGAGGGAAGGAGGAAGAAUGAGGAUAAUCAACUUGUUCUUGAAGCCUUGCAACCACCUCUGAAUUUGAAGGAAUUAGAGAUUUGGUCAUACAGAGGCAACAUUUGUUUUCAAAUGUGAAAAAAGAAAAUGUAAGGUAGUAAUUAAAUAUAUUAUAGCAUCAAAGCAAGAUUUGAUAUGAAUUUAAUACAACAAAGAACAUCAAAUCUGUGAUUCCUUGUCUAAUGUCACCAUCGAGCAACAAAUUUAAAAGCCUACCUAUCAAAUACACGAGGCAAUAAACGGAGAAAAAGUUGAAUUACAAGAACAAGUUUACAAUUCUUGUCAAUGGUUAAUGAUUCGUGAACUCGGACAGCAUUCAAGAGUCUAAUUUCAAUACAACAACGUAAAAGAUAAACAGAUGAUGAAUUUUAUGAGAUAAAGAAGGAGAUCGUGUUUUAUCGUAUCUCUAUUUUCUUUCUUUUUAAAUUUAAAAUAAGCUUUUCAACCGGUUUGUUAACCGGUUAUAAUAUUUUUUAAAAUAAUUAAAUAUUUUCAUUAUUAAAAAUAAUGUGUACCGUUGAUUACAUCUAACGGUAUAUAUUUCUUACACUACUAAUACCGUAAAAAAAAAAUACGGCAUCAUAGAGGGACCUUAAAACAUUUUCAUUUGAAAUUAUUUGGUGAAGUGAAAAAGUUAAGAAAGAAAUAGUUGUCCCUUUGGUCAUUUCACGAAAAUGAAAGCCCCAUAUAACAUGGACUUGAAUGGAAGCCCAAUUGUUGUGUUUGAUUUCAAGCUUUAUCGGACCUUUGGACCUGGAUACUUUACUGCGGCCUCUAAGCGCUAUAAAUUUUUUUUUGGGAUAAAAGGCGCUUCAAUGAAAAAGCACUUUAAAACUUUGGAUUUUGCCAAAACUUCAAAGCGGUUGGUCCAGUUACGGUGUUAUGCUAACGGUUUUAAAGGUUCGGAUCCAAUGAGUUAGGGUGGAAUAUGAAUAUAUAAAUUCCAUAGCAUGUAAGGACUAGGAUUUGUUUGUUCAUAUCAAGAAAAAAGAUCUGAAAAUUUGAUGAUCAGAAGAUAAAAACACUUAAACACGUUUAUUACUGAGAAACAAACGACAACACGAUACUAGUAGUAGUUAUUCUUUUCAUCCGAUAUAUUACAUGGUAAUAUCACUACUCGUUCCACUGGUUUCAUAUACACCAUCGACCAGCAACAUGAUAAUUUUGUGUCAGUUCAUUUUGUUUGUAGGAAAGAGCAGUGUAUUUCUUAGAGCUUGAAAAUAAUAAAAAGAUUUUAAAAUAUAAAUUGCAUAUUUGUUUAUUACUGUUGUUUGGUCUAAUUUCUUAUGUAGAAUUUUCAGAAUCUGUAGGACGUUAAUUUAUAACUUUGGUAAUUUAAUUAUUUUCUUUUUAUUAAUGUCCGGACAAAAAAUUAUUAUAAAAGGGUAAUAUUGUAAAAGUAAGCCAAAAUAAAUAACAAAUAACGAUAAGAGUAUCAAUAUUUUAAUAGCAGGGAUAUUUCGAGAUAUUUUUAAAAAUACAGAGACUAACUGGACAUUAAUCUUAAAAUAUAAGGACUAAAUGAGCUUUUACCCUUUUUAUAAUCCACACCAUCCUGAUAUAAUUAAACACCAUUAAUAAUGUACCAGCCUUUUAAUAGUAAUUAAUUUAUUUAGUUGGCCACCUAAAAGAAUCCUGCAGGAAAUACUAGUUAAAAAAUUUAUUAAAUUUGAUUACCUCUGUAUCAUUAUAUAUAUAAAGACUGAAAUCCAAAUGAAAUAUUUUAUCAUUCAUUCAGCAAACACUUAUAAAACACAAAUAGUGAAUCUAUGCAUUGACAAUGUGGAUUAAGAAUUAUAACACAUGAAUUCAAACAUACCCUCGUGAAGUUAAGAAUAAGUUCAUACUUCAAAUGAUUUUUUUAGCUAAUAAAGCAAUCACUUUCAUUAAACGACAGUGUUGAAGGAAUUGUGCAAUUUUUUACGUUCUUUUCUAGACAGACGUUACAGAGAUGGGGAAAGUAGAGGACUGGCCUCAGAUAUCUCACAAUUAUUAUUCUUUUUCAUUGUUAUAAUAAUAAUUUUUUUCUUUUGACAGUUCUGCAGGACAAGUGAUCAGAGCUCAAUGAAUAUAUCCGUGGAGGGUGAACUUAGGUUGAUGUCAAAAGAGGUAAAUGAAUUGGCCUGUUUAUAUAUAUAUAUAUAUAUAUAUAUAUAUAUAUAUAUAUAUAUAUAUAUAUAUAUAUAUAUAUAUAUAUAUAUAUAUCAUAUAUAUAUAUAUAGAGAGAAAUGUUCCAGUCAGGAAUUUUAAAGUGCAGGAAAGUACGGGAAACCUUUAAAACCGCAUGGUUUUAAAGGCUUAAAACUGUAAGCCUUUAAAGCNNNNNNNNNNNNNNNNNNNNNNNNNNNNNNNNNNNNNNNNNNNNNNNNNNNNNNNNNNNNNNNNNNNNNNNNNNNNNNNNNNNNNNNNNNNNNNNNNNNNAGAAUUUCUCUGUUAAUAUAUAUAUAUAUAUAUAUAUAUAUAUAUAUAUAUAUCAUAUGAUGCAGGCCACAGCAGAGCAGGAUUAUGAAAAAGAGAAGCUUAUUAAUAAGUGUUUACUUGCUUUUGAAAUAUAUAUAUAUAUAUAUAUAUAUAUUUCAAAUUCAAGUUUACUUGCUUUUAUAUAAUAAGUGUUUUGGCCGAUUUAUCUAAUUCACCAAAUGUCAUUUCCGGUACAUAUCUCCAUUGGUAUCAAGAAGAGGCAGAACCCAAAGAAACGUUUCUUGCAUCUUCAUAUUUAUGCGAAUUCAUCCUUUCAUUGAGAAUAACCAUUUCCAGCCGGCAGUUGGCAAUCAAUACGCACGUCGAUGCUAUUCAUAGAUAUUAAAGACAAUGAUGAACCAAAGGUGAUAAAUCAUAAAUGUAUAAUUACCAAACAUCCAUCCUUCUCUCAUUAUGAUUUGAUUUUAAAUGAAUUAUUGCUUGGUAACAUUAUUUCCAACCAUUGCAAGAUUAUUAUUAUUAUUUUUUUUUGGGAGAAAUUUCAAUUGAAAGUGAAACCUUUAGACAUUUACCUAAUGAAGUUAGUUACUCGGGAGGGUGGAAAAAAAAAAGUUGACGCAAGUCAAUACACAAUAAUUAAUUAAAUCCGGAGUGACUAAAACAGAGCCACUACUUUUUCAAAAAUAUCUGCAUUCAUCACUUUCUCCAGCAGCUAGUCAGCUACACACGAAUCAAUUUCUCUCCUCGUUUGUCAUCCAAAAUUAUUCACCAAUACCAUGGUUGAUGCCGUCGUUUCCACUAUCUUGGAGCAGCUGAUUUCCUUCGCUGCUGAAGAGAUAAAACAACAGGUGAUCGAAGUUACACCCCUCAUAUUACAAAUACUUCCAAUGAUUUUAAUAAAUUUUGUUUUUAUCAAAAACAUUAUAUAUUUUUGCUUUAUUUUAUUUAUCUGGUAAUUUUAGAUUUUGAAAUUUGAAUUGAAUUUAAUUAAAAGGUGAUGUAGUUAGUAACCACUUAUUUUUAUUUUAUUUCAUUUAUAUUCUCAAUAACUACUCAUAUUUUGGUAACUUACUAUAACUUUCAUAUCUAAGAAAUGAUCAAAACCCACAAUUUUAACUCAGCACGAAUAUUCAACGUUGAGUCAUUAAUUCUAAACUCAGCACUGAAUCCCAUAGCUAUUACUUAGACUCUAUGAAAAAUUUCAUAGUUUUCUUACGUUCUUUGAGUUUGGUAAGUGAUUUCGUAUAAUUUCUUUUCAAGUUAAAUUUUAAUUUGGUUUAUGAUAUAGUCUCUGUGCCGAAUUGUAUCUUUUAUGAUUCUUGGAUUUUGGGCUUCAACUUUUUAGGAUUUGAUAGUCAUAUAUUUAUGCCAUGCUCAGAUUGAUUUUCAUGAUUUUUAGUAGCCGUUAAGUGACUUACAAUUUGACGAAAGUUUGAAAGGAAAAAUGUUUCAGGAUUCUGUUUUAAUUUACCUUUUAGUAGAAAUAGGAUGCUUAUAACUUAAUGUGGAUGGUUCGUAAAAUCAUGAAAUUUGGAUAGGAUUCACUAGAAAUAUGUACAAGACUCUCCAUAAAGUUUCAUAAUUUUUCAUUCGGUAUGGGGUGGUACAGGUGAAACUUGUGGUUGGUGUUGAAAAAGAAGUGAAAAGCCUUACCAGCCACCUUGAAGCCAUUCAAGUUGUGCUCGAUGAUGCAGAGGAAAAGCAAGUGAAGGACAAAGCUGUUAGUCUUUGGCUGGGUAGGCUCAAGUACGCAUCCUACGACAUUGAAGAUGUGUUGGAUGAGUGGAUCACAGCAAGACGCAAAUUGCAAAUUGAGGGUGGCGUUGAUGAAAAUGCUCUUGUUGUUCCUCAUAAGAAAAAGAAGGUAUGUCUCUGCUUUCCCGGCUCUUGUUUUGGAUUCAAACAAGAAGAAUUUGGUUUCAAACAAGUCUUUCUCCGUCAUGACAUUGCCGACAAGAUCAAAGAAAUCAAUGAAGAGCUACAUGAUAUUGCCGCUCAAAAAGACAUGUUUGAUCUUGUUAAGAGUGGCAAUAAAAGUAGUGAAAGACCAAGGCGUGUACAGAGUACCUCCUUGAUUGAUGAGGAAGAGAUUUGUGGUAGAGUUGGUGAGAGGAAUGAACUCAUAAGCAAGCUGUUGCGUGAGAGUAGCGAGCAACAAAAAGGCCUCCAUAUCAUCUCAAUUGUUGGUAUGGGAGGCAUAGGGAAAACUACUCUUACACAACUAGCUUGUAAUCAUGAUGAGGUGAAGAGAAAGUUCGACAAAAUUCUGUGGGUGUGUGUAUCAGAAACUUUUGAGGAGUUUAUGGUAGCCAAAGCGAUCGUUGAAGUUUUGGAUGGUCGUGAAUCUCAUUUAGCUGAAUUCCAUUCUCUUCUUCAACAUAUUUAUGAAUCAAUUGCAGGGAAGAGCUUUCUUCUUGUCUUAGAUGAUGUGUGGGAUGGAAAUUACUUGAAAUGGGAACCAUUCUACCGUUGUCUAAAGAAUGGUCUCCAUGGAAGUAAAAUUUUAGUUACCACACGUAGUGGGUCUGUUGCAUCCACGAUGGGAUCCACAGAUAUUAUCUCCGUCAAGGAGUUAGCUGAAGAGGAAUGUUGGUUGUUGUUUAAAAAGAUAGCAUUUUUUGAUCGGUCCAUCGAGGAACGUGAAAAAUUAGAACAAAUUGGGCAAAGAAUUGUAGGCAAGUGCAAAGGUUUACCUCUUGCAGCAAAGACAAUAGGGAGUCUCAUGCGUUCUAAACAAACUGAAGAAGAGUGGAAAAGAAUUUUAAAUAGUGAUUUAUGGAAAGUAGAAGAGAUUGAGAAAGAUGUUUUGUCCUCUUUAUUGUUGAGUUAUAAUGAUUUGCCAUCUAGAGUAAAAAGAUGUUUUUCAUAUUGUGCUGUCUUUCCAAAAGACUACGAUAUAAAAAAAGACGAACUAAUCACAUUAUGGAUGGCUCAAGGUUAUCUUAGUGCGGAACAAGAUGAAGAGAUGGAGACAGUAGGUGAAGAGUAUUUUGGCAUCUUAGCUUCUCGCUUGUUUUUUCAAGAGUUUAAGAAAAGUUAUGAUAAUCGUAUUAUAGAGUGCAAGAUGCAUGGUAUGGUACAUGAUUUUGCCCGAUUUGUAAGUCAAAAUGAAUGUUUUUCGAUGGCAAUUAAUGGUAGUGAAGAACCAAACGCCACAAACUCUCUUGAUGAGAAGGUCCGUCAUUUAAUGUUAAUCUUUAGUAAAGGGGCUUCAUUACCUGUUUCCACUCGUAGAGUUAAAAGAAUGCGUACCCUCGUAAUUAACGAUAGUAGAUCAUUAAAUGGCGAGAUCCUAGAAGAAUUAUUUAGGGAAUUGACAAGUUUAAGGGCAUUAGAUUAUGGCGGAUCGCCCCACUCAAGGCCGUUGUUGACUGCGGAGGUUCCAAGAAACAUAGAAAAGCUGGUACAUUUGAGAUACCUUAAUUUGUCUUUUCAGAAAAUAGUGAAACUACCGGAGACAUUGUGCGAGUUGUAUAAUCUAGAAAAGUUAGAUAUUAGUUGUUGUUUGUAUCUUAGAGAAUUACCUGAAGGGAUUGGGAAGUUAAUAAACAUGAAGCAUUUACGAAAUAGAGGUACUAGUUCUUUAAGGUACAUGCCAGUAGGGACUGGGAGAUUAACGGGUCUUAGGACCUUGGGUCAGUUCCAGGUGAGUGCAGGAGGAGGUGUUGAUGGUAGGAAAGCAUGUAGGCUUGAAUCUCUUAAAAAAUUGGAACACCUUCAAGUAUGUGGUAUACGUAGACUGGGUGAUGUAUCAGAUGUGGGCGAGGCUAAGCGAUUAGAACUUGACAAAAAGAAAUACCUCUUCAGUUUGACCCUUGAGUUUGAUAAGAAGGAAAGAGGAGGAGAAACGAGGAAGAACGAGGACGAUCAACUUCUUCUUGAAGCCCUGCGACCACCUCUGGAUUUAAAGGAAUUAGUGAUACGGUACUACCGAGGCAACACUGUUUUCCCCAGCUGGAUGACGUCAUUAAUCAACUUAAAGAGUUUAGAUCUCUCUUCCUGCGAAAAUUGCGAGCAGCUGCCUCCUUUGGGAAAAUUGCCGUCCCUUGAAAAACUCGGCCUAUCGGACAUGAAGAGUGUGAAAAGAGUGGGUGAUGAAUUUUUGGGGAUAGAAAGUGAUCAUCAUGGCUCAUCUUCAUCUUCAUCGGUUAUUAUUGCCUUCCCCAAAUUGAAAUCACUCUCAAUUGAGUUUCUGCGCGAAUUGGAGGAGUGGGAUUAUGGGAUUACAAGAACGGGAAACACCGUCAUCAACAUCAUGCCACGUCUUUCUUCAUUGACAAUUGUUGAUUGCACCAAAUUAAAGGCACUGCCCAACCACAUUCAUCAAACGACAACGUUGAAGGAAUUGUGCAUUGUGGAUUGUGAGCUUCUGGAAGAACGUUACCGCAAGGGGGAAGGAGAAGACUGGCCUAAGAUAUCACACAUUCCCAACAUAGAUAUUUUUUAAGAAGGAUUUGCGCAUUCGAGAUUUGGCGUUGACAAGUAAUUUCUUCUCUUACUCUGAUUUGCUUUGUUGUUGUUUUUAAUCUAAUUAAGAAGCGUAAAUAGCAUUUUGAAUCAAACUCUAUAUCCGAAAUCUGCAAUACAUACUUUCUAAUAUUCUGAUUUUCAUAUCCUACCAUUUUUAAUUUGUGAGAUGGGUAACGUUACUGUAAAAGAUUAUUAAUGGAACAUGAGUAAUUCUUUUGCAGGACAAGUGACCUACAUUUAGUUUGGCUUUGGAGUUGAAUAAUAACCUUUCAAGGCCAGGACCCAAAAGCAGGAAAAACAAAAAAAGGAACGAAGCUUAAUUUUGCCACAGAUUACAUGUAUUGCCAUUAUUGACAAGUUUCUGGACAAGUGAUCAAGGGUGAGAGUGGUGCUACAACAUUGAAUAAAGCAGUCGUGACUGAAUUUAGGUUGUGUCAAAAGUGGUAAAUUAUUUGCAUGUGUAGCUAAUUUGACCAUUUCCUGAUCUAUAAGUCUAUAUUAAUUUUGAUUUUUAGUUGAGUGAUUACAUUUCAAGGUUUGCUUACUUAACAGGGCGACCAAUUUCUUUUAACUAAAUGUAUUAUAUGAUGCAGGAAGCAAGGCAGGAUAUGAAAUAAGAAGCUUAUUAAUGGCAGUUGGCAGUGAAUGGAGGCCCUUGACUAAAUUCUCAAGCGGUUGCACUGCAAUUACGCUUAUCCGUAGCCUCAGGUAAUUUCUUCUUCUGCAUUUUUGUAAUUUGUUAUCUAAUUAAGGGGCGUGAGCUAUUUUGAAUCAAAUUCUAUAUCAGGAAUAUAUGCAACAUUUUUUAAAAUUUUGAUAUGAGAGUAAUGAUGGUAAUUUCUCUUUUUUGUCUGUCAUCGAAUGUUAAAUAACAUUCACUAAGACUCUUGAGAGUCAUUUUUUGACAAUUGCAGGACAAGCGACGAAGAGUGAGAAUGGUGUUAGAUUGGGGAUUGAGGCAAAAGGAGGUAAAUUAUUGGCAGAGAAUUUGGGAGCUUGAGUGUACAGGGAUUUGCAAUUACAAUCUUACUCUGCCUUAGGUGAUUUCUUCUCCUGCUUUGUCAUUGGUUGUUCUCUAGUUGAAAAGCAUAAAGUAUUUCAAUCAAAUUCUAUACCAAGAAUAUGCAAAACUUUAUUUCCAUCUGUUUGCAUUGAUAACUUUGCGGCAUAUGCGCUAGUUAAAGAACAAACAGAAACAGAGGUCAGGAACAAGUUUCCUCUGCCGUCAUAUUUGAAAAUGCAACCAUUUCCGGGAAGUAGUUGGCAGCAAAUUCAUAUAAAGUGUAGACAAUAAUGAGCAAAAAGGUGAUUCACAAUUUUAUUUUUUUUAAAUUAAUUGUUAGGUUGGAGUUGUUAAAAGGCCAUUGAGCUAACCUAUGUCAUUAGUUACCUAGAUUGCAGGGGGUCCCGAGACUCCAAAGAAGCAUUGAAUUUUAAAAGGCAUGCAAUAAUUCUUGUGGGCGUAUGAGUUUGAUUUAGAAUCAAACUCUAGAUCAGAAAUCUGCAAUGCAUAUUUUCUAAUAUUCUGAUUUUCAUAUCCUACUAUUUUUAAUUUGUGAGAUGGGUAACGUUACUGUAAAAGAUUAUUAAUGUAAUAUGAGUAAUUCUUUUGCAGGACAAGUGACCUACAUUUAGUUUGGCUUUGGAGUUGAAUAAUAACCUUUCGAGGUCAGGACAACAAAAAAAUGAAUCUUAAUUUGCCACAGAUUGCACUUAUUGCCAUUAUUGACAAAUUUCUUCACAAGGGAUCAAGGGCGAGGAUGUUGAUAGAAUAUUGAAUAAAGCUGCCGUGACUGAACUUACGUUGAUGUCAAAAGAGGUAAAUUAUUGGCAUGCCUGACUAUUUUGACCAUUACAUGAACAUGAGUUUACAUUAAUUUUGAUUUUGAGUUGAGUGACUUUUUAAGGUUUGCUUACUUAACCGGGUGAUGUGAUGCAGGAAGCAGGGCAGGAUAUGAAAUGAGAAGCGUAUUAGUGGAAGUAUUGCCAGUAACAGAACCCAAAAAAAAGUGGAACCAUUUUAAGGCAGCAGUUGGCAGUUGGGAGUGAAUGGAGGCCCUUGACAAAAUUCUCAAGCAGUUGCAAUGCAAUUACGAUCAUCCUCAGCCUCAGGUAAUUUCUUCUCCUGCUUUGUUGUUAUUUGUUACCUAAUUAAGAAGCAUAAAGUAUCUUGAAUCAUUUUCUGUAUCUGGAAUAUAUGCAACAGUCUCUAAAAUUUUGAUGACUGUAAUGAUUGUAGUUUCUGCUUUCUGUCCGACAUCGAAUGUAAGACGACUUUAUUAAGACUCUUGAACCGAGACAUUUUUGACAAUUGAAGGGCAAGUGCUGAAGAGUGGGAAUGGUGCUAGAUUGGGGAAUAAAGCAAAAGGAGGUAAAUUAUUGGUAGUUUCUGCAGCCUUGUUUUCUUUGAAUCAGCACCUGAUUCACAAGACUCCAUUAAUUUGGCUUUUGAUGAGCUGAGUGAUAAAUUUUCAAUUUCUUUGGUGCUAAAUGUAUGUGUGAAGCAGGUAGCAGGGCAUGACUGUGGAAAAGAGAAGAUUUUAGUGAAAGCUGAAACUCAGAUAAUUCUACAUUUAUCUAAUUCACGAAAUUUUAUUUCCAUCUGUUACAAGAUCAAACUGAAGCAGAACUCAAAGAAAGUAAUCUACUUCUUGCGGCAAUCUUGCCUUCGCUCAGAUUAUGAAACCAUUUCCAUGCACCAAAUUCAUCCAAAAGUUUGAAUAAGUUUCAUGGUUGGACACUGUUGGCUUCUUUUUCUUUUGGGGUGCAUUUUGGUGCUACCAAGUGACAGCUGCAAGUAUGAUUGCACUAACCUGCUGCUGGGAAAUUUGAGGUUUUGAUGGCUGCCCAUGUUAUUGUCAAGAAACUCCUCAUGUAAGAAGCUGUGGUUCUUUUCAUCAGCUUGAACCUGAAACUGUUGCUAUGGAUAACUCACGUUUUUAUUCUCAACUAUAUCAUCUUUUUUAGUGUUUUGAAACUCUUAAGAUUAAACUUUGGUAAAAUGUUUUCAGUUAUCCAUGUAAUCAGGCUGAGGAUAAUUUAGUAAAGUUGUUUCCGCUAUUCAAAUGAAAAACCCCAUUGAUUUUAACCAUGAUAAAGCUAAUGUUCCCAAUGAUUACUGCAGGUGAGACUUGUGAAGAGGGUGAGUGAGGCAACUGCUAAAAUUCCUGGCUGGGAUACAGUAACUAGAGGCUGAGAUCAGGUGGUGGAAUUUUUUGUUCCGUGGAUGAUACCAGAAUUGUCCAGAAAAGAUUUGUUGAUACUAAUUACAGAUGAUAGAAAGAGGUAUAGGUGGAGAAGAGAAAUCUGCGAGUCAAAUUAGGGAUAAUUGAUUCUGAUACUAGUUAUAUUGAAAAUAAUAAUAACAAUUGCAUGAAGAUAGUCAAUAUUCUUCUCUAGAUAUAUUGUAUGGACUUCCUUGCUGCCUUUAUCUAUGUGCAUGUUGACUAAAGCUAAUCUAGAAUCAAUAGAGAGGGAUAUUUAUCUAUUUUGUUUAACAUAAGAGUGCUGUAUAAUUUUUCACUAAAUACACCUACAACAAACUAUUAAUAAUAAAGUGAUAGAAGAAUGCCUAAAAUAUAGGUAUUAAUGUCAUAAUAAGCCCAUGUGGAUCUCAGUGCCGCAAGUUCGAUAAAUGGCUAUCAAGGAUUGCUUAUUAAGUCAAAAUAUUCAAAGGACAAAAUGGUAAAACUAUAAGGGUGGAGUAAUAUGGCUAUCUUGGGUUACAUAGUAAGUCAACUACAUUCAAAGUAUAAAAUAUUAGAACCUGAACGGCGGAGUAGUCGUCGUUAGAACCUGAACGGCGGAGUAAUCGUCGUUAGAAUCUGAAUGAUAUGUCUAAGACGUUGCAUGCAUCUAGAAAAUUGCAGAUGAUUAGACCUUGCCAUCUAUGCGUUGUAUGAGGUUAUAGCAACUAUCUAUCUGGUCACCGUUUUCAAGUCUCAAUUGGUAGUCCAAACUCCAAAGAAAAGAAUGAUUCUACAAUAGCAUUAAGUGUUAAUUGGACACAAAAAGAAAUGUUUUAACCACUUUAAGGAAAGUAAAUGUAAUUUUGUGUCCUAAAGAAAAGGUAAAUGUAUGCACUGUCAAUUAAUCUUUGGUCGACCAGCAACAUCAUAAUUUUGUGUAGGUUCAUUUUUGUUUCUUAGAGUUUGUAAAAAGAAUGGGAAGAUUUUAAAAUAUAAAUUUCAUAUCUGUUUAUUACUGUUGUUUGGUCUAAUUUCUUAUGUAGAAUUUUCAGAAUCUGUAGGACAUUAGUUUAUAAUUUUGAGAUUUUGCAGCCAUAAAUGUUUUUUUUUUCUUUUUUCUUUCUUUUUUUUUUUGUUGGCAUUUUAUUUUGCUCCUUUAUCUAUGUGCAUGUUGACUGGCUGCAGUGAGUGAAAAUUUACCCAUAUAUGCUGGCUAUUCUUGGACAAUAUUAGAGAAAAUAAUCAUAUUAUUUCGCUUGAUGUGAACUUCCAUAACUUAUCAAUUGAAUUGCUGUAAAAUAUUAAAUAGUUUUAUUUUUCUUUUAUCGUGUAACUUGGACCAAAAAAGGAAAUGAGUUUAACACGACCCUCAUUCUGCUUCUUGCUUUGGUUUCAAACAAGUCUUUCUCCUUUAUGACAUUUAUUGUAAUUUCAUUUGGAGACAUAUAUCUGUCGUUCAAAUAUAUUUCAUACGUAAGCUGUUAAUAAUUCUGCUUGCAGAAAGCCUACAAAGCAGCUGUGUGAUGUAAUAGAAGACCAUAGUCUCGUCAAUUUUUCAACAUUAGAUAUUCAGGUCAUCAGCUUCUCAUGAAUUCUUUCCUGAGUUUCUUUGAAUUAUUUGUGAUGUAAUAACUUGUGCAUUUGAGAAACUGUUCUCAUGAAUUCUUUCCUGAGUUUCUUUGAAUUAUUUGUGAAUAAGUUCCUAAUCGGCUGCUUCUCCUCAGGAUAAGGAAAGUGUUGCAAACUGGUGAAGCAGCUGAUAGAUAAAAGCAAUGGGUACAUCUUUGCUGGCAUGGAUCGAUGCCAGUGCGGUUGAAUUCAGCAAGACUGCCGUUCGUGAUGUUGUUGAUUGGGAUUACAUUAAGGAUGAUGACAACAUUGAUUAAAAUGGGACGUGAAGAUAUAUGGUGUGCAAAUUAACCCAACCCAACCAAACCCGUACAUUUUAUCAACCCAACCCAACCCAACCCGUAAAAAAUCACACGGAUUAGGUUGGUUUCACGGAUUGGGCGGGUUAAUUCUAAUUUCUUUAUAAGUUUACCAAAAUUAGAUCUGCUUACCUUUGUUCAUUCAGCAACAACACUUACAAUUCACAGCUAGAGAAUCUAUCCAUUGACAAUUGUGGAUUAAAAUUAUAACACCUGAAUUCAAACAUAUCCUUAUGAAGUUAUGAAUUUGUUCAUACUUCAAAUGAUUUUUUUUUUCCAAGCUAAUAAAGCAACGACUUUGAUCAAACGACGACGUUGAAGGAAUUACGUAUUUUCAAUGUCCUUUGCCAGACAGACGCUGGAGAGAGGGAAAGGAGAAGACUGGCCUAAUUAAGAUAUCUCACAAAGAUUAUUAUUGAGUUAAAAUGUUAUUGUAAAAGAUGUUUAAUACAAUAAUAGUACUUCUUUUGCAUUGUUAUAAUGAGGCUGGCGGGUUUCCUCAGAGGAUGGAUCUGGCUCGCUAGUAUGCAUUUGGGAAGCUGCUAAUUAUCGGCCAUAAAAAGUCAGGGGGUUGUGGCUCGUCCGUCGCCCAGAAAUUCCUAAACUCAUAUAUCAAACUUCAGAUGAACUUGGGCAUUAUGUAAAUAUGUAUUUUUGAGAAUUAAACUAGUGCGUUAGAAAAAUUUUGAGCCAUUGUAAUCAUUUUAUUUUGCUAAGAGAAAAUUUUACUCUGUGUUUCGCUUUGCCUUUUGUUUUUUCUGUGAUAAUAUGAUUCAUACGAAUGUGAUUACACACUAUCAUGCAUCUAUUUUCAUUUGCUUGUCAUGAAUGAUCAACAUGCUCGAAAUAUUUAUUUAGGUUGGAAAUAUUUAAAUCUAUUAAAAUACUAUACACACCCAUUUAAAAAUAAAAAUAUGAUUAUCAUAAUGAUCGCGAAGAUAACACGAUAUCAUACAUAAAAUAAAAUAUUUCGCAAAAAAGAAAAGAUACACUUGAAUACAUUGGUAUAAAAAAUAUUUUAGUGGAUUCAAGUAGCACUAAUGCCCCCUUAUCAAAAAAUAUAUAAAGAUAACUAAUCUGAUUGGGUAUACCGUGUGUGUGUGUAAUAUUUUUUGAUAUUAUUAUAUAAUAUUUUUUAAAAAGAAGAGAGUGGGCAAAGUCCAAAUCAAUUUUCUAAUCCCUAUCUCCUUUAGGAUUUCUAGUCAAAGAGGCUAAAUUGCACGAAAUUGUGCUAGCUUAUUUGAUUUUAAAAUUUUCCAAUGCACUGUAACACACUCUCAUGCUUGUACAUAGCUCGAAAAUCUCUAGAAUUUACCAGAGUAGUGUACCAUGUAGCUUGUACAUAGGUUUUUCUGGAACACUCCAAGCGUUACUAAGCAUAAGAGCUUUGAGAACUCUCUAGACAUAAAACAUUCAAGGGUAGGCCUACCCUAAAAAUAGGGCAUGAUGAUUGCCAUUUGAGCAUACAAGAAGUAAGAACAAAUCAAGUAUAUUUGUAAGCUCCCAAACUCUCUCGUACACACUCUUGUGAAUAAUAUGCUUUCUCUUUGACUACAUUACUCUCUCUUCUCUCUAGUUUUUUUCGUAAGUAUCAUAGCUUAGCUAGUCGAAAAGUUCAAGUAGGAAUGAUAAUUUUUCCUGACAGGAUGUGGGAUCCCAUCUCAUUUGGGACGGGAUUGGGACACAUUUUUAUCCCACAAAAAAAUAUAGGGACGGGAGUAGAAAUUUUUUUAUCCCACUUGUAUAUAUGGGACAGGACUGAGAUUAACAAAUUCAGUCUCGUCCCGUCCCGUCUCAUUACCAACUAGGGAUGGAAAUUUUUCCAAUUGGGAUGGGCUCUCGCAGAAUCCCAUUUAUUUUGGGAUGCAAUUGAGACAUAUUUUUAUCCCAAAAAAAUAUAUCGAGAGUGAGACUUUUUUUUAUCCCACUUGCAUAUUCGGGACGAGACUGAGAUUAGUAAAUCUCACCCUAUCCCAUCCCAUUGCCAACCCUAAGUUCAAGGCUUACUUUGCAAUUAUCUCAUAAAAGUUGUUUUAAGUACCACAGGAGUUUGUUGUGCAAAAUACUCAUCCCGUGACAUUAGCUAAAUAAAAUUAUUUGAAAGCCACUUACCCAAACUAUUAAACAAAUAUUAUUCUUUUAAUAUGUAAUCUUUUAAUAUAAAACUUUUGUCUUAAUUUUCUAUCUCCUACAAUAAAUUUUAUGAUUUUAAAAAUUGAAAAAAUUAGUAACUUUUAGAUAGAGCAUUCCUUACUGUGAAAAGAAAUAUGAAUGGUAAUAUAAAACUUACUUAUUAUAGUAUAAUGCUUUUAGUUUUUUGAAAUAUAGGUUCUUAUUUUUUUCAAGAUAAAGUUCAAAGAAAACAAGUUAAAUGUUGUGGAAAAUCUUACGCACAUACAAUAAAUUAUGACAGCUAAAUGCAAACCUGGCUGAAGUAUUAGUUGUUUUAUUACAGAGACAAAAGGACAAUAUCACUAUCCAAGUCAAAAGCAACUCAAUGUGAGUCUUAGGGCACUCGCAGUGAAUCCCAAGAUAAACUAAUUUCACUAGCAAGUUGGAUACCAAAGAGUAAGGCUUCAGCCUCAAUUAUAUUAACAUUAGCUGAGUAAACAUUAAAUACCACAAUCAAUCUCAGAAAUCAUAAUUAAACUAUCAUGAUUAAAAAUAAAGUUUUUUUUUUAGAUAUCCGUUUGUAGUAUCUCUUUAGAUGACAAGUAGGAGAUAAAGUAAAUAAAUAUUGGUUGCGUAAAUAAAAAUAAAUAAAUUUUUUAACUGAAAAAAAAAUUCCUAAAAACUAAAUAGUUCAAACUUUUUUUAACAUGAAAUAAAUAUUUGAUGCGUAAAUAAAAAAAAUUUAACUGAAAAAAAUUCCCAAGAACUAAAUAGAUCAAACUUUUUGUUUAACAUCAUGGGUUUUGUAUAUUCAAUUGAACCGAACAACUAAAUUAAAUCGAAAUUACCAUGUUCGGUUCAAAUGAAUAGACGAAAACCGAACAGUUUAUAUUUUUAUGAACUGAUGGUGCGUUUACUUCAUGAAAUGAAAAUAUGGUGGAAUGAGAAUGUGUUAAAAUGAAAAUGAGGAAUGAGAAUGAGAUUCUAAUGUUUAUUUAGUAAAAAUAAAGGGAAAUGAGAAUGUGCUGGAAUGUCAUUGAUGUGUUUAUUUGACAAAAUAAAUGACAAAAGUAUCAAUUCGGAUCCUGCUAAUGAUAGUUUGCCAUAUCCUUUGUCAUUGAACUUUCUUACAAAUGCUGUGGUUUGUUGUAGUAUAAUUAGUUCAAUCAGAAACUUCCUUGAUGUUAAUAUAGAUAUGAGUGUGCUGUGAAUAUUGAGGACUUCAUUAGACUAAGUGAUGUGAUGAUGGAGCAUUCACUUGGUCCCAAUGGAGGUUAGUCAGCCCAUUGUUGUUUACUCUUUCUUGCUUUAUCACGCAAUGAUAUUCCUUUGCUUCACAACAAAUUUCAUGAAAUUAACUUCAAUCGAGUGGCUAUGUUCAUACGCUAUUGAGAUUUUAUGGACAAUGAUUUGGUAGACUUUAUAUGCCGUCUUCUUUCUUUUUGCAGUGAUAUGUUUGUAUGCAAUGCACUUGUACUUGUUCUAUGGUUUCUAAAGUAGGCGUUUUUAUGAUAAACUAGGUCUUGGGUAUUGUAUGGACUAUCUAGAGAAGAAUAUUGACUGGUUGCAGUCGAAAUUGGAACCACUUUUGAAAGGUAAGAAGUGGCCAUUUUCCUUCAUUCUAAUGCCAAUAAUGCUGUCAUGAGACUCAUAAAAAUUGUUAAAACGUUAAUGUUUUUGGUAUUUUGCAGAUCAUUAUCUUCUGUUUGAUUUUCCUGGCCAAGUUGAAUUAUUUUUUCUUCAUUCCAAUGCCAAGAAUGUUAUAAUGAGACUCAUAAAGAAGUUAAAUCUCAGGGUAUUGUUACAUCUUACGUCUAUGAAGGGACUCAAAGAGUUGAGAUGAAUUCAUCAUUAUUAUUUUGAUGCCAGAAUUGUGCAAUUCUCAGUUGCUUCCUUUCACAUGCAGUUGACUGCAGUGCAUCUAGUUGAUGCGCAUCUUUGCAGUGACCCCGGGAAGUAUGUUAGUGCUUUGCUUCUCUCGUUGUCGACGAUGCUACAUCUGGAAUUUCCCCCAUGUCAAUGUCUUGUCUAAGAUCGGCCUGAUUGAGAAUUAUGGAAAGCUAGGUGUGGUUUUAAGUGUAGCUCUCCUACUUGUUUGUUUAGAUUGAGAUAUCAGAUAUUGUCACAAGCUCCUAUCUGCUACAUUUCCUCACCAAUCAAUUACUUUGGGUAUGUUGCAGCUUUUAAUCUCGAGUACUAUACGGAUGUGCAAGAUUUGUCAUUUUUACAGCAUGCUCUGGGUCAGGACCCUCGUUCUGCUAAGUAUAGGUUUGAAUUCUAGCUGAAUCAAUGAUGCAAAUUAUGUCCAUUGCUAUUUCUGACUGUCGUUUCUAUCAUUUUCAAUUGUUACCUCCCCUUGCCAUCUACUGCCAUACUGCAAUGCCCACACAAAUGUUAUGAAAUUUGUCAAUGGAAAUGACAUUCUAUUUGUCCAGAGACAGCUCUUAGAUGCAAGUGAACAAUUUUUGGCUUUGGCCGUAGUACAGCCUUAGAUUUCAACUUGCCAUAUCUUGUCUCGGAAGUCAAAAGAAAGCAUAUAUGUUAGCCAAAUUUUAUUUGAAUUUCUUGUGUAACAAUGAAUGGGGAAAAAAAACAGUUCCUCUUUUGUUUUGAUCAGACUCAAUGAAUAAGUGGUUAAAAUGUGCCUGUACUAGAAAUAUAGAUGUGUGGUUUCAUAAAAUUUUCUUGAUCUUAAGAAAGAGUUAUCUUGAAAAGAAGAUAACAUGGGGAAUUGAACAACUAUACAGUCAUAUUGAUGUCUGUCAACUUGGGUCAUAUGGUGUCGUUUGGAUGGAGAUGUUAGGUCCCAGAUGGUAAACUUGUUAUCGAAUUCCAGUCUACUUCAUUCAUGCUUUGAUGACAUAUGUGGUGCAGCUUCUUAUCUAAGACCUGCAUAUGUUACAGUCAACAUUCUGUUCUGUAUUUGGCUGCCAUUCUUUUCAAUGAAUUCAAACCACUUUCUGAAUACUUGGAAAUUCAUCCAGUGUUGUCAUUGAGAUGCCAAUAUGAAAAGAAGCCAUAAUUGCCCUUGAUAGUAUGCUUAUUGAUUGCCUCUUGCCUCACUCAACCUCAGGAAUCUGCUUGUAUGGUGUUCUUCUAAUUUCAAUUGGAGAUAAAUAAUAUCUGUUGUUCAAAUAUAUUUUAUUUACAAGCUGUUAAUAAAUCUGCUUGCAGAAAGCUUACAAAGGAGCUGUGUGAUGUAAUAGAAGUCUACAGUCUGGUCAAUUUUUCAACCUUAGAUAUUCAGGUCACCAGUUUCUCUUGAAUUCUUUCUUGAGUUUCUUUGAAUUAUUUGUGAAUAAGAUCUUAGUUGACUGCUUCUCUUCAGGAUAAGGAAAGUGUGGCAAAACUUGUGAAGCUGAUAGGUAAAAGCAAUGGGUACAUCUUUGCUGGCAUGGAUGCCAGUGCAGUUGAAUUCAGCAAGAUUGCCGUUCGCGAUGUUGAUUGGGAUUAUUUCGGAUAUCCUUCUUUUCACCUAUUUUCAAUCUUGUUAUUCUCAUAUUCAUAAAACUUUUUGGUUAUUUAAUUAUGGUUCAUCAUAUGCAUCUGCAUCUUCUAACUUGUUCGUUUGAGAAACUAAUUUUGCCGUUAGGUAGGCUUCGAGCUUGAUGAGUUGAUUCAUGCUUUUUCAUAAAUGUACCAAAAUCAUGGAAACUUCUUUUUCCCAGAUAUUGUAUCCACACUUUUCCCAUAUAAUUGGGUCAGACAAGUUUUGCUUAACAAAGAUAUCUACAGUAGCCGAAGUGCAGGAGAAGUACAUUAAGGAUGAUGACGAUGUUAACUAAAAUGAGACGUGAAGAUAUGUGGUGUGCAAACCGUAAGCCUGCCUCUUAAUUUUGUGCAUGUUUACUUGCUUGUGAUUCACGUUUGUUAAUCUAUUUUGCUCUCUUGCAGGAGUUAUAAAGUUUUCAAUCAAUCAAACAUUUAACUCAAGUCCUUAGCUCUUCACGGCUUGAAUGGGUCAGAUAGGACAAGCGCCGAAGAGGUGGUUUUAAUCAAACCCCUCCUAAUUAUGAUGUAUGGUCCGAAUCUCGGACUUUUUGUACAAUAUCAAGCGAUUUUUUUUUGGUUGAAUCGGCUAGUGUACGCAAAUGUCGAUUAUUGAUUUUUCUCCAGUAUUGUUUGUAAUUACAAGAAACGAAGUAAUGAAAUUUAUCACUGCGUUCAUAGUUAUGCUUAAGCUCAAAGAUUACCGUCAAGAUCAUUUUGGGCCCUCAAAGAAACAUGAUGUUGACACAUGUAAAAUUAUGAAGCUUGUGAUUAAAAUACUUUUCACAUAUAUAUGUUAAGUUCUAUUAAUAAUUAAAUAUAUGAAUAAAUAUGGUCAAUGAGGAGAGGAUAAAAUAAAAUGGUUUCAUUUUUUGAAUUACCCAUCCGCUUCAAACUUCUAAGAAGUAGAUAUACAAUCAGUGGAAUACUGAAUUGAGUACGAGCUGCGGAUAACUUAUAAAAUUGGGAUACAAGCUUCAAGGAAAGUGUAUUGCUAUUCAAAUGUAGAUUUCAAAUUAAGAAGAUAUGCCAACAAAUUAUUCUAAAUGAUGAAAUGAGCUAUCUUGAUCAAAAGGUCAAGAACCUACCUUACUUCUCUUAGAGAUAACUUGCAUCAACCGUUGUGGUAUUGAUACUUGUCUUCAGCUAGUAAAAGUGAAAGUUUCACAAUUGAAAUAAAGCUAAGGGAAGAUGCUAUGCUCCAUUUAUUAUUAUUAUUAUUAUUGACGUGGUCGAGAAGUAAAGCCGUGCAUAUGAUGAAGUAUAAAUAAGAAUGCAAUAGCCCGGAAUUCAUUUACACAAACACUUCAAUAUCCUUUCGAUCACUUUUGCAAACAUCAAUUUGUCUCCUCUUGUAUUCACCAUGGUUGAUGCCAUCGUUUCCCCUCUCGUGGAGCAGCUGACUUCCUUCGCUGCUAAAGAGAUAAUACAACAGGUGAUCGAAGUUACACCCCCCAUAGUAUAAAUACUUCUAAUGAUUUUAAUUGGUUUUGUUUUUAUCGAAAACAUUAACUUUGCUUUAUUUUACGCAUUUAGGCAUUUUAAAUUUUGAAAUUUGAAUUGAAUUUAAUUAAAAUGUGAUUUAGUUAGUAACCACUUUUUUUUUUCAUUUAUAUUCUCAAUAACUACCCAUAUUUUGGUAACUUACUGUAACCCCCGUAUCUAAGAAAUUAUCAAAACCCACAAUUUUAACUCCACAUAAAUAUUCCAUGUUGAGCUAAGUUCGAUGUUGAGGUAAGUUUUUUGCAUAACAUUCAAAUUUGUCAAAUAGUCAUUAAUUUAAUGUUUAGUAAAAACUCAUCUCUGAAAAAUUUCAUAAUUUUCUUACAUUAUUUGAGUCUGGUAAGUGACUUCAUAUAAUUUCUUUUCAAUUUAAAUUUUAAUUUGGUUUCUGAUAUAGUCUCUUUACUGAAUUUAUAUCUUUUAUGAUUCUUGGAUUUUGGGCUCCAACUUUUUAGGAUUUGAUAGUCACAUUUUAUGGCAUGCUUAGAUUGAUGUUCAUGAUUUUUAGUACUCGUUAAGUGACUGAGAAUUUGACAAAAGUUUGAAAGGAAAUCCGUUUCACGAUUCUUAUGUGGAAGGUUCGUAAAAUCAUGAAAUUUGGAUAGGAUUCAUUAGCAAUAUGUACAAGACUGUCCAUAAAGUUUCAUAAUUUUUCAUUCGGUCGGGGGUGGUACAGGUGAAACUUGUGGUUGGUGUUGAAGAAGAAGUGAAAAGCCUUACCAGCCACCUUCAAGCCAUUCAAGCUGUGCUCAAUGAUGCAGAGGAAAAGCAAGUGAAGGACAAAGCUGUUAGACAUUGGCUGGGUAGGCUCAAGUAUGCAUCCUACGACAUUGAAGAUGUGUUGGAUGAGUGGAUCACAGCUAGACACAAAUUGCAAAUUGAGGGUGGCGUUGAUGACAAUGCUCUUGCUGCUCCUCAAAAGAAAAAGAAGGUAUGUUUCUGCUUUCCUGCCUCUUGUUUUGGAUUCAAACAAGAAGAAUUUGGUUUCAGACAAGUCUUUCUACGUUAUGACAUUGCCAACAAGAUCAAAGAAAUGAAUGAAGAGCUACAUGCUAUUGCUACUCAAAAAGACAUGUUUAAUCUUGUUAAGAGUGGCAAUAAAAGUGGUGAAAGACCAAGGCGUGUACAGAGUACCUCCUUGAUUGAUGAGGAAGAGAUUUGUGGUAGAGUUGGUGAGAAGAAUGAACUCAUAAGCAAGCUGUUGCGUGAGAGUAGCGAGCAACAAAAAGGCCUCCAUAUCAUCUCAAUUGUUGGUAUGGGAGGCAUAGGGAAAACUACUCUUGCACAACAAGCUUGUAAUGAUGACGAGGUGAAGAGAAAGUUUGACAAAAUUAUGUGGGUGUGUGUAUCAGAAACUUUUGAGGAGUUUAGGGUUGCCAAAGCAAUGGUUGAAGCUUUGGAUGGUCGUGAAUCUCAUUUAGGUGAAUUCCAAUCUCUUCUUAAACAUAUUGAUGAAUCCAUUGCAGGGAGGAGCUUUCUUCUUGUCUUGGAUGACGUAUGGGAUGGAAAUUACGUGAGAUGGGAACCAUUCUAUCGUUGUCUAAAGAAUGGUCUCCAUGGAAGUAAAAUUAUAGUUACCACACGUAGUGGGUCCGUUGCAUCCAUGAUGGGAUCCAUAGAUAUUAUUCCCAUUAAGGAAUUAGCUGAAGAGGAAUGUUGGUUGUUGUUUAACAAGAUAGCAUUUUUUGGUAGGCCUAUCGAGGAACGUGAAAAAUUCGAACGAAUUGGGCGAAGAAUUGCAGGCAAGUGCAAAGGUUUACCUCUUGCUGCAAAGAUAUUAGGGAGUCUUAUGCGCUCUAAACAAACUGAAGAAGAGUGGAAAAUAAUUUUAACUAGUGAUUUAUGGAAAGUAGAAGAGAUUGAGAAAGAUGUUUUGUCCUCUUUAUUGUUGAGUUACAAUGAUUUGCCAUCUAGAGUAAAAAGAUGUUUUUCAUAUUGUGCUGUCUUUCCAAAAGACUACAAUAUAAAAAAAGACAAACUAAUUACAUUGUGGAUGGCUCAAGGUUAUCUUAGUGCAGAAGAAGAUGAGGAGAUGGAGACUAUAGGUGAAGAGUAUUUUAGCAUCUUAGCUUCUCGCUCUUUCUUUCAAGAGUUUGAGAAAAGUUAUGAUAAUCGUAUUAUAGAGUGCAAGAUGCAUGAUAUGGUACAUGAUUUUGCCCGAUUUGUAAGUCAAAAUGAAUGUUUUUCGAUGGAAAUUAAUGGUAGUGAGGAACCAAACACCAUAAACUCUCUUGAUGAGAAGGUUCGUCAUUUAAUGUUAAUCUUUAGUAAAGGGGCUUCAUUACCUGUUUCCACUCUUAGAGUUAAAAGAAUGCGUACCCUCUUAAUUAACGAUAGUAGAUCUGAUCAUUCAUUAUUAAAUGGUGAGAUCCUAGAAGAAUUAUUUAGGGAAUUGACAAGUUUAAGGGCAUUAGAUUUUGGCGGAUCGUACACACAUUUUUCUUUGACUCUGGAGAUUCCAAGAAACAUAGAAAAGCUGGUACAUUUAAGAUACCUUAAUUUGUCUUGUCAGAAAAUAGUGGAGCUACCGGAGACAUUGUGCGAGUUAUAUAAUCUACAAAAGUUAGAUAUUAGUGAUUGUUUUAAUCUUAAAGAAUUACCUGAAGGGAUUGGGAAGUUAAUAAACAUGAAGCAUUUACGAAAUAGAAGUACUAGUUCUUUAAGGUACAUGCCAGUAGGGAUUGGGAGAUUAACGGGUCUUAGGACCUUGGGUGAGUUCCACGUGAGUGCAGGAGGAGGUGUUGAUGGUGGGAAAGCAUGUAGGCUUGAAUCUCUUAAAAACUUGGAACACCUUCAAGUAUGUGGUAUACGUAGACUGGGUGAUGUAUCAGAUGUGGGCGAGGCUAAGCGAUUAGAACUUGACAAAAAGAAAUACCUCAUCAGUUUGACCCUUGAGUUUGAAAAGAAGGAGGAAGGAGGAGGAAGGAGGAAGAACGAGGACGAUCAACUUCUUCUUGAAGCCCUACAACCACUUCUCAAUUUAAAGGAAUUAGAGAUACAGUACUACCGAGGCAACACUGUUUUCCCCAGCUGGAUGACGUCAUUAACCAACUUAAAGAGUUUAGAUCUCUCUUUGUGCCUAAAUUGCGAGCAGCUGCCUCCUUUGGGAAAAUUGCCGUCCCUUGAAAAACUCAGCAUAAUGUUUAUGCCUGUGAAAAGAGUGGGUGAUGAAUUUUUGGGGAUAGAAAGUGGUCAUCGUGACUCAUCUUCAUCUUCAUCGGUUAUUAUUGCCUUCCCCAAAUUGAAAUCACUUUCAAUUGAGUCUCUGGACGAAUUGGAGGAGUGGGAUUAUGGGAUUACAAGAACGGGAAACACCGUCAUCAACAUCAUGCCACGUCUUUCUUCAUUGGAAAUUAAUUACUGCCCCAAAUUAAAGGCACUGCCCGACCACAUUCAUCAAACGACAACAUUGAAGGAAUUGCGCAUUUGGGGGUGUGACCUUCUGGAAGAACGUUACCGCAAGGGAGAAGGAGAAGACUGGCCUAAGAUAUCACACAUUCCCAACCUCCAUAUUGGGCUUUGACAAGUAAUUUCUUCUCUUACUCUGAUUUGCUUUGUUGUUGUUUUUAAUCUAAUUAAGAAGCGUAAAUAGCAUUUUGAAUCAAACUCUAUAUCAGAAAUCUGCAAUACUUACUUUCUAAUAUUCUGAUUUUCAUAUCCUAUGAAUAUACGAUUUUUAAUUUGUGAGAUGGGUAACGUUACUGUAAAAGAUUAUUAAUGCAAUAUGAGUAAUUCUUUUGCAGGACAAGUGACCUACAUUUAGUUUGGCUUUGGAGUUGAAUAAUAACCUUUCGGGAACUGGUGUGGACUGGCAAAGGAUGAUGAGAUAGUUUUUUGAGUGAGUAAAUUUUGGGAGCUUGAGUGUAUUGGGAUUUGCAAUUACAAUCAUCCUCUGCUUCAGGUGAUUUCUUCUCUUGCUCUGUCAUUGUUUGUUCUCUAAUUCAAAAGCAUAAAAUAUUUCAAUCAAUUCUUAUACCACGAAUAUGCAAAAGUUUCUAAUAUUUUAUUUCCAUCUGUUACAAGAUCAAACUGAAGCAGAACUCAAACAAAAGUAUGCUACUUCUUGCGGAAAUCUUGCCUUUGUUCAGAUUAUGAAACCAUUUCCAUGCAGCAAAUUCAUCCAAAAGUUUGAAUAAGUUUCAUGGUCGGACACUGUUGGCUUCUUUUUCUUCUGGGGUGCAUUUAGGUGCUAUCAAGUGACAGCUGUAAGUAUGAUUGCACUAAGCUGCUGCUGGGAAAUUUGAGGUUUUGAUGGCUGCCCAUGUUAUUUUCAAGAAACUAUUGAUGUAAGAAGCUGUGGUUCUUUUCAUCAGCUUGAACCUGAAACUGUCGCUAUGGAUAACUCAGGUUUUUGUUAUCAACUAUAUCAUCUUUUUCACUAUUUUGAAACUCUUAAGAUUAAACGUUAGUAAAGUUGUUUCAGCUAUUCAAAUGAAAAACUCAUUGAUUUGAGACUUCCUUCAUUAUUGUUUCUAAUUACAAUGCUAACGAUCCAGAUAAGAUAAUAUUUAAUCGGCGAAGGUGUCCCUUGGAAGUACAUCCUUCUUUUUCUUUUAUUAUAUAAAUUCUUGCAAUGAGCUUAGUGAAGCUGUUGUGCUAAUCAUGCCACUGCAUAAUUUGGCCCCUAAUGUGGGUACUCUGUUACAUUGUUCUGCAAAUUCUCCAGAAGUUAAAAUCAAUAAAUUUUCUAUUAGCUCUAGUGCUUUGACCUAAAUGCUAUUCUAUAUUCUGAUUACAAUGUUUUAACCUUUAAAUUAACUACCCCUAGAUGUUGGAUUUUCUAGAACUUCAAAUUAUAUAUAACCUUUAAAUUAUAUAUUUCUGUGUCUCUAUUUAUAGAUGACAUUUAAGCAUCCAUAAACCGUCAGACAGAGGAAGGGGGUUCAGUGCAAAGAUUCUGUUGACCUAGGGUUGACUGCAUAUGUCACUUGUUCGCAAUCUAAUAUUUAUUUUAUAUUUUGAAAAAUUUAAUGGGUAAUCCUAAUUGUUUGUUUUGGCAGGUAUGUGUUGUUAUCUCCUUCUAUCUUACAGUCGUACCUAAAUAGCAUAGUUUCAUCUGUGUUACCAUGUGAUGUACAUAAUUUCACAUUUGCCUCAGAUUAAGCUUAAUUUCCCACAGAAUAGAGCUGUCGCGACUGGACUUAGUUUGAUGUCCAAAGAGGUAAAUUAUUGGCAUGCCUAGAUAAUUUGGCCAUUUCCUAAUUCAUAAGUCUACAUUAAUUUUGAUUUUGAGUUGACUGAUUUCUUUUCAAGGUCUGCUUCCUUAACGGAGUGACCAAUGUUUUUCAACUAAAUUUAUCAUAUGAUGCAGGAAGCAGGGCAGGAUAUGAAAUGAGAAGCUCAUUGGUGGAAGUAUUGCCAGUAGCAGAACCCAAUGAAAAUGAAACUAUUUCAAGGCAGCAGUUGGCAGUUGCAAGUGAAUGGAGGCCCUUGACAAAAUUCUCAAGCAGUUGCAAUGCAAUUACGAUCAUCCUCAGCCUCAGGUAAUUUCUUCUCCUGCUUUGUUUUUAUUUGUUAUCUAAUUAGGAAGCAUAAAGUAUCUUGAAUCAUUUUCUGUAUCUGGAAUAUAUGCAAGAGUUUCUAAAAUUUUGAUAUGAGUGUAAUGAUGGUAAUUUCUGUUUUCUGUCUGUCAUCAAAUGUUAGAAAACUUUCAUUGAGACCCUUGAACCGAGUCAUUUUUGACAAGUGAAGUGCCGAAGAGUGAAGAGUAAGAAUGGUGCUAGAUUGGGGAAUAAAGCAAAAGGAGGUAAAUUAUUGGCAGCUUCUUCAGCCUUAUUUUCUUUGGACCAGUGCCUAAUUCACAAGUCUCCAUAAUUCGGCUUUUGACCAGUUGAUAGAUAAAAUUUUAAUUUCAUUGGUGCUAAUGUACCCGUGAAGCAGGCAGAGAAGGACUGUGGAAAAGAGAAGGUUUUUAGUGAAAGCUUAAACGCAGGUAAUUCUAUAAAUUAUAUGUUUUUGCUGAUUUAUCUAAAUCAGGAAAUUUUAUUUCCAUCUGUUACAAUAAAACAGAAACAGAACACAAAGAAAAAUAGUCUACCUCUUGUGGCAAUCUUGCCUUCAUUCAGACUAUGAAACCAUUUCCUUUCACCAAUUUCUUCCAAAAGUUUGAACACGUUUCAUGGUUGGACAUAGUUAGCUUCUUUUUCUUUUGGUGCAUUUAGGUGCUAUCAAGUGACAGCCAUAAGUAUGAUUGCAUUAUUGGGAAAUUUUAGGUUUUGAUGGCUCCCCAUGUUAUUGCCAAGAAAUUUUAAGUCCUCAUGUCAGAAGCUGCGUUUCUUUUCAUCAGCCUGAACCCGAACUGAGGUUUUUGUCAUCAACUAUAUCAUCUUUUUCACUGUUUUGAAACUCUUAAGAUUAAACUUCAGUAAAGUUGUUUCAGUUAUCCAUGUAAUCAGGCUAAGGAUAUUUAGCAGCUUAUUUAGGCAACUGCCAGAAUUCAGUUUGUUUGCUCGAAACUUGUAUGGUGACAAGGAUACUGGCAAGGAUAGUGAGAUAGAUUUUUGUGUGAGUGAAUUUUGAAAGCUUGGGUGUUCUGGGAUUUGCAAUUGCAAUCAUCCUCUGCUUUAGGUGAUUUCUUCUCCUGUUCUGUCUUUAUUUUCUCUCUAAUUGAAAGCAUAAAGUAUUUCAAUCAAAUUCUGUACCAGGAAUACGAAAAACUUACUAAUAUUUUAUUUCCAUCUGUUUGCAUUGAUAACUUGGCCGCAUAUGUACUAGUUAAAGAACAAACAGAAGCAGAGUUCAGGAAAAAGUUUCUUCGGCCACCAUAUUUGAAAAUGAAACCAUUUCCAGGAAGCAGUUGGCAGCAAAUUCAUACAAAGUACAGACAAUGAUGAGCAAAAAGGUGAUUCGCAAUUUCAUUUUUUAAAAAUGAAAUUAUUUGUUAAGUUGGAGCUGAUAUUGUUAGAAGGCCAUUGAGCUAACCUAUGACACUACUUGCCUAGAUUGCAGGAGGUCAAGACUCAAAAGAUGCACUGAAUUUUAAAAGGCAUGCAAUAAUUCUUAUGGCCAUUUGUCAAUGGUGGAAUGCUUUUAGCUUCUUUUCCUUUCGUGCAUUUUGGGGUUCUAUCAAGCGACAGCCGUAUGCAUGGAUGGAUAUAGCCGCUGCGUUGAUUUCUAAUGCGUUGUAUGAUGUUAUAGCAACUAUCCAUCUGGUCAAUGUUUCAAAAGAAUAAAACACAGGGAAAAAGAGAAAGCAAGUGGCCAAUCAAGUAUUCAUGUCCCAAAGAAAAGAAUGAUUCGACAAUAGCAUUAAGGGUUAAUUGGACACAAGAGAAGUGUUUUAACCACUUCAAGGAAUGUAAAUGUAAUUUUCUAUUCUGAAGAAAAAGUAAAUAUAUGCACUGUCAAUUAAUCUUUGGUCAACCAGCAACAUUCAUAAUUUCGUGUAAGUUUCAUUUCUGUUUGUUGGAAAUAGCAGUGUAUUUCUUAGAGUUUGUAAAAAAUGGAAAGAUUUUAAAAUAUAAAUUUCACAUCUGUUUAUUACUGUUGUUUGAUCUAUUUUCUUAUGUAGAAUUUUCGGAAUCUGUAGGACAUUAAUUUAUAAUUUUGAGAUUUUGUAGCCAUAAAUGUUUUUGUUCUUUUUUUCUUUUUUUUGUUGGCAUUUUAUUUUGCUCCUUUAUCUAUAUGCAUGUUGACUAAAGCUAAUCUAGAAUCAAUAGAGAGGGAUAUUUAUCUAUUUUGUUUAACAUAAGAGUGCUGUAUAAUUUUUCACUAAAUACACCUACAACAAACUAUUAAUAAUAAAGUGAUAGAAGAAUGCCUAAUUUUUCGUACUUUUUAAUUUCUUUCAGCCCUAAAAUAUAGGUAUUAAUGUCAUAAUAAGCCCAUGUGGAUCUCAGUGCCGCAAGUUCGAUAAAUGGCUAUCAAGGAUUACUUAUUAAGUCAAAAGUAUUCAAAGGACAAAAUGGUAAAACUAUAAGGGUGGAGUAAGAUGGCUACCUUGGGUUACAUAGUAAGUCGACUACAUUCAAAGGAUAAAAUAUUAGAACCUGAACGGCGGAGUAGUCGUCGUUAGAACCUGAACGGCGGAGUAAUCGUCGUUAGAAUCUGAAUGAUAUGUCUAAGACGUUGCAUGCAUCAAGAAAAUUGCAGAUGAUUAAACCUUGCCAUCCAUGCGUUGUAUGAGGUUAUAGCAACUAUCUAUCUGGUCACCGUUUUAAAAGAAUAAGACAAAGGGAAAAAGAGAAAGAAAAGAAUGAUUCGACAAUGGCAUUAAAGUUCAACGUACCCCAAGAUCUUGUAAUAAUGCCAUUAAUCAUUCUCUAGCUAGGCUAGCCUUAGAGAAAAGUGAAACUGUUGCACAGGUAGAAUCACACCCCUCAGAGAUAAUGUAUUUAUUCAGCUCUUCGAAUGAAUGAAGUUUAUUUUCUCGUCAAAAAAAAAAACUGCUCGCUCCGCUGGUUUCAUACAAUGUCAACUAGAAACAUCAUACUUUCGUGUAAGUUCAUUUCAGAAUAUUUCUUAGAGUUUGUAUAAAAUGAAAAGAUUUUAAAAUAUAAAUUUAAUAUUUGUUUAUUACCGUUGUUUGGUCUAAUUUCCUCGGGAGAAUUUUCAGAAUUUAUAGGACAUUAGUUUAUAAUUUUGAAAUUUUGUAACCUAAAUGAUUUUUUUUUCGGUUACCAUUUUGUUUUCCUGCUUUAUCUACGUGUAUGUUGACUAAAACUAAUCUAUUUUGUUAAACCUUUACCACUCUAGACAUUGCACUAAAUAUGAGUUCGUGAUGCUUGCAUUUUAUUGAUGCUGAUGAUUCGUUGAAUGUUUUAUGUUUUUGAUUUUUAAGUAUUCCGGAUCGAAGUUUGUGUCUACGCGGAAAUUGUAAAGGCAGCAUAUAAAGUACUCGUCGUUCUUUAGAUUUUAUUGAGUACACUUUUGUCACAUUUAGCGUAUGCUAUACACUACUGAUUUGCGCAUUGACAUAUAUCUUUUUUUUUUAUGAGAGGGGGCUCGUCAAAACGAGCUAAACAGGAACAAACCGGGGGUUAGAAAUCCCAAACAAGUCUUGCGAAAUGAUAGAAUAAACACCCAUAGGAGGGUUAGAGAACACAUGGAGGCCAAGAGGAGCUGAAUGAGCCAUAUUAGCCAUGAAAUCCGCAGCUGAGUUUGCUUCGCGAUAAAUAUGGGUGAUAGCAGUCUGCCAAUUUCUACUUAGUAAUUCCCGGACAGCUGAUAAUAAAGCAGUGAACGCAUUAGGAACAACCACCUGCUUAGAAAUCAUUUGUGUAAUACAAAUACUAUCCACUUCCACCAACAACCGUUUUAUGCCUACAUCCCAAGCAAGAAUUAGGCCCUGAUACAGCCCCCAAAGCUCAGCCAUAAGCACUGACCUGUCCCCAAUUUUCAUACAAAAGCCGGAUACCCAAUGACCAACUGAGUCUCGAAUAACACCUCCCGCUCCUGCUUCCCAAGUAUUUUUACAGGAGCCAUCUGUAUUUAAUUUACACCAUGGCCAAGGCGACGGCAGCCAAUGAAUAUAAAUCUCCUGUCUCCUCGGCUGCUGGCUUAGGCAAGAAUUAUUUACUCUGCAAAUUUCUUUAGCUCUCGCCAUAACAUCCAUAUAGAUUGUUAGACUAUCCACCAGCUUUCCCUCAAAGAAAAAAUGGUUCCUCCAGAACCAUAGCCUCCAAACUACCACACCAAAGAUACAAUCCCAGGGGAGGGGAGACCCAAUCUUCCAUUUAUUUUGCAGGUUCCCAGCAAUCCAUUCUCGUAAGUUCGAAUUGAAGAAAGUGUUAUGACUGGCCAUCGGAACAAGCUUCCGCCAAACCUGCUUGAUACAGCUGCAGUCUCUCAAUGCAUGGAGGAUAUCUUCAACCGCACCCCCACACCUAUCACAAUCCUCAGGAACAUUAAUAUGGCGCCUAACAAGUUCAUCACGAGUCUUGAGUUUCCCAUGCAUAAGCUGCCAAAGAAAAAGGCGGAUGGAUUGAGGCCCCUUCCAACUCCAUGGAAGCUUCCAAUUUCUGUCAUGAACAGCAGCUUGAUGAUAGCAAAGUGAUUCAUAAGCUGACCGAACCGAAAACAUGCCGCUUGGAUCAAAGCCCCAGUAAAUAAUAUCAGCCCCAAGAUGAGGAGCCGGAGGCAAGACUGAAGCAAUCUGCAUGAGAAUACCAUGCGGCAGAAGAUGCUCAAAGCUCGACCAAUUCCAUCCCCCAUGCCCAUUCGUAAAGUCACUCACAGUGGCAUUGAUAAGCUCGUGAGGAAUCGGCAAGAUGGCAAGGCUGAUCAGAGGAUAUUUCGUAGCCCAACAAUCAACCCAGAAUCGAGUUCUAACACCAUCACGAACUGACCAGCGAGCUCCCUGCACUGUUGCCAACCACGUGCUACGAAUAGCCCUCCAAAUCUGAGAACCCGGUUUGUCUGAAAGAGACAUUGGUAGGUUGCGAGACUCCAAACCAUAUUUGGAGCAGAAGACUUGCACCCACAGUUUAUCCGAAUUGGAAACAACCUCCCAGCUCAAUUUCAUCAACAUCGCCUGAUUCAUUUCGUCCAUUUUUUUGAAUCCCAGGCCUCCAUGUUUUUUCGGCUUGCAAAUUUUGUCCCACCCCACCAUACUCAUCUUGUGACUCUUUGAAUUCCCAUCCCAAAUAAAUCUUCGACAAGCUUUGUCUAUUUUAUGUCUCACUGGAGAAGGAAGUAAGGUCGUUUGCAUGGCAUAAACAGGCAUUGCUUGCAGGACUGAUUGAGCCAGAGUGACGCGUCCAGCAAAAGAUAGAUGAGCCGCGUUCCAACCAGUUAACCGCUUAUCCACUUUAUCAAGGAUGGAUUGAUACGUGUAUUUAUUAACCCGCGAAUGGAUUAAGGGCAUUCCAAGAUAAUCACCCAAAUUAUUUGUGGCCGAAACUCCCAAAGUCGAGCCUAUGAUAUUGGCAUCCCGAGAAGCGACAUUUUUUGAGAAGAAAACUUUAGUUUUCAUUUUGUUGACUUUUGCUUCCGAACUCCUACAAUAAUUAUCCAGAACAGCAUCUACGACAUAAGCUUGAUCAAUUGAAGCUUCCGCAAAUAAAAGCAAAUCAUCUGCAAAAAAGAGAUGCGUUAAAGGAGUUCCAUAUUUGGCCAACCGGAUAAGCCUCCAUCUCCUCUCCAUCACCGCUUGGGUUAUACCAUGGCUUAACCGUUCAAUGCACAGAACAAAAAGAUAAGGCGAGAGGGGAUCGCCCUGACGGAUACCCCUUCCCGGAGUGAAAGCUUAUGUCGCCUCGCCAUUCCACAAAAUACGCAUACUAGCUGAAGUUACGCAUUCCAUGAUUAGUCUAGAUAAGUGAAUUGGAAUACCAGUCUGGUUAAGCGUAUCAAAAAUGAAAUCCCAACUGAGCCGGUCAUAAGCCUUCUCAAGGUCGACCUUAAUGGCCAUAAAUCCUUUCCUGCCAGUUUUUCUGCGCAUAGAGUGAACUACUUCCUGAGCCACUACAAUAUUAUCUACUAUAUGCCUCCCAGGAACAAAGCUCGUCUGAUUGGGGCUUAUUAGAUUGGGCAGCAGUGUUUGCAAUCGAGUGGCUAUAAUUUUAGUCACCGUCUUGUAGGCCACUGUGUAUAGGCUUAUGGGCCUAAACAUCUUUAAGCUAGUGGGGUGCUCCUCUUUAGGAAUCAAAACCAAGAGGGUAGUAUUUAUCUCUUGCGGCACCUUCCCCGUUGUAAAAAUAUCAUGAAUAAACCUGCAAAACGACGGACCAACCACAUGCCAUUGGGAUUGAUAAAAUAUAGCGUGCAAACCAUCCGUACCUGGGGCUUUCAGCGGCUUCAUGCUAAACACAACGUUCCGAAUUUCCUCCCUCAAAAUUGGGGCUGCAGCCCCAUCUACGUCAUGAGAAUCCAAGGCUGGGAAAAAGUUUGGAGCAUGGUAAUUCCGAUAAGUUGCAUUAUCACUUGUAAAUAGGUCAGAAAAAUACCCCACUACAUGCCUCCUUAUAUCCUCCUCAUCAUAUAGCCAAUUCCCCGAACAGUCUCGGAUGGCCUCAAUUCUAUUCCGCCGCCUUCGAGCAAUGGUUUUUUGGUGGAAAAAAUUCGUAUUUCUGUCCCCAUGCAGAAGCCAAUCCUUUCGAGAUUUCUGAAGCCAAAGAAUUUCCUCCGAUUCAUCACCAUUUCGAGCUCAUUUUGCAUGCGGGCUUAUAAGCGCAACAAACUGUUAGAGCUAUAAUUCUCUAGAGUAGCUUGAAUUCCAUUAAUCCGAGCCAUAAGCCGGCGUUUUCUCUGAAAGAUAUUCCCAAACACAUCUCGAUUCCAAGCUUGAACCUCCUGGACAAAAUGAGAGGCUGCUGCACUAUAAUGGAUUUGCGGAUUCCACACCCGCUUAAUAAAGUUAUGAAAAUGCUCGUGAGUUAACCAAGCAGCCAAAAAGCGGAAAGGCCUGUUCCUCCUGUGACCGGCCACAGCUCUCUCAAACCGAACCAGCACCGGCCUGUGAUCCGAGGCAACCUUCGGGAGGUGGAGGACAGAAUUAUUCGGAUACUUAUGUAGCCAAUCACUAUUGCACAGAGCUCUAUCAAGCCGUUUAAAGAGCAAUCCACGUGACCAAGUAAACCUUGGACCUUUAAACUUUAAAUCAAAAAUUUGGUGCCCAUCAAACCAUUUCCGAAACAGAUUACACACUCCUGGGUUCCUGGCCUCACCCCCCUGCUUUUCAGAGGCAUAUAAGAUAGAAUUGAAAUCCCCACCUAUCAGCCAAGGGCCUCGAAUUGAAGGCGCAAGGUUCUCCAUAUGGCUCCACAACUGUCUCCUUAGCAUUGGAUUUGGGCUGGCAUACACAGCCGUUACCCAAGACACAAAGGUCUUAUUCAUACAAAAUUUAAAGUGAAUGAACUGCCUAUGAUUAAUUAAGACUUCCACCUCUAUGGAAUUUCGCCAAAGAAGCCAAAUUCCUCCAGAAAAACCCACAGCUUCCACCCGGUGCGAAUACUCAAAUCCACUUUUCUUUAUAAAGUCAUCGGCUUUAGCACCACUAGUGCGAGGUUCCAUUAACACCACCAUCGAUGGAUUGUAGUUUUUAAUAAUUGUUUUAAACGAGCGCCUAAAUACCCCCGAGGCUGCCCCUUGUACAUUCCAGAACAUGAUACUAGCUGACAUAAUAAAAAUAACAGGAGAGAAACAAACGUCUACUGCUGCUGUCCAAGGACUUCCUCCAUCCACGCCAAUGGCGUUUCUUGAACCAUCUCAACUUCAUUCUCAACCAUCCCAUCGCCAUCAACACCAUUUAUAGGUACAACUGGAUGGUUAUGAGCACUGUCACCUUCAUUCACCCGAUGGAUGGUUUGAUCAUCUGGAGGGUCUGCUACUUGUUGUGGAUCCGGACCUUGCCUCUCUAUGUGUUCCGCGGUCACGUCCCUUUCAUCACCAUUAGGAAGGGUUUGGGAGGAGCAAACAAACACUGUGUGUUUAGAGGGGUCCAGGGUGGUUGCGAAUGGUGCCACGAGUUGAUUGCUAGAAGCUUUCUGAGGGAAAAUAUGGGGUUCAAAGCUUCGGUUUGCAUGAGGUAGGAUGGAUAUUUCCUUCUCUCUGGUGCUGAAGACACUAGGCUGGAGAGGGUUACAGGUAGGAGUUACUGGGACGUUUGGUUUCCUGCUCUGAUUCCUUGCUGCCACGGCCUUAUUUUGCGGCUUACGACGAGCCAUAGUCUUUGCUGAGGUAUCUGCUCUGGCUGUGAAAGUAUGGUUUGAUGCGGGCAUGAAAGGUUGCCGUGAGGUGGAAGGGAAGUCUGGGCAAGCCUCAUGCACAUGGUUUCCACCUUCAUCCGAGACUUUGGAUAAUAUGUGAAACCGUGAGGUACCAGCUCCAGUAAACUCCCUAUUACGGUUUGAGUCUCCAGUGUUCUCCUUACCAAUAUUCGGCUUCCUUCCUCUCCUAGUGGCAAUCAUCCAGGGUCCGAAUAGUUCCACAUUAUUAUCACCAUUACUACCUACAGCCUGCUGGCCAGGAGCCUCAUUUUCCGGCACUGCCUGUUGGGGUUGACCAGCAUCUUCAGGGCUUGUCGAACUCUUAGCAUCCUUACAGUUGCUGCUACUAUGCCCGUAAGAUUCCACACUUAUAACAAAUUACUGGCAAUCCCUCGUAUUCCACCUUCUGGAUCUUCCCAUCCAAUUCAAACUGAGAUACCAGCGGCCUUGUUAACGAGAUACUUACUGCAAGACGUGCAAAUCUUCCACGAGAUGAGGAGGCUGUAUUCGAAUCGAUUUUAAUCACGUUACCCACUAACUGACCCAGCUUCUGUAGAACUUUUCGAUUAUAAAGAUGAACCGCAAGGCCUGGUAAACAGAUCCAUACCGUGACUUGAUCAAGAUCCGCAUUUGUGAAAUCAAAAGAGGGUGUCCAUGGCUGCACAGUUAAAUAUUGACCCAUUAUAAGCCACGGUCCCUUAGUUAAAACAUCCAUAGCAUCCCCUACCGAUCUGAAACGAACCAGAUAAUAAUUGUUUUCCAAGUCAAUCACGGAAAAACCCAUGGCUGAUUUCCACAUGACAUUUAAUCUUGCACACAUAGCUCUAUAGCCAAUUGUGCGGCCAAGCAACUUCACAACCACCGAGUUCUUCCAAGGCUCACUUAACUUAGCAUGAACCCUAGCCGAAAAAGUGAUGGAUGGCAUGGGUCCCUCGUUAGUUUCAAUAAUGUCUCCUUCCUCAAAAUCCCAGUCCUCUAGUCCACCUCCAAUUCCUUGCUCCAUCGCUUGUGUUGCAUUCACUAGGGUUUCUUUGUACGAAAACUGUACAGUGGUAUCCCCAGCAUGUUCUUCAUCACGAAAUCUUGCUUUUUUAAUCGUUCUAGCCUCCCUAAACGGCGGGGGAAAAAUCCCUCCGGAGUUAGGGUUUCCUUCACGUCCGAGGUUUUCGGAGCCUUCCAUAUGGUGUUGAUCUUUUUAAGUCACUCGUUUCAAUAUUUCAUUUAUUUCCUUUUCAAGCUAACAAUUAAUGUAUAUGAAUGUGCGGAUGCAUUGACAUAUAUCUUAUUUUAUCAUUUUGAAUGAAUUGCACGGCGAGGCUUAUCAACUUUGGAUGAAUCCUCCAAUUGUCGCAGUCCAAGACUGGCUGCAGUGAGUGAAAAUUUACCCAUAUAUAUGCUGGCUAUUUUUAUUGGCGACGAAUUCGUUGUAGUUGGUCCAUCUUGCUAUUCUCGGACAAUAUUAGAGAAAAUAAUCAUAUUAUUUCGCGUGAUGUGACCUUCCAUAACGUAUCAAUUGAAUUACUGUAAAAUUAUUGUGUAAGUUUAGGCCCAAUGGCACUUUAGUUCAUCACAUGAUAGCCUGGAUUUAAAAGGAAAACUAUAUUGCAUUGCUUCAAAAAAAAAAUUUAAUGUUUUUAAUAUGAAUAUUUUUAACUAUAUUCAGUUAAAAUAAUAUAUUCUUAAUAUUAAUAUUCAUAGAUGAAAUUCUUUUGCGGAUUUAAGAAUAAAAUAUCAAAUAGUUUUAUUUUUCUUUUGUUGUGUAACUUGGACCGAAAAAGAAAAUGAGCUUAACAUGACCCUCCUUCCGGCACUAUGCAUGUUUUUCUUUUAUUUUUCUUGUAUUGAUGACAGUGCUCUUGGUGCUUCUCAUCUGCUUCUUGCUUUGGUUUCAAACAAGUCUUUCUCCGUCGAGACAUUUAUUGUAAUUUGAUUUGGAGACAUCUGUCGUUCAAAUAUAUUUCAUAUGCAAGCUGUUGAUAAUUCUGCUUGAGAAAGCCUUCAAAGCAGCUGUGUGAUGUAAUAGAAGACUAUAUAUGCAAGCGGGUACCGAGCUCGAAUUCUUUCUUGAGUUUCUUUGAAUUAUUUGUGAAUGAGUUCUUAAUCGGCUGCUGCUCUUCAGGAAAAGGAAAGUGUUGCAAACUGGUGAAGCUGAUCGAUAAAAGCAAUGUACCAUCUUUGCUGCCAUGGAUCGAUGCCAGUGAGUUUUUUAAUUUGUCAACCUUUUUAAUAAUGCAUAUGUGUUUCUUCAACUUGAAGCGGCAUUUAAGACGAAAGAAGUGAUCUUUAAAGCAUUCUAUAGCAUUAUCCUUUCCUAUUAUAUAUAUCCAAUUGCUCCAAAUUAUUUGUAAAUUACUGAACACGAAUGCUGAUGAAUAAACUGAUGGCUCUAUGUAUGUAUGCACAUGCAUGGAGAAAUUUUAAGUCAGACAUUCCCAUAUAUAACUCGUGCUACCAAAUCAUUAAAUAAUCUUGAAAUCAAAGUAAUAAUUAAAUACAAAUAAAUUGCUCGAAUUGUACAUAUAUCUGAAUCAUGUAGUGAAGAAAAUACAACAACAACAACCAAUGGCUCAAAUUCCCCAUCAACUUCUAAUCUCAACACUUUUGAGUGUCAGAAGCAUUACUCUGCUACCAGUUAACAAACAUAUAAUUAGUAAUUUGCCAUUCACUUCCCUUUUAGGCCUAACACAUUUUCUAUAAAGGAGCCACAGAGUGAACUCAGCAGGAAACACUCAAUUUCAACCUACGUAGGACCAGGAAUUUCAACCAAAAAAAAAGUGUGCAAUUGCUUAUCCUAUCCUAUUGCUACUAGAAAGAAAGUGAACAAUUAAUUUCAGUGAAUAAAUUAAAAAAAAUUACUUCUGCAGAUACUCAAGCUAAGAACACAUUAACCCAUUAAAGACUCCAAAUUGCAUCAAACAAAUUGUUGUUAAACAAGUAAAACAAAGAAAGAGAGUUAAGGAAGCUGACCUAGUAGUAGGGGAGCUGAAGAAAGACUGCCAGUGAAUGUAAGAGAAAAUAAAAUGCAAUAAAUGGUGAAGUGCAGCUUUUCAUGUCAACUUGAAAUUGUUUCUUCUGUUUUUUUUUUUUUUAAUCUUUUGGAUUUUUAAAACAAAGAAAAUGAGGAGCAACCAGGGAGAUAAAAAGGGCGCCAAGGCAACUGUGUGUUGGGUUUAGAGCCCAAAAAAAAAGGAGGAUAAGACAUCGUGUUCUUGUGGAGACCAGACCUAUUACGUAACGUCCCCUUCAAUACCACUUGUUCCGUAUCUGGUUUUUUCUUCGUCUUUUACAUAUUUAUCCUGUGAUUUUACAAUAACUAAAUAAUCCCCGCAUAGUUUGCAAUUUUAUUCAUUUGAGCCCUACAGAUUUCAGUAAUAGGUAGAGUUGGCAAAACGGGUCAUCGGGUCGUGUUCGUGUCAUGUCAAAUUUAAGUCGACCCAAACCCGACCCAUUUAAUAAUCGUGUCAAAAUAUUGAGACCUAAAUCCGACACGGAAAAAUAAUCGGGUUACCCAAUAACUCGUUUAAUAUCAAUAUAUUGAACAAAAGUUACAUCAAAUAUUUACACACUAUCAUACAUACAUACAUAAUUUAUCGAUAUUAUAAAAUAUAUAUAUCUACUAAUAUAUUACACAUUUACACUAUUGAGGUUUUAAUUAUAUAUAUAUAUAUAUAUAUACCUACGAUGAUUGUUUAAGCCGCGGUAAACGCUUCUAGAACGCCCUCUGGCAGGAAGGAAGGUACUCAAAGAAAGUGGAGAUGAGGGAAACUCCGCUGGAGUGAGGGGAUUUAUCGGAAUCUCGUUCAGAGUGAGGAGUCAAUGAGGGUUUGCUUGUACUUGUGGUUCUAUUGAUAGGUGUUUGCAAUGGGCUUUCGUCUCAGGUAGUUCAGUCUCCGGGGUUACGCUUAGUUUCAUAUAAAAUAAAUGAAGAAGACAGCUGGACUUCAGAGUGGGAUCCUCCUAUGUUGUCGGCUGUUUGUUUGUCCGCAGCUAUUACAGCUUGUGCUCGAAUAUAUAUGUAUCCAUAUAUUUCCAGAUAUUAUAUAUCAAUAUAUAUAUAUAUUAUUUAUCAAUAUUAUAAAAUCUACAUAUCUAUCAAUUUUUUCACAUUUACACUAUUGAAGCUCUAAAUGUAUUUAAAAUUUUAUAAAUAAAAUAUUAUGUUUAUAUUCACCCUUUUAAAGAAUAAAAAAGAAAAUCAUUACUAAUAUUUGAGUUUUAAUGAUAAGAAUAUGUAAAUUAUUUUAAAAUAGAAAAUAUAAUCGGGUCAUUGAUCGGGUAAAUGGGUCAAGAAUUUUAACUCUAACCCGACACGGAAAAAAAUCGUGUUGACCCGGACCCGACCCAUUUAAUAAUCGUGUUAAAUUUGACGACCCAUAUUCAUUUAUUUAUGUCGUGUUCGUGUCGAGUAAUCGGGUCGUGUCAAAUUUUGCCAGCUCUAGUAAUAGGAAUUAUUAAGGGACAAGAGCGCAAAACAAAAACUCUGUCCACUACUGAUGAUAUAACAACGAACCUUUGUUUUUUUCUUCUUUUUUUUUUACAAAAUAUCAUUAGAGAAAUGAAAAUAUUAACUAACAUCACCCUACUGAUGAUAUAACAACGAACCUUUGUAGUUUCUGCCUGUUAAUAUGAAUUGAUCAGGAGUGUUUCCUCACUUAAAAAUUACGAAUUUACAAAUAUGUAUGUAAGUAUGUAUGUAUGUACGUACGUACGUGAGUAUGUAUGUACAUAUAUGCAUACACCUAUGUAACAUUUACUUAUCCAUCCUUUUGAGUUUAAAACUUAAUACACAUUUUCAUGAAAUUUUUAUUUUAUUAAGUAUACAACUACAGUAAUGUAUAUAUUUUUUAUAUAAGACAUGCCGUCAUAUUAUUCAUAAGUAAAACAAUGUGUUGUAAAUAGUUUAAUUAUUAAAUAUCAUACAAUAUCUUUCAACAACCGGCAAUAGACCUUUACCCAUUUUUCUUUUUCGACCAUUAGAUUCAUUCAGUUUACAUCCAACGGCAGUUUAGGAUGGAGACAAAAAGUGUGGUACGUUACCACAGUGGUAACAUUGGAUUGGGAUUGUAUGUCGUGUUUAAUUUGAAUUGGUUGAUUCCUCUAAUGAAUUAUUUUGAUAAAUUUAGUAGCAGUAUUUGGCGGCAAAAGUAUCAUUAAUUUUUGGAAAUAUGAUUAUGUUAUUAAUUAUUUUAGCAUUCUAAAAAGUCAAUGGUUAUGUUGGAAAUACUCUAAGGUAGAAUAGAGUACAAAUCACAGUCACACAUACAAAAUGAUAAAUAAUAAAAAAUAUAUUAUAUUUUUGAUCAUAUGAUUAUGAAGACGUAUUUUACCUUAAAGAAGUUCUAAUAAGCGAAUUCUUCUAAAACAAUAUAAAAUUUCUUUUUUAUCAUACUCAACCGCUUCAAACUUCUAAGAAGUAGAUAUACAAUGAGUGGAAUACUGAAUUGAGUGCGAGCUGCGGAUAAUAUAUAAAAUUGGGAUACAAGCUUCAAGGAAAGUGUAUUGCUAUUCAAAUGUAGAUUUCAAAUUAAGAAGAUAUGCCAGCAAAUUGUAUAAAAAUGUAUAAAUUGAUCAGUAACAUUAAUUCCAAAUGAUGAAAUGAGUUAUCUUGAUCAAAAGGUCAAGAACCUACCUUACUUCUCUUAGAGAUAACUUGCAUCAACCGUUGUGGUAUUGAUACUUGUCUUCAGCUAGUAAAAGACUAAAAGUGAAAGUUUCACAAUUGAAAUAAAGCUAAGGGAAGAUGCUAUGCUCCAUUUAUUAUUAUUAUUAUUGAUGUGGUCGAGAAGUAAAGCCAUGCAUAUGAUGAAGUAUAAAUAAGAAUGCAAUAGCCCGGAAUUCAUUUACACAAACACUUCAAUAUCCUUUUGAUCACUUUUGCAAACAUCAGUUUGUCUCUUGUAUUCACCAUGGUUGAUGCCAUCGUUUCCUCUCUUGUGGAGCAGCUGACUUCCUUCGCUGCUAAAGAGAUAAUACAACAGGUGAUCGAAGUUACACCCCCCAUAUUAUAAAUACUUCUAAUGAUUUUAAUUGGUUUUGUUUUUAUCGGAAACAUUAACUUUGCUUUAUUUUAUUUAUUUAGGCAUUUUAAAUUUUAAAAUUUGAAUUGAAUUCAAUUAAAAUGUGAUGUAGCUAGUAACCACUUUUUUUAUUUCAUUUAUAUUCUCAAUAACUACCCAUAUUUUGGUAACUUACUGUAACCCCCGUAUCUAAGAAAUGAUUAAAACCCACAAUUUUAACUCCACAUAAAUAUUCCAUGUUGAGCUAAGUUUUUGCAUAACAUUCAAGUUUGUUAAAUAGUCAUUAAUUUAAUGUUUAGUAAAAACUUAUCUCUGAAAAUUUUCAUAAUUUUCUUACAUUCUUUGAGUUUGGUGAGUGACUUCAUAUAAUUUCUUUUCAAUUUAAAUUUUAAUUUGGUUUCUGAUAUAGUCUCUUUACUGAAUUUAUAUCUUUUAUGAUUCUUGGAUUUUGGGCUCCAACUUUUUAGGAUUUGAUAGUCACAUUUUAUGGCAUGCUUAGAUUGAUUUUCAUGAUUUGAGUACUCGUUAAGUGACUGAGAAUUUGACAAAAGUUUGAAAGGAAAUCCGUUUCACGAUUCUUAUGUGGAAGGUUCGUAAAAUCAUGAAAUUUGGAUAGGAUUCGCUAGCAAUAUGUACAAGACUCUUCAUGAAGUUUCAUAAUUUUUCGUUCGGUCUGGGGUGGUACAGGUGAAACUUGUGGUUGGUGUUAAAGAAGAAGUGAAAAGCCUUAUCAGCCACCUUCAAGCCAUUCAAGCUGUGCUCGAUGAUGCAGAGGAAAAGCAAGUGAAGGACAAAGCUGUUAGACAUUGGCUGGGCAGGCUCAAGUAUGCAUCCUACGACAUUGAAGAUGUGUUGGAUGAGUGGAUCACAGCUAGACACAAAUUGCAAAUUGAGGGUGGCGUUGAUGACAAUGCUCUUGCUGCUCCUCAAAAGAAAAAGAAGGUAUGUUUCUGCUUUCCUGCCUCUUGUUUUGGAUUCAAACAAGAAGAAUUUGGUUUCAGACAAGUCUUUCUACGUUAUGACAUUGCCAACAAGAUCAAAGAAAUGAAUAAAGAGCUACAUGAUAUUGCCACUCAAAAAGACAUGUUUAAUCUUGUUAAGAGUGGCAAUAAAAGUGGUGAAAGACCAAGGCGUGUACAGAGUACCUCCUUGAUUGAUGAGGAAGAGAUUUGUGGUAGAGUUGGUGAGAAGAAUGAACUCAUAAGCAAGCUGUUGCGUGAGAGUAGCGAGCAACAAAAAGGCCUCCAUAUGAUCUCAAUUGUUGGUAUGGGAGGCAUAGGGAAAACUACUCUUGCACAACUAGCUUGUAAUGAUGACGUGGUGAAGAGAAAGUUCGACAAAAUUCUGUGGGUGUGUGUAUCAGAAACUUUUGAGGAGUUUAGGGUUGCCAAAGCAAUCGUUGAAGCUUUGGAUGGUCGUGAAUCUCAUUUAGGUGAAUUCCAAUCUCUUCUUAAACAUAUUGAUGAAUCCAUUGCAGGGAAGAGCUUUCUUCUUGUCUUAGAUGACGUGUGGGAUGGAAAUUACUUGAAAUGGGAACCAUUCUAUCGUUGUCUAAAGAAUGGUCUCCAUGGAAGUAAAAUUUUAGUUACCACACGUAGUGGGUCCGUUGCAUCCACGAUGGGAUCCAUAGAUAUUAUUCCCAUUGAGAAAUUAGCUGAAGAGGAAUGUUGGUUGUUGUUUAACAAGAUAGCAUUUUUUGGUAGGCCUAUCGAGGAACGUGAAAAAUUCGAACGAAUUGGGCGAAGAAUUGCUGGCAAGUGCAAAGGUUUACCUCUUGCAACAAAGACAAUAGGUAGUCUCAUGCGUUCUAAACAAACUGAAGAAGAGUGGAAAAGAAUUUUAAAUAGUGAUUUAUGGAAAGUAGAAGAGAUUGAGAAAGAUGUUUUGUCCUCUUUAUUGUUGAGUUACAAUGAUUUGCCAUCUAGAGUAAAAAGAUGUUUUUCAUAUUGUGCUCUCUUUCCAAAAGACUACGAUAUAGAAAAAGACAAACUAAUCACAUUGUGGAUGGCUCAAGGUUAUCUUAGUGCAGAAGAAGAUGAGGAGAUGGAGACUAUAGGUGAAGAGUAUUUUAGCAUCUUAGCUUCUCGCUCUUUCUUUCAAGAGUUUAAGAAAAGUUAUGAUAAUCGGAUUAUAGAGUGUAAGAUGCAUGAUAUGGUACAUGAUUUUGCCCGAUUUGUAAGUCAAAAUGAAUGUUUUUCGAUGGCAAUUAAUGGUAGUGAAGAACCAAACGCCACAAACUCUGUUGAUGAGAAGGUCCGUCAUUUAAUGUUAAUCUUUAGUAUAGAGGCUUCAUUACCUGUUUCCACUCCUAGAGUUAAAAGAAUGCGUACCCUCUUAAUUAACGAUAGUAGAUCUGAUCAAUCAUUAUUAAAUGGUGAGAUCCUAGAAGAAUUGUUUAGGGAAUUGACAAGUUUAAGGGCAUUAGAUUUUGACAAAUUGUACCACUCAAUUUGGUCUUCGACUCUGGAGAUUCCGAGAAACAUAGAAAAGCUGGUACAUUUAAGAUACCUUAAUUUGUCUUCUCAGAAAAUAGUGGAGCUACCGGAGACAUUGUGCGAGUUAUAUAAUCUAGAAAAGUUAGAUAUUAGUUUUUGUUUUGAUCUUAGAGAAUUACCUGAAGGGAUUGGGAAGUUAAUAAACAUGAAGCAUUUACUAAAUUAUGAUACUGAUUCUUUAAGGUACAUGCCAGUAGGGAUUGGGAGAUUAACGGGUCUUAGGACCUUGGAUGAGUUCCACGUGAGUGCAGGAGGAGCUGUUGAUGGUAGGAAAGCAUGUAGGCUUGAAUCUCUUAAAAACUUGGAACACCUUCAAGUAUGUGGUAUACGUAGACUGGGUGAUGUAUCAGAUGUGGGCGAGGCUAAGCGAUUAGAACUUGACAAAAAGAAAUACCUCUUCAGUUUGACCCUUGAGUUUGAUAAGAAGGAGGAAGAAGAAGGAGAAAGAAGGAAGAACGAGGACGAUCAACUUCUUCUUGAAGCCCUGCGACCACCUCUGGAUUUAAAGGAAUUAGAGAUACGGUUCUACCGAGGCAACACUGUUUUCCCCAGCUGGAUGACGUCAUUAACCAACUUAAAGAGUUUAAAACUCUCUUUCUGCGAAAAUUGCGAGCAGCUGCCUCCUUUGGGAAAAUUGCCGUCCCUUGAACAGCUCUUCAUAUCGUACAUGUCGAGUGUGAAAAGAGUGGGUGAUGAAUUUUUGGGGAUAGAAAGUGAUCAUCAUGGCUCAUCUUCAUCUUCAUCGGUUAUUAUUGCCUUCCCCAAAUUGAAAUCACUUUCAAUUGAGUUUCUGUGCGAAUUGGAGGAGUGGGAUUAUGGGAUUACAAGAACGGGAAACACCGUCAUCAACAUCAUGCCACGUCUUUCUUCCUUGACAAUUGCUCUUUGCCCCAAAUUAAAGGCACUGCCCGACCACAUUCAUCAAACGACAACAUUGAAGGAAUUGCACAUUUGGGAUUGCAGGCUUCUGGAAGAACGUUAUUGCAAGGGGGAAGGAGAAGACUGGCCUAAGAUAUCACACAUUCCCAACCUCCAUAUUGGGCAUUGACAAGUAAUUUCUUCUCUUACUCUGAUUUGCUUUGUUGUUGUUUUUAAUCUAAUUAAGAAGCGUAAAUAGCAUUUUGAAUCAAACUCUAUAUCAGAAAUCUGCAAUACUUACUUUCUAAUAUUCUGAUUUUCAUAUCCUAUGAAUAUACGAUUUUUAAUUUGUGAGAUGGGUAACGUUACUGUAAAAGAUUAUUAAUGCAAUAUGAGUAAUUCUUUUGCAGGACAAGUGACCUACAUUUAGUUUGGCUUUGGAGUUGAAUAAUAACCUUUCGGGAACUGGUGUGGACUGGCAAAGGAUGAUGAGAUAGUUUUUUGAGUGAGUAAAUUUUGGGAGCUUGAGUGUAUUGGGAUUUGCAAUUACAAUCAUCGUCUGCCUCAGGUGAUUUCUUCUCCUGCUCUGUCAUUGUUUGUUCUCUAAUUCAAAAGCAUAAAAUAUUUCAAUCAAUUUUUAUGCCAGGAAUAUGCAAAAGUUUCUAAUAUUUUAUUUCCAUCUGUCACAAGAUCAAACUGAAGCAGAACUCAAACAAAAGUAUGCUACUUCUUGCGGAAAUCUUGCCUUCGUUCAAAUUAUGAAACCAUUUCCAUGCAGCAAAUUCAUCCAAAAGUUUGAAUAAGUUUCAUGGUUGGACACUGUUGGCUUCUUUUUCUUCUGGGGUGCAUUUAGGUGCUAUCAAGUGACAGCUGUAAGUAUGAUUGCACUAAGCUGCUGCUGGGAAAUUUGAGGUUUUGAUGGCUGCCCAUGUUAUUUUCAAGAAACUAUUGAUGUAAGAAGCCGUGGUUCUUUUCAUCAGCUUGAACCUGAAACUGUCGCUAUGGAUAACUCAGGUUUUUGUUAUCAACUAUAUCAUCUUUUUCACUAUUUUGAAACUCUUAAGAUUAAACGUUAGUAAAGUUGUUUCAGCUAUUCAAAUGAAAAACUCAUUGAUUUGAGACUUCCUUCAUUAUUGUUUCUAAUUACAAUGCUAACGAUCCAGAUAAAAUAAUAUUUAAUCGGCGAAGGUGUCCCUUGGAAGUACAUCCUUCUUUUUCUUUUAUUAUAUAAAUUCUUGCAAUGAGCUUAGUCAAGAUGUUGUGCUAAUCAUGCCACUGCAUAUAAAUUCUCCAGAAGUUAAAAUCAAUAAAUUUUCUAUUAGCUCUAGUGCUUUGACCUAAAUGCUAUUCUAUAUUCUGAUUACAAUGUUUUAACCUUUAAAUUAACUACCCCUAGGUGUUGGAUUUUCUAGAACUUCAAAAUGAUUAAUGGAGAAAGAUCCCAUUAUCGUUAUUGCUAUAAGAAAUUGAUUUAUGCAUCCAAAGAUACAUUAUAUAUUUCUGUGUCUCUAUUUAUAGAUGACAUUUAAGCAUCCAUAAACCGUCAGACAGAGGAAGGGGGUUCAGUGCAAAGAUUCUGUUGACCUAGGGUUGACUGCAUAAUGUCACUUGUUCGCAAUCUAUUAUUUAUUUUAUAUUUUGAAGAAUUUAAUGGGUAAUCCUAAUUGUUUGUUUUGGCAGGUAUGUGUUGUUUUCUCCUUCUAUCUAACAGUCGUACCUAAAUAGCAUAGUUUCAUCUGUGUUACCAUGUGAUGUACAUAAUUUCACAUUUGCCUCAGAUUAAGCUUAAUUUCCCACAGAAUAGAGCUGUCGCGACUGGACUUAGGUUGAUGUCCAAAGAGGUAAAUUAUUGGCAUGCCUAGAUAAUUUGGCCAUUUCCUAAUUCAUAAGUCUACAUUAAUUUUGAUUUUGAGUUGACUGAUUUCUUUUCAAGGUCUGCUUCCUUAACGGAGUGACCAAUGUUUUUCAACUAAAUUUAUCAUAUGAUGCAGGAAGCAGGGCAGGAUAUGAAAUGAGAAGCUCAUUGGUGGAAGUAUUGCCAGUAACAGAACCCAAAGAAAAUGAAACUAUUUCAAGGCAGCAGUUGGCAGUUGCAAGUGAAUGGAGGCCCUGACAAAAUUCUCAAGCGGUUGCAAUGCAAUUACGAUCAUCCUCAGCCUCAGGUAAUUUCUUCUCCUGCUCUGUUUUUAUUUGUUAUCUAAUUAAAAAGCAUAAAGUAUCUUGAAUCACUUUCUCUAUCUGGAAUAUAUGCAGCAGUUUCUAAAAUCUUCAUAUGAGUGUAAUGAUGGUAAUUUCUGUUUUUUGUCUGUCAUUGAAUGUUAGACAACUUUCAGUGAGACUCUUGAACCGAGACAUUUUUGACAACUGAAGGACAAUUGCUGAAGAGUCGGAAUGGUGCUAGAUUGGGGAAUAAAGACAAAGGAGGUAAAUUAUUUGCAGUUUAUUCAGCAUUAUUUGCUUUGGACCAGCGCCUGAUUCACAAGUCUCCAUAAUUUGGCUUUUGACCAGUUAAUAAAUUUUUAAUUCCAUUGGUGCUAAAUGUACACGUGAAGCAGGCAGAGCAGGACUGUGGAAAUGAGAAGGUUUUUAGUGAAAGCUUAAACUCAGGUAAUUCUAAAAAGUACAUGUUUUUGCUGAUUUAUCUAAAUCAGGAAAUUUUAUUUCCAUCUGUUACAAGAUAAAACAGAAACAGAACACAAAGAAAAAUAUUCUACUUCUUGUGGCAAUCUUGCCUUCAUUCAGACAAUGAAACCAUUUCCUUUCACCAAUUUCUUCCAAAAGUUUGAAUAAGUUUCAUGGGUGGACCUAGUUAGCUUCUUUUUCUUUUGGUGCAUUUAGGUCCUAUCAAGUGACAGCCAUAAGUAUGAUUGCAUUAUUGGGAAAUUUUAGGUUUGGAUGGCUCCCCAUGUUAUUGCCAAGAAAGUCCUCAUGUCAGAAGCUGCGGUUCUUUUCAUCAGCCUGAACCCGAACCUGUCGUUAUGGAUAACUCAGGUUUUUGUCAUCAACUAUAUCAUCUUUUUUACUGUUUUGAAACUCUUAAGAUUAAACUUCAGUAAAGUUGUUUCAGUUAUCCAUGUAAUCAGGCUAAGGAUAUUUAGCAGCUUAUUUAGGCAACUGCCAGAAUUCAGUUUGUUAGCUCGAAACUUGUAUGGUGACAAGGAUACUGGCAAGGAUAGUGAGAUAGUUUUUUGUGUGAGUGAAAUUUGAAAGCUUGGGUGUUCUGGGAUUUGCAAUUGCAAUCAUCCUCUGAGUCAGGUGAUUUCUUCACCUGCUCUGUCUUGAUUUUCUCUCUAAUUGAAAGCAUAAAGUAUUUCAAUCAAAUUCUGUACCAGGAAUACGUAAAAGUUACUAAUAUUUUAUUUCCAUCUGUUUGCAUUGAUAACUCGGCGGCAUAUGUUCUAGUUAAAGAACAAACAGAAACAGAGUUCAGGAAAAAGUUUCUUCGGCCACCAUAUUUGAAAAUGAAACCAUUUCCAGGAAGCAGUUGGCAGCAAAUUCAUAUGGAGUGUAGACAAUGAUGAGCAAAAAGGUGAUUCGCAAUUUCUUUUUUUUUUUAAGUGAAAUUAUUUGUUAGAUUGAAGCUGAUAUUGUAAGAAGGCCAUUGAGCUAACCUAUGUCGCCACUUGCCUAGAUUGCAGGGGGUCAAGACUCAAAAGAAGCACUGAAAUUUAAAAAGCAUGCAAUAGUUCUUUUGCCAUGUGUCAAUUAAUGCAAGUUUGAAUAAGUUUAUUGGCUGAACGAUGUUAGCUUCUUUUCCUUUCGUGCACUUUGGUAUGCUAUCAAGUGACAGCCGUAUGUAUGGCUUGCAUAUAGCUGCUGCUGGGAAAAUUGACGAUUUCAUGGCUGGCCGUGUUAUUGUCUUAAAUUAGUUGUGAUAAGCUGUUGCUUGGAGAUUCUGUUGCCAAGAAUUUGCUCACAUCAGAAGCUGUGGAAUCUGAACCCUUCGAUUCUGUUGCCAAGAAUUUGCUCACAUCAGAAGCUGUGGAAUCUGAACCCUUCGUUAUGUAUCAUCUUUUUCAUUGUUUUAAAACAGUAAACUCUCAGGACACUGAGCAGGCAAAUGUUAUAACUCGGUUUGUUAGCCAAAAACUUGUUGAAGAUUCUUGACAAAGCUGCGUCGAGUGAAUUGUCGGAGCUCUGAGGGUGAGAGAAAUUAGAGGGUGUAUAGGGAUUUGGAUUUGUUAGGAAGUUAUCAUUUUUAUUUGUCCGAUUCAAAACUUGAUAUUCCAAUUAUAUUCAUAAGCUUCUACAGUUAUCUUCAAAAAGACAUUCCAAUUAUAUUCAUAAGCUUCUACAGUUAUCUUCAAAAAGACAAAUGGAAGGCUUUGAACGGCUUGGGUCUGAGUAUUGUAGUUUGAUUUAUUUUGAUGAAAGAACCUUUUGACAUUAAGAUUCUUUCAUGAGUUAAACAUUCUUUUUAAAACCAACUUAUUAAAAAAAAAGUAACGAACAUAUAUUAUUUUGUUAGUGCUUUUUAAAUCAAAUAUAAAAAAGAGAACUGUAAUUCUUAGCAACCAAUUUUUCAUUGAGUACACCUACAACAAAUUAUUAAAAAAUAAAGCGAUAGAAAAUGCCUGAUUUUUCGUACUUUCUAAUUACUUUUGGUCCUAAAAUAUGGCGAUUUGUGUAAUAAUAAGCCCAUGUAUAUCUUUAUGCCAUUAGUUUGAUAAAUAACUAUCAAGGAUAACUUAUUAAGCUAAAAAUAUUUGAAGGAUAAAAUGGGAAAACUAAAAGGGUGGAGUAAUAAAGUUAUUUAAGAUUACAUAGUAAGUUAACUAUAUUCGAGGGAUAAAAUAUUAAAACUUGAAUAGUUAUAUUAAAAAUAUCUCGGCUAUUAUACUAUUAAACCAUAUGCCGUAAUAAUGUUUUUUUUCAAACUUUAAAAAAUUCAGGAUUUUAAAUUAAAACAUGGAUUUCUUUAAGAUGCUAUAUGUGUUUUUACAGUAUUGAUAGUGGGAUUAGUGUGUACCCUUAUAUGAAAGAGUUUUAAUCUGAAUCAUUCAUUUAAUAUAAUAGAUAAUUAAAUAAUUAAUUAAAAUAUAGCAGGUAACUUAUAGGUUGCAGGUAAAAAAUUAAUUUUUUAAUUUUAAAUUAAAAUUAAUUUGGAACAAAACCAUCCACACCCCUAAGGUUUACUUAAAUGAUCAUAUAAAUCCCUUUAGUUUCUACAUAGUUAUACAGACCCUCUUAAUUUCAUAAAUUAUUAUUAUACUUUUAAUUAAAACAACCUAAAUGAAUAUAAAUAUAGUAAUAGGAUAGAAAUAAUAAAUAAAUAUCAGAUGAAACAAAUAAAAUAUUACAAUAAAUACAAUUAAUUAAAUAACAUGUAUGAUGAAAAUUUUAUUCAUAUUAAGUUAUUAUUAGUCUAUCCCGAUGGAUUUACUCAAAUCAAUUAAUCCAAAAUUUAAUUUUAAGAUUGAUAUUAAUAUGGACAUAAUUAAAUAAGAUGUUGUAAUAUAUACUACUUUGAAUGUUAAGUAUAAUUAUCUAAUAUUAUUAGUAUGUGAAAUAGAUUUUAAUAUUAUUAAAGAAUAUGACAAUAUAUAAUUUUGAAUUAAAUUUUUUAGUAUUCAUGAUAUUUUAUAAAUUUUAUGUGAUUUUAUAUAUUAUAUUUUUUAAUUUUAAUGUAUUAUAUAUGAUCAUUUAAGCAAAUUUUGGAGGUGCGGUGGUCUUUUCCCUAUUAAUUUUGUAGCAUAUUUAAAGUGUUAUAUCAUACAUGAUACAUCACACUUUUGUUAAAGUGUUAUGUUAUUAAAAAUUAAACUUUGCAUUUAUAAUAUACUACCAUUUUAAUGUAAAGGUAAUAGAAAAUAUGAAGAUAUUUUUAAGUAGUCAAUUGUAGCUUUCUUUUACAAAAUAGCAGUAUAGAAAUACAAUUGGUAAAAUGUAAUAAAAAUGGUAUGGAAAAAAGUUAGUAGAGGCAAUUAUUCUUGUAGUUGCUAAAACAUAUGAAGUGACACACACACACACACACAUAUCAAGUACUUGUAUGUUCCCCUAACUUUUAUUAAUGGGAAGGAAAUUAAAUUCGUAAUUUUCCCGGUGAAUUAUGAAUUGAUAAAUGAAAUAUAAAUAUUAGUAAAAAUUAAUUUGUCGACUAAAGAAGUAAACCAUAUUUUAUGGGCAUUUAAUACAUUAAUUUAAGGUCAAAUGAGAUAAUAUCACAUGAUAUUUGAUACAAGAGUCCAAUUUUCAACAUUUGCAUAUAGUUUCUAAGCUAGUAAUCUAAUAAAAUAUACCAAAUGAGAAAUUGAAGGCUAUUAUUUAUAUUUCACCAUUGGACAAACACCAUACAUUAGAAUAAAAAAAUCUCACAGUAGAGACGGCAUCUGUUUGCAUGUUUUGAAAAUAGAUUUUGAAAUUAGUUUAAUUACAUGAUAAUUAAAUUAUAUUAUAAAAUUAAGAAUAUGAUUUAAGUACUAUUUUAGCAAUUUUGAGUCUCACAUUGAGUAUUCAAGUUAAUUAAAUGUUGAAACUCUUUUCUAUUUGGCUUGAAAUCACUACUAAAUAAAAUUACAAAAAGUCAAUAAUGAAUGAUGUAGGACACAUAUGUAAAAUAAAUUUUAAAGUGUAAUUAAACAUUCCUAUCAAUAUUAGUUUUGCAUACAUAUUCAUAUAUUUUACCGAAACCAUAUAUAAUUAAAUUUUGUGUAAUUAAGUAAAAUAUAUUAUUCAAGUGAAUUUAUGAGAAUAUUUAAAAUUGUAGGGGUCGUCACUGAAAUUUGCCAAACUUGAGCCAACCGUGCAUGAUCCAAACAGUUUAUUUUAAUAAUUCUCAAUAUGUUAGUCUGUUUGACUGUUGGCAAAAUAAAUUCCUAUCAGCAAUGCAACACAAUUCAAAAUCAUAUCUGCAUACAACGAACAAUAUCUCAUGAAAGAUCAAAUUAUACAUUUUUUACACCAAACCAUAAAUAUCUAAAUUGUCCCUCUUCAACUCACCAAGCUCAUACCUAACAACAGCAAGAUUAAAUGUCAUUUGAUCCAUCUUUUUUAUUAAGCUUUAUCAAUUCUUCUCAUGGUUGCAAUUUUGAAAGCUCGCUUCGCUAUUUCCAUUUGCUUUUAUGCUUUGUUUGAGCUCCAUCUUUUCUCUCCAUCUACAUUUUACACUGUAAAAAAAAUUUUAAAAAAAUUACAAAGCUUCUUAUGCUAGAAUAUGAGCAACAAUAUAAAUAAUAAACAAUAAAGUUAUGAUAGCACAGCAUGCUCAUUAAAGUGCUUCUUUUUUUUUUUUUUCAACAAGAAAUUACUACUGAAUUAAAGAUUUGGCUUUGCAUUAAGGUUUGCCUUCAAUAACUCAACUCCCCACUUGGGUUUUGUCGUUUUCUUAAAAUCUCUGCUCAAUCAAUUUAAAGAUCCUUUUUUUUUUCUUUCCAAAGAUCUAAAAGCAAUGUCUUUUAUUGGUACCCAACAAAAAUGCAAGGUCUGUGAGAAGACAGUUUGUCCAGUUGAGCAGUUAUCUACUGAUGGGGUUGUUUAUCACAAGUCUUGCUUCAAGUGCUCUCACUGCACUGCAAAGGCACACUCAAGCUAAGCAAUUACUCAUCCCUGGAAGGUGUUCUUUACUGUAAGCCUCACUUUGAGCAGCUUUUGAAGGAGUCGAGUAACUUCAACAAGAAUUUCCAAUUACCUGCAAAGUCAGCUGAGAAGUUAACUCCUGAGCUGAAAAGGUCGCCUAGCAAAGUUGACAGCAUGUUCUCUGGGCCCAAUAAAAAUGUGCUUCUUGCAGUAAAACAGUGUGUCCGUGGGAGAAGGUAGCAGCGGAAAACCAAGCCUCUCACAAGACAUGUUUCAAGUGCUCACAUGGUGGUAAUUCCAUUAGCCCGUCAAAUUACGCAGCCCUAGAAGGCAUCUUGUAUUGCAAACAUAAUUUCUCCCAAUUGUUCAAGGAAAAAGGCAGCUACAACCACCUUCUAUCAAAUCUGCUUCCAUGAAGCGUGCUGCAGUCUCUGUUCAAGAAGCUUGAACAUGUUAUGUUAUCUUCCAUAAAUCUUAUUUGGCGUGGGUUUUCUCUGGCUUGAGGGUGUGCUUUCUAUUUUGAUCCCUCUUGUUGUUUUUGCGGGGAACUACCAAACCUUCGGUUCCCUCUGCUUCUUUGGAUCAUCUUUGUUGGGACAAAUUUCAUGUAAUUAGAGAUACUGAUUUAUGGGAGGCAUAAUCCCAUGGUUGUAAAUUGACCAUUUUCUGGCAAUGUUCUUUUUAAAAAGAGAUGAGCAGUUGUUUAACAAAAAAAAUAGCUGGCCUUCAUCAUGGUAUGUUACCAAACUGCUAUGUAUAGCUGCUAACUAUGAGCAUCCGAAAAUAUGGUGCAUCGUGAUUCAUGUCGUGCAAUAUGGCUACCAACGCAUCCUAAAUGGAGUAUUACUCAGUUAGUCAGCAAAAUAAGACAACAGUAAGAUAUUAAAAAAAUAAAAACUACAUUAAUAAGUGGGCAAGAUCAUGCCAGUUUAACUUUUCGCGCGUCGCUGCUGGAGAUAAUCAAAUCGGGGCAGAGAAAAGGAGAAUGGAAUCAGAGGCUAAGAUUAAUAAGUGGGCUUCUGCUUGCUUUGCCCCUCUUUCUUAAACGAUUGGUAGACUGCUGCUUCCACCGAUUAACCGGGUCUUCAACCACUGCUUUUAUUGCCUGCCAUCUUGUUGUUUGUCGAAGGGAUGAAUUCGAGUCGAAAAGAGAAAGCGCGCUGAAAAAGACAAAUCACUAGUGGUUAACUACUGACUCAGCCAAGUGUUGGCUUCACUUGAUUCACCGAUUGAGGUUAUUUUGUCUUCUAUCUAAUGCAGCGAAGAAGCUUUACUGCUUAACAUGCUGCAAUGCAACUUUAUCUUUUGAAGUUCACACUUCAGGGCUGCGCACUUUAUGUAAUCCUAUGAGUAAAAAGAAUUUAUUUUCAAAUGUGAAAAAAGAAAAUGUAAGGUAGUAACUAAAUAUAUUAUAGCAUCAAAGUAAGAUUUGAUAUGAAUUUAGUACAACAAAGAACAUUAAAUCUGUGAUUCCUUGUCUAAUGUCACCAUCGAGCAACAAAUUUAAAAGCCUACCUAUCAAAUACACGAGGCAAUAAACGGAGAAAAAGUUGAAUUACAAGAACAAGUUUACAAUUCUUGUCAAUGGUUAAUGAUUCGUGAAUUGAGAUAGCAUUCAAGAAUCCAAUUUCAAUACAACAACGUAAAAGAUAAACAGAUGAUGAAUUUUAUGAGAUAAAGAAGGAGAUUGUGUUUUAUCGUAUCUCUAUUUUCUUUCCAUUUAAAUUUAAAAUAAGCUUUUCAACCGGUUAUAAUAUUUUUUGAAAUAAUUAAAUAUUUUUAUUAUUAAAAAUAAUGUGUACCGUUGAUUACAUCUAACGCUACAUAUUUCUUACACUAUUAAUACCGUAAAAAAAAUCAUAGAGGGACCCUUAAAACAUUUUCAUUUGAAAUUAUUUGGUGAAGUGAAAAAGUUAAGAAAGAAAUAGUUGUCCCUUUGGUCAUUUCACAAAAAUGAAAGCCCCAUAUAACAUGGACUUGAAUGGAAGCCCAAUUGUUGUGUUUGAUUUCAAGCUUUAUCGGACCUUUGGACCUGGAUACUUUACUGCGGCCUCUAAGCGCUACAAAUUUUUUUUUUGGGAUAAAAGGCGCUUCAAUGAAAAAGCACUUUAAAACUUUGGAUUUUGCCAAAACUUCAAAGCGGUUGGUCCAGUUACGGUGUUAUGCUAACGGGUUUAAAGGUUCCGAUCCAAUGAGUUAGGGUGGAAUAUGAAUAUAUAAAUCCUAGUCAUGUAAGGACUAGGAUUUGUUUGUUCAUAUCAAGAAAAAAAAUCUGAAAAUUUGAUGAUCAGAAGAUAAAAACACUUAAACACGUUUAUUACAGAGAAACAAACGACAACAUGAUGCUAGUAGUAAUUUUAUUUUUCUUUUAUUGUGUAACGUGGACCAAAAAAAAGGAAAUGAAUUUAAUAAAACCGUCAUUCCGCAAUAAUAAUGUACCAGCCUGGUUUUUAUAAUCCAUACCAUCCUGAUAUAAUUAAACACCAUUAAUAAUGUACCAGCCUUUAAAUAGUAAUUAAUUUAUUUAUCUAAUUCACCAAAUGUCAUUUCCGGUACAUAUCUCCUGGUAUCAAGAAGAGGCAGAACCCAAAGAAACGUUUCUUGUAUCUUCAUAUUUGUGCGAAUUCAUCCUUUCAUUGAGAAUAACCAUUUCCAGGCGGCAGUUGGCAAUCAAUUCAUGCGCAAGUCGAUGCUAUUCAUAGAUAUUAAAGACAAUGAUGAACCAAAGGUGAUAAAUCAUAAAUGCAUAAUUACCAAACCUCCAUCCUUCUCUCAUUAUGAUUUGAUUUUAAAUGAAUUAUUGCUUGGUAACAUUAUUUCCAACCAUUGCAAGAUUAUUAUUAUUUUUUUUUGGGGAGAAAUUUCAAUUGAAAGUGAAACCUUUAGACAUUUACCUAAUGAAGUUAGUUAAUGGGGAGGGUUGGAAAAAUUCCCAAGCCGUUGCACAGCAAUUACGAUCAUCCUCGGCCUCAGGUAAUUUCUUCUCCUGCAUUUUUGUUAUUUGCUAUCAAGUGACAUUCGUAAGUAUGAUUGUAUUAAGCUGCUGCUGGGAAAUAUAAGGUUUUGAUGGCUGCCCAUGCUAUUGUCAGAAGCUGCGGUUCUUUUCAUCAGCCUGAACCUGGACCUGUCGCCAUGGAUAACUGAGGUUUUUUUUUUUUUAAAUCAACUACGUCAUCUUUUCCACUGUUUUGAAACUCUUAAGAUUAAACUUUAGUAAAGUUGUUUUAGUUAUCCAUGUAAUCAGGCUGAGGAUACUUAGCUGCCUAUUUAGGCAAAUGUCAGACUUUAGUUUGUUCGCUGGGAACUGGUGUGGUGACAGCGUCCUGGCAAAGGAUGAUGAGAUAGUUUUUUGAUUGAGUAAAUUUUGGGGGCUUGAGUAUAUUGGGAUUUGCAAUUACAAUUAUCCUCUGCCUCAGGUGAUUUCUUCUCCUGCCCUGUCGUUGUUUGUUCUCUAAUUCAAAAUUAUAAAAUAUUUCAUCAAAUUUUAUGCCGGGAAUAUGCAAAAGUUUCUAAUAUUUUAUUUCCAUCUGUUUGUCUUGAUAACUUUGCAGCAUAUGUACUAGUUAAAGAACAAAUCGAAACAGAGUUCAGUUAAAAGUUUCUUCUGCCGUCAUAUUUGAAAAAUGAACCCAUUUCCAGGAAGCAAUGGGCAGCAAAUUCAUAUAAAGCGUAGACAAUGAUGAGCAAACAGGUGAUUCACAUUAAUGAAAUUAAUUGUUUGGUUGGAGCGGACAUUGUUAGAAGGCUAUUGAGCUAACCUAUGUCACUACUUGCCUAGAUUACAGGGGGUCAAAACUCAAAAGCGGCAUUGAAUUUUAAAAGGCAUCCAAUAAUUCUUGUGGCCAUAUAUCAAUUCAUGUAUGUUUGAAUGUAAUUAUUGGUGAAGGGGUUUCACUUCCCGUCUCUAAAUAAAAAUACUGAUUCUUUAAGGUACCUGCCACUAGGGAUUGCGAGAUUAAUGAGUCUUUGGACAUUGGAAGAGCUCCUUGUGAGUGGAGGAGGAGGUGUUGAUGGUAGCAAAGCAUGUGGGCAGUGGGCUUGAAUCUCUAAAAAACUUGGAACUCCUCCAAGCGUAAGUAUACGUAUACUGGGAAAUUUGUUAGAUGUGGAUGAGGCUAAGAGAUUAGAGCUUGACAAAAUGAAAUACCUCUUUCAUUGAGACUUAAAUUUGAUGGGGAAGAAGAAAAAGAAGAGGGAAGGAGGAAGAAUGAGGAUAAUCAACUUGUUCUUGAAGCCUUGCAACCACCUCUGAAUUUGAAGGAAUUAGAGAUUUGGUCAUACAGAGGCAACAUUGUUUCCCCCCGGAUGAUGCAAAAAUUGAAGGAAUUUACCAAUCUAAGGAGUUUGACACUCUUUAAAACUGCAAAAAUUGAGAGCAGUUGCCUCCUUUGGGAAAAUUGUGAUCCUUUGAAAAUCUCAGCAUAUUGUACAUGGAGAGUGUGAAAACAGUGGGUAAUGAAUUUCUGGGAAUAGAAAGUCAUCUUCAUGACUCAUCUCCAUCUUUAUCAGUUAUUAUUGCCUUCCCCAAAUUGAAAUCACUUUCAGUUGAGGGAUUGAUGGAAUUGGAGGAGUGGGAUUAUGGGAUUAAAAGAACAGGAAACACCUUCACCAACAUUAUGCCACGUCUUUCUUCCUUGGAAAUUAGUGUGGGGUUAUGGGAUCGCACAACCACGUUGAAGGUAUUGCAGAUUGUGGCAUGUGGUACUCUAAGAAGACGUUGCAGACAGGGGAGAGCAGAAGACUGGCCUAAGUUCUCUCACAUUCUAGACAUCAUGAUUGUGUGAAAAGAGGCCCUUGACAAAAUUCUCUAGGCGGCUACAUGGAGUACAAUCAUAAAAUGCUAAUGUGGCCACCCUGGUUCUUAAUUAAGGUUGUGAAAUAUUAUUGUAAAAGAUGAUUAAUUCAAUUUGAGUCAUUCGUUUGCUUUGAUAAUGAUAGUAAUUUUAUAUUUUGACAAUUUGCAAGGUGAGAAUGGUGCUGAUUGGUGAUACAGGAUACGGUUCAAACACCAUUGAAUAAAGCUACGGACAUGGUGGCUCAACUUAGCUAUUGCUGUCAAAAUUGGUAAGUUGGCUUGUCAAUGUAUUGAUGCUUUUGUUUUCUCUCAACCCUAAUUACCUUACCUUCAUUUAGUUUGGCUUUGGAGUUGAGUAAUAACUUUCAAGGUUCUCAAACAGAGCAGGACAACCGAAAAAAAAAGCUUAAUUUGCUACUGAUCACGUGUUACCAAUUAUUAAGGUAAUUCUCGUUUACUUGCUUCUACACUAUAGAGUACGUGUUCUGGCUGGUUUAUCUAAUUCAUCAAAUGUUAUUUCCUUAUUGUUCCAUUGAUAUAUUUGUUAGAAAGUGAAACCAUUUCCAGGCAGCAGUUGGCAGUGAAUUCAUGCAAAUGUUGAUGCCAUUCAUAGAUAUUGAAGACAAUGAUGAGCCAAAGGUGAUAAAUCAUUAAUGCAUAGUUACCAAAACCUCCAUCCUUCUCUCAUUGUAAUUUGAUUUGAAAUGAAUAAUUUCUAGGUAAUUGAAGCCAAUAUUGUUAGAAACGGUGUUGAGCUACCCAAGCUAAGAAGUUGGCUGCCAAAAAAUGCAGGGGAUCAAAAGAAGCAUUGCAUUUGAAAAGGAAUGAGAUUCUGGUUGCUACAUGUCAAUUCGUAGAAGUUUCAAUAAAUUUAAUGGUUCAAGAUUUUAGUUUCUGUUUAAAUUUGUGCUACUGCAGUGCUGCAGUGCUGCUACUGGGAAAUUUAAAUCCCAUAUUAGACUUUCCUCACAUAAGAAGCUGUGGAUCUUCGGACAUCAGGUUUUUUCACAGUUCUGAAACUCUCAGGAUUAAACUCUAUUAAAGUUGUUGUAGUUGUCUACGUUCUCAGGUCAAGGAUUCUAAGCUGCCGAUUAAGGCAAAAUGUCAGAAUUCCCCUAUUAUUUUUUUUUUCAUGUAAAAUUAUGUUGUUGUCUUCGCCCAUGAAUCUUAGCUAAAUUCUGAACCAAUUGUUUGCUAUUAUAAAUUUCAUUGUUAAAUAUUAAUUGUGAUGUUGGUGUUGAGUUUCUUUUAAAGUCAGAGAAGCCUGACGAUUGAGUUCCAUGGGAUUCUGAGAAGCAGUAAUAUUUUGAACAAGUGAAGGUUCUUCGUUUUUACAGUAUGUGCAGAUGUCUAAGAGGCAGGAUUUUUAUUUCUGUAAUGCUAAAUUUCGCAAAACAAUAAAAAUAAAUAAAUGCAUGACAGUGACUUCAAGAAUUUAGAUUAUUGAAUUUGGUCAUUUUAAAAUUGUUGGAAUGUUGAACUUAAGUAAUUUUUAUAAACCAGAGCUCAGAAAUGUAGAAUAUAAAUAUUGGAGAUUUGGACUUCAAUCAUUAGACUUGAAGCUAAAGAGGUAAGCCAUUAAUUAUAUCAAAGGAUUUGGAAAAUGGAGGGAUUGGAAAAAGGAAACAUUUUCAUAAACUUCAAGAGGAACGUCACAGAAAGGGGUAAAGAGAAGAGUAGCCUAAGAUAUUAAAGACAAUGUUGAGCCAAAGGAAACAUAAAUCCCAACCAUUGCAUGUGAACAUGAUCACAAUAAGGUCAAAAACCAUUUUUUUGAGAAUUUUCAAUUGAAAGUGAAACCUUUUGACAUUUACCUAGUAAAGUUAGUUAAACGAGAGAAAUAAAGGGGAAAAGAAAAGUUGACUCAAGUCAAUACAGAAUAAUUAGUUCAAUCUGGAGUAACUAAAACAGAGCCACUAUAUUUUCAAAAAUAUCUGCAUUCAUCACCUUCUCCUCCAGCUAGUGAGCUACACACGAAUCCUUUCCUUUUAGCAUUUUUGCAGCAUCAAUUUCUCCCCUCGUUUGUCAUCAAUUUCUCCCUUCGUUUCACCAAUACCAUGGCUGAUGCAAUCGUUUCCCCUCUCUUGGAGCAGCUGAUUAUCUUUGCUGCUGAAGAGUUGAAACAACAGGGGAAGCUGGUGAGUGUUGGAUGAGUGGAUCACAGCAUGCGCCAAAUCGCAAAAUAGAUCAAUGCUCUUGGUGCUCCUUAUCUGAAGAAGAAGGUGCAAAUUGGGAGCUGCAUUUCACUGUCAUAACAUUUAUUGUAAUUUCAUUUGGAGAUAUGUAAUAUCUGUUGUCCAGAUACAUAUCAUACACCAGUUGCUAUGUAAUUUCGUUUAGGUUCAUUUUUGUUUCUUAAGAGUUUGUAAAAAGAAUGGAAAGAUUUUAAAAUAUAAAUUUCAUAUCUGUUUAUUACUGUUGUUUGGUCUAAUUUCUUAUGUAGAAUUUUCAGAAUCUGUAGGACAUUAGUUUAUAAUUUUGAGAUUUUGCAGCCAUAAAAAAAAUUUUUUUUUUUUGCCAUUUUAUUUUGCUCCUUUAUCUAUGUGCAUGUUGACUGGCUGCAGUGAGUGAAAAUUUACCUAUAUAUGCUGGCUAUUCUUGGACAAUAUUAGAGAAAAUAAUCAUAUUAUUUCGCGUGAUGUGAACUUCCAUAACUUAUCAAUUGAAUUGCUGUAAAAUAUUAAAUAGUUUUAUUUUUCUUUUAUCGUGUAACUUGGACCAAAAAAGGAAAUGAGUUUAACACGACCCUCAAUAUAACCUCCAUUUCAGCACAAUACAUGUUAAUUGUUCCCCAAGGACUUCUCCUGUUUCCCAUUCCCACCUCCAUGCUCUCGAGAGGAAUUUAGCACCCAUCAAUUUUUAUUUUUGAAAACUCGUAAUGGUCUGAUAAAAUUAAACAACAUCAAUAAUGUUACCAGUCUUUAAAUAGUAAUUAAUUUAUUUAAUUUGCCACCUAAAAGAAUCCUGCUGGAAAUAGAGGUUAAAAAUUUUAUUAGAUCUGCUUACCUUUGUUCAUUCAGCAAAAACACUUACAAUUCACAGCUAGAGAAUCUAUCCAUUGACAAUUGUGGAUUAAAAUUAUAACACCUGAAUUCAAACAUAUCCUUAUGAAGUUAUGAAUUUGUUCAUACUUCAAAUGAUUUUUUUUUCCAAGCUAAUAAAGCAACCACUUUGAUCAAACGACGACGUUGAAGGAAUUACGUAUUUUCAAUGUCCUUUUCCAGACAGAUGUUGGAGAGAGGGAAAGGAGAAGACUGGCCUAAUUAAGAUAUCUCACAAAGAUUAUUGAGUUAAAAUGUUAUUGUAAAAGAUGUUUAAUACAAUAAUAGUAAUUCUUUUGCAUUGUUAUAAUGAGGCUGGUGGGUUUCCUCAGAGGAUGGAUAUGGCUCGCUAGCAUGCAUUUGGGAAGAUGCUAAUUAUCGGCCAUAAAAAGUCAGGGGGUUGUGGCUCUUCCGUCGCCCAGAAAUUCCUAAACUCAUAUAUCAAACUUCAGAUGAACUUGGGCAUUAUGUAAAUAUGUAUUUUUGAGAAUUAAACUAGUGCGUUCGAAAAAUUUUGAGCCAUUGUAAUCAUUUUAUUUUGCUAAGAGAAAAUUUUACUUUGUUUCGCUUUGCCUUUUGUUUUUUCUGUGAUAAUAUGAUUCAUACGAAUGUGAUUACACACUAUCAUGCAUCUAUUUUCAUUUGCUUGUCAUGAAUGGUCAACAUGCUCGAAAUAUUUACUUAGGUUGGAAAUAUUUGAAUCCACUAAAAUACUAUACAAACCCAUUUUAAAAUUAAAAAAAUGAUUAUCAUAAUACUCGUGAAGAUAACACGAUAUCAUACAUAAAAUAAAAUAUUUCGCAAAAAAGAUAAGAUACAAAUCUUGAGUAAAUAGGUACAAAAAAUAUUUUAGUGGGUUAAGUAGCACUAAUGCCCCCUUAUCAAAAAAUAAAUAAAAAUAACUAGUCUGAUUGGGUAUACCGUUUAUAUAUAUGUACAUAUUCUUGAUAAUGUGUAAUGUACAUUAUAGACAAAGAUUUUGAAAGCAAUAUUUUUUAAAAAGUCGAGAGAAUAGGAAAAGUCUAAAUCAAUUUUCUAAUCUCUACCUCCUUUAUGAUUUAAACUUUAGUGUUUAGUGUCGCGAGCCACUCAAAUUUUCUAAUCAAAGAGACUAAAUUGCACGAAAUUGUGCUAGCUUAUUUGAUUCUAGAAAUUUCUACUACACUGUAACACACUCUCACGUAGGGAUGGCAAUGGGGAGGGGAGGGGAGGGGACCAAUCUCCCCAUAUCCAUCCCCGAUAUUUUACAUAUGUCCCCGUCCCCGUCAGAAUUGCUUGAGAGAAUCCCCAUCCCCUCCUCGAAUAAUAACAGGGGAUCCCCGAGGGUCCCCGGUCCCCGAAUAACUAAUAAUCUAAUACAUUUUUUUAUUUUCGAUUUUAAAUUAAUCAUAUUAAAAUAAACUCAUACCGCUAUUGUAAGCUCGUAACCAAUUUUGACAGCACAUUAAGGCCUCCAAUGUGCUUGGAUGAAGUCUGUUAUGGUAUGGGCUCACAACUCUACCACUAGUGUUAAAAGCUGAUUCAGAAGCAACUGUUGUAAUUGGAAUUGCCAAAAUAUCUCUAGCAAUUCGAGCUAAUGUAGGAUACCUAUUAGCAUUUGUCUUCCACCAACUCAAAAUAUUAAAAUCUUCCAUCCGAGGUAUAACUUUCUCAUCCAAAUAUGAAUCUAAUUCAUCUGCAACAACUGCACAAUCUCCAUUGUUUACAUAAUCAUCAAAACCUAUCAUCCAUUUGGUUGCUUUCUUAUAAGAAUCCCCUGUAGAUCUAGUAGAAGAACUACUACCAGUAUAAUCAAAGCAAUAAACAGUUGGUGAAAACUUCAAUUAAUACUCUUCAACUAAUUCCCGGCAAAGGAUGACCACUUUCCCAACAUACAACUAUUUUGAUAUUUAUUAUUUUUAACAAUAUUUAUAAUUUUGUUAUUUAUUUAUUAGUAAUUUUAAAAAUAAAAAUAAAAUUAAAAAUUAAAAUGGGGAAAUGGGUAGGGGAUGGGGAUUCCACCUCAUCCCCGUCCCCUCCCCGAAUAAAAAAUUGGGUAAAAAAUUUUCCCCGUCCCCUCCCCGAAAAAAAAAUUGGGUAUAAAAUUAUCCCCGUACCCUCCCCGAAUGGGGAAAAUCCCCGAGGGUAUCCGUCCCCGUGGGGAUUUUUGCCAUCCCUACUCUCACGCUUGUACAUACCUCGAAAUUCUCUAGAAUUUACUAGAGUAGUGUUGCAUGUAGCUUGUACAUAGGUUUUUCUGGAACACUCCAGGCAUUACUAAGCAUGAGAGCCUUGAGAACUCUCUAGCCAUAAAACAUUCUAGGGUAAGCCUACCCUAAAAAUAGGGCAUGAUGCUUGCCACUUGAGCAUACAACAAGUAAGAACAAAUCAAGCAUACUUGUGAGCUCUCAAACUCUCUUAUACACACUUUUAUGAAUAAUAUAUUCUCUCUUUGGCUAUAUUGCUCUCUCUUCUCUCUAGUUUUUUUCGCAAGCAUCAAACCUUAGUUAGUCGAAAAAUUCAAGGCUUACUUUAUAGCUAUCUCGUAAAAGUUGUUUAAGUACCAUAGAGAUUUGCUGUGCAAAAUACUCAUCACAUGACAUUAGCUAAAUAAAAUUGUUUGAAAGCCACUUACCCAAACUAUUAAACGAAUAUUGACUUUUGUCUUAAUUUUCUAUCUCCUACGAUAAAUUUUAUAGUUAAAAAUUGAAAAAAAUUAAUAACUAUUAGAUAGAGCAUUCUUUAUUGUUAAAAGAAAUCUAUAUAGAUAGAUAGAUGGUAAUAUAAAAACUUACUUAUUGUAGUAUAAUGUUUUUAGUUUUUUGAAACACAGAUUCUCACUUUUUAAAGAUAAAAUUCAAAGAAAACAAGUUAAAUGUUGUAGAAAAUCUUCCAGCCAUACAAGAAAUUGUGAUGGCUAAAUGCAAACCUAACUAAAGUAUUAGUUGUUUUAUUACAAUCUCCAAAAAGAUGAGCAAUUCCAAAAUCUUUUUUUGUGACAAUAAACACUACACGUCAGUAAUUAUCCAGGUCAAAAGCAAGCUACUCUAUUAAAAAAAAAAAAAACUUGCAGUGAAUUCGAAGAUAAACCAAUUUUACUAGCAAGUUGGAUACAAAAGAGUAGGGCUUCGGCCUCAAUUACUCAGUGUACCAACAACUCAAUCUCGGUGAGUUAAAAUCAACUUCCAUCAGUCUUUUAUUUGUUGAUAGAUCGAUUAAGGUACCAAAAAGAAUAAUUAAAGAUGUAUUAGUUCAAGUUAAUAAAUUCAUAUAUCUUGUGGAUUUUAUUAUUUUGGAAACUGAACCAAUUGCUAAUGAAUGCAAACAAAUUCCUGUUACAUUGGGUCGUCCAUUUUUAACUACUGCUAAUACAUUGAUUAAUUGCUGGAAUGGAGUAAUGAAUUUAUCUUUCGGCAACAUGACAUUGGAACUUGAUGUGUUCAACAUAUGUAAACAACCUCACCACCAGGAAGAUGAUGAUAAUGAGAAUUAGGAGAUUGAUUUCAUCGAGCCAAUCAUUGAGGAACACAUUCAGAAUAAGAAUUUUACAAAUUCUGUGGAAAUUUAUUCUUCUUGUUCUUUUGAAUCGAGUAAAGAAUUAAAUUAUGAUACUGCUAACAUAUAACCUACAAUUGAUUCUAUGCAGGUACAUGCUGACAAUGGCCAAUCAAACUUUAAAGAUACAGAACAACCUGAAGAACCAAACGAAGAGCAAGUACCAGAGCUCAAAUUAAAGCCCUUACUGGAAGAAUUGAAGUAUGUCUAUCUUGGAGAACAACAGAUUUAUCCUGUGGUAAUUUUUUUCCCAACUCACGCUUGAUCAAGAAGGUAAGUUGUUGUCUGUACUAAAAAGGCAUAAAACUGCAUUUGGCUGGACUUUAAAAGACAUAAAAAACAAUAAUUCUUUAAUCUGCACACACCGAAUACACUUAGAGGAAAAUACCAAAACAACCCAUCAACAUCGACAUUAUAUGUGUAAACAUUAAAUACCAAAAUCAACCCCAAAAACUAUAAAUAAAAUAUCAUGAUUAAAAUGAAGUUUUUUUUUAGAUAUUCGUUGUAGUAUCUCUUUAGAUCGCAAACAAGAGAUAAAAUAAAUAAAUAUUUGCUAUGUAAAUAAAAAUAAAUAAUUUUUUUUAACUGAAAAAUAUUCUCAAAAACUAAAUAGUUCAAACUUUUUUUAACAUCAUGUGUUUCUAGGGUUGGGCAUUCAGUUCGGUUUUUACCGAACCGAACAACUAAAUUAAAUCGAAAUUACCUGUUCGGUUCAAUUGAAUAGACAAAAACCGAAGAGUUUAUAUUUUCAUGAACUGAAUGAUUUGUGUUUCAGUUGAGUUCGGUUCGAUUCUGGACCUGAACCGAACCGAACCGAUCCGUGAAUCGUAAACUGCCCACCCUUACGUAGUAGUUUCCGUUAACCGACGUUGUAUUGCUCGUAUAAAAUUGUUCAAAUGUUCAAAUCACAGUCUCCCGCUCUCAGCUCAGUCAGAGUUUCCAGGUCCAGAGACUUCCCGCUGACUGAGAACUUUUUCGUAGCAGGUCUACAAAUAAUGGAGUAGAGCUGAUUUUAUGAUUAAUUUAUUUCCUUUUUCAAUUUCUCUUGAUUGCGAUUUAAUCUGGAAAGUUAAACGUGAAUUGUUUAGUGCGGAUUAAAUGUUCGACGAAUUUCCCACAAGAGUAUUAAGUUCAAGAGAAAAAAAGAAAACAAUUGAGCGUGAGCGUGAGCGAGAAUGGUGUUUGGGCAAGUGGUGAUUGGUCCGCCCGGCUCGGGAAAGACCACUUACUGCAAUGGCAUGUCUCAGUUUCUCAGCCUUGUUGGCAGGUAACUUCGUUUCUUGAUUUCAAGCAGCUUUAUCUUCGAUGACCAAAAAUAUUGAUUUGGGCUUUGCCAUUAAAUGAAUGUAAGAGCAGUAGGGAAUAACUGAGUUAUAGGAUUAGCUUUAAGUGAACAUUGAUGGUAAUGUGAAGGUUGUAUGUGUUCAGUGGCAAGCUGUAUGCCAAUUUGGUCUAUAUGGUUGCUUAGGUAGUAACUUAUUAAUUUUUAGGCAGGAAGGUUGCAGUCAUCAAUUUAGUUCCUGCUAAUGAUAGUUUGCCGCAUCCUUUGUCAUUGAACUUUCUUACAAAUGCUGUGGUUUGUUGUAGUAUAAUUAGUUCAAUUGGAAAUUUCCUUGAUGUUAAUAUAGAAAUGAGUGUGCUGUGAAUAUUGAGGACCUCAUUAGACUAAGUGAUGUGAUGAUGGAGUAUUCACUUGGUCCCAAUGGAGGUUAGUCAGCCUAUUGUUGUUUACUCUUUCUUGCUUUAUCACGCAAUGAUAUUCCUUUGCUUUACAACAAAUUUCAUGAAAUUAACUUCAAUCAAGUGGCAAUGUUCAUACGCUGUUGAGAUUUUAUGGACAAUGAUUUGGUAGAAUUUAUAUGCCGUCUUCUUUCUUUUUGCAGUGAUAUGCUUGUAUUCAAUGAGCUUGUACUUAUUCUAUGGUUUCUAAAGUAGGUGUUUUUAUGAUAAACUAGGUCUUGUGUAUUGUAUGGACUAUCUAGAGAAGAAUAUUGACUGGCUGCAGUCGAAAUUGGAACUACUUUUGAAAGGUAAGUAGAGGCCAUUUUCCUUCAUUCUAAUGCCAAUAAUGCUGUCAUGAGACUCAUAAAAAUUGUUAAAACGUUAAUGUUUUUGGUAUUUUGCAGAUCGUUAUCUUCUGUUUGAUUUUCCUGGCCAAGUUGAAUUAUUUUUUCUUCAUUCCAAUGCCAAGACUGUUAUAAUGAGACUCAUAAAUAAGUUAAAUCUCAGGGUAUUGUUACAUCUUACAUCUAUGAAGGGACUCAAAGAGUUGAGAUGAAUUCAUCUUUGUUAUUUUGAUGCCAGAAUUGUGCAAUUCUCAGUUUGUUCCUUUCACAUGCAGUUGACUGCAGUGCAUCUAGUUGAUGUGCAUCUUUGCAGUGACCCCAGGAAGUAUGUUAGUGCUUUGCUUCUCUCAUUGUCUACGAUGCUACAUCUGGAACUUCCCCAUGUCAAUGUCUUGUCUAAUCGAUCUGAUUGAGAAUCAUGGAAAGCUAGGUGUGGUUUUAAGUGUAGCUCUCCUGCUUGUUUGUUUAGUUUGAAAUAUCAGAUAUUGUCACAAGAUCCUAUUUGCUACAUUUCCUCACCAAUCAAUUAUUUUGGGUCUGUUGCAGCUUUUAAUCUCGAGUACUAUACAGAUGUGCAAGAUUUGUCAUAUUUACAGCAUGCUCUCGGUCAGGACCCUCGUUCUGCUAAGUACAGGUUUGAAUUCUAGCUGAAUCAAUGAUGCAAAUUAUGUCCAUUGUUAUUUCUGCUGUUGUUUCUAUCAUUUUCAAUUGUUACUUCCCCUUUCCAUCUACUACCACACUACAAUACCCACACAAAUGUUGUGAAAUUUGUCAAUGGAAAAAAAACAGUUCCUCUUUUAUUUUGAUCAGACUCAAUGAAUAAGUGGUUAAAAUGUGCCUGUCCUAGAAAUAUAGAUGUGUGGUUUCGUAAAAUUUUCUUGAUCUUAAGAAAGAGUUAUCUCGAAAAGAAGAUAACAUGGAGAAUUCAACAACUAUACAGUCAUAUUGAUGUCUGUCAACUUGGGUCAUAUGGUGUCGUUUGGAUGGAGAUGUUAGGUCCCAGAUGGUAAACUUGUUAUCGAAUUCCAGUCUACUUCAUUCAUGCUUUGAUGACAUAUACGGUGCAGCUUCUUAUCUAAGACCUGCAUAUGUUCAAUCAUCAUUCUGUUCUGUAUUUGGCUGCCAUUCUUUUCAAUGAAUUCAAACCACUUCUGAAUACUUGCAAAUUCAUCCAGUGUUGUCAUUGAGAUGCCAAUAUGAAAGGAAGCCAUAAUUGCCCUUGAUAGUAUGCUUAUUGAUUGCCUCUUGCCUCACUCAGCCUCAUGAAUCUGCUUGUAUGGUGUUCUUGUAAUUUCAUUUGGAGAUUAGUAAUAUCUGUUGUUCAAAUGUAUUUUAUAUACCAGCAGUUAAUAAUUCUGCUUGCAGAAAGCUUACAAAGGAGCUGUGUGAUGUAAUUUUUCAACCUUAGAUAUCCAGGUCAUCAGUUUCUCUUGAAUUCUUUCUUGAAUUUCUUUGAAUUAUUUGUGAAUAAGAUCUUAGUUGGCUGCUUCUCUUCAGGAUAAGGAAAGUGUGGCAAAACUCGUGAAGCUGAUAUAUAAAAGCAAUGGGUACAUCUUUGCUGGCAUGGAUGCCAGUGCAGUUGAAUUCAGCAAGAUUGCCGUUCGCGAUGUUGAUUGGGAUUAUUUCGGAUAUCCUUCUUUUCACCUAUUUUCAAUGUUGUUAUUCUCAUAUUCAUAAAAUUUUUUGGUUAUUUAAUUAUGGUUCAUCAUAUGCAUCUGCAUCUUCUAACUUGUUCGUUUGAGAAACUAAUUUUGCCGUUAGGUAGGCUUCGAGCUUGAUGAGUUGAUUCAUGCUUUUUUCAUAAAUGUACCAAAAUCAUGGAAACUUCUUUUUCCCAGAUAUUGUAUCCACACUUUUUCCAUGUAAUUGGGUCAGACAAGUUUUGCUUAACAAAGAUAUCUACAGUAGCCGAAGUGCAGGAGAAGUACAUUAAGGAUGAUGAUGAUGUUAACUAAAAUGAGACGUGAAGAUAUGUGGUGUGCGAACCGUAAGCCUGCCUCUUAAUUUUGUGCAUGUUUACUUGCUUGUGAUUCACGUUUGUUAAUCUAUUUUGCUCUCUUGCAGGAGUUAUAAAGUUUUCAAUCAAUCAAACAUUUAACUUAAGUCCUUACCUCUUGCUGCAAAGACAAUGGGAAGUCUCAUGAGCUCUAAAAAAACUGAAGAAGAGUGGAAAAUAAUUUUAAAUAGUGAUUUAUGGAAGGUAAAAGAGAUCGAGAAAGGUGUUCUAACCCCUUUGUGGUUGAGUUAUAAUGAUUUGCCGUCCAGAGGAAAAAGAUGUUUCUCGUAUUGUGCUGUCUUUCCAAAAGACUACAAUAUAAAAAAAGACAAAUUAAUUACUUUGUGGAUGGCUCAAGGUUAUCUUAGUGCAGAAGCAGCAGAACAAGAUGAGGAGUUGGAGACUAUAGGUGAAGAGUAUUUUGGCAUCUUAGCUUCUCGCUCUUUCUUUCAAGAGUUUCAGAAACGUUAUGAUAAUCGUAUUAUAGCGUGCAAGAUGCAUGAUAUGGUACAUGAUUUUGCCCAAUUUGUUAGUCAAAAUGAAUGUUUUUCGUUGGAAGUUAAUGGUAGUGAGGAACUAACCGUCACAAACUCUACAAACUCUCUUGAUGAGAAGGUCCGUCAUUUAAUGUUAAUCUUUAGUAAAGGGACUUCAUUACCUGUUUCCACUCGUAGAGUUAAAAGAAUGCGUACCCUCUUAAUUAACGAUAGUAGAUCUGAUCAUUCAUUAUUAAAUGGUGAGAUCCUAGAAGAAUUAUUUAGGGAAUUGACAAGUUUAAGGGCAUUAGAUUUUGGCAAAUCGUAUAACUCAAGUUGGUCUUCGACUGUGGAGAUUCCGAGAACCAUAGAAAAGCUGGUACAUUUAAGAUACCUUAAUUUGUUUUAUCAGGGAAUAAAGAAACUACCGGAGACAUUAUGCGAGUUGUAUAAUCUAGAAAAGUUAGAUAUUAGUUUAUGUUUUAAUCUUAAAGAAUUACCUGAAGGGAUUGGGAAGUUAAUAAACAUGAAGCAUUUACGAAAUAGAGGUACUAGUUCUUUAAGGUACAUGCCAGUAGGGAUUGGGAGAUUAACGGGUCUCAGGACCUUGGAUGAGUUCCACGUGAGUGGAGGAAAGCGUGUAGGCUUGAAUCUCUUAAAAAAUUGGAACACCUUCAAGUAUGUGGUAUACGUAGACUGGGUGAUGUAUCAGAUGUGGGCGAGGCUAAGCGAUUAGAACUUGACAAAAAGAAAUACCUCUUCAGUUUGACCCUUGAGUUUGAUAAGAAGGAGGAAGAAGAAGGAGAAAGGAGGAAGAACGAGGACGAUCAAGUUCUUCUUGAAGCCCUACAACCACCUCUCAAUUUAAAGGAAUUAGAGAUAGAGUACUACCGAGGCAACACUGUUUUCCCCAGCUGGAUGACGUCAUUAACCAACUUAAAGAGUUUAGAUCUCUCUUCCUGCGAAAAUUGGGAGCAGCUGCCUCCUUUGGGAAAAUUGCCAUCCCUUGAAGCACUCAGCCUAUGGGACAUGAAGUGUGUGGAAAGAGUGGGUGAUGAAUUUUUGGGGAUAGAAAGUGAUCAUCAUGGCUCAUCUUCAUCGGUUAUUAUUGCCUUCCCCAAAUUGAAAUCACUUUCAAUUGAGGUUCUGCGCGAAUUGGAGGAGUGGGAUUAUGGGAUUACAAGAACGGGAAACACCGUCAUCAACAUCAUGCCACGUCUUUCUUCCUUGACAAUUGCACUUUGCCCCAAAUUAAAGGCACUGCCCGACCACUUUCAUCAAACGACAACAUUGAAGGAAUUGCACAUUUGGGAUUGCAGGCUUCUGGAAGAACGUUAUUGCAAGGGGGAAGGAGAAGACUGGCCUAAGAUAUCACACAUUCCCAACCUCCAUAUUGGGCUUUGACAAGUAAUUUCUUCUCUUACUCUGAUUUGCUUUGUUGUUGUUUUUAAUCUAAUUAAGAAGCGUAAAUAGCAUUUUGAAUCAAACUCUAUAUCAGAAAUCUGCAAUACUUACUUUCUAAUAUUCUGAUUUUCAUAUCCUAUGAAUAUACGAUUUUUAAUUUGUGAGAUGGGUAACGUUACUGUAAAAGAUUAUUAAUGCAAUAUGAGUAAUUCUUUUGCAGGACAAGUGACCUACAUUUAGUUUGGCUUUGGAGUUGAAUAAUAACCUUUCGAGGUCCCGACAACCAAAAAACGAAGCUUAAUUUGCCACAGAUUGCACGUAUUGCCAUUAUUGACAAUUUUCUGCACAAGCUUAGGUUGAUGUCAAAAGAGGUAAAUUAUUGGCAUGCCUGACUAUUUUGACCAUUACACGAUUCAUAAGUUUACAUUAAUUUUGAUUUUGAGUUGAGUGAUUAGUUUUCUAGGUUUGCUUACUUUAACUGGGUGACCAAUUUCUUGUAACUAAAUGUAUGAUGUGAAGCAGAACUCAAACAAAAGUAUGCUACUUCUUGCGGAAAUCUUGCCUUUGUUCAGAUUAUGAAACCAUUUCCAUGCAGCAAAUUCAUCCAAAAGUUUGAAUAAGUUUCACGGUUGGACACUGUUGGUUUCUUUUUCUUCUGGGGUGCAUUUAGGUGCUAUCAAGUGACAGCUGUAAGUAUGAUUGCACUAAGCUGCCGCUGGGAAAUUUGAGGUUUUGAUGGCUGCCCAUGUUAUUUUCAAGAAACUAUUGAUGUAAGAAGCUGUGGUUCUUUUCAUCAGCUUGAACCUGAAACUGUCGCUAUGGAUAACUCAGGUUUUUGUUAUCAACUAUAUCAUCUUUUUCACUAUUUUGAAACUCUUAAGAUUAAACUUUAGUAAAGUUGUUUCAGCUUUUCAAAUGAAAAACUCAUUGAUUUGAGACUUCCUUCAUUAUUGUUUCUAAUUACAAUGCUAACGAUCCAGAUAAGAUAAUAUUUAAUCGGCGAAGGUGUCCCUUGGAAGUACAUCCUUCUUUUUCUUUUAUUAUACAAAUUCUUGCAAUGAGCUUAGUGAAGCUGUUGUGCUAAUCAUGCCACUGCAUAAUUUGGCCCCUAAUGUGGGUACUCUGUUACAUUGUUCUGCAAAUUCUCCAGAAGUUAAAAUCAAUAAAUUUUCUAUUAGCUCUAGUGCUUUGACCUAAAUGCUAUUCUAUAUUCUGAUUACAAUGUUUUACCUUUAAAUUAACUACCCCUAGAUGUUGGAUUUUCUAGAACUUCAAAAUGAUUAAUGGAGAAAGAUCCCAUUAUCGUUAUUGCUAUAAAAAAUUGAUUUAUGCAUCCAAAGAUACAUUAUAUAUUUCUGUGUCUCUAUUUAUAGAUGACAUUUAAGCAUCCAUAAACCGUCAGACAGAGGAAGGGGGUUCAGUGCAAAGAUUCUGUUGACCUAGGGUUGACUGCAUAAUGUCACUUGUUCGCAAUCUAUUAUUCUUUUCAAGGUCUGCUUCCUUAACGGAGCGACCAAUGUUUUUCAACUAAAUUUAUCAUAUGAUGCAGGAAGCAGGGCAGGAUAUGAAAUGUGAAGCUCAUUGGUGGAAGUAUUGCCAGUAACAGAACCCAAAGAAAAUGAAACUAUUUCAAGGCAGCAGUUGGCAGUUGCAAGUGAAUGGAGGCCCUUGACAAAAUUCUCAAGCGGUUGCAAUGCAAUUACGAUCAUCCUCAGCCUCAGGUAAUUUCUUCUCCUGCUUUGUAUUUAUUUGUUAUCUAAUUAGGAACCGUAAAGUAUCUUGAAUCAUUUUCUGUAUCUGGAAUAUAUGCAAGAGUUUCUAAAAUUUUGAUAUGAGUGUAAUGAUGGUAAUUUCUGUUUUCUGUCUGUCAUCAAAUGUUAGAAAACUUUCAUUGAGACCCUUGAACCGAGUCAUUUUUGACAAGUGAAGUGCUGAAGAGUGAAGAGUAAGAAUGGUGCUAGAUUGGGGAAUAAAGCAAAAGGAGGUAAAUUAUUGGCAGCUUCUUCAACCUUAUUUUCUUUGGACCAGUGCCUAAUUCACAAGUCUCCAUAAUUCGGCUUUUGACCAGUUGAUAGAUAAAAUUUUAAUUUCAUUGGUGCUAAUGUACCCGUGAGGCAGGCAGAGAAGGACUGUGGAAAAGAGAAGGUUUUUAGUGAAAGCUUAAACUCAGGUAAUUCUAAAAAUUAUAUGUUUUGGCUGAUUUAUCUAAAUCAGGAAAUUUUAUUUCCAUCUGUUACAAUAAAACAGAAACAGAACACAAAGAAAAAUAUUCUACUUCUUGUGGCAAUCUUGCCUUCAUUCAGACUAUGAAACCAUUUCCUUUCACCAAUUUCUUCCAAAAGUUUGAACACAUUUCAUGGUUGGACAUAGUUAGCUUCUUUUUCUUUUGGUGCAUUUAGGUGCUAUCAAGUGACAGCCGUAAGUAUGAUUGCAUUAUUGGGAAAUUUUAGGUUUUGAUGGCUCCCCAUGUUAUUGCCAAGAAAUUUUAAGUCCUCGUGUCAGAAGCUGCGUUUCUUUUCAUCAGCCUGAACCCGAACCUGUCACUAUGGAUAACUGAGGUUUUUGUCAUCAACUAUAUCAUCUUUUUCACUGUUUUGAAACUCUUAAGAUUAAACUUCAGUAAAGUUGUUUCAGUUAUCCAUGUAAUCAGGCUAAGGAUAUUUAGCAGCUUAUUUAGGCAACUGCCAGAAUUCAGUUUGUUCGCUCGAAACUUGUAUGGUGACAAGGAUACUGGCAAGGAUAGUGAGAUAGUUUUUUGUGUGAGUGAAUUUUGAAAGCUUGGGUGUUCUGGGAUUUGCAAUUGCAAUCAUCCUCUGCUUUAGGUGAUUUCUUCUCCUGUUCUGUCUUUAUUUUCUCUCUAAUUGAAAGCAUUUCAAUCAAAUUCUGUACCAGGAAUACGAAAAAUUUACCAAUAUUUUAUUUCCAUCUGUUUGCAUUGAUAACUUGGCCGCAUAUGUACUAGUUAAAGAACAAACAGAAGCAGAGUUCAGGAAAAAGUUUCUUCGGCCACCAUAUUUGAAAAUGAAACCAUUUCCAGGAAGCAGUUGGCAGCAAAUUCAUACAAAGUAUAGACAAUGAUGAACAAAAAGGUGAUUCGCAAUUUCAUUUUUUUAAAAUGAAAUUAUUUGUUAAGUUGGAGCUGAUAUUGUUAGAAGGCCAUUGAGCUAACCUCUGACACUGCUUGCCUAGAUUGCAGGAGGUCAAGACUCAAAAGAUGCACUGAAUUUUAAAAGGCAUGCAAUAAUUCUUAUGGCCAUUUGUCAAUGGUGGAAUGCUUUUAGCUUCUUUUCCUUUUGUGCAUUUUGGGGUUCUAUCAAGCGACAGCCGUAUGUAUGGAUGGAUAUAGCUGCUGCGUUGAUUUCUAAUGCAUUGUAUGAUGUUAUAGCAACUAUCCAUCUGGUCAAUGUUUCAAAAGAAUAAGACAGGGAAAAAGAGAAAGCAAGUGGCCAAUCAAGUUGCAUCAACCAAAUUGUUGUUAAACAAGUAAAACAAAGAAAGAGAGUUAAGGAAGCUGACCUUGUAGUAGGGGAGCUGAAGAAAGGCUGCCAGUGAAUGUAAGAGAAAAUAAAAUGCAAGAAAUGGUGAAGUGCAGCUUUUCAUGUCAACUUGAAAUUGAUUUUUCUGUUUGUUUUUUUUUUUUUGUAAUCUUUUGGAUUUUUCAAACAAAGAAAAUGAGGAGCAACCAGGGAGAUAAAAAGGGCGCCAAGGCAACUGUGUGUUGGGUUUAGAGCCAAAAAUAAAUAAAUAAAUAAAUAAGACAUCGUGUUCUUGUGGAGACCAGACCUAUUACGUAACGUCCCCUUCAAUACCACUUGUUCCGUAUCUGGUUUUCUCUUCGUCGUUUACAUAUUUAUCCUGUGAUUUUACAAUAACUAAAUAAUCCCCGCAUAGUUUGCAAUUUUAUUCAUUUGGGCCCUACAGAUUUCAGUAAUAGGAAUUAUUAAGGGACAAGAGCGCAAAACAGAAACUCUGUCCACUACUGAUGAUAUAAUAACGAACCUUUGUUUUUUUUUUUUAAAAAAAAAAAGAGUAACAAAAUAUCAUUAGACAAAUGAAAAUAUUAUCUAACAUCACCUAUUCACCUUACUGAUGAUAUGAAAAUAUGUAUGUAUGUAUGUAUGUAUGUACAUAUAUACAUACACCUAUGUAACAUUUACUUAUACAUUCUUUUGAGUUUAAAUCUUAAUACAACUACAUACAACCACAUCAAUGUAUAUAUUUUUUACAUAAGACAUGCCGUCCUAUUAUUCAUAAGUAAACAAUGUGCCGUAAAUAGUAUUCUGUGUUUUCUCAAAGUUGACUUUUCGUCUUUUAUUUUCAGACGCAGACGCUAUGUCAUUUUGUAAUCGUCCGAACAUAUACAGAGCAGAAUUGGUGUUAUCUGAUUUUGUGAUGCAAUAAGAUUUGCACUUCCUGUGCAUUCAAUGGAAUCAUGCCACGCUAGUAGACAAUAUGCUAGUUUGAACAAACUUGUUUGAAUGGCAAAAACGACAUGACCUGCUGUAGUAUUAAUUCUUUCCCGAACCAACGGGUGAUUUGCUACGUUGGAUCAUGAAAAUUAACCAAAAUAAAAAUUCUUAAGGAAUUAGUUAGUUAAUUGAUUGAUCGAAUUUAAUCUAAAUUUGAAAAUGAUAAGAUAAAUUUAAAUUUAUUAUUAUUAUUAUUAUUAUUAUUUUAAAGUGGGUGGGUUUAUACAAUUUGAGCGGUGGAAAUAUCACUGCUGAAUUAUUAAAUAUACAGUGUAAAAUUUUGACCUUUAAAAUAUUCCCUUUUUUUUUUUAUUUAGCACUAUAAGUUUAAAAAUUUAACAUUUUACCUCAAUAAUUAAAUACUUUUAACUUUAAUCUUCAAAUAUUUACCCUACAACAUUUGGACCUAAAUUUUUAAUCCGACUCGGCCCCUGACCCAAGUGGGAAGAAGAUCAGGCUUAUAAGUUAUAACUAUCACCAACAUAACAUCUUCUGGAAAAUAAUAAGAUUACUCACCUGCAAUUAUGUGAUCAAACUAAUGGUAAGCAAAAUAGAACAGCGUUAUUUCAGUCCCCUUUCAGUUUCUUUAUCAUUUUUCUUUUCCUAUUUAUAAGCUUAAUUCGGUUCAAAAUCGGCUAAUUCACUUUGAUUUCACUUUUCUUUCUUUCGGUUCAAAAAAAUUGAACCCAUUGGCUGUCAAUUCAAUUUUGUUGAAAACCAACUUUGCCUGAAUUUAAGUAAUAAUAGAGGAAAAAAAAAGAGUACUUAGCAGAAGAGAUUUCUCAUUUUUUUCUCAUUCAAACUUCUAAAAUAAAAGAAAAAAAAACAAGAGUAAUUGUUAAUUAUCAAAAUUUUGUUUAUACUAUUCCACCAAGAAAAUUAUACAAAAAAAAAAAUUUUAAAAAUUGGAGAAGAAAUAUGAGGUGAAAUACGUGGAUGGCUUAGACUAAUAAUGUGAACAAAUUCCUCUUGGAAGCAUGUCAUUGUUCAUCCGGACAACACGCGGCGAUGAGAUUCGAGAAUAAAAGGAUAGGAAUCAACUGUAACCUCAUAAACAAAUGGCCUUGGAGUUGUAACCAAAGCUUUUAAUUAUUGAUCAUUAAGAUCGAUAUAAAGUAUCACGAAAUGAUGUGUACGACGACAAUAUCAAUAGCGUAGUGUGAAGACCUGGCUGUAAACACAAGGCUCGGCAGAUUAAUUAAACAAGAGUAUCCGAAUUUUCUAUGAUAAUCUCUAGGAAACGAUCAGCUAUAAUGUACGAAAUUAAAAUAUUGCAUAUAUUUUUGAAUUUUUGAACUCAUGCAUUAAUUUAAAAAAUUAUAUCGUAUUAUAAUUUAUUCACAAAAGAAAGAAAAAUUCACUAAUCAAGUGAAAUCGUAUUCUUAUUGAAAUGAAUUCCAGUAAUUGGAUAAAUAUAAGUAUUUCUUCCGUUGUAAUUUUUGUUUAACAGAAAAUCUAUUUGAGAUUUUGUGAGAAGAAACUCAACAAUAAAGUUUGAUAGACUUUGUGGAUAUUAAGAGUUUGACAAGUAAUUGAAAUCUGAAGUUUACUGAAAUUUACGAGCAAACAAACUGAAAUCCGAAGUUUACUGAAGUUUACUAUCAAGAGUUUCAAAACAGUGAAAAAGAUGAUAUAGUUGAUGACAAAAACCUGAGUUAUCCAUAGCGACAAGUAACAUACUGAAGUAAGCCGUUGGGAGCUGGCCUGUUCAUGGGCUAUUUUUCUCUGAUGAUCUGCAUUUUUCUUCCUUUUAAAGUGAACCUUGACUCGUAUCAAACCUGUCAAAAGAACAGUUCAUCAACUGAGCUGAGAUUUGCUUUCCUUUUUCAAAACCCACCUGAGAUAUUGUAAUUCCCAAAUUUCUCUCUCUCAGCUACACGAGCAAGCAGCCGCUUUUUCACUUCAUCGAAGAAGGUAAGCGAUUUAUCUAUUUCGUCCGAUUGAUUUCUUGUUUCGUUUUCAGUGUUCGGGUAAAUUAUUGGCAUGCCUGACUUUUUGACCAUUACAUGAUUCAUAAAUUUCUAUUAAUUUUGAUUUUGAGUUGACUGGUUACUUUUAUAGGUUUGUUUACUUUGACUAGGUGACCAAUUUCUUGUAACUAAAUUUAUGACGUGAUGCAGGAAGCUCGGCAGGAUAUGAAAUGAGAAUCUUAUUAGUGGAAGGAUUGCCAGUAACAGAACCCAAAGAAAAUGAAACCAUUUCAAGGCAGCAGUUGGCAGUUGGGAGUGGAUGGAGGCCCCUGACAAAACUUCAGUAAACUUCAGAUUUCAGUUUGUUUGCUCGAAACUUGCAUGGUGACAAGGAUACUGGCAAGGAUAAUGAGAUAGUUUUUGUGUGAAUGAAAUUACGAUCAUCCUCAGCCUUAGUUGUUAUUUGUUACCUAAUUAAGAAGCAUAAAGUAUCCUGAAUCAUUUUCGUUGUCUGGAACAUAUGAGUGUAAUGAUUGUAAUUUCUGUUUUCUGUCUGUCAUCGAAUGUAAGACAACUUUAUUAAGAUUCUUGAACCGAGUCAUUUUUGACAAUUGAAGGACAAGUGCUGAAGAGUGGGAAUGCAAAAAGUUUUGUUGUUUCUAGCCUUGUUUUCUUUGAACCAGCGCCUGAUGAUAUAACAGAAACAAGGCUAGAAACAACAAAAACUCUGUCCACUACUGAUGAUAUAACAACGAACCUUUGUUUUUUUCUUUUUUCUUUUUUUUUUUAAAAAAAGUAACAAAAUAUCAUUAGAGAAAUGAAAAUAUUAUCUAACAUCACCCUACUGAUGAUAUGAAAAUAUGUAUGUAUGUAUGUAUGUAUAUACGUAUGUAUGUACAUAUAUACAUACACCUAUGUAACAUUUAAUUAUACAUUCUUUUGAGUUUAAAUCUUAAUACACAUUUUCAUGAAAUUUUUAUUUUAUUAAGUAUACAACUACAUACAACUACAUUAAUGUAUAUAUUUUUUACAUAAGACAUGCCGUCCUAUUAUUCAUAAGUCAACAAUGUGUUGUAAAUAGUGUUCGUGUCUCAAAGUUGACUUUUCGUCUUUUAUUUUCAGACGCAGACGAUAUGUCAUUUUAUACACAGCAGAAUUGGUGUUAUCUGAUUUUGUGAUGCAAUAAGAUUUGCACUUCCUGUGCACUCAAUGGAAUCAUUUCUUUGUAACUAAUUGGGUGCUGGAAUGGUGGUCAAAUCUCGAACGAAGACAGAUCUAUCAAACUCCAGAAUUGGUGUUAUCUGAUUAAUUGAUUGAUCGAAUUUUAUCUAAAUUUGAAAAUGAUAAGAUAAUUUUGAAUUUAUUAUUAUAAUUAUUAUUUUAAAGUGGGGUGGGUUUAUACAAUUUGAGCGGUGGAAAUAUCACUACUGAAUUAUUAAAUAUACAGUGUAAAAUUUUGACCUUUAAAAUAUUCCCUUUUUUUUUUAUUUAGCAUCUAUAAAUUUAAAAAUUUAACAUUGUACCUCAAUAAUUAAAUACAUUUAACUUUAAUCUUCAAAUAGUUACCCUACAACAUUUGGACCUAAAUUUUUAAUCCGAUUCGGCCCCUGAUCCAAGUGGGAAGAAGAUCAGGCUUAUAACUAUCACCAACGUAACAUCUUCUGGAAAAUAAUAAGAUUAUUCACCUGCAAUUAUGUGAUCAAACUAACGGUAACCAAAAUAGAACAGCGUUAUUUGAGUCCCCUUUCAGUUUCUUUAUCAUUUUUCUUUUCCUAUUUAUAAGCUUAAUUCGGUUCAAAAUUGGCUAAUUCACUUUAAUAAGUUUAUUGGUUUGAACGCUGUUAGCUUCUUUUCCUUUCGUGCAUUUUGGUAUGCAACAGUUCUUGCCUAUGACACUGCUUGCCUAGAUUGCAGAAGGUCAAGGCUCAAAAGAAGCACUGAAUUUUAAAAGGCAUGCAACAGUUCUUGUGCCAUAUGUCAAUUCAUGCAAGUUUGAAUAAGUUUUUUGGUAUGCUAUCAAGUGACAGCCGUAUGUAUGGUUUGCAUAUAGCUGCUGCUGGGAAAUGUGAGGAUUUCAUGGCUGGCCGUGUUAUUGUCUUAAAUUAGAUGUGAUAAGCUGUUGCUUGGUGAUUCUGUUGCCAAGAAUUUGCUCACAUCAGAAGCUGUGGAACCUGAACCCUUCUCUAGAUAUCAUCUUUUUCAUUGUUUUAAAACUCUCAGGAUUAAACUUGAGUAAUUUUGUUCGGUUGUCUAUAUAAUCAUGUAUUGAGUAAACUCUCAGGAUACUGAGCAGGCAAAUGCCAUAACUCGGUUUGUUCUUCAAAAACUUGUUUAAGAUUCUUGACAAAGCUGCAUGAAGUGAAUCUUGGGAGCUUUGAGGGUGAGAGAAAUUAGAGGGUGUAUAGGGAUUUGGGCUUAUUAGGAAGUUAUAUAUGUAUUUCGUCACUUAUCAUUAUCAUUUUUUUUUUCACAGAAAACCUUCUGAUGGUGCUAAAUUUUCAAACACCGGUCCGAUUCAAAACUUCAUAUUCCAAUUAUAUUCAUAAGACAAAUGGAACACUUUGAACGGCUUGUGUCCGAGCAUUGUAGUUUGAUUUAUUUUGAUGACAGUACCUUUUGACAUUGAGAUUCUUUCAUGAUUUAAACAUUCUUUUAAAAACUAAAUUAUUAAAAAAAAAGUAACUAACAUAUAUUAUUUUAUUAGUGCUUUUUAAAUCAAAUAUACAUAGGAGAACUGUAAUUCUUAGCAAUCAAUUUUCCACUAAAUACACCUGCAACAAACUAUUAAUAGCAAAGUGAUAGAAAAUACCUGAUUUUUCAUACUUUCUAAUUUCUUUUGGUCCUAAAAUAUGGGCAUUUGUGUAAUAAUUAGCCCAUGUGGAUCUCUAUGCCAUGAGUUUGAUAAGUAGCUAUCAAGGAUCACUUAUUAAGCUAAAAAUAUUUGGAGGACAAAAUUGUAAAACUAAAAGGGUGGAGCAAAUAUGGCUAUCUAGGAUUAAAUAGUAAGUCAACUAUAUUUAAAGGAUAAAAUAUUAAAACUUGAAAUGUGAUAUUAAAAAUAUCUCAACUAUUAUGUUAUUAAACCAUAUGUUGUAAUAGUUUAUUUUUUAAGCUUCAAAAUGUUCAGGAUUUUAGAUUGAAACAUUUUCAUUUGAAAUUAUUUGGUGCAGUCACAAGUUAAGAAAGAAAAAGUUGUCCCAUUGGUCAUUUCACAAAAAUGAAAGCCCUGUAUAACAUGGGCUUGAAUGGAAGCCCAAUUGUUUGUGUUUGAUUAAUUGAUUUCAAGCUUUAUCGAACCUUUGUACCUGGAUACUUUACUGCGGCCUCUAAGCGCUAUAAAUUUUUUUGGGGAUAAACGGCGCUUCAAUGAGGUCAUCUCCGAUGCUUAACACCAUUUUGGUGUAAUACCAACAUUAAAAAUAUACAUUUUUCACACUAAAUUACUAUUUCAUCUCCAACCCAUUUACACCAAAAAAAAUAUUUUUCUUUUUAUUCUUUUAAUUCUCAAGAAUUAAUUCAAUUAACACAAUAAAUACUACUAUUAACAUAGAUAAUUAAGUAAUAAGUAAUUUUAUCGAUUAACAAAAAAAUAUAGAAAAUUAUUAAAUUUGCAUUUAAUUAACUAAAUUAGUACAUUAUGAAAAUUAAACAUUACAUUAAUAUAGAAAAAUACAAUAACAAUAAUAAUAAUUUUAUAUCUAAUAUUUUGAUGAUAUUGGAGGAUCUAAUAAUGAUCUUCCAGAUUAUUAAAUAAUUGUUCUAAUUUAUACUAGUAGUAGUAGCUUUUUUAAUUUGUGUUAAUUUAAUUUUGUAAUAUGUAAUAUAGUAAUUAAUGUUACUAGCAUUUUAUUAUUAUUAUUAAUUUUUGUGUUGAAUAUUUUUUAUUUAAAAUAUUAGUAUAAUAUUCAAAAAUUAAAAAAUGAAAUAAAAAUAAUAACAAAAAUAAUAAUAAUAAUAACUUAAAAUAUUAUAUAAAAUAGGACAUAUAUGUAAAUAAGAAAAAGUAAUAAAGAUAUUUAAGAGCUUUUUUUCCUAGCACCAAAUGAAUAGUGUUACACCAUAUUUGGUGCAAUACUAUUCACAACACCAUUUUGUUGUUGGUUUUGGUGUUACAUUGGAGAAGCAUUUUACACCAAAAAUAGUGUAAAAGGUGGUUUGGUGUUAGUUUUGGUGUCACAUUGGAGAUGGCCUGGAAAAGCACUUGAAAACUUUGGAUUUUUGGUUCGUCCAGUUACGGUGUUAUGCUAACGGGGUUAAAGGUUCCGAUCCAAUGAGUUAGGAUCCGAAGGUUACUGAAGUUUACUAUCAAGAGUUUCAAAACAGUGAAAAAGAUGAUAUAGUUGAUGACAAAAACCUGAGUUAUCCAUAGCGACAAGUAACAUACUGUUUAUUACAGAGAAACAAACGACAACAUGAUACUAGUAGUAGUUAUUCUUUUCAUCCGAUAUAUUACAUGGUAAUAUCACUACUCGUUCCACUAGUUUCAUGUACACUGUCGACCAGCAACAUGAUAAUUUCGUGCCAGUUCAUUUUGGUUUGUUGGAAAAAGCAGUGUAUUUCUUAGAACUUGAAAAUAAUAAAAAUAUUUUAAAAUAUAAAUUGCAUAUUUGUUUAUUACCAUUCUUUGGUCUAUUUCUUCUGUAGACUUUUCAGAAUCUGUAGGACGUUAGUUUAUAACUUUGGGAUUUUGUAGCCCUAAUUUUUUUUUUUGGCAUUUUAUUUUGCUGCUUUAUCUAUGUGCAUGUUAACUAAAUUAAGCUAAUCUAGAAUUAAUAGAGAGGGAUAUUUAUCUAUUUUGUUUAACCUUUACCACUCUAGGCAUUGUACUACAUGUGAGCUUGUGAUGCUUGCAUUUUAUUGAUGUUGAUGAUUCGUUGAAUGUUUUAUUUUUUGAUUUUUUAAGUUUUCCAGAGUCAUGUUUGUGUCUACGAAGAAAUUGUAAAGGCUGUGCACGAAGCACUUGUCAUUCUUUAGACUUUAUUGAUUAUAUUUUUGUCAGAUUUGCGUGUAUAUUCACAUAUGUUUUAUUUUUUCAUUUUGUAGGACAUUUUUACAUGCCAUAUUAUCACGACUCUUCUGUGUCUGAAUAAGAAGAAAGCAUAAUGCGACCCUCCAACAGCUUAAUCUAUGGAAUUAUCGUGUUUUGUAAGUUCUGGUCCAAUGGCGUUUUGGCACAUCAUAUGAUAGACCACUAUAUUGCGUUGCUUUACAAAAGAUUAAUAUUUUUAAAAUUAUUAACUCAUGAUAUGAUAGUCCAGGUUUUCGAGGACCACUAUAUUGUAUGGAUUUAAAAAAAAUUAAUAUUUUUUAAUAUUAAUAUUCUAAAUUAUAUUCAGUUAAAAUAUUAAAUAUUAAAUACAUUCUUAACAUUAAUAUUCUUAGAUGAAAUUCUUUUGCUGACUUAAGAAUAAAGUAUUAAAUAAUUUUAUUUUUCUUUUAUUUUGUAACGUGGACCCAAAAAAAAAAGGAAAUGAAUUUAAUAAAACCUUCAUUCCGCCAACAUGCAUGUUAAUUGUUUCCAAAUUCCAACCUCCGUACUCUCUUGAGGAGUUUCCCAUUCAUCAAUUAUUAUUUUUUAUAAUCCAUACCAUCCUGAUAUAAUUAAACACCAUUAAUAAUGUACCAGCCUUUAAAUAGUAAUUAAUUUAUUUAUCUAAUUCACCAAAUGUUUUUUUCCGGUACAUAUCUCCAUUGGUAUCAAGAAGAAGCAGAACCCAAAGAAAUGUUUCUUGCAUCUUCAUAUUUGUGCGAAUUCAUCCUUUCAUUGAGAAUAACCAUUUCCAGGCAGCAGUUGGCAAUCAAUUCAUGCGCAUGUCGAUGCUACUCAUAGAUAUUAAAGACAAUGAUGAACCAAAGGUAAUAAAUCAUAAAUGCAUAAUUACCAAACCUCCAUCCUUCUCUCAUUAUGACUUGAUUUUAAAUGAAUUAUUGCUUGGUAACAUUAUUUCCAACCAUUGCAAGAUUUUUUUUUGGAGAAAUUUCAAUUGAAAGUAAAACCUUUAGACAUUUACCUAAUGAAGUUAGUUAAUCGGGAGGGUGGAAAAAAAAAAGUUGACGCAAGUCAAUACACAAUAAUUAAUUAAAUCCGGAGUCACUAAAACAGAGCCACGACUUUUUCAAAAAUAUCUGCAUUCAUCACUUUCUCCAGCAACUAGUCAGCUACACACGAAUCAAUUUCUCUCCUCGUUUGUCAUCCAAAAUUAUUCACCAAUACCAUGGCUGAUGCAAUCGUUUCCCCGCUCUUGGAGCAGCUGAUUUCCUUCGCUGCUGAAGAGAUAAAACAACAGGUGAUCGAAGUUACACCCCUCAUAUUACAAAUACUUCCAAUGAUUUUAAUUGGUUUUGUUUUUAUCAAAAACAUUAUAUAUUUUUGCUUUUUUUUAUUUAUCUGAUAAUUUUAUAUUUUGAAAUUUGAAUUGAAUUUAAUUAAAAGGUGAUGUAGUAACCACUUAUUUUUAUUUUAUUUCAUUUAUAUUCUCAAUAACUACUCAUAUUUUGGUAACUUACUAUAACUUCCAUAUCUAAGAAAUGAUCCAAACCCACAAUUUUAACUAUGUAUAAAUAUUCAACGUUGAGCUAAGGUUUUGCAGAACAUUCAAGUUUAUCAAAUAGUCAUUAAUUUAAUGUUUUAGUAAAACCUCAACUCAUCACUGAAUCCCAUAGCUAUUACUUAGACACUAUGAAAAAUUUCAUAGUUUUCUUACAUUCUUUCAGUUUGGUAAGUGAUUUCAUAUAAUUUCUUUUCAAGUUAAAUUUUAAUUUGGUUUCUGAUAUAGUCUCUUUGCCGAAUUGUAUCUUUUAUGAUUCUUGGAUUUUGGGCUCCAACUUUUUAGGAUUUGAUAGUCACAUUUUAUGCCAUGCUCAGAUUGAUUUUCAUGAUUUUUAGUACCCGUUAAGUGACGUACAAUUUGACAAAAGUUUGAAAGGAAAUAUGUUUCAGAAUUCUGUUUUAAUUGACCUUUUAGUGGAAUUAGGAUGCUUAUAACUUAAUGUGGAUGGUUCGUAAAAUCAUGAAAUUUGGAUAGGAUUCACUAGCAAUAUGUACAAGACUCCCCAUAAAGUUUCAUAAUUUUUCAUUCGGUCUGGGGUGGUACAGGUGAAACUUGUGGUUGGUGUUGAAAAAGAAGUGAAAAGCCUUACCAGCCAUCUUCAAGCCAUUCAAGUUGUGCUCGAUGAUGCAGAGGAAAAGCAAGUGAAGGAAAAAGCUGUUAGUCUUUGGCUGGGUAGGCUCAAGUAUGCAUCCUACGACAUUGAAGAUGUGUUGGAUGAGUGGAUAACAACAAGACGCAAAUUGCAAAUUGAGGGUGGCGUUGAUGAAAAUGCUCUUGUUGUUCCUCAUAAGAAAAAGAAGGUAUGUCUCUGCUUUCCCGGCUCUUGUUUUGGAUUCAAACAAGAAGAAUUUGGUUUCAAACAGGUCUUUCUCCGUCAUGACAUUGCCGACAAGAUCAAAGAAAUCAAUGAAGAGCUACAUGAUAUUGCCGCUCAAAAAGACAUGUUUGAUCUUGUUAAGAGUGGCAAUAAAAGUAGUGAAAGACCAAGGCGUGUACAGAGUACCUCCUUGAUUGAUGAGGAAGAGAUUUGUGGCAGAGUUGGUGAGAGGAAUGAACUCUUAAGCAAGCUGUUGUGUGAGAGUAGCGAGCAACAAAAAGGCCUUCAUAUCAUCUCAAUCGUUGGUAUGGGAGGCAUAGGGAAAACAACUCUUGCACAACUAGCUUGUAAUCAUGACGAGGUGAAGAGAAAGUUCGACAAAAUUCUGUGGGUGUGUGUAUCAGAAACUUUUGAGGAGUUUAGGGUUGCCAAAGCGAUCGUUGAAGUUUUGGAUGGUCGUGAAUCUCAUUUAGCUGAAUUCCAUUCUCUUCUUCAACAUAUUUAUGAAUCCAUUGCAGGGAAGAGCUUUCUUCUUGUCUUAGAUGACGUGUGGGAUGGAAAUUACUUGAAAUGGGAACCAUUCUACCAUUGUCUAAAGAAUGGUCUCCAUGGAAGUAAAAUUUUAGUUACCACACGUAAAGGGUCAGUCGCAUCCAUGAUGGGAUCCAUAGAUAUUAUCUCCGUUAAGGAGUUAGCUGAAGAGGAAUGUUGGUUGUUGUUUAACAAGAUAGCAUUUUUUGAUCGGUCCAUCGAGGAACGUGAAAAAUUAGAACAAAUUGGGCAAAGAAUUGCAGGCAAGUGCAAAGGUUUACCUCUUGCAGCAAAGACAAUAGGGAGUCUCAUGCGUUCUAAACAAACUGAAGAAGAGUGGAAAAGAAUUUUAAAUAGUGAUUUAUGGAAAGUAGAAGAGAUUGAGAAAGAUGUUUUGUCCUCUUUAUUGUUGAGUUAUAAUGAUUUGCCAUCUAGAGUAAAAAGAUGUUUUUCAUAUUGUGCUGUCUUUCCAAAAGACUACAAUAUAGAAAAAGACAAACUAAUCACGUUAUGGAUGGCUCAAGGUUAUCUUAGUGCAGAAGAAGAUGAAGAGAUGGAGACAGUAGGUGAAGAGUAUUUUGGCAUCUUAGCUUCUCGCUCAUUUUUUCAAGAGUUUAAGAAAAGUUAUGAUAAUCGGAUUAUAGAGUGUAAGAUGCAUGAUAUGGUACAUGAUUUUGCCCGAUUUGUAAGUCAAAAUGAAUGUUUUUCGAUGGCAAUUAAUGGUAGUGAAGAACCAAACGCCACAAACUCUCUUGAUGAGAAGGUCCGUCAUUUAAUGUUAAUCUUUAGUAUAGAGGCUUCAUUACCUGUUUCCACUUGUAGAGUUAAAAGAAUUCGUAGCCUCUUAAUUAACGAUAGUAGAUCUGAUCAUUCAUUAUUAAAUGGUGAGAUCCUAGAAGAAUUAUUUAGGGAAUUGACAAGUUUAAGGGCAUUAGAUUUUUGCAAAUCGUAUAACGCAAGCUGGUCUUCGACUCUGGAGAUUCCGAGAAACAUAGAAAAGCUGGUACAUUUAAGAUACCUUAAUUUGUCUUAUCAGGGAAUAAAGAAACUACCGGAGACAUUAUGCGAGUUGUAUAAUCUAGAAAAGUUAGAUAUUAGUUAUUGUUAUAAGCUAGAAGAAGUACCUGAAGGGAUUGGGAAGUUAAUAAACAUGAAGCAUUUACGAAAUAGAGGUACUAGUUCUUUAAGGUACAUGCCGGUAGGGAUUGGGAGAUUAACGGGUCUUAGGACCUUGGGUGAGUUCCACGUGAGUGCAGGAGGAGGUGUUGAUGGUAGGAAAGCAUGUAGGCUUGAAUCUCUUUAAAACUUGGAACACCUUCAAGUAUGUGGUAUAUGUAGACUGGGUGAUGUAUCAGAUGUGGGCGAGGCUAAGCGAUUAGAACUUGACAAAAAGAAAUACCUCUUCAGUUUGACCCUUGAGUUUGAUAAGACGGAAAGAGGAGGAGAAAGGAGGAAGAACGAGGACGAUCAACUUCUUCUUGAAGCCUUGCGACCACCCCUGGAUUUAAAGGAAUUAGAGAUACGGUACUACCGAGGCAACACUGUUUUCCCCAGCUGGAUGGCGUCAUUAACCAACUUAAAGAGUUUACAUCUCCAUAGGUGCGAAAAUUGCGAGCAGCUGCCUCCUUUGGGAAAAUUGCCGUCCCUUGAAAAUCUCUACAUAUGGCGCAUGGAGAGUGUGAAGAGAGUGGGUGAUGAAUUUUUGGGGAUAGAAAGUGAUCAUCAUGACUCAUCGUCAUCUUCAUCAGUUACUAUUGCCUUCCCCAAAUUGAAAUCACUCACAAUUUAUUCGAUGCUGGAAUUGGAGGAGUGGGAUUAUGAGAUUACAAGAACAGGAAACACCGUCAUCAACAUCAUGCCACGUCUUUCUUCCUUGACAAUUGUUGAUUGCACCAAAUUAAAGGCACUGCCCGACCACAUUCAUCAAACGACAACGUUGAAGGAAUUGAGCAUUUUUAUGUGUUGGCUUCUGAACAAACGUUACCGCAAGGGGAAAGGAGAAGACUGGCCUAAAAUAUCACACAUUCCCAACCUCCAUAUUGGGCUUUGACAAGUAAUUUCUUCUCUCACUCUGAUUUGCUUUGUUGUUGUUUUUGUUGAAAAGUUAAAAAGUUUGGUUGGAAAAGAAAAGUGAGCCACAUGCAUUGCUUUUGUUUUUCAAAGUCGGCACCAAAUUGCAAACUGUAUUUGGCAUUUGACAAUCCUGCACCAAAUGAAGAAAAAUGCAAAAGUUAGCAAAAUUUGUCAAAUUGACAGAGAUGGAGAUUGAUAAAUUGCAGAGGGAUUAGGUGGAAUAGUGCAUGCUUGAAGCCUAUAAAUUGAAGCCAUUUCUUCAUUCUAAAUAAUCCCAAAAUUGUUAAACUUAUAAGUUUCUAAGCUUUUGAGAGAAGUGAGAGAAGUGUGUCUGUGGAAUUUAUUUUUCCUGCAGAGUGUGAGAGUACUUGGUAUAUUUGGGUUUCUGGGAAGUGAGAUUCGUUACUCAAAUAUUGUAUUCUAUUAAUUGUUAAAUAAACAAUUAUUCUUUCUUACCUCCGUGGAUGUAGGUUUAAUUACCGAACCACGUAAAAUCUUGUGUCCUUUAUUUUUCAGUAAUUAUUUGGUGCGCUUGAUUCCGCAUUCCGCGCACAACAGUUUUUAAUCUAAUUAAGAAGCGAAAAUAGCAUUUUGAAUCAAACUCUAUAUCAGAAAUCUGCAAUACUUACUUUCUAAUAUUCUGAUUUUCAUAUCCUAUGAAUAUACGAUUUUUAAUUUGUGAGAUGGGUAACGUUACUGUAAAAGAUUAUUAAUGCAAUAUGAGUAAUUCUUUUGCAGGACAAGUGACCUACAUUUAGUUUGGCUUUGGAGUUGAAUAAUAACCUUUCGAGGUCCCGACAACCAAAAAACAAAGCUUAAUUUGCCACAGAUUGAACGUAUUGCCAUUAUUGACAAUUUUCUGCACAAGUGUGACUGAACUUAGGUUGAUGUCAAAAGAGGUAAAUUAUUGGCAUGCCUCACUAUUUUGACCAUUACAUGAUUCAUAAGUUUACAUUAAUUUUGAUUUUGAGUUGAGUGAUUAGUUUUCUAGGUUUGCUUACUUUAACUGGGUGACCAAUUUCUUGUAACUAAAUGUAUGAUGUGAUGCAGGAAGCAGGGCAGGAUAUGAAAAGAGAAGCUUAUUAGAGGAAGGAUUGCCAGUAACAGAAUCCAAAGAAAAAGAAACCAUUUCGAGGCAGCUGUUGGCAGUUGGCAGUGAAUGGAGCCCCUUGAAAAAAUUCCCAAGCCGUUGCACUGCAAUUACGAUCAUCCUCGGCCUCAGGUAAUUUCUUCUCCUGCAUUUUUGUUAUUUGCUAUCAAGUGACUAUUUUAAGUAUGAUUGCAUUAAGCUGCUGCUGGGAAAUUUGAGGUUUUGAUGACUGCCCAUGCUAUUGUCAGAAGCUGCGGUUCUUUUCAUCAGCCUGAACCUGGACCUGCCGCUAUGGAUAACUCAGGUUUUUUUUUUUUUUUAAUCAACUGCCAUCUUUUCCACUGUUUAGAAACUCUUAAGAUUAAACUUUAGUAAAGUUGUUUUAGUUAUCCAUGUAAUCAGGCUGAGGAUACUUAGCUGCCUAUUUAAGCAAAUGUCAGAAUUUAGUUUGUUCGCUGGGAACUGGUGUGGACUGGCAAAGGAUGAUGAGAUAGUUUUUUGAGUGAGUAAAUUUUGGGAGCUUGAGUGUAUUGGGAUUUGCAAUUACAAUCAUCGUCUGCCUCAGGUGAUUUCUUCUCCUGCUCUAUCAUUGUUUGUUCUCUAAUUCAAAAGCAUAAAAUAUUUCAAUCAAUUUUUAUGCCAGGAAUAUGCAAAAGUUUCUAAUAUUUUAUUUCCAUCUGUUACAAGAUCAAACUGAAGUAGAACUCAAACAAAAGUAUGCUACUUCUUGCGGAAAUCUUGCCUUUGUUCAGAUUAUGAAACCAUUUCCAUGCAGCAAAUUCAUCCAAAAGUUUGAAUAAGUUUCAUGGUUGGACACUGUUGGCUUCUUUUUCUUCUGGGGUGCAUUUAGGUGCUAUCAAGUGACAGCUGUAAGUAUGAUUGCACUAAGCUGCCGCUGGGAAAUUUGAGGUUUUGAUGGCUGCCCAUGUUAUUUUCAAGAAACUAUUGAUGUAAGAAGCUGUGGUUCUUUUCAUCAGCUUGAACCUGAAACUGUCGCUAUGGAUAACUCAGGUUUUUGUUAUCAACUAUAUCAUCUUUUUCACUAUUUUGAAACUCUUAAGAUUAAACUUUAGUAAAGUUGUUUCAGCUAUUCAAAUGAAAAACUCAUUGAUUUGAGACUUCCUUCAUUAUUGUUUCUAAUUACAAUGCUAACGAUCUAGAUAAAAUAAUAUUUAAUCGGCGCAGGUGUCCCUUGGAAGUACAUCCAACUUUUUCUUUUAUUAUAUAAAUUCUUGCAAUGAGCUUAGUGAAGCUGUUGUGCUAAUCAUGCCACUGCAUAAUUUGGCCCCUAAUGUGGGUACUCUGUUACAUUGUUCUGCAAAUUCUCCAGAAGUUAAAAUCAAUAAAUUUUCUAUUAGCUCUAGUGCUUUGACCUAAAUGCUAUUCUAUAUUUUGAUUACAAUGUUUUAACCUUUAAAUUAACUACCCCUAGAUGUUGGAUUUUCUAGAACUUCAAAAUGAUUAAUGGAGAAAGAUCCCAUUAUCGUUAUUGCUAUAAGAAAUUGAUUUAUGCAUCCAAAGAUACAUUAUAUAUUUCUGUGUCUCUAUUUGUAGAUGACAUUUAAGCAUCCAUAAACCGUCAGACAGAGGAAGGGUGAUGGGUGUCGAAGCCAACAAAAAUAAAUUCCUACUCUAAAUAAAUUGUGUAUAGUGAUUGAGCAGGGUCGUGUCCACAGAGAUCGGUAAUUAAUUAAAUCCUUUUGAAACGUAAAACAUAAAAUGGGGGAAUUGUUGACAAUAAUAAAAAUCAAAUUAAAAUAACAAGAAUGCAAAUUAAAGUUGUAAUUCAAAUUAGAGAAAGCUCUGGUUGAAGGAAUUAACUCAGCUUGAUUCGACUACUGAUCAUUGAUUCAAAUAUAGAUUAUUAUUACUCAUGAAUAGACCGGUUAUAGCUACUGAGACCCUCUAAUAGCCAAUCUCUCCUUAACUAGUCGAUAACCAAGGUACGACCAUUGGUUAUUUCCCUAAUCAAUAGACAACCCUAGAUACGAUCAUAGAAUUUAAUCAAUUGACAGCCUGAAAAACCAGAGAGACCCAAAUCCUAAUCAACACAUAUGAUGAUUCAUUUAAAUUAGAUUGUUUAUUCUCACAACACAACUCUCUGCUAUGUUAUUUGUCACAAACAUUAAAUUCUUCAUACGAUGAAUCCUUUAAUUGACAAUAGAUUAAGUUGAUAAUUAAAUAGUGGCCAAUUACCUAAUUAACAAACAUAAUCAUGAAAAUAAUUCAGAGAAUAAACAAAUACCCAAAAAGUAAUAAAACAAUUAAAGCACAAGAAAGAUCUCACAGUAGUGAUGAAUCAAAGCUUCAUUAACCUUCAACCAGAAAAAUAGGUUUAGCUCUUCAUAGAGAGAAGAGAAAAAUUAGAUCUAGGGUUUCUUUCUUUUUCUCCAAUCCAAAAAUCCCCCUUUUUCACAAUAGAUUCCUCCCUUAAAUACUUUCUCUCUCUUCUCUUUUAGAAUUCUAUUUAAAAUAAAAUCCUAAUAUCUGAAAUAUUAAAUUCGUAAUUACAAAAAUAACCAAAAAUACAAAACACGUUAAACUAAAAACUGCAGGUCCGCAGUUGACAGCACGCGCCCACGCCUUAUCAACAAAGUUCUUCUGACGCUCAUAAUUUCUCCAAGAGAACAAUCAUCCUUAAACAUCAUCUUAUAGCUCAAUUUUAUCAUCAAUCAAUAGAAUUGCACCUACAAAAGUAAAACACAAGUAAAUCACUAUUAUUAAGUGCAAAACAUUGAUAUUAAGGGAAGUAAAUAAUGCAAAACUAGUGCAUAAAUUGCACUCUAACAAAGGGGGUUCAGUGCAAAGAUUCUGUUGACCUAGGGUUGACUGCAUAAUGUCACUUGUUCGCAAUCUAUUAUUUAUUUUAUAUUUUGAAGAAUUUAAUGGGUAAUCCUAAUUGUUUGUUUUGGCAGGUAUGUGUUGUUAUCUCCUUCUAUCUAACAGUCGUACCUAAAUAGCAUAGUUUCAUCUGUGUUACCAUGUGAUGUACAUAAUUUCACAUUUGCCUCAGAUUAAGCUUAAUUUCCCACAAAAUAGAGCUGUCGCGACUGGACUUAGGUUGAUGUCCAAAGAGGUAAAUUAUUGGCAUGCCUAGAUAAUUUGGCCAUUUCCUAAUUCAUAAGUCUACAUUAUUUUUGAUUUUGAGUUGACUGAUUUCUUUUCAAGGUCUGCUUCCUUAACGGAGUGACCAAUGUUUUUCAACUAAAUUUAUCAUAUGAUGCAGGAAGCAGGGCAGGAUAUGAAAUGAGAUCUCAUUGGUGGAAGUAUUGCCAGUAGCAGAACCCAAUGAAAAUGAAACUAUUUCAAGGCAGCAGUUGGCAGUUGCAAGUAAAUGGAGGCCCUUGACAAAAUUCUCAAGCGGUUGCAAUGCAAUUACGAUCAUCCUCAGCCUCAGGUAAUUUCUUCUCCUGCUUUGUAUUUAUUUGUUAUCUAAUUAGGAAGCGUAAAGUAUCUUGAAUCAUUUUCUGUAUCUGGAAUAUAUGCAAGAGUUUCUAAAAUUUUGAUAUGAGUGUAAUGAUGGUAAUUUCUGUUUUCUGUCUGUCAUCAAAUGUUAGAAAACUUUCAUUGAGACCCUUGAACCGAGUCAUUUUUGACAAGUGAAGGACAAUUGCUGAAGAGUGGGAAUGGUGCUAGAUUGGGGAAUAAAGACAAAGGAGGUAAAUUAUUUGCAGUUUAUUCAGCAUUAUUUGCUUUGGACCACCGCCUGAUUCACAAGUCUCCAUAAUUUGGCUUUUGAGCAGUUGUUAAUAAAUUUUUAAUUCCAUUGGUGCUAAAUGUGCACGUGAAGCAGGCAGAGCAGGACUGUGGAAAUGAGAAGGUUUUUAGUGAAAGCUUAAACUCAGGUAAUUCUAAAAAGUACAUGUUUUUGCUGAUUUAUCUAAAUCAGGAAGUUUUAUUUCCAUCUGUUACAAGAUAAAACAGAAACAGAACACAAAGAAAAAUAUUCUACUUCUUCUGGCAAUCUUGCCUUCAUUCAGACAAUGAAACCAUUUCCUUUCACCAAUUUCUUCCAAAAGUUUGAAUAAGUUUCAUGGUUGGACAUAGUUAGCUUCUUUUUCUUUUGGUGCAUUUAGGUCCUAUCAAGUGACAGCCAUAAGUAUGAUUGCAUUAUUGGGAAAUUUUAGGUUUGGAUGGCUCCCCAUGUUAUUGCCAAGAAAGUCCUCAUGUCAGAAGCUGCGGUUCUUUUCAUCAGCCUGAACCCGAACCUGUCGUUAUGGAUAACUCAGGUUUUUGUCAUCAACUAUAUCAUCUUUUUUACUGUUUUGAAACUCUUAAGAUUAAACUUCAGUAAAGUUGUUUCAGUUAUCCAUGUAAGCAGGCUAAGGAUAUUUAGCAGCUUAUUUAGGCAACUGCCAGAAUUGAGUUUGUUUGCUCGAAACUUGUAUGGUGACAAGGAUACUGGCAAGGAUAGUGAGAUAGUUUUUUGUGUGAGUGAAAUUUGAAAGCUUGGGUGUUCUGGGAUUUGCAAUUGCAAUCAUCCUCUGAGUCAGGUGAUUUCUUCUCCUGCUCUGUCUUGAUUUUCUCUCUAAUUGAAAGCAUAAAGUAUUUCAAUCAAAUUCUGUACCAGGAAUACGUAAAAGUUACUAAUAUUUUAUUUCCAUCUGUUCGCAUUGAUAACUCGGCGGCAUAUGUGUUGUGCGCGGAAUGCGGAAUCAAGCGCGCCAAAUAAUUAUAGAAAAAUAAAGGACACAAGAAUUACGUGGUUCGGUAAUUAAACCUACAUCCACGGAGGCAAGAAAGAAUAAUUGUUUAUUUAACAACUAAUAGAGUACAAUAUUUGAGUAACGAAUCUCACUUCCCAGAAACCCAAAUAUACCAAGUACUCUCACACUCUGCAGGAAAUAUAAAUUCCCCAGACACACUUCUCUCACUUCUCUCAAAAGCUUAGAAACUUAUAAGCUUAACAAUUUUGGGAUUAUUUCAAAUGAACAAUUUCCCUUCUAUAUAUAGGAACCGUAGCUCACCUACCACUUCCAAUUUGGCUACAACUUGCCGAAUUGAUAAAUUGAAUUUAGAAUGGAAAAUCAAUUUGGUGAGCAACAAAAUCAACAAGUUUGAAAAAUCAAUUGGCUUCUAGAAAAACAUCACAUUUUUCCUCCAUACAAUUUCAACAAAAUCGUCCCACCAACCAUGUCUUUUGAAAUUUGCAUGCCAUUCUUUGACUUGUUGUGCGCGGAAUGCGGAAUCAAGCUCACCAAAAAUUACUGCAAAAAUAAAGGACACAAGAAUUUACGUGGUUCGGUAAUUAAACCUACAUCCACGGAGGCAAGAAAGAAUAAUUGUUUAUUUAACAAUUAAUAGAAUACAAUAUUUGAGUAACGAAUCUCACUUCCCAGAAACCCAAAUAUACCCAGUACUCUCACACUCUGCAGGAAAGAUAAAUUCCCCAGACACACUUCUCUCACUUCUCUCAAAAGCUUAGAAACUUAUAAGCUUAACAAUUUUGCGAUUAUUUCAAAUGAACAAUUUCCCUUCUAUAUAUAGGAACCGUAGCUCACCUACCACUUCCAAUUUGGCUACAACUUGCCGAAUUGAUAAAUUGAAUUUAGAAUGGAAAAUCAAUUUGGUGAGCAACAAAAUCAACAAGUUUGAAAAAUCAAUUGGCUUCUAGAAAAACAUCACAUUUUUCCUCCAUACAAUUUCAACAAAAUCGUCCCACCAACCAUGUCUUUUGAAAUUUGCAUGCCAUUCUUUGACUUUUCAACAAUUCUCCACCUCGGCGAAAAUUUUCCAAAUCUGAGCCGACUACCAACUAACCAUCCCCAAAGUGAUCCUUCAAUAAGGAUCCAGAAUGGCUGUGUCGAUUCGACUGCCUACGUACCCAAACUGUCUUGAUUUUCUCUCUAAUUGAAAGCAUAAAGUAUUUCAAUCAAAUUCUGUACCAGGAAUACGUAAAAGUUACUAAUAUUUUAUUUCCAUCUGUUCGCAUUGAUAACUCGGCGGCAUAUGUGUUGUGCGCGGAAUGCGGAAUCAAGCGCGCCAAAUAAUUAUAGAAAAAUAAAGGACACAAGAAUUACGUGGUUCGGGAAGCAGUUGGCAGCAAAUUCAUAUGGAGUGUAGACAAUGAUGAGCAAAAAGGUGAUUCUCAAUUUCUUUUUUUUUUAAAGUGAAAUUAUUUGUUAGAUUGAAGCUGAUAUUGUAAGAAGGCCAUUGAGCUAACCUAUGUCGCCACUUGCCUAGAUUGCAGGGGGUCAAGACUCAAAAGAAGCACUGAAAUUUAAAAAGCAUGCAAUAGUUCUUUUGCCAUGUAUCAAUUAAUGCAAGUUUGAAUAAAAUUAACAUAUAUCAAGACACAACUAGAAACAUCAUACUUUCGUGUAAGUUCAUUUCAGAAUAUUUCUUAGAGUUUGUAUAAAAUGAAAAGAUUUUAAAAUAUAAAUUUAAUAUUUGUUUAUUACCGUUGUUUGGUCUAAUUUCCUCGGGAGAAUUUUCAGAAUUUAUAGGACAUUAGUUUAUAAUUUUGAAAUUUUGUAACCUAAAUGUUUUUUUUUUUCGGUUACCAUUUUGUUUUCCUGCUUUAUCUACGUGUAUGUUGACUAAAACUAAUCUAUUUUGUUAAACCUUUACCACUUUAGACAUUGCACUAAAUAUGAGUUCGUGAUGCUUGCAUUUUAUUGAUGCUGAUGAUUCGUUGAAUGUUUUAUGUUUUUGAUUUUUAAGUAUUCCGGAUCGAAGUUUGUGUCUACGCGGAAAUUGUAAAGGCAGCAUAUAAAGUACUCGUCGUUCUUUAGAUUUUAUUGAGUACACUUUUUUCACAUUUAGCGUAUGCUAUACACUACUGAUUUGCGCAUUGACAUAUAACUUAUUUUAUCAUUUUGAAUGAAUUGCACGGCGAGGCUUAUCAACUUUGGAUGAAUCCUCCAAUUGUCACAGUCCAAGACUGGCUGCAGUGAGUGAAAAUUUACCCAUAUAUAUGCUGGCUAUUUUUAUUGGCGACGAAUUCGUUGUAGUUGGUCCAUCUUGCUAUUCUCGGACAAUAUUAGAGAAAAUAAUCAUAUUAUUUCGCGUGAUGUGACCUUCCAUAACUUAUCAAUUGAAUUACUGUAAAAUUAUUGUGUAAGUUUAGGCCCAAUGGCACUUUAGUUCAUCACAUGAUAGCCUGGAUUUAAAUGGAAAACUAUAUUGCAUUGCUUCAAAAAAAUAAAUUAAUGUUUUUAAUAUGAAUAUUUUUAACUAUAUUCAGUUAAAAUAAUAUAUUCUUAAUAUUAAUAUUCAUAGAUGAAAUUCUUUUGCGGAUUUAAGAAUAAAAUAUCAAAUAGUUUUAUUUUUCUUUUGUUGUGUAACUUGGACCGAAAAAGAAAAUGAGCUUAACAUGACCCUCCUUCCGGCACUAUGCAUGUUUUUCUUGUAUUGAUGACAGUGCUCUUGGUGCUUCUCAUCUGCUUCUUGCUUUGGUUUCAAACAAGUCUUUCUCCGUCAAGACAUUUAUUGUAAUUUCAUUUGGAGACAUCUGUCGUUCAAAUAUAUUUCAUAUUCAAGCUGUUGAUAAUUCUGCUUGAGAAAGCCUACAAAGCAGCUGUGUGAUGUAAUGGAAGACUAUAUAUGCAAGCGGUCAUCAGUUUCUCUUGAAUUCUUUCUUGAGUUUCUUUGAAUUAUUUGUGAAUGAGUUCUUAAUCGGCUGCUGCUCUUCAGGAAAAGGAAAGUUUUGCAAACUGGUGAAGCUGAUCGAUAAAAGCAAUGUACCAUCUUUGCUGGCAUGGAUCGAUGCCAGUGAGUAGCUCAUUGGUGGAAGUAUUGCCAGUAACAGAACCCAAAGCAAAUGAAACUAUUUCAAGGCAGCAGUUGGCGCUUGCAAGUGAAUGGAGGCCAUUGACAAAAUUCUCAAGUGGUUGCGAUGCAAUUACGAUCAUCCUCAGCCUCAUGUAAAUUCUUCUCCUGCUUUGUUUUUAUUUGUUAUCUAAUUAAGAAGCACAAAGUAUCUUCAAUCAUUUUCUGUAUCUGGAAUAUAUGCAACAGUUUCUAAAAUUUUGAAACGAGUGUAAGGAUGGUAAUUUCUGUUUUCUGCCUGUCAUCCAAUGUUAGACAACUUUCAUUGAGACUCUUGAACAGAGUCAUCUUUGCUGGCAUGGAUCGAUGCCAGUGAGUUUUUUUAUUUGUCAACCUUUUUAAUAAUGCAUAUGUGUUUCUUCAACUUGAAGCGGCAUAUAAGACGAAAGAAGUGAUCUUUAUCCAAUUGCUCCAAAUUAUUUGCAAAUUACUGAACACGAAUGCUGAUGAAUAAACUGAUGGCUCUAUGUAUGUAUGCACAUGCAUGGAGAAAUUUUAAGUCAGACAUUGACUCGUGGUACCAAAUCAUUAAAUAAUCUUGAAAUCAAAGUAAUAAUUAAAUACAAAUAAAUUGCUCGAAUUGUACAUAUAUCUGAAUCAUGUAGUGAAGAAAAUACAACAACAACAGCCAAUGGCUCAAAUUCCCUAUCAACUUCUAGUCUCAACACUUUUGAGUGUCAGAAGCAUUACUCUGCUACUAGUUAACAAACAUAUAAUUAGUAAUUUGCCAUUCACUUCCCUUUUAGGCCUAACACAUUUUCUAUAAAAGAGCCACAGAGUGAACUCAGCAGGAAACACUCAAUUUCAACCUACGUAGGACCAGGAAUUUCAACCAAAAAAAAAGUGUGCAAUUGCUUAUCCUAUCCUAUUGCUACUAGAAAGAAAGUGAACAAUUAAUUUCAGUGAAUAAAUUAAAAAAAAAAUUACUUCUGCAGAUACUCAAGCUAAGAACACAUUAACCCAUUAAAGACUCCAAAUUGCAUCAAACAAAUUGUUGUUAAACAAGUAAAACAAAGAAAGAGAGUUAAGGAAGCUGACCAAGUAGUAGGGGAGCUGAAGAAAGACUGCCAGUGAAUGUAAGAGAAAAUAAAAUGCAAGAAAUGGUGAAGUGCAGCUUUUCAUGUCAACUUGAAAUUGAGUUUUCUGUUUUUUUUUUUUUUUUUAAUCUUUUGGAUUUUUCAAACAAAGAAAAUGAGGAGCAACCAGGGAGAUAAAAAGGGCGCCAAGGCAACUGUGUGUUGGGUUUAGAGCCAAAAAAAAAAAGAAUAAGACAUCGUGUUCUUGUGGAGACCAGACCUAUUACGUAACGUCCCCUUCAAUACCACUAGUUCCGUAUCUGGUUUUUUCUUCGUCUUUUACAUAGUUUGCAAUUUUAUUCAUUUGAGCCCUACAGAUGAUAUAAGGGACAAGAGCGCAAAACAGAAACUCUGUCCACUACUGAUGAUAUAACAACGAACCGGGGUUUUUAAUUAAAUACCCUUUAAUAGUUUCAAAAUUAUUUAAAUACCUCCUCCCUUUUUAGUUUUCAUGGAUACCCUAACAAAAUUAUUUAAAAAUGGUUCAAUUUUAUUCUACUCUCAGGAAUUAAGUGUUGGAUAGACUAGAAAAUUCUGAGUACAAAGCAUCGCUUGUUUUCGUUGGUUUUUUUUUUGCAUUCCAGUAGAAAGGUUGUGUACAAUUGAAUCUGAUAACUAUGGCAGGAGGUAAGUUUUCUAACUUGCGCAUGAUGAAUAUAGUCUUUUAUUUCUUCCAUUGUAAUUUUUGUUUAAUAGAAAAUCUAUUUGAGAUUUUGUGAGAAGAAACUCAACAAUAAAGUUUGAUAGACUUUGUGGAUAUUAAGAGUUUGACAAGUAAUUGAAAUCUGAAGUUUACUGAAGUUUACGAGCAAACAAACUGAAAUCCGAAGUUUACUGAAGUUUACUAUCAAGAGUUUCAAAACAGUGAAAAAGAUGAUAUGGUUGAUGACAAAAACCUGAGUUAUCCAUAGCGACAAGUAACAUACUGAAGUAAGCCGUGGGGAGCUGGCCUGUUCAUGGGCUAUUUUUCUCUGAUGAUCUGCAUUUUUCUUCCUUUUAAGUGAACCUUGACUCGUAUCAAACCUGUCAAAAGAACAGUUCAUCAACUGAGCUGAGAUUUGCUUUCCUUUUUCAAAACCCACCUGAGAUAUUGUAAUUCCCAAAUUUCUCUCUCUCAGCUACACGAGCAAGCAGCCGCUUUUUCACUUCAUCGACGAAGGUAAGCGAUAAUAUCUAUUUCGUCCGAUUGAUUUCUUGUUUCCUUUUCAGUGUUCGGGUAAAUUAUUGGCAUGCCUGACUUUUUGACCAUUACAUGAUUCAUAAAUUUAUAUUAAUUUUGAUUUUGAGUUGACCGGUUACUUUUAUUGGUUUGCUUACUUUGACUAGGUGACCGAUUUCUUGUAACUAAAUUUAUGACGUGAUGCAGGAAGCUGGGCAGGAUAUGAAAUGAGAAUCUUAUUAGUGGAAGGAUUGCCAGUAACAGAACCCAAAGAAAAUGAAACCAUUUCAAGGCAGCAGUUGGCAGUUGGGAGUGAAUGGAGGCCCCUGACAAAACUUCAGUAAACUUCAGAUUUCAGUUUGUUUGCUCGAAACUUGCAUGGUGACAAGGAUACUGGCAAGGAUAAUGAGAUAGUUUUUGUGUGAAUGAAAUUACGAUCAUCCUCAGACUCAGGUAAUUUCUUCUCCUGCUUAGUUGUUAUUUGUUACCUAAUUAAGAAGCAUAAAGUAUCUUGAAUCAUUUUCGUUGUCUGGAAUAUAUGCAACAGUUUUUAAAAUUUUGAUAUCAGUGUAAUGAUUGUAAUUUCUGUUUUCUGUCUGUCAUCGAAUGUAAGACAACUUUAUUAAGAUUCUUGAACCGAGUCAUUUUUGACAAUUGAAGAACAAGUGCUGAAGAGUGGGAAUGCAAAAAGUUUUGUUGUUUUUAGCCUUGUUUUCUUUGAACCAGCGCCUGAUUCACAAGAGUUCAUUAAUUUGGCUUUUGAUCAGCUGAUUGAUAAAUGUUCAAUUUCUUUGGUGAUAAAUGUAUAUGUGAAGCAGGCAGCAGGGCAUGACUGUGGAAAAGAGAAGAUUUUAGUGAAAGCUGAGACUCAGAUAAUUCUACGCGUUUUGGCUGAUUUAUAUAAUUCGUGAAAUUUUAUUUCCAUCUGUUACAAGAUCAAACUGCAAUUAGCAAUUUAACAUUCCCUUAAAACCACUAGCUACAUUUCAUCUUUGCACAAUUACACUUAAAAUUCCACUAAAAGAAACUCUUGAGUUGCUCGCAAGCUAUAUGUCAUUAUCCAUUGAAUUCUUACCACAUACAUCUCACCUUUCAAUCAAUCACAUAAUAAUCAAUAUACAUAUUGUAAGAAUUCAACAAAUGGAGAACAUAAUAUACUAUAAAAGCAUCCAAAAUUUUUCCAUCUCAAAUUAUUACUAAACUUCUUGAACAAGUUGAAGAUUGGGGGGAAAAAGUGCAAGAAGGAAAAGCAUUAUUCUACUAGUUUCUAGGUUUCUCAUUUGAACAGAAAGAUUAAAUAAGAUAUUUGUGUAUGGCUGUAGUACUACACGGUAUCUGCUAGAAAGCAAAAUACCUUCUGCUGAUUGCACAUUGGAAUGGGAAUAAGUUGGUAAAUAUAUAAGUUACAUAAAUUAUUUUGGAUAAUUCUGCUGGUGAAUUAAUUAUCUUAAAAUCACCCUUUUAUUUUUUAAAAAAUCUUAAGUUAUUUUUCAUAUAUCUUAGGAAGACAAACAAACUUUCAUCAACUCUCCUUUUUUAGCUUUUCCCUUCAAUAAUGUUAGAAAUUCUAACAUUUGAGUCCUGCUUGAGCUUAAUACUAUUUAUCACUCAUUUAUUAGAUGAUGAAUUUUUUAAAUUAUAAAGUUAUUUGACUACCAUUCAAUGAAUGAAUGUCACAUCAUUUAAAACUCAAAGAAAAGUAUUCUACUUCUUGCGGCAAUCAUGCCUUCAUUCAGACUAUGAACCAUUUCCUUUCACCAAAUUCUUCAUAAACAUUGAAUAAGUUUCAUGGUUGGACAUAGUUAGCUUCUGUUUCUUUUGGUGCAUUUAGGUGCUAUCAAGUGACGGCCGUAAGUAUGAUUGCAUUAUUGGGAAUUUUACGAUUUGAUGGUUCCCCACGUUAUUGCCAAGAAAGUUCUCAUGUCGGAAGCAGCGGUUCUUUUCAUCAGCCUGAACCCGAACCUGUCGCUAUGGAUAACUCAGGUUUUUGUCAUCAACUAUAUCAUCUUUUUCACUGUUUUGAAACUCUUAAUAUUAAACUUACAGUAAACUUCAGAUUUCAGUUUGUUUGCUCGAAACUUGUAUGGUGACAAGGAUACUGGCAAGGAUAAUAAGGUAGUUUUUUGUGUGAGUGGAUUUUGAGAGCUUGUGUGUAUAGGGAUUUGCAAUUACAAUCAUCCUCUGCCUCAGGUGAUUUCUUCUCCUGCUCUGUCUUUAUUUGCUCUCUAAUUGAAAAGCAUAAAGUAUUUCAAUCAAAUUCUGUACCAGGAAUAUGUAAAAGUUCCUAAUAUUUUAUUUUCAUUUGUUUGCAUUGAUAACUUGACGGCAUAUGUACUAGUUAAAGAACAAACAGAAUCAGAGCUCAAGAAAAAGUUUUUUCUGCCAUCAUAUUUGAAAAUGAAGUCAUUUGCAGGAAGCGGUUGGCAGCAAAUUCAUACAAAGUGUAGACAAUGAUGAGCAAAAAAGGUGAUUCACAGUUUGAUUUUUUUUUAAUAAUGAAAAUAAUUUGGUAGGUUGAAGCUGAUAUUGUAAGAGGGCCAUUGAGCUAACCUAUGUCGCUACUUGCCAAGAUUGCAGGGCGUUAAGACUCAAAAGAAGCACUGAAUUUUAAAAGGCAUGCAAUAGUUCUUGUGCCAUAUGUCAAUUCAUGCAAGUUGGAAUAAGUUUAUUGGUUUGAACGCUGUUAGCUCCUUUUCCUUUCGUGCAUUUUGGUAUGCUAUCAAGUGACAGCCGUAUGUAUGGUUUGCAUAUAGCUGCUGCUGGGAAAUGUGAGGAUUUCAUGGCUGGCCGUGUUAUUGUUUUAAAUUAGAUGUGAUAAGCUGUUGCUUGGAGAUUCUGUUGCCAAGACUUUGCUCACAUCAGAAGCUGUGGAACCUCAACCCUUCUCUAGAUAUCAUCUUUUUCAUUGUUUUAAAACUCUCAGGAUUAAACUUGAGUAAAUUUGUUCGGUUGUCUAUAUAAUCAUGUAUUGAGUAAACUCUCAGGAUACCGAGCAGGCAAAUGCCAUAACUCGGUUUGUUCUUCAAAAACUUGUUUAAGAUUCUUGACAAAGCUGCAUGAAGUGAAUCUUGGGAGCUUUGAGGGUGAGAGAAAUUAGAGGGUGUAUAGGGAUUUGGGUUUAUUAGUAAGUUAUAUAUGUAUUUCGUCACUUAUCAUUAUCAUUUUUAUUUUCACAGAAAACCUUCUGAUGGUGCUAAAUUUUCAAACACCGGUCCGAUUCAAAACUUCAUAUUCCAAUUAUAUUCAUAAGACAAAUGGAACACUUUGAACGGCUAGUGUCCGAGCAUUGUAGUUUGAUUUAUUUUGAUGAAAGUACCUUUUGACAUUGAGAUUCUUUCAUGAUUUAAACAUUCUUUUUUAAACCAAAUUAUUAAAAAAAGUAACUAACAUAUAUUAUUUUAUUAGUGCUUUUUAAAUCAAAUAUACAUAGGAGAACUGUAAUUCUUAGCAAUCAAUUUUUCACUAAAUACACCUGCAAUAAACUAUUAAUAACAAAGUGAUAGAAAAUACCUGAUUUUUCAUACUUUCUAAUUUCUUGUGGUCCUAAAAUAUGGGCAUUUGUGUAAUAAUUAGCCCAUGUGGAUCUCUAUGCCAUGAGUUUGAUAAAUAGCUAUCAAGGAUCACUUAUUAAGCUGAAAAUAUUUGGAGGACAAAAUUGUAAAACUAAAAGGGUAGAGCAAAUAUGGCUAUCUAGGAUUAAAUAGUAAGUCAACUAUAUUUAAAGGAUAAAAUGUUAAAACUUGAACUGUGAUAUUAAAAAUAUCUCAACUAUUACAUUAUUAAACCAUAUGUUCUAAUAGUUUUUUUUUAAGCUUCAAAAUGUUCAGGAUUUUAGAUUGAAACAUUUUCAUUUGAAAUUAUUUGGUGCAGUCACAAGUUAAGAAAGAAAAAGUUGUCCCAUUGGUCAUUUCACAAAAAUGAAAGCCCUGUAUAACAUGGACUUGAAUGGAAGCCCAAUUGUUUGUGUUUGAUUAAUUGAUUUCAAGCUUUAUCGGAUCUUUGGACCUGGAUACUUUACCGCGGCCUCUAAGCGCUAUAAUUUUUUUUUUUUUGGGAUAAACGGCGCUUCAAUGAGGGCAUUUCCAAUACUUAACACUAUUUUGGUGUAACACCAACACUAAAAAUGUACAUUUUUCACACUAAAUUACUAUUUAAUCUCCAACCCAUUUGAUCUACCAUGAUUGUGACUCCCACUGGGGCCACGUUCUGUUGAUCACCCUCUCGUCACCGAUAGCGCCUCCGCUUGUGGCGAACUUGCUUGUCUAUUUUCCCUAUUUUUCCGCUUACUCUCCUCAUUUAAUACGGAGGCUGCAACAUCAUCGAAAACUAGACUGUCCACUGAAUUGUAGUUUGUCAGGUUGACGAUGAGUUGUUCAUACGAAUCUUAUAGACUUUGAAGUAGAAGCUCUGCAUGUACAUUAUCCUCUAUAUUAUGACCCAACGUUGUGAGUUGUGAAAAUAGAGUCUUCAAGGUGUUGAUGUGGUCGGUCACCAUUGUAGAUUCCACCAUUCGAAGAGUAUAAAGUCUCCUCUUCAAAAAGAUUUUGUUGUGUAGUGACUUGGCCUCGUACAAUUUUGUAAGAGUAUCUCAUAUUUCCUUUGCUGUAUUUUUCUCUGCCACACUGGAUAAUACUCCAUCCGCAAGUGCCAAGUGUAGAUCAGAAAUAGCGUUGCCAUCUAUCUCAUUCCACUUGUCAUCAGUUAUCUCCAUGGGCCUUUCUCCAAUUGCUGCCAAACAAUUAUUUUUCCUCAAUACAACUUUCAUCUUCAUUUUCCACAAUGAAAAAUUAUUUCCGUUAAACUUCUCAAUUUCAUAUUUUGCUGCCAUUUUUUUGAUAAAUACCGCACACAAGUUAGUGUAUCACCUUGAAUAGUUGUCGGUAUGUGUGAGAAUGCACACCAGGAAAGUUCCCAGGAAAGACUGGAGGGGUCACACUGGUCCACUUAAAACUCAGACUCCUUAAGCACUUAUCGCGUUUGUAACAGAACUUUCCUAGACAUGUACAAAACCACACAGUUGCUUUUACUUACACCACUAUUUCCUACUUUGCAGUGCAAAAGUUCUUGGAUCGCUCCCAUCGUUUCUCGUGAACAGUACCAUAUACGUGAACAGUGCCACAUACAUGAAUAGUACCGUAUACGUGAACAGUACCGUAUACGUGAAUACUACCCUUUACGUGAACAGUACUUGACUCCAAAAAAUUCAACCAAUAGCUUUGAUACCACUGUUAGGAAAUUGGUAGGUGAAGCAGACACGCAGCUAAAAUAAAAUUGGAAGAAAAUAAAGAACAAGUACAAAGUGGACACCAAGAAAUUACGUGGUUCGGCUUUUAGCCUACGUUCACGGGCGAAGAUAGAAGGAAAAUAUUAUACUAGUGAUAUGAAGAUUACAAGUAUUGUAAUAUUUUGGCUCACUAUCCAAAACCCCAAUACACUCAAUCUCUCACUCAAUAAACUCUCAGGAGCUUUAUUAUUUUAAGCUCUUAAAAUCUCUCAAGCUUUCUCCUUAUUAUUCUCUCACAAAUUGUAUGCUAAAAUUAGGGUGGGAAGCCCUCUUUAUAUAUCCAAGAUUUUGGCUCUUUUUUUUUUAUAUAACAAGUCAACACGGCACCAUUAAGAAUGGCGAGCCAUGUUGAAUGGCAUGGCACCGCCCAUCUAGAUGGCCGGUGCCAACCAUGACUUUAACAUUCUAUCACUUGGAGAUUUGAUUGAGAAUCAAUCAAUCUCCACAUCAUCCUUUCUACUUCGCCAUAAUCAUGUUGCCUACGUUUUUACUAGGCCACAAGAGGAUCUACUCCAGUUAAACUUAUCAAUAUUGAUUGGCUUAGUCAAAACAUCUGCUAGGUUCUCCUUCGUAUGGAUUUUUGCAAAUUGACACUUCCAUCUUCCACUACUUCUCGAACGAAGUGAUACUGAACUCCUAUGUGCUUUGUCUUGGAAUGAAAGGCUGGAUUCCUUGCAAUGUGCAAGGCACUCUGACUGUCACAAAACACAGGAAUUUUCUGUUGUUUGUGCCCGAGCUCCUCCAAUAAUCUUUGUAUCCAAAUAGCUUCCUUGCAAGCUUGUAUAGCUGCCAUGUAUUCUGCUUCUGUUGUAGAUAAAGCCAGAACGGUCUGCAGUUUCCAAACCCAACUUACAACUCCUCAUGCAAAUGUAAACACAUAACUAGUAGUGGAUUUCCUUUUAUCAAGGUCUCCUGCAAAAUCUGAAUCCACAUAGCCCCUGACAGUAAACUCUGAUCCUCAAUAACAUAAUACAACAUCUGAGGUUCCUCUUAUGUAUCUCAGAAUCCUCUUCACAGCUAUCCAAUGCUGUCCACCAGGAUUCACCAUGUAUCGACUGAUUGCUCCCACUGCUUGUGCAAUGUCUGAUCUUGUACAUAUCAUAGCGAACAUCAAACUUCCCACUGCUGAUGCAUACGGUACUUGAGACAUCUCCUUCCUCUCUGCUUCAUUGCUAGGACACAUACUUGAGGAUAAUUUGAAAUUAACAGGAAGUGGGGUAGAAAUUGACUUACAAUCUUGCAUGUUGAAGCGCCACAAGAUUUUCUUCAAGUAGUUAUUCUCAGAAAGCCAAAUCUUUCUGUUAUUUCUGUCUCAGUGAAUUUGCAUCCCUAGAAUCUUGUUUGCUGGUCCCAAGUCCUUCAUUUCAAACUCCCUAGCCAACAGUGCCUUCACUUCUUGGAUUCGAUCUUUGUCGGGGCCUGCUACCAACAUGUCAUCCACAUAUAACAACAAAAUAAUGAAAUCAUUAUCUUCAAACCUUUUGUAAUAUGCACAAUGGUCUGAACUGAGUCUGUUAUAUCCAAGACUCAUGAUGAAGGAAUCAAAUCUCUUAUACCAACACCUCGGCGCCUGUUUGACACCGUAUAGAGAUUUGUUCAACCUACAAACCAAGUUUUCCUUUUCUGUUUCUGCAAAACCUUCUGGUUUGAGCAUAUAAAUUUUCUCUUCAAGUUCUCCAUGAAGAAAUACAGUUUUCACAUCUAACUGCUCUAGAUGUAGGUCAAAUAUAGCACACAUUGCCAAGACUACUCUGACUGUUGUGAGUCGAACCACCGGAGAAAAUAUCUCGUUGAAGUCAAUACCUUCUUUCUGAGCAUAUCCUUUCACCACCAAUCUUGCACGAUACCGCUCCACUUGAUCAUUGCCAUCACGUUUGAUCUUGUAGACCCAUUUGUUUCCAAUGACUUUUCUUCCAUGUGGUAGUGGUACAAGUUCCCAUGUCUUAUUUUUAUGUAGAGCUUCAAUUUCUUCCUGCAUUGCUGUCAUCCACAAAGCAACAUUUGAACUUUCUAAAGCUUCAUGGAAAGUUGAUGGCUCUCCAUCCUCUGUUAGAAGACAGUAUGCAACAUGGAUCUCUGUGACAUACUCCGAGUGCCACGCUGGCGAUCGUCUCUCACCAAUUGACCAAAGAACUUCUGGAGUCUCAGACUCGACUGGUUCUUGUUCCUCGUGCUCUGGUGCUGCUUUAGAAGAAUCUGAAUCUUCUAGAUUAUUUCCACAUAUACCGGCACAGUUUCUGACUUUUCUUUUACAGUGUCAUCAUCUCCAUCUUUCCUUUACAGUUGAUCUUCUACAAAAAUAACAUCUCUGUUGAUGACGAUCUUGUGGGCAGUGGGGUCCCACAAACGAUACCCCUUUACUCCAUUAGCAUAUCCCAAGAAGAUACAUCUUCUAGAUUUUGGAUCCAGCUUUGUUCUUUCUUACGGAUUGUACAUCACAUACACAGGACAUCCAAAUGCAUGUAAGUAGGAAUAAUCAGCUGGCUUUCCAGUCCACAUCUCCACGUUGUCUUCAGCCCAAUAGCUGUAGAUGACGACUGAUUUACUAUAUAACAAGCAGUUUUGGCUGCUUCUUCCCAAAAUGAAUUGGGUAGACCAGCAGUCCUCAACAUAGCUCUUAUUCUUUUGUAAGAGUUUUGUUCAUCUACUCCGCCACUCCAUUUUGUUGAGGAGUGUAUGCUACCGUGAACUGUCUAUGAAUACCUUCUUACUUACAGAAAGCAAGAAACUCACCGUCUGUAUACUCUCCACCAUUAUCUGUCCUCAAGCACUUGACCCUUUUACCAGAUUCAAGUUCCACCCGCGCUUUGUAUUCUUUAAAUACUGGAAAUAUAAUUGACUUUUUCAUAAUUGGAUACACCCAACAUCUCCUGGAAUAAUCAUCAAUGAAAGUCACCAUAUACUUUGCACCUCCCAUGGAUAUAUCCAGUGAUUCCCAAACAUCAGAAUGAAUCAAGUCUAAAAUGCAUUUACUUCUAGCAAUAGAUUUACUGAAUUUUAAUCUAUGCUGCUUACUUGUAACACAAUGCUCGCAAAAUGGUAAACUUACCGAUUUAAGCCCCGGAAGUAAUUUUCACUCAGAGAGAAUCUUCAAACAUUCUGACAUGUGACCAAAUUUGAGAUGCCACAUCAUCGUUGACUCUUCUCCAUUUGAUACGAGACACGCAUUAGCCUCCUAUAGUGUUUCUCCUUUAAGCAUGAAUAGAUUAGCACCGAUCUUUUCUGCCUUCAUCAAUACAAGCGCUCUUUUAACAAUUUUCGUAAUUUCAUUCUCCAUAUGAGUUUUAUACCCAUGACUAUCCAUUUGUCCCAAAGACAAUAGAUUUUUAUUCAGGUCAUUGACAUGUCGUACCUCCCCAAUUGUGCGAAUUGUACCAUCAAAAUUUUUAUUUUGAUAGUGUCAAUACCAGCGAUCUCCAAGGUAUGAUCAUUACCCAUAUAUAUAGAUCCUCCUGAGAUAUGUUCAUAUGUGUGGAACCAUUCUCUCCGAGAGGUCAUGUGCCAGGUAGCUCCUGAGUCUAUAAUCCAGACAUCAGAUAGUCGUUUUCUACCUUCUAAAACAGUUGUUGCCUCGCUUUAGAGAAUUUCACCAUUAUCUGAAGUACUUGCUACACACCCUUGAGCAUUUGAUGACUCAGGUUAUUUGCCCUCUCUUCUCUUCUGGUUACUCCAACACUUUUUCUUGACGUGCCCUUUCUUGCCACAGUUGUAGCAUUUAACAUUCUUCUUACUUCUGGAUUUUGAUCUACCAUGAUUAUGACUUCUACUGGGGUCACGUUCUGUUGAUCUCCCUCUCGUCACCAAUAGCGUCUCCGCUUGCUGCGAACUUGCUUGUCUGCUUUCAUUAUUUUUCCGCUUACUCUCCUCAUUUAAUACGGAGGUUGCAACAUCGUCGAAAACUAGACCGUCCGCUGGAUUGUUGUUUGUUAGGUUGAUGAUGAGUUGAUCAUACGAAUCUGGUAGACUUUGAAGUAGAAGCUCUGCAUGUACAUUAUCCUCUAUAUUAUGAUCCAACGUUGUGAGUUGCGAAAAUAGAGUCUUCAAGGUGUUGAUGUGGUCGGUCACCAUUGUAGAUUCCACCAUUCGAAGAGUAUAAAGUCUCUUCUUCAAGAAGAUUUUGUUGUGUAGUGACUUGGCCUCGUACAAUUUUGUAAGAGUAUCUCAUAUUUCCUUCGCUGUAUUUUUUUCUGCCAUACUGGAUAAUACUCCAUCCGCAAGUGCCAAGUGUAGAUAAAAAAUAGCGUUGCCAUCUAUCUCAUUCCAUUUGUCAUCAGUUAUCUCCAUGGGCUUUUCUCCAAUUGCUGCAAAACAAUUAUUUUUCCUCAAUACAGCUUUCAUCUUCAUUUUCCACAACAAAAAAUUAUUUCCGUUAAACUUUUCAAUUCCAUACUUUGCCGUCAUUUUGUUCAUAAAUACCGCACACAAGUUAGUGUACCACCUUGAAUAGUUGUCAGUAUGUGUGAGAAUGCACACUAGGAAAGUUCUCAGGAAAGACUGGAGGGGUCACACUGGUCCCACUUAAAACCCAAACUCCUUAAGCUCUUAUCGCCUUUGUGACAGAACUUUCCUAGACAUGUACAGAAUCACACAGUUGCUUUACUCACACCACUAUUCCCUGCUUUGCACCGCAAAAUUCUUGGAUCGCUUCCACCGUUUCUCGUGAACAGUAUCGUAUACGUGAACAAUGUCGUACAUGUGAAUAGUAUCAUACAUGUGAAUAGUAUCGUAUACGUGAACAGUACCGUAUACAUGAAUACUACCCUUUACGUUAAGAAAUUGGUGGGUGAAGCAGACACGCAGCUAAAAUAAAAUUGGAAGAAAAUAAAGAACAAGCACAAAGUGGACACCAAGAAAUUACGUGGUUCGACUUUUAACCUACGUCCACGGGCGAAGACGGAAGAAAAAUAUGAUACUAGUGAUAUGAAUAUUACAAGUAUUGUAAUAUUUUAAUUUACUACCCAGAACCCCAAUACACUCAAUCUCUCACUCACUAGACUCUCAGGAGCUUUAUUAUUUUAAGCUCUUAAAAUCUCUCAAGCUCUCCUUAUUAUUCUCUCACAAAUUGGAUGCUAAAAUGAGGUGGGAAGCCCUCUUUAUAUAGCCAAAAUUUUGGCUCCUUUUUUUUUUUUAUAACAAGUCAACACGGCACCACCAAGAAUGGUGGGCCGUGUUGAAUGGCAUGGCACCGCCCAUCUAGAUGGCCGGUGCCAACCAUGACUUUAACAUUAUAGUCCAAGUUUUCGAGGACCACUAUAUUGUAUUGAUUUAAAAAAAACUAAUAUUUUUAAUAUUAAUAUUCUAAAUUAUAUUCAGUUAAAAUAUUAAAUAUUAAAAACAUUCUUAAUAUUAAUAUUCUUAGAUGAAAUUAUUUUGCUGACUUAAGAAUAAAAUAUUAAAUAAUUUUAUUUUUCUUUUAUUGUGUAACGUGGACCAAAAAAAAGGAAAUGAAUUUAAUAAAACCUUCAUUCAAAACCUUCAUUCCGCCACCAUGCAUGCAUGUUAAUUGUUUCCAAAUUCCAACCUCCGUACUCUCUUGAGGAGUUUCCCAUUCAUCAAUUAUUAUUUUUUAUAAUCCAUACCAUCCUGAUAUAAUUAAACACCAUUAAUAAUGUACCAGCCUUUAAAUAGUAAUUAAUUUAUUUAGUUGGCCACCUAAAAGAAUCCUGCAGGAAAUAGAGGUUAAAAAUUUUAUUAAAUUUGCUUACCGCUGUAUCAUUAUAUAUAUAAAGAGUGAAAUCUAAAUGAAAUUUUUUAUCAUCCAUUCAGCAAACACUUAUAAUUCACAAAUAGUGAAUCUAUGCAUUGACAAUGUGGAUUAAGAAUUAUAACACAUGAAUUCAAACAUACCCUUGUGAAGUUAAGAAUAAGUUCAUACUUCAAAUGAUUUUUUAGCUAAUAAAGCAAUCAGUUUCAUUAAACGACAGCGUUGAAGGAAUUGUGCAAUUUUUUACGUUCUUUUCUAGACAGACGUUACAGAAAUGGGGUAAGUAGAGGGCUGGCCUCAGAUAUCUCACAAUUGUUAGUGAGAUAAAAUGUUAUUGUAAAAGGCGUUUAAUAGAAUAAUAUUAAUUCUUUUGCAUUGUUAUAAAAAUAUUUUUUUCUUUUGACAGUUCUGCAGGACAAGUGAUCAGAGCUCAAUGAAUAUAGCCGUGGAGGCACAGCAGAGCAGGAUUAUGAAAAAGAGAAGCUUAUUACAGGUCAUUCAAGUUUACUUGCUUUUAUAUAAUAAGUGUUUUGGCCGAUUUAUCUAAUUCACCAAAUGUUUUUUCCGGUACAUAUCUCCAUUGGUAUCAAGAAGAGGCAGAACCCAAAGAAACGUUUCUUGCAUCUUCAUAUUUGUGCGCAUUCAUCCUUUCAUUGAGAAUAACCAUUUCCAGGCAGCAGUUGCCAAUCAAUUCGCACGUCGAUGCUAUUCAUAGAUAUUAAAGACAAUGAUGAACCAAAGGUGAUAAAUCAUAAAUGCAUAAUUACCAAACCUCCAUCCUUCUCUCAUUAUGAUUUGAUUUUAAAUGAAUUAUUGCUUGGUAACAUUAUUUCCAACCAUUGCAAGACCUUUUUUUUUUUUUGGGAGAAAUUUCAAUUGAAAGUGAAACCUUUAGACAUUUACCUAAUGAAGUUAGUUAAUCGGGAGGGUGGAAAAAAAAAAGUUGACGCAAGUCAAUACACAAUAAUGAUUAAUUAAAUCCGGAGUGACUAAAACAGAGCCACUACUUUUUCAAAAAUAUCUGCAUUCAUCACUUUCUCCAGCAGCUAGUCAGCUACACACGAAUCAAUUUCUCUCCUCGUUUGUCAUCCAAAAUUAUUCACCAAUACCAUGGCUGAUGCAAUCGUUUCCACUAUCUUGGAGCAGCUGAUUUCCUUCGCUGCUGAAGAGAUAAAACAACAGGUGAUCGAAGUUACACCCCUCAUAUUACAAAUACUUCCAAUGAUUUUAAUUGGUUUUGUUUUUAUCAAAAACAUUAUAUAUUUUUGCUUUUUUUUAUUUAUCUGAUAAUUUUAUAUUUUGAAAUUUGAAUUGAAUUUAAUUAAAAGGUGAUGUAGUAACCACUCAUUUUUAUUUUAUUUCAUUUAUAUUCUCGAUAACUAACCAUAUUUUGGUAACUUAAUAUAACUCUCGUACAUAAGAAAUGAUCCAAACCCACAAUUUUAACUCUGUAUAAAUAUUCAACGUUGAGUCAUUAAUUCUCAACUCAGCACUGAAUCCCAUAGCUAUUACUUAGACUCUAUGAAAAAUUUCAUAGUUUUCUUACAUUCUUUGAGUUUGGUAAGUGAUUUCGUAUAAUUUCUUUUCAAGUUAAAUUUUAAUUUGGUUUAUGAUAUAGUCUCUGUGCCGAAUUGUAUCUUUUAUGAUUCUUGGAUUUUGGGCUCCAACUUUUUAGGAUUUGAUAGUCACAUUUUAUGCCAUGCUCAGAUUGAUUUUCAUGAUUUUAACUACCCGUUAAGUGGCUUACAAUUUGACAAAAGUUUGAAAGGAAAUAUGUUUCAGGAUUCUGUUUUAAUUGACCUUUAAGUAGAAAUAGGAUGCUUAUAACUUAAUGUGGAUGGUUUGUAAAAUCAUGAAAUUCGGAUAGGAUUCACUAGAAAUAUGUACAAGACUCUCCAUAAAGUUUCAUAAUUUUUCAUUCGGUAUGGGGUGGUACAGGUGAAACUUGUGGUUGGUGUUGAAAAAGAAGUGAAAAGCAAGUUGUGCUCGAUGAUGCAGAGGAAAAGCAAGUGAAGGACAAAGCUGUUAGUCUUUGGCUGGGUAGACUCAAGUACGCAUCCUACGACAUUGAAGAUGUGUUGGAUGAGUGGAUCACAGCAAGACGCAAAUUGCAAAUUGAGGGUGGCGUUGAUGAAAAUGCUCUUGUUGUUCCUCAUAAGAAAAAGAAGGUAUGUCUCUACUUUCCCGGCUCUUGUUUUGGAUUCAAACAAGAAGAAUUUGGUUUCAAACAAGUCUUUCUCCGUCAUGACAUUGCCGACAAGAUCAAAGAAAUCAAUGAAGAGCUACAUGAUAUUGCCGCUCAAAAAGACAUGUUUGAUCUUGUUAAGAGUGGCAAUAAAAGUAGUGAAAGACCAAGGCGUGUACAGAGUACCUCCUUGAUUGAUGAAGAAGAGAUUUGUGGCAGAGUUGGUGAGAGGAAUGAACUCUUAAGCAAGCUGUUGUGUGAGAGUAGCGAGCAACAAAAAGGCCUUCAUAUCAUCUCAAUCGUUGGUAUGGGAGGCAUAGGGAAAACAACUCUUGCACAACUAGCUUGUAAUCAUGACGAGGUGAAGAGAAAGUUCGACAAAAUUCUGUGGGUGUGUGUAUCAGAAACUUUUGAGGAGUUUAGGGUUGCCAAAGCGAUCGUUGAAGUUUUGGAUGGUCGUGAAUCUCAUUUAGCUGAAUUCCAUUCUCUUCUUAUAAGUAUUGAUAAAUCUAUUGCGGGAAAGAGAUUUCUUCUUGUCUUAGAUGACGUAUGGGACGGAGAUUACAUUAAGUGGGAACCGUUCUACCGUUCCCUAAAGAAUGGUCUCCAAGGAAGUAAAAUUUUGGUUACUACACGUAAGGAGUCAAUUGCGUUUAUGAUGGGAUCCAUUGAUAUUAUCUCUAUCAAGGGAUUGGCCGAAGAAGAAUGUUGGUCGUUGUUUAAGCGGUUAGCAUUUUUCGGUCGAUCCAUUGAGGAAUGUGGAAGAUUGGAACAAAUUGGACAAAGAAUUGCAGGAAAGUGUAAAGGCUUACCUCUUGCAGCAAAGGUAAUAGGGAGUCUCAUGCGUUCUAAAAAAACUGAAGAAGAGUGGCAAAGAAUCUUAAAUAGUGAGCUAUGGAAAAUAGAAGAGAUCGAGAAAGGUGUUCUAACUCCUUUGUGGUUGAGUUAUAACGAUUUGUCAUCUCGAGUAAAAAGAUGUUUUUUAUAUUGUGCUGUCUUUCCAAAAGACUACAAUAUAAAAAAAGACAAACUAAUUACAUUAUGGAUGGCUCAAGGUUAUCUUAAUGCAGAACAAAAUGAAGAGAUGAAGACAAUAGGUGAAGAGUAUUUUGGCAUCUUAGCUUCUCGCUCUUUCUUUCAGGAGUUUACGAAAAGUUAUGAUAAUCGUAUUAUAUGGUGCAAGAUGCAUGAUAUGGUGCAUGAUUUUGCCCGAUUUGUAAGUCAAAAUGAAUGUUUUUCGAUGGAAAUUAACGGCAGUGAGGAACCAAACGCCACAAACUCUCCUCAUGGGAAGCUUCGUCAUUUAAUGUUAAUCAUUGGUGAAGGGGCUUCAUUUCCUGUCUCCACUUGUAGAGUCAAAAGAAUGCGAAGCCUCUUAAUUGAUAGUAGCAGAUUUGAUUAUCAGUCGUUAAAUGGUGAGAUCCUAGAAGAAUUAUUGAGGGAAUUGACAAGUUUAAGGGCAUUCGAUUUUUGCAGAUCGGACCACACACGAUUGGGUUUCACUCUAGAGAUUCCAAGAAAUAUAAAAAAGCUGAUACAUUUAAGAUACCUUAAUUUGUCUGGUCAGAAAAUAGAGAAGCUACCGGAGGCAUUGUGCGAGCUAUAUAAUCUAGAGAAGUUAGAUAUUUGUGGUUGUUGGUGUCUUAAAGAAUUACCUGAAGGGAUUGGGAAGUUAAUAAACAUGAAGCAUUUACUAAAUAGAAAUACCGAUUCUGUAAGGUACAUGCCAGUAGGGAUUGCGAGAUUAAAGAGUCUUCAGACAUUGGAAGAGGUCAGUGUGAGUGGAAGAGGAUGUCUUGAUGGUAGGAAAGCAUGUAGGCUCGAAUCUCUUAAAAACUUGGAACACCUUCAAAUAUGCGGUAUACGUGGACUGGGUGAUGUAUCAGACGUGGGCGAGGCUAAGCGAUUAGAACUUGACAAAAAUAAAUACCUCUUCAGUUUGACCCUUUGGUUUGAUAAGAAGGAGGAAGAAGGAGAAAGGAGGAAGAACGAGGACGAUCAACUUCUUCUUGAAGCCCUGCAACCACCUCUGGAUUUAAAGAAAUUAACGAUAUGGUCAUACAGAGGCAACACUGUUUUCCCCAGCUGGAUGAUGUCAUUAACCAAUUUAAGGAGUUUAGGUCUCUGUUACUGCAAAAAUUGUGAGCAGCUGCCUCCUUUGGGAAAAUUGCCAUCCCUUGAAACGCUCCACAUAUUGGGCAUGAAUAGUGUGAAAAGAGCGGGUAAUGAAUUUUGGGGUAUAGAAAGUAAUCACCAUGACUCAUCUUCAUCUUCAUUUUCAUCAGUUAUUAUUGCCUACCCCAAAUUAAUAUCACUUUCAAUUCAUUGUCUGACGGAAUUGGAGGAGUGGGAUUAUGGGAUUACUAGAACGGGAAACACGUUCAUCAACAUCAUGCCACGUCUUUCUUCCUUGCGAAUUACUAUGUGCCCCAAACUAAAGGCACUGCCCGACCACAUUCAUCAAACGACAACACUGAAGGACUUGACCGUUGGGUGGAACUCUGAUCUUCUGCAAGAACGUUACAGCGAGGGUAUAGGAGAAGACUGGCCUAAGAUAUCUCACAUUCCCAACGUCAGGAUUUGGCAAGACGUAAUUUCUUCUCCUACUCUGAUUUGCUUUGUUGUUGUUUUUAAUCUAAUUAAGACGCAUAAAUAGCAUUUUGAUUUUGAGUUGACAAUUUUCUGGACCAGUGAUCAAGGGUGAGAAUGGCGCUAGGAUAUUGAAUAAGGCACUGAACUUAGGCUGAUGUCAAAAGAGGUAAAUUAUUGACAUGUGUAGCUAAUUUGACCGUUUCCUGAUUCAUAAGUCUACAUUAAUUUUGAUUUUGAGUUGAGUGAUUACAUUUUAAGGUUUGCUUACUUAACAGGGCCAGGACAUGAAAUGAGAAGCUUAUUAGUGGCAGUUGGCAGUGAAUGGAGGACCUUGACUAAAUUCUCAAGCGGUUGCACUGCAGUUACGCUCAUCCUAAGCCUCCUGUAAUUUCUUCUCCUGCAUUUUUGUAAUUUGCUAUCUAAUUAAGGAGCGUAAACUAUUUUGAAUCGACUUCUAUAUCAGGAAUAUAUGCAACAUUUUCUAAAAGUUUGAUAUGAGUGUAAUGAUGGUAAUUUCUCUUUUUUGUCUGUCAUCGAAAUGUAAGAUAACAUUCAUUAAGACUCUUGAGAGUCGUUUUUGGCAAUUGCAGGACAAGUGAUGAAGAGUGAGAAUGGUGCUAGAUUGGGGAUUAAAGCAAAAGGAGGUAAAUUAUUGGCAGAGAAUUGUGAGAGCUUGAGUGUACUGGGAUUUGCAAUUACAAUCAUCCUCUGCUUCAGGUGAUUUCUUCUCCUGCUCUGUCGUUGUUUGUAUCUCAAUCAAAUUCUAUAACUGGAAUAUGCAAAAGUUUCGAAUUUUUUAUUUCUAUCUGCUUGCAUUGAUAACAUCACGGCAUAUGCACUAGUUAAAGAACAAACAGAAACAGAGCUCCGGAAAAAGUUUCUUCUGCCAUCACAUUUGAAAAUUCAUGUAAAAUGUAGACAGUAAUCAGCAAAAAGGUGAUUCACAAUUUCAUUUUUUUUAUGAAAUUGAUUGUUAGGUUGGAGUUGCUAAAAGGCCAUUGGGCUAACCUAUGUCGUUACUUACCUAGAUCAAGACUCAAAACAAGCAUUGAAUUUUAAAAGGCAUGCAAUAAUUUUUGUGGCCAUAUGUCAAGUCAGGUAAGUUUGAAUAUAAUUAUUGUUGAAGGGGUUUUAUUUUCGGUGUCCAAAUAGAGAUACUGAUUCUUUAAGGUAAUGCCAGUAGGAAUUGCAAGAUUAACAAGUCUUCGGACAUUGCGAGAGUUCCAUUGAGUGGUGGAUGAGGUGUUGAUGGUAGCAAAGCAUGUGGUAUGCGUAGACUGGAAAACAUGUAAGAUGUGGGCGAGGCUAAGAGAUUAGAGAUUGACCAAAUGAAAUACCUCUUUAGUUUGAGGCUUAAAUUUGAUGGUGAAGAAGAAGGAAGGAGGAAGAAUGAGGAUGAUCAACAUCAGCUUGUUCUUGAAACCUUGCAACCACCUCUGACUUUGAAGGAAUUAGAGAUAUGGUCAUACAGAGGCAACACUGUUUCUGCAAGUAGUCCUCUCUUUUCUUUUUAUUAUAUUUUAUUUAGUUAUUAUUUAUUAUUUAUUUUUUGGUUUACUCUGCUUCUUCUUUUUACGUUUCUCAAAUUUUGAAUUUCAUUACUUUUGAACAUACGACAGUCUGUUAUGUGGCGACCCUGGUUUUUAAUUAAGGUUGUAAAAUAUUAUUGUAAAAGAUGAUUUAUUCAAUUUGAGUAAUUCGUUUGCUUUGAUAAUGAUAGCAAUUUUUUAUUUUGACAAUUUGCAAGGUGAGAAUGGUGCUGAUUGGUGAUUCAGGAUAUGGUUCAAACACCAUUGAAUAAAGCUAUGGACAUGGUGGCUCAACUUAGCUAGAUUGGUAUCAAAAUUGGUAAGUUGGCUUGUCAAUGUACCGAUGCUUUUGUUUUCUCUCAACCCUAAUUACCUUAACUUCAUUUAGUUUGGCUUUGGAGUUGAGUAAUAACUUAUUGUUCAAAUGUUAUUUCCUUAUUGUUCUAAUUCAUCAAAUGUUAUUUCCUUAUUGUUCCAUUGAUAUAUUUGUUGCAUAUCAAGCAGAAACAGAACCCAAAGAAAAUGAAACCAUUUCCAGGCAGCAGUUGGCAGUGAAUUCAUGCAAAUGUUGAUGCCAUUCAUAGAUGUUGAAGACAAUGUUGAGCCAAAGGCGAUAAAUCAUUAAUGCAUAAUUCCCAAAACCUCCAUCCUUCUCUCAUUGUAAUUUGAUUUGAAAUGAAUAAUUGCUAGGUAAUUGAAGCCAAUGUUGUUAAAGACCGUGUUGAGCUACCCAAGCUAAGAAGUUACUUGCCAAAAAAUGCAGGGGAUCAAAAGAAGCAUUGCAUUUGAAAAGGCAUGAGAUUCUGGUGGCUACAUGUCAACUCAUAUAUGUUUGAAUAAGUUUGAUCGUUCAAGAUUGUUAGCUUCUGUUUAAAUUUGUGCUACUGCGGUGCUACAAUGCUGCUACUGGGAAAUUUGAAUCCCAUAUUAGACUUUCCUCACAUCAGAAGCUGUGGAUCUUCGGACAUCAGGUUUUUUCACAGUUCUGAAACACUCAGGAUUAAACUCUAUUAAAGUGUUGUAGUUAUCUUGUUGUCAGAAUUCCCAUAUUAUUAUCUUUUUCAUGUAAAAUUAUCUUGUUGUCUUCGCCCAUGAAUCUAAGCUAAAAUUUGAACCAAUUGUUUGCCAUUAUAAAUUUCAUUGUUAAAUGUUAAUUAUGAUGUUGGCGUUGAGUUUCUUUUAAAGUCAUAGAAGCCUGACGAUUGAGUUCCAUGGGAUUCUGAGAAGCAGUAAUAUUUGAACAAGUGAAGGUUCUUCUCUUUUAAUUAUGUUCUGCACUUUUACAGUUUGGCUUUGGAGUUGAGUAAUAACCUUUCGAGGUCGCGGCUAUAAAAAGGCGAUGCUCAAUUUGCCACAGAUUACAUGUAUUGCCAUCAUUGACAAUUUUCUGGAUAAGUGAUGAAGGGUGAGAGUGGUGCUAGACUUCAGCCCUCCAGAAUAUUGAAUAAAGCUGUCAAAAGAGGUAAAUUAUUGGCAUGCCUGUUAGUGAAUUGGAUAAAGCUGGAGCAGAGCAUGAUGUUGCUGUAUAGCUGGAGCAGAGCAUGUUGUUGCUGUGUAGCUGGUUGUAGCAGAUCAACUCACUGAGCUGACCUGUCAAAGCUGGAGCAGAGCAGAGCAGAGCGGAUAAAGCUGGAGCAGAGCAGAGCGGAUAAAGCUGGAGCAGAGCAGAGCAUGAUGUUGCUGUAUAGCUGGAGCAGAGCAUGCUGUUGCUGUGUAGCUGGAGCAGAGCAUGCUGUUGCUGUGUAGCUGGUUGUAGCAGAUCAACUCACUGAGCUGACCUGUCAAAGUUAGUUAGCUGGUUGAGCUGAUGUGUAAAGUUAGUUAUGCAGCAAAUGGUUAUGUGAUGUAACAAACUCGUGUGUGUAGUGAAGAUUGUAGCUUAGUAUAAAUGUCAAUCAGUAUUCAUUAAGUUGAAAUAUCUGAGGAUAAUAAAAAGGUUCUUUAGAGUUCUCUUUCAUUUUCUUUUACUUUCUUGCUUGCCAAACAAUAUAGAACUAAGUUUCUUUCAUGGUAUCAGAGCCAUAAAUGGCAAAUACAGUUCAAAACAACAACUCUUUUAGUUUUGUUACGCCUGUAAAGCUAGAUCAAAACAACUAUAUUUUGUGGCGCACACAAAUUCUAGCUUCGAUCAAAGGAAAUGGUUUGGAAGGUUUUAUCAAUGGUGAUCGAGAAUGUCCUGAGCAGUUUCUUUCUUCUGGCAACAACAAUGGAGCUGAAAUCUUAACUGAAUCUGGAUCCAGAUCUGUUACUGAAUCUGGAUCCAGAUCUGUUACUGAAUCUGGAUCCAGAUCUGUUAAUCCAGAGUUCGUAGCUUGGAUGAAGGCUGAUCAACUUCUGCUGAGUUGGAUGAUGUCAUCGAUACAACAAAAUCUGCUUGCUACUAUGAUUGACUCAACAACCUCAAAACAGCUUUGGGAGACUCUUGCUAGUAUGUUUAUCUCUCAAUCACAGGCUAGAAUUCAAACACUUAGAAUGCAGAUUCAAACUAUUAAGAAAGGUGCAAUGCAUAUGUCUGAUUACUUUGUAAAAGUAAAACGUAUAGCUGAUACUUUAGCUCUAGCUGGAAAACCUGUUGAGUUAAAUGAUCUUGUGAUGCAUGUAUUAACUGGUCUUGAUUCAUCAGAUUAUGAAUCUUUAGUCACUGCUGUGUUAGCUCGAGGUGAAAAGAUAACAUUAGAUGAACUAUAUUCUUUGCUGUUAAAUCAUGAAAAUAGAGUUGAGCAAAAGAAAGGAAAAAUUGCUGGUGAUGUGAUGCAUAACAUGACAGCAAAUAUUGUUCAGAAGAACUCAUAUGCUAGAAAGAAUAAUGGAAAUUUUCAGAAACAGUAUGGAAAUAACUCUGGAGGUGGUAAUAAUUCUGGAUAUGGAUAUGGUCAGUUUAAUAAUAAUAGUAAUUUCUCUGAAGUUGUUUGCCAAAUUUGCUUCAUACCUGGUCAUGCAGCCUAUAAAUGCAGAAAUAGGUACAACUCAUCUUUUGUUCCACAUAGGAACCAUGGUAGAGGUAAUAUGAAUGGUGGCGGAGGUUUUAAUCAAGGGCAAUAUGGUCGAGGAAGAGCCUUUAAUGGUAAUAGUGGAAGAGGUUUUGGAGGUUUUGGUUCAAAUGCUGGUUUUGGACAAAAUGUUGGUUUUGGUAAUGCCCCCAGGGGUUUUGGCUAUCAAGGAAAUAUAGUAUAUCCAGAGAGCAACCCAUCUGCUUAUUUCUCAUUCAACCCUGGAUCAUCUAAUUUUGUUUCUGGUCUAGGACAUAAUAAUCUGGAACAGUCAAGUGCUUCCUCCUCCUCUGCUAUGUCUUCUUCACUUCCACCUGAACACAUUGAAGAUCCUUCCUGGUAUAUUGAUAGUGGAGCAACAAAUCAUAUUACCAACGAUCUAGGUAAGCUUCUGGAUUCAAAAGUUUACACUGGUACUGAAAGGUUAUUUGUUGGAGAUGGAAAUGCAUUAGCUAUUACACAUGUAGGGUCAGUUGUGCUAAAUACUUCAGCUUCUCAAUCCUUAUUUCUUAACCAUGUUCUUCAUGUCCCUUUUAUUACUAAGAAUUUGCUUAGCAUCUCAAAAUUGUUGGCUGACAAUCCAGUUACUGUUGAAUUUCUUGGUGAUUUGUGUUUUAUAAAGGCCAAGAACACAGGGAAAAUUUUACUUGAAGGUGUUGCUAAAGGUGGGCUUGUAUAGAGUCUCUUCUCAUGCUGCUGUUCAUUCAGUCUUUCUCAGUUCAGUUGGUCAAAACAAAAUUCAGUCUCUUUUUGCUUGUUCUCCUGUUUUUAAUUCUGCUCAGCUCUCUACUGUUAGCUCUUAUGAGUUGAAUAAAACGUCAUGUCUGUCAGUUGUUGCAAAGGGUUCUAUUGAUGUAAAUCUUCUUCAUAGAAGAUUAGGACACCCAGCAUCUUAUACUCUCAAAACCAUUCUCAAAGCUUGUAACAACUCUACUGCUUUUAAUAAAGUUGACAGUUUGAAAUUUUGUUCAGCAUGCCAAUAUGGUAAAAAUCACAUGCUGCAUUUUGAUUCAGUAGAAACAAAAACUUCAGCACCUUUACAACUGAUAUAUGCAGAUCUUUGGGACCCUUCUCAUGUUUGUUCUACCCAAGGAUAUAAUUACUACUUGUCAAUCCUAGAUGAUUACAGUAGGUUUACCUGGAUUUUUCCCUUAUCAGCAAAAUCUGAUGCUCUUGAAGUUUUUACCAAUUUCAAAAUAUUCAUUGAGAAGCAUCUUCAACUUUCCAUCAAAACUGUACAAACUGACUGGGGAGGGGAGUUCAGAACAUUUUCAUCGUUACUCACUACUUCUGGCAUCCAUUUUCGACAUCCUUGCCCCCACAUUCAUCAUCAAAAUGGAAAAAUUGAGAGGAAACAUAGACACAUAGUUGAUGUAGGACUGACUUUAUUAGCUCAAGCACAUUUACCACUCAAAUUUUGGUGGAAUACAUUCCAUACAGCUGUCUACUUGAUAAACAGACUUCCAACUCCAGUUCUAAACAGCAUUUCUCCUUUUCAAAAGUUGUUUAAUUCCCAACCAGAUUAUUCAACACUUAAAAUUUUCGGCUGUGCUUGUUAUCCAACACUCAGACCAUACAAUAGACAUAAGUUUGAUUUCAGAACAGCUAGAUGUAUAUUCAUUGGCUACAGUUCACGACACAAGGGAUAUCAGUGUCUUCACUCUUCUGGGAGGGUCUAUAUUUCAAAUCAUGUAACCUUUGAUGAAAGUUCUUUUCCUUAUGAGUCAGGAACAGAUUUUUCUUCAGUUUCUUCAAACUGUCAGUCAUCAACUCAUUCUGAGUCUUCUUUUAAUUCUUCUACUCCUUUUGUUACUCAGUUACAAGCACCUUUAGCAGCAUCAUCAGAAUAUCAUCUUAAUGAUUCUCAGUCACAUGCUUCUAUUUCCUUCCCAAAUUCUACUCCAGUUUACUUUUCUGAUAAUUUCAAUUCCACUUCUUCUUCUCCUUCUUCACCAUCCCAUCAUUCACCUCCACAUACCUUGUCACAACCUGCAUCAUCUGGUCAUCCAAUGAUAACCAGGUCAAAAGCAGGUAUCUUCAAGCCCAAGAUCUACUUGUCAGCUUUACUAGCUCAGAAAUCAGAACCAACCUCUGUUUCCAAAGCACUUUCUGAUCCUAUGUGGUAUAAAGCUAUGCAAGAAGAGUAUCUAGCUCUUAAAACCAAUCACACCUGGGAUUUAGUCUUACCUGCUACUCCAGUGAAGAUAGUUGGCAACAAGUGGGUAUUUCGAGUAAAGUAUAACUCAGAUGGUUCAGUUUCAAGGUAUAAAGCCAGGCUUGUGGCUAAAGGGUUUCAUCAGACACAUGGGAUUGACUACACAGAAACCUUCAGUCCAGUGGUUAAGUCCUCCACUGUUAGAGUUAUUCUUAGCUUAGCAGUAUUGAGUCACUGGGUUGUAAGGCAGGUGGAUGUUAACAAUGCCUUUCUAAAUGGCAUUUUAAUUGAAGAUGUGUACAUGGCUCAACCUCAAGGUUUUGUUGAUUCAACUAAACCUAAUCAUAUCUGCAAGCUAAAUAAGGCUUUGUAUGGCUUAAAACAGGCUCCUAGAGCCUGGUUUGAUAGGUUUAAGGAUGCAAUGAUCUCCAAGUGGCAUUUUUAGCAUUCCAGGUCUGAUAACUCUCUCUUUUAUGCCUGGAACAGUGGUCAUCUAACUGUUGUUUUGGUCUAUGUUGAUGAUAUUAUCAUCACUGGUUCCAGUCCAUCCAUAAUUCAACAAGUUAUCCAGAAUAUGCAUCAAGCUUUUGCUUUAAAAGACCUGGGGGAACUUCACUAUUUUCUGGGGAUUGAAGUCAGCAAAUCUUCACAAGGGGUUUCCUUGACACAAGCAAAGUACAUUGCUGAUAUUCUGGAUAAACAUGGCAUGACAGACUGCAGUCCUGUGCCAACUCCAAUGUCUACAGGCUUUUAUCUCACCAAAGACUCAGGAGAGCCACUUGAUAAUGUUUCUCAAUAUCGAAGUGUUAUAGGAGCUCUUCAAUAUGUUACUCUUACCAGACCUGACAUUGCCUUCUCUGUAAACAAGUUAAGUCAGUUCCUUUCCAGUCCUAGAACUCAACAUUGGGAAGCAUGUAAAAGGUUAUUGAGGUACUUAAAAGGCAUUAUCCAUCUGGGGCUGCAUUUCUACAAUCAAGGAGCUCUGCAAUUACAUUGUUUUUCAGAUUCUGAUUGGGCUUGUGAUCAUGAUGAUAGGAAGUCAGUGGCUGGCUUUGCUGUUUAUCUAGGUCCUAAUCUUGUUUCCUGGUCGUCAAAGAAACAAGCUGUUGUUUCCAGAUCCAGCACAGAAGCUGAGUAUAGAUCUCUUGCUCAUGCUGCUUCAGAAGUUACCUGGAUUAAAUCCUUACUUGGUGAACUUAGUAUCACAUUAAGCUCCACUCCUAUGAUGUGGUGUGAUAAUCAAGGAGCAAUUGCUUUAGCUUAUAAUCCAGUUUAUCAUGCUAAGACUAAGCAUGUUGAAUUGGAUAUACAUUUUAUCCGAGAUAAGGUCACUGCUAAAGAGGUUGCAGUAUGCUAUGUGCCUAGUCCAGAUCAAACAGCAGAUGUGUUGACUAAGGCUCUUACUUUCAAACAAUUCAGUUACUUCAGAAGCAAGCUGAAUGUUCAUCCUAAACAUUUCAGCUUGAGGGGGGAUGUUAGUGAAUUGGAUAAAGCUGGAGCAGAGCAUGAUGUUGCUGUAUAGCUGGAGCAGAGCAUGUUGUUGCUGUGUAGCUGGUUGUAGCCAAAGCUGGAGCAGAGCAGAGCAGAGCGGAUAAAGCUGGAGCAGAGCAGAGCGGAUAAAGCUGGAGCAGAGCAGAGCAUGAUGUUGCUGUAUAGCUGGAGCAGAGCAUGCUGUUGCUGUGUAGCUGGUUGUAGCAGAUCAACUCACUGAGCUGACCUGUCAAAGUUAGUUAGCUGGUUGAGCUGAUGUGUAAAGUUAGUUAUGCAGCAAAUGGUUAUGUGAUGUAACAAACUCGUGUGUGUAGUGAAGAUUGUAGCUUAGUAUAAAUGUCAAUCAGUAUUCAUUAAGUUGAAAUAUCUGAGGAUAAUAAAAAGGUUCUUUAGAGUUCUCUUUCAUUUUCUUUUACUUUCUUGCUUGCCAAACAAUAUAGAACUAAGUUUCUUUCAAUGCCUAGCUAAUUUGACCACUACCUGAUUCAUAAGCCUACAUCAAUUUUGAUUUUGAGUUAAGUGAUUAAUUUUCAAGGUUUGCUUACUUAACCGGCGACUAAUUUCUUGUAACUAAAUGUAUCAUAUGAUGCAGGAAGCAGGGCAAGAUAUGAAAUGAGAAGCUUAUUAGUGGAAGGAUUGCCAGAAACAGAACCCAAAGAAAAUGAAAACAUUUCAAGGCAGCAGUUGGCAGCUGGCAAUGAAUGGAGGCCCUUGAAAAAAUUCCCAAGCCGUUGCACUGCAAUUACGAUCAUCCUCGGCCUCAGGUAAUUUCUUCUCCUGCAUUUUUGUUAUUUGCUAUCAAGUGACAUUCGUAAGUAUGAUUGCAUUAAGCUGCUGCUGGGAAAUUUGAGGUUUUGAUGGCUGCCCAUGCUAUUGUCAGAAGCUGCAGUUCUUUUCAUCAGCCUGAACCUGGACCUGUCGCCAUGGAUAACUCAGGUUUUUUUUUUUUUUAAUCAACUACGGCAUCUUUUCCACUGUUUUGAAACUCUUAAGAUUAAACUUUAGUAAUGUUGUUUUAGUUAUCCAUGUAAUCAGGCUGAGGAUACUUAGCAGCCUAUUUAGGCAAAUGUCAGAAUUUAGUUUGUUCGCUGGGAAUUGGUGUGGACUGGCAAAGGAUGAUGAGAUAGUUUUUUGAGUGAGUAAAUUUUGGGAGCUUGAGUGUAUUGGGAUUUGCAAUUACAAUCAUCGUCUGCCUCAGGUGAUUUCUUCUCCUGCUCUGUCAUUGUUUGUUCUCUAAUUCAAAAGCAUAAAAUAUUUCAAUCAAAUUGUAUGCCAGGAAUAUGCAAAAGUUUCUAAUAUUUUAUUUCCAUCUGUUUGCCUUGAUAACUUUGCUGCAUAUGUACUAGUUAAAGAACAAAUCGAAACAGAGCUCAGUUAAAAGUUUCUUCUGCCGUCAUAUUUGAAAAAUGAAACCAUUUCCAGGAAGCAAUGGGCAGCAAAUUCAUAUAAAGCAUAGACAAUGAUGAGCAAAAAGGUGAUUCACAAUUUCACUUUUUUUAAUGAAAUUAAUUGUUUGGUUGGAGCGGAUAUUGUUAGAAGGCCAUUGAGCUAACCUAUGUCACUACUUGCCUAGAUUACAGGGGGUCAAAUAAGGCAUCCAAUAAUUCUUGUGGCCAUAUAUCAAUUCAUGUAAGUUCGAAUGUAAUUAUUGGUGAAGGGGUUUCACUUCCCGUCUCUAAAUAAAAAUACUGAUUCUUUAAGGUACAUGCCACUAGGGAUUGCGAGAUUAACGAGUCUUUGGACAUUGGAAGAGCUCCUUGUAGUGGAGGAGGAGGUGUUGAUGGUAGCAAAGCAUGUGGGCAGUGGGCUUGAAUCUCUUAAAAACUUGGAACUCCUCCAAGCGUAAGUAUACGUAUACUGGGAAAUGUGUUAGAUGUGGAUGAGGCUAAGAGAUUAGAGCUUGACAAAAUGAAAUAACUCUUUCAUUGAGACUUAAAUUUGAUGGGGAAGAAGAAAAAGAAGAGGGAAGGAGGAAGAAUGAGGAUAAUCAACUUGUUCUUGAAGCCUUGCAACCACCUCUGAAUUUGAAGGAAUUAGAGAUUUGGUCAUACGGAGGCAACAUUGUUUCCCCCCGGAUGAUGCAAAAAUUGAAGGAAUUUACCAAUCUAAGGAGUUUGACACUCUUUAAAACUGCAAAAAUUGAGAAAAGUUGCCUCCUUUGGGAAAAUUGUGAUCCUUUGAAAAUCUCAGCAUAUUGUACAUGGAGAGUGUGAAAACAGUGGGUAAUGAAUUUCUGGGAAUAGAAAGUGAUCUUCAUGACUCAUCUUCAUCUUCAUCAGUGAUUAUUGCCUUCCCCAAAUUGAAAUCACUUUCAGUUGAGGGAUUGAUGGAAUUGGAGGAGUGGGAUUAUGGGAUUAAAAGAACAGGAAACACCUCCACCAACAUUAUGCCACGUCUUUCUUCCUUGGAAAUUAGUGUGGGGUUAUGGGAUCGCACAACGACGUUGAAGGUAUUGCAGAUUGUGGCAUGUGGUACUCUAAGAAGACGUUACAGACAGGGGAGAGCAGAAGACUGGCCUAAGAUCUCUCACAUUCCAGACAUCAUGAUUGUGUGAAAAGAUGCCCGUGACAAAAUUCUCUAGGCGGCUACAUGGAGUACAAUCAUAAAAUGCUAAUGUGGCCACCCUGGUUCUUAAUUAAGGUUGUGAAAUAUUAUUGUAAAAGAUGAUUAAUUCAAUUUGAGUUAUUCGUUUGCUUUGAUAAUGAUAGUAAUUUUAUAUUUUGACAAUUUGCAGGGUGAGAAUGGUGCUGAUUGGUGAUACAGGAUAUGGUUCAAACACCAUUGAAUAAAGCUACGGACAUGGUGGCUCAACUUAGCUAGAUUGCUGUCAAAAUUGGUAAGUUGGCUUGUCAAUGUAUUGAUGCUUUUGUUUUCUCUCAACCCUAAUUACCUUAACUUCAUUUAGUUUGGCUUUGGAGUUGAGUAAAUUCUGGCCUCUUCCGAAAAAAAAAGCUUAAUUUGCUACUGAUCACGUGUUACCAAUUAUUUAAGGUAAUUCUCGCUUACUUGCUUCUGCACUAUAGAGUACGUGUUCUGGCUGGUUUAUCUAAUUCAUCAAAUGUUAUUUCCUUAUUGUUCCAUUGAUAUAUUUGUUAGAAAGUGAAACCAUUUCCAGGCAGCAGUUGGCAGUGAAUUCAUGCAAAUGUUGGUGCCAUUCAUAGAUAUUGAAGACAAUGAUGAGCCAAAGGUGAUAAAUCAUUAAUGCAUAGUUACCAAAACCUCCAUCCUUCUCUCAUUGUAAUUUGAUUUUAAAUGAAUAAUUGCUAGGUAAUUGAAGCCAAUAUUGUUAGAAACGGUGUUGAGCUACCCAAGCUAAGAAGUUAGCUGCCAAAAAAUGCAGGGGAUUAAAAGAAGCAUUGCAUUUGAAAAGGAAUGAGAUUCUGGUUGCUACAUGUCAAUUCGUAGAAGUUUCAAUAAAUUUAAUGGUUCAAGAUUGUUAGUUUCUGUUUAAAUUUGUGCUACUGCAGUGCUACAACGCUGCUACUGGGAAAUUUGAAUCCCAUAUUAGACUUUCCUCACAUCAGAAGCUGUGGAUCUUGAGACAUCAGGUUUUUUCACAGUUCUGAAACUCUCAGGAUUAAACUCUAUUAAAGUUGUUGUAGUUGUCUACGUUCUCAGGUCAAGGAUUCUAAGCUGCCGAUUAAGCAUUGCGCAUUUUCAUUUGUCCGAUUCAAGAGGAACGUCACAGAAAGGGGUAAAGAAAAGAGUAGCCUAAGAUAUUAAAGACAAUGUUGAGCCAAAGGAAACAUAAAUCCCAACCAUUGCAUGUGAACAUGAUCACAAUAAGGUCAAGAACCUACCAAACCAUUUUUUUGAGAAUUUUCAAUUGAAAGUGAAACCUUUUGAUAUUUACCUAAUAAAGUUAGUUAAACGAGAGAAAUAAAGGGGGAAAGAAAAGUUGACUCUAAGUCAAUACAGAAUAAUUAGUUCAAUACAGAAUAAUUGCUGUAAAAUAUUAAAUAGUUUUAUUUUUCUUUUAUCGUUUAACUUGGACCAAAAAAGGAAAUGAGUUUAACACGACCCUCAUUCUGCUUCUUGCUUUGGUUUCAAACAAGUCUUUCUCCUUUAUGACAUUUAUUGUAAUUUCAUUUGGAGACAUAUGUCUGUCGUUCAAAUAUAUUUCAUACGCAAGCUGUUAAUAAUUCUGCUUGCAGAAAGCCUACAAAGCAGCUGUGUGAUGUAAUAGAAGACCAUAGAUAGUCUCGUCAAUUUUUCAACAUUAGAUAUUCAGGUCAUCAGCUUCUCAUGAAUUCUUUCCUGAGUUUCUUUGAAUUAUUUGUGAUGUAAUAACUUGUGCAUUUGAGAAACUGUUCUCUUGAAUUCUUUCUUGAGUUUCUUUGAAUUAUUUGUGAAUAAGUUGUUAAUCGGCUGCUUCUCUUCAGGAUAAGGAAAGUGUUGCAAACUGGUGAAGCAGCUGAUAGAUAAAAGCAAUGGGUACAUCUUUGCUGGCAUGGAUCGAUGCCAGUGCGGCUGAAUUCAGCAAGACUGCCGUUCGUGAUGUUGUUGAUUGGGAUUACAUUAAGGAUGAUGACAACAUUGAUUAAAAUGGGACGUGAAGAUAUAUGGUGUGCAAAUUAACCCAACCCAACCAAACCCGUACAUUUUAUCAACCCAACCCAACCUGUAAAAAAUCACACGGGUUAGGUUAGUUUCACGGAUUGGGAGGUUGGUGCCCACCCCUAAAUAUAACCUCCAUUUCAGCACAAUGCAUGUUAAUUGUUCCCCAAGGACUUCUCCUGAUUCCCAUUCCCAACCUCCAUGCUCUUGAGAGGAAUUUAGCACCCAUCAAUUUUUAUUUUUGAAAACUCGUAAUGGUCUGAUAAAAUUAAACAACAUCAAUAAUGUUACCAGUCUUUAAAUAGUAAUUAAUUUAUUUAAUUUGCCACCUAAAAGAAUCCUGCUGGAAAUAGAGGUUAAAAAUUUUAUUAGAUCUGCUUACCUUUGUUCAUUCAGCAAAAACACUUACAAUUCACAGCUAGAGAAUCUAUCCAUUGACAAUUGUGGAUUAAAAUUAUAACACCUGAAUUCCAACAUAUCCUUAUGAAGUUAUGAAUUUGUUCAUACUUCAAAUGAUUUUUUUUUCCCAAGCUAAUAAAGCUACCACUUUGAUCAAACGACGACGUUGAAGGAAUUGCGUAUUUUCAAUGUCCUUUUCCAGACAGACGUUCGAGAGAGAGAAAGGAGAAGACUGGCCUAAUUAAGAUAUCUCACAAAGAUUAUUAUUGAGUUAAAAUGUUAUUGUAAAAGAUGUAUAAUACAAUAAUAGUAAUUCUUUUGCAUUGUUAUAAUGAGGCUGGUGGGUUUCCUCAGAGGAUGGAUCUUGCUCGCUAGUAUGCAUUUGGGAAGCUGCUAAUUAUUGGCCAUAAAAAGUCAGGGGGUUGUGGCUCUUCCGUCGCCCAGAAAUUCCUCAACUCAUAUCUCAAACUUCAGAUGAACUUGGGCAUUAUGUAAAUAUGUAUUUUGAGAAUUAAACUAGUGCCUUAGAAAAAAUUUGAGCCAUUGUAAUCAUUUUAUUUUGCUAAGGGAAAAUUUUACUUUGUGUUUCGCUUUGACUUUUUUUUUUUUGCCUUGUGAUAAUAAGAUUCAUACGAAAGUGAUUACACGCCUAUCAUGCAUCUAUUUUCAUUUGCUUGUCAUGAGAGAUCAACAUGCUCGAAAUAAUUACUUAGGUUGGAAAUAUUUGAAUCCACUAAAAUACUAUACAAACCCAUUUUAAAAUUAAAAAAAUGAUUAUCAUAAUACUUGUGAAGAUAACACGAUAUCAUACAUAAAAUAAAAUAUUUCGCAAAAAAGAUACGAUACAAAUCUUGAGUAAACAGGUACAAAAAAUAUUUUUUUUUGGUUAAACCACGAGGUACAAAAAAUAUUUUAGUGGGUUAAGUAGCACUAAUGCCCCCUUAUCAAAAAAUAUAGAAAAAUAACUAGUUUGAUUGGGUAUACCGUUUAUAUAUAUGUACAUAUUCUUGAUAAUGUGUAAUGUAUAUUAUAGACAAAGAUUUUGAAAGCAAUAUUUUUUGGUAUUAUUAUAUAAUAUUUUUUAAAAAGUUGAGAGAAUAGGCAAAGUCCAAAUCAACUUUCUAAUCCCUACCUCCUUUAUGAUUUAAACUUUAGCGUUUAGUGUCGCGAGCCACUCAAAUUUUCUAAUCAAAGAGACUAAAUUGCACGAAAUUGUGCUAGCUUAUUUGAUUCUAGAAAUUUCCAGUACACUGUAACACACUCUCAGGCUUGUACAUACCUCGAAAUUCUCUAGAAUUAAUUUACUAGAGUAGUGUUGCAUGUAGCUUGUACAUAGGUUUUUCUGGAACACUUCAGGUAUUACUAAGCAUGAGAGCUUUGAGAACUCUCUAGCCAUAAAACAUUCUAGGGUAUGUCUACCCUAAAAAUUGGGCAUGAUGCUUGCCACUUGAGCAUACAACAAGUAAGAACAAAUCAAGCAUACUUGUAAGCUCUCAAACUCUCUUAUACACACUUUUAUGAAUAAUAUACUUUCUCUUUGGCUAUAUUGCUCUCUCUUCUCUCUAGUUUUUUCGCAAGCAUCAUACCUUAGUUAGUCGAAAAGUUCAAGGCUUACUUUAUAGCUAUCUCACAAAAGUUGUUUAAGUACCACAUGGAUUUGCUGUGUAAAAUACUCAUCACAUGACAUUAGCUAAAUAGAUUUGUUUGAAAGCCACUUACCCAAACUAUUAAACGAAUAUUAACUUUUGUCUUAAUUUUCUAUCACCUAUGAUAAAAUUUAUAAUUAAAAAUUGAAAAAAUUAAUAACUAUUAGAUAGAGCAUUCUUUACUGUUAAAAGAAAUCUAUAUAGAUAGAUAGAUGGUAAUAUAAAAACUUACUUAUUGUAGUAUAAUGUUUUUAGUUUUUUGAAACAUAGAUUCUUACUUUUUUAAGAUAAAAUUCAAAGAAAACAAGUUAAAUGUUGUGGAAAAUCUUCCAGCCAUACAAGAAAUUGUGAUAGCUAAAUGCAAACCUAACUAAAGUAUUAGUUGUUUUAUUACAAUCUCCAAAAAGAUGAGCAAUUCCAAAAUAUUUUUUUGUAACAAUAAACACUAUAGGUCAGCAAUUAUCCAAGUCAAAAGCAAGCUACUCUAUUAAAAAAAAAAAAAACUUGUAGUGAAUCUGAAGAUAAACCAAUUUUACUAGCAAGUUGGAUACCAAAGAGUAGGGCUUCAGCCUCAAUUACUCAAUGUACCAACAACACAGUCUCGGUGAGUUAAAAUCAACUUCUACCACUCUUUUACUUGCUGAUAGAUCGAUUAAGGUACCAAAAGGAAUAAUCGAAGAUGUAUUAGUUCGAGUUGAUAAAUUCAUAUAUCCUGUGGAUUUUAUUGUUUUGGAAACUGAACCAAUUGCUAAUGAAUGCAAACAAAUUCCUGUUACAUUGGGUCGUCCAUUUUUAGCUACUGCUAAUGCAUUGAUUAAUUGCUGGAAUGGAGUAAUGAGUUUAUCUUUCGGCAACAUGACAUUGGAACUCAAUGUGUUCAACAUAUGUAAACAACCUCACCACCAGGAAGAUGAUGAUAAUGAGAAUGAGGAGAUUGAUUUCAUCGAGCCAAUCAUUGAUGAACACAUUCAGAAUAAGAAUUUUACAAACUCAGUGGAAAUUUAUUCUGCUCGUUCUUUUGAAUCGAGUAAGAAAUUAGAUUACGAUACUGAUAACAUAUACCCUACACUUGAUUCUAUGCAGGUACUUGCUGACGGUGACCAAUCAAACUUUAAAAAUACAGAACAAUCUAAAGAACCAAACGAAGAGGAAGUACCAGAGCUCGAAUUAAAGCCCUUACCGGAAGAAUUGAAGUAUGCCUAUCUUGGAGAAUAACAAACUUAUCCGGUGGUAAUUUCUUCCCAACUCACGCAUGAUCAAGAAGGUAAGUUGUUGUCUGUACUAAAAAGGCAUAAAACUGCAUUUGGUUGGACCUUAAAAGACAUAAAAAGUAUUAAUCCUUUAAUCUGCACACACCGAAUACACUUAAAGGAAAAUACCAGAACAACCCGUUAACAUCGACAUUAUCAGUGUAAACAUUAAAUACCAAAAUCAACCCCAAAAACUAUAACUAAACUAUCAUGACUAAAAUAAAGUUUUUUUUUUUUAGAUAUUCGUUGUAGUAUCUCUUUAGAUGACAAACAAGAGAUAAAAUACAUAAAUAUUUGCUGUGUAAAUAAAAAUAAAUAAUUUUUUUGAACUGAAAAAUAUUCUCAAAAACUAAAUAGUUCAAACUUUUUUUAACAUUAUCGGUUCUGGACCUGAACCGAACCGUGAACCGUAAACUGCCCACCCUUACGUAGUUGUUUCCGUUAACCGAUGUUGUAUUGCUGGUAUAAAAUUGUUCAAAUGUUCAAAUCACAGUCUCCCGCUCUCAGCUCAGUCAGAGUUUCAGGUCCAGAGACUUCCCGCUGACUGAGAGCUUUUUUGUAGCAGUUCUACAAAUAAUGGAGUAGAGCUGAUUUUAUGAUUAAUUUAUUUCCUUUUUCAAUUUCUUAUGAUUGCGAUUUAAUCUGGAAAGUUAAACGUGAAUUGUUUAGUGCGGAUUAAAUGUUCGACGAAUUUCCCGCAAGAGUAUUAAGUUAAAGAGAAAAAAGAAAACAAUUGAGCGUGAGCGUGAGCGUGAGCGAGAAUGGUGUUUGGGCAAGUGGUGAUUGGUCCGCCCGGCUCGGGAAAGACCACUUACUGCAAUGGCAUAACUCAGUUUCUCAGCCUUGUUGGCAGGUAACUUCGUUUCUUGAUUUCAAGCAGCUUUAUCUUUGAUGACCAAAAAAAUUGAUUUGGGCUUUGCCCAUUAAAUGAAUGUAAGAGCGGUAGGGAAUAACUGAGUUAUAGGAUUAGCUUUAAGUGAACAUUGAUGGUAACAUGCGCGUGAAGGUUGUAUGUGUUCAGUGGCAAGCUGUAUGCCAAUUUGGUCUAUAUGGUUGCUUAGGUAGUAACUUAUUAAUUUUUACGCAGGAAGGUUGCAGUCAUCAAUUUAGAUCCUGCUAAUGAUAGUUUGCCGCAUACUUUGUCAUUGAACUUUCUUACAAAUGCUGUGGUUUGUUGUAGUAUAAUUAGUUCAAUUGGAAACUUCCUUGAUGUUAAUAUAGAAAUGAGUGUGCUGUGAAUAUUGAGGACCUCAUUAGACUAAGUGAUGUGAUGAUGGAGUAUUCACUUGGUCCCAAUGGAGGUUAGUCAGCCUAUUGUUGUUUACUCUUUCUUGCUUUAUCACGCAAUGAUAUUCCUUUGCUUUACAACAAAUUUCGUGAAAUUAACUUCAAUCAAGUGGCAAUGUUCAUAUGCUGUUGAGAUUUUAUGGACAAUGAUUGGUAGACUUUAUAUGCCGUCUUCUUUCUUUUUGCAGUGAUAUGCUUGUAUUCAAUGAGCAUGUACUUAUUCUAUGGUUUCUAAAGUAGGUGUUUUUAUGAUAAACUAGGUCUUGUGUAUUGUAUGGACUAUCUAGAGAAGAAUAUUGACUGGCUGCAGUCGAAAUUAGAACCACUUUUGAAAGGUAAGAAGAGGCCAUUUUCCUUCAUUCUAAUGCCAAUAAUGCUGUCAUGAGACUCAUAAAAAUGUUAAAACGUUAAUGUUUUUGGUAUUUUGCAGAUCAUUAUCUUCUGUUUGAUUUUCCUGGCCAAGUUGAAUUAUUUUUUCUUCAUUCCAAUGCCAAGACUGUUAUAAUGAGACUCAUAAAGAAGUUAAAUCUCAGGGUAUUGUUACAUCUUACAUCUAUGAAGGGACUCAAAGAGUUGAGAUGAAUUCAUCUUUGUUAUUUUGAUGCCAGAAUUGUGCAAUUCUCAGUUGGUUCCUUGCACAUGCAGUUGACUGCAGUGCAUCUAGUUGAUGUGCAUCUUUGCAGUGACCCCGGGAAGUAUGUUAGUGCUUUGCUUCUCUCAUUGUCUACGAUGCUACAUCUGGAACUUCCCCAUGUCAAUGUCUUGUCUAAUCGAUCUGAUUGAGAAUCAUGGAAAGCUAGGUGUGGUUUUAAGUGUAUCUCUCCUACUUGUUUGUUUAGUUUGAAAUAUCAGAUAUUGUCACAAGCUCCUAUUUGCUACAUUUCCUCACCAAUCAAUUACUUUGGGUAUGUUGCAGCUUUUAAUCUCGAGUACUAUACAGAUGUGCAAGAUUUGUCAUAUUUACAGCAUGCUCUCGGUCAGGACCCUCAUUCUGCUAAGUACAGGUUUGAAUUCUAGCUGAAUCAAUGAUGCAAAUUAUGUUCAUUGCUAUUUCUGCUGUUGUUUCUAUCAUUUUCAAUUGUUACCUCCCCUUGCCAUCUACUGCCACACUGCAAUGCCUACACAAAUGUUAUGAAAUUUGUCAAUGGCAAUGCCAUCCUGUUUGUCCAGAGACAGCUCUUAGAUGCAAGUGAACAAUUUUUGGCUUUGGCCGUAGUACAGCCUUAGAUUUCAACUUGCCAUAUCUUGUCUCGGAAGUCAAAAGAAAGCGUAUAUGUUAGCCAAAUUUUAUUUGAAUUUAUUAAGUAACAAUGAAUGGGUCAGAAAAACAGUUCCUCUUUUGUUUUGAUCAGACUCAAUGAAUAAGUGUUUAAAAUGUGCCUGUCCUAAAAAUAUAGAUGUGUGGUUUCACAAAAUUUUCUUGAUCUUAAGAAAGAGUUAUCUUGAAAAGAAGAUAACAUGGAGAAUUCAGCAACUAUACAGUCAUAUUGAUGUCUGUCAACUUGGGUCAGAUGGUGUCGUUUGGAUGGAGAUGUUAGGUCCCAGAUGGUAUGCUUGUUAUCAAAUUCCAGUCUAAUUCAUUCAUGCUUUGAUGACAUAUGCGGUGCAGCUUCUUAUCUAAGACCUGUAUAUGUUCAGUCAUCAUUCAGUUCUGUAUUUGGCUGUCAUUCUUUCAAUGAAUUCAAACCACUUUCUGAAUACUUGCAAGGGAAAUUAUCAUUCGUAUACCCUAUAUUUACUCUGUUAUCAAAAAUACUACAACACUUUGAGGGUGUAUCAAUCGUCCACCAUAAGUUGACAAAAUGUAUCAACCGACCACCAAACCGUUAAUUGUCGUUUGAAAGUUAACGGAAUUACAGUGAAUUGACGAUUUUACCCUUGAAAAUUAUCACUUGUAUACCCAUAAAAUUCUCUUUUUAGCACUUGUAUACCCUUAAAUUAUCACUUGUAUCAUAUGAAAAGACCAAAUUACCCUUCUGAUGUUAUCAUAUUUAAACGGCAACUAACGGUUUGGUGGUCGGCUGAUACAUUUUGUCAACUUAGGGUGGACGAUUGAUACACCCUCAAAGUGUUGUAGUAUUUUUGAUAAUUGAGUAAACUAAGGGUAUACAAGUGAUAAUUUCCCUACUUGCAAAUUCAUCCAGUGUUGUCAUUGAGAUGCCAAUAUGUAAAGGAGCAAUAGUUGCCCUUGAUAGUAUGCUUAUUGAUUGCCUCUUGCCUCACUCAGCCUAAGGAAUCUGGUUGUAUGGUGUUCUUGUAAUUUCAUUUGGAGAUAAGUAAUAUCUGUUGUUCAAAUGUAUUUUAUAUACAACCAGUUCAUAAUUCUGCUUGCAGAAAGCUUACAAAGGAGCUGUGUGAUGUAAUAGAAGACUACAGUCUGGUCAAUUUUUCAACUUUAGAUAUUCAGGUCAUCAGUUUCUCUUGAAUUCUUUCUUGAGUUUCUUUGAAUUAUUUGUGAAUAAGAUCUUAGUUGGCUGCUCCUCUUCAGGAUAAGGAAAGUGUGGCAAAACUCGUGAAGCUGAUAGAUGAAAGCAAUGGGUACAUCUAUGCUGGCAUGGAUGCCAGGGCAGUUGAAUUCAGCAAGAUUGCCGUUCGCGAUGUUGAUUGGGAUUAUUUCGGAUAUCCUUCUUUUCACCUAUUUUCAAUCUUGUUAUUCUCAUAUUCAUAAAACAUUUUGGUUAUUUAAUUAUGGUUCAUCAUAUGCAUCUGCAUCUUCUAACUUGUUCGUUUGAGAAACUAAUUUUGCCGUUAGGUAGGCUUCAAGCUUGAUUCAUGCUUUUUUCAAAAAUGUACCAAAAUCAUGGAAACUUCUUUUUCCCAGAUAUUGUAUCCACACUUUUCCCAUAUAAUUGGGUCAGACAAGUUUUGCUUAACAAAGAUAUCUACAGUAGCCGAAGUGCAGGAGAAGUACAUUAAGGAUGAUGACGAUGUUAACUAAAAUGGGACGUGAAGAUAUGUGGUGUGCAAACCGUAAGCCUGCCUCUUAUUUUUGUGCAUGUUUACUUGCUUGUGAUUCACGUUUGUUAAUCUAUUUUGCUCUCUUGCAGGAGUUAUAAAGUUUUCAAUCAAUCAAACAUUUAACUCAAGUCCUUAGCUCUUCACGGCUUGAAUGGGUCAGAUAGGACAAGCGCCGAAGAGGUGGUUUUAAUCAAACCCCUCCUAAUUAUGAUGUAUGGUCCAAAUCUCGGACUUUCUGUACAAUAUCGAGCGAUUCGGACCUUUCAAGUCGAAUAUUGAUUUUUCUCCAGUAUUGUUUGUAAUUACAAGAAACGAAGUAAUGAAAUUUAUCACUGCGUUCAUAGUUAUGCUUAAGCUCAAAGAUUACCGUCAAGAUCAUUUUGGGCCCUCAAAGAAACAUGAUGUUGACACAUGUAAAAUUAUGAAGCUUGUGAUUAAAAUACUUUUGACAUAUAUAUGUUAAGUACUAUUAAUAAUUAAACAUAUGAAUAAAUAUGGUCAAUGAGGAGAGGAUAAAAUAAAAUGGUUUCAUUUUUUGAAUUACUCAACCGCUUCAAACUUCUAAGAAGUAGAUAUACAAUGAGUGGAAUACUGAAUUGAGUGCGAGCUGCGGAUAACUUAUAAAAUUGGGAUGCAAGCUUCAAGGAAAGUGUAUUGCUAUUCAAAUGUAGAUUUCAAAUUAGGAAGAUAUGCCAGCAAAUUGUAUAAAAAUGUAUAAAUUGAUCAGUAACAUUAAUUCCAAAUGAUGAAAUGAGUUAUCUUGAUCAAAAGGUCAAGAACCUACCUUACUUCUCUUAGAGAUAACUUGCAUCAACCGUUGUGGUAUUCAUACUUGUCUUCAGCUAGUAAAAGUGAAAGUUUCACAAUUGAAAUAAAGCUAAGGGAAGAUGCUAUGCUGCAUUUAUUAUUAUUAUUAUUGAUGUGGUCGAGAAGUAAAGCCAUGCAUAUGAUGAAGUAUAAAUAAGAAUGCAAUAGCCCGGAAUUCAUUUUCACAAACACUUCAAUAUCCUUUUGAUCACUUUUGCAAACAUCAAUUUGUCUCCUCUUGUAUUCACCAUGGUUGAUGCCGUCAUUUCCCCUCUCGUGGAGCAGCUGACUUCCUUCGCUGCUAAAGAGAUAAUACAACAGGUGAUCGAAGUUAAACCCCCCAUAUUAUAAAUACUUCUAAUGAUUUUAAUUGGUUUUGUUUUUAUCGAAAACAUUAACUUUGCUUUAUUUUACUUAUUUAGGCAUUUUAAAUUUUGAAAUUUGAAUUGAAUUUAAUUAAAAUGUGAUGUAGUUAGUAACCACUUUUUUUUAUUUCAUUUAAAUUCUCAAUAACUACCUAUAUUUUGGUAACUUACUGUAACCCCCGUAUCUAAGAAAUGAUCAAAACCCACAAUUUUAACUCCACAUAAAUAUUCCAUGUUGAGCUAAGUUCGAUGUUGAGGUAAGUUUUUGCAUAACAUUCAAGUUUGUCAAAUAGUCAUUAAUUAAAUGUUUAGUAAAAACUUAUCUCUGAAAAAUUUCAUAAUUUUCUUACAUUCUUUGAGUUUGGUAAGUGACUUCAUAUAAUUUCCUUUCAAUUUAAAUUUUAAUUUGGUUUCUGAUAUAGUCUCUUUACUGAAUUUAUAUCUUUUAUGAUUCUUGGAUUUGGGGCUCCAACUUUUUAGGAUUUGAUAGUCACAUUUUAUGGCAUGCUUAGAUUGAUUUUCAUGAUUUUUAGUACUCGUUAAGUGACUGAGAAUUUGACAAAAGUUUGAAAGGAAAUCCGUUUCACGAUUCUUAUGUGGAAGGUUCAUAAAAUCAUUAAAUUUGGAUAGGAUUCAUUAGCAAUAUGUACAAGACUCUCCAUGAAGUUUCGUAAUUUUUCAUUCGGUCUGGGGUGGUACAGGUAAAGCUUGUGGUUGGUGUUGAAAAAGAAGUGAAAAGCCUUACCAGCCACCUUCAAGCCAUUCAAGCUGUUAGCGAUGAUGCAGAGGAAAAGCAAGUGAAGGACAAAGCUAUUAGACUUUGGCUGGGUAGGCUCAAGUACGCAUCCUACGACAUUGAAGAUGUGUUGGAUGAAUGGAUCACGGCAAGAGGCAAAUUGCAAAUUAAGGGUGGCGCUGAUAAGAAAAAGAAGGUUUGUUUCUGCUUUCCCGCCUCUUGUUUUGGAUUCAAACAAGUCUUUCUACGUCAUGACAUUGCCAACAAGAUCAAAGAAGUCAGUGAAGAGCUACAUGAUAUUGCCACCCAAAAAGACAUGUUUAAAUUUGAGAGUAGCAGUAAAAGUAGUGAAAGACCAAGGCGUGUGCAGAGUACCUCCUUGAUUGAUGAGGAAGAGAUUUGUGGUAGAGUUGGUGAGAGGAAUGCACUCUUAAGCAUGCUGUUGUGUGAGAGCAGUGAGCAACAAAAAGGCCUUCAUAUCAUCUCAAUUGUUGGUAUGGGAGGCAUCGGGAAAACAACUCUUGCACAACUAGCAUGUAAUCAUGUUGAGGUAAAGAGAGAGUUUGACAAAAUUUUAUGGGUGUGUGUAUCAGAAACUUUUGACGAGUUUAGGAUUGCCAAAGCGAUGCUUGAAGCUUUGACUGGUUCAACUUCUAAUUUAGAUGCAUUGCAAUCUCUUCUUAUAAGUAUUGAUGAAUCUAUUGCGGGAAAGAGAUUUCUUCUUGUCUUAGAUGACGUGUGGGACGGAGAUUACAUUAAAUGGGAACCAUUCUACCGUUGCCUAAAGAAAGGUCUCCAUGGAAGUAAAAUUUUAAUUACGACACGUAAGGAGUCAAUUGUGAGCAUGAUGAGAUCCACAGAUAUUAUCUCUAUCAAGGAAUUGGCUGAAGAAGAAUGUUGGGCAUUGUUUAAGCGGUUAGCAUUUUUCGGUCGUUCCACUGAGGAGUGUGAAAAAUUGGAACAAACUGGUCAAAGAAUUGCAAGAAAGUGUAAAGGUUUACCUCUUGCUGCAAAGACAAUGGGAAGUCUCAUGAGCUCUAAAAAAAUUGAAGAAGAGUGGAAAAGAAUUUUAAAUAGUGAUUUAUGGAAGGUAGAAGAGAUCGAGAAAGGUGUUCUAACCCCUUUGUGGUUGAGUUAUAACGAUUUGCCAUCUAGAGUAAAAAGAUGUUUCUCGUAUUGUGCUGUCUUUCCAAAAGACUACAAUAUAGAAAAAGACAAACUAAUUACUUUGUGGAUGGCUCAAGGUUAUCUUAGUGCAGAAGCAGCAGAACAAGAUGAGGAGUUGGAGACUAUAGGUGAAGAGUAUUUUGGCAUCUUAGCUUCUCGCUCUUUCUUUCAAGAGUUUGAGAAACGUUAUGAUAAUCGUAUUAUAGCGUGCAAGAUGCAUGAUAUGGUACAUGAUUUUGCCCAAUUUGUUAGUCAAAAUGAAUGUUUUUCGUUGGAAGUUAAUGGUAGUGAGGAACUAAACGUCACAAACUCUACAAACUCUCUUGAUGAGAAGGUCCGUCAUUUAAUGUUAAUCUUUAGUAAAGGGGCUUCAUUACCGGUUUCCACUCUUAGAGUUAAAAGAAUGCGUACCCUCUUAAUUAACGAUAGUAGAUCUGAUCAUUCAUUAUUAAAUGGUGAGAUCCUAGAAGAAUUAUUUAGGGAGUUGACAAGUUUAAGGGCAUUAGAUUUUGGCAAAUCGUAUAACUCAAGUUGGUAUUCGACUCUGGAGAUUCCGAGAAACAUAGAAAAGCUGGUACAUUUAAGAUACCUUAAUUUGUUUUAUCAGGGAAUAAAGAAACUACCGGAGACAUUAUGCGAGUUGUAUAAUCUAGAAAAGUUAGAUAUUAGUUUAUGUUUUAAUCUUAAAGAAUUACCUGAAGGGAUUGGGAAGUUAAUAAACAUGAAGCAUUUACGAAAUAGAGGUACUAGUUCUUUAAGGUACAUGCCAGUAGGGAUUGGGAGAUUAACGGGUCUCAGGACCUUGGAUGAGUUCCACGUGAGUGGAGGAGGAGGUGUUGAUUGUAGGAAAGCAUGUAGGCUUGAAUCUCUCAAAAACUUGGAAAACCUUCGAGUGUGUGGUAUAUGUAGACUGGGUGAUGUAUCAGAAGUGGGCGAGGCUAAGCGAUUAGAACUUGACAAAAAGAAAUACCUCUCUUGUUUGAGACUUCGGUUUGAUAAGAAGAAAGAAGAAGGAGAAAGGAGGAAGAACGAGUACGAUCAACUUCUUCUUGAAGCCCUACAACCACCUCUCAAUUUAAAGGAAUUAGAGAUAGAGUACUACCGAGGCAACACUGUUUUCCCCAGCUGGAUGACGUCAUUAACCAACUUAAAGAGUUUAGAUCUCUCUUCCUGUGAAAAUUGCGAGCAGCUGCCUCCUUUGGGAAAAUUGCCAUCCCUUGAAAAUCUCCACAUAUAUCGCAUGGAGAGUGUGAAAAGAGUGGGUGAUGAAUUUUUGGGGAUAGAAAGUGAUCAUCAUGGCUCAUCUUCAUCGGUUAUUAUUGCCUUCCCCAAAUUGAAAUCACUCACAAUUUCUUUGAUGCUGGAAUUGGAGGAGUGGGAUUAUGGGAUUACAAGAACGGGAAACACCGUCAUCAUCAUCAUGCCACGUCUUUCUUCCUUGACAAUUGGGAAUAGUCCCAAAUUAAAGGCACUGCCCAACCACAUUCAUCAAACGACAACAUUGAAGACAUUGCGCAUUUGGAGGUGUGACCUUCUGGAAGAACGUUACCGCAAGGGGGAAGGAGAAGACUGGCCUAAGAUAUCACACAUUCCCAAUCUCCAUUUUGGGCUUUGACAAGUAAUUUCUUCUCUUACUCUGAUUUGCUUUGUUGUUGUUUUUAAUCUAAUUAAGAAGCGUAAAUAGCAUUUUGAAUCAAACUCUAUAUCAGAAAUCUGCAAUACUUACUUUCUAAUAUUCUGAUUUUCAUAUCCUAUGAAUAUACGAUUUUUAAUUUGUGGGAUGGGUAACGUUACUGUAAAAGAUUAUUAAUGCAAUAUGAGUAAUUCUUUUGCAGGACAAGUGGCCUACAUUUAGUUUGGCUUUGGAGUUGAAUAAUAACCUUUCGAGGUCCCGACAACCAAAAAACGAAACUUAAUUUGCCACAGAUUGCACGUAUUGCCAUUAUUGACAAUUUUCUGCACAAGCUUAGGUUGAUGUCAAAAGAGGUAAAUUAUUGGCAUGCCUGACUAUUUUGACCAUUACAUGAUUCAUAAGUUUACAUUAAUUUUGAUUUUGAGUUGAGUGAUUAAUUUUCUAGGUUUGCUUACUUUAACUGGGUGACCAAUUUCUUGUAACCAAAUGUAUGAUGUGAUGCAGGAAGCAGGGCAGGACAUGAAAAGAGAAGCUUAUUAGAGGAAGGAUUGCCAGUAACAGAAUCCAAAGAAAAAGAAACCAUUUCGAGGCAGCAGUUGGCAGUUGGCAGUGAAUGGAGCCCCUUGAAAAAACCCCCAAGCGGUUGCACUGCAAUUACGAUCAUCCUCGGCCUCAGGUAAUUUCUUCUCCUGCAUUUUUGUUAUUUGCUAUCAAGUGACUAUUUUAAGUAUGAUUGCAUUAAGCUGCUGCUGGGAAAUUUGAGGUUUUGAUGACUGCCCAUGCUAUUGUAAGAAGCUGCGGUUCUUUUCAUCAGCCUGAACCUGGACCUGCCGCUAUGGAUAACUCAGUUUUUCUUUUUUUUAAUCAACUGCCAUCUUUUCCACUGUUUAGAAACUCUUUAAGAUUAAACUUUAGUAAAGUUGUUUUAGUUAUUCAUGUAAUCAGGCUGAGGAUACUUAGCUGCCUAUUUAGGCAAAUGUCAGAAUUUAGUUUGUUCGCUGGGUACUGGUGGGGACUGGCAAAGGAUGAUGAGAUAGUUUUUUGAGUGAGUAAAUUUUGGGAGCUUGAGUGUAUUGGGAUUUGCAAUUACAAUCAUCGUCUGCCUCAGGUGAUUCUUUUUCCUGCUCUGUCAUUGUUUGUUCUCUAAUUCAAAAGCAUAAAAUAUUUCAAUCAAUUUUUAUGCCAGGAAUAUGCAAAAGUUUCUAAUAUUUUAUUUCCAUCUGUUACAAGAUCAAACUGAAGCAGAACUCAAACAAAAGUAUGCUACUUCUUGCGGAAAUCUUGCCUUUGUUCAGAUUAUGAAACCAUUUCCAUGCAGCAAAUUCAUCCAAAAGUUUGAAUAAGUUUCACGGUUGGACACUGUUGGCUUCUUUUUCUUCUGGGGUGCAUUUAGGUGCUAUCAAGUGACAGCUGUAAGUAUGAUUGCACUAAGCUGCUGCUGGGAAAUUUGAGGUUUUGAUGGCUGCCCAUGUUAUUUUCAAUAAACUAUUGAUGUAAGAAGCUGUGGUUCUUUUCAUCAGCUUGAACCUGAAACUGUCGCUAUGGAUAACUCAGGUUUUUGUUAUCAACUAUAUCAUCUUUUUCACUAUUUUGAAACUCUUAAGAUUAAACUUUAGUAAAGUUGUUUCAGCUAUUCAAAUGAAAAACUCAUUGAUUUGAGAAUUCCUUCAUUAUUGUUUCUAAUUACAAUGCUAACGAUCCAGAUAAAAUAAUAUUUAAUCGGCGAAGGUGUCCCUUGGAAGUACAUCCUUCUUUUUCUUUUAUUAUAUCAAUUCUUGCAAUGAGCUUAGUGAAGCUGUUGUGCUAAUCAUGCCACUGCAUAAUUUGGCCCCUAAUGUGGGUACUCUGUUACAUUGUUCUGCAAAUUCUCCAGAAGUUAAAAUCAAUAAAUUUUCUAUUAGCUCUAGUGCUUUGACCUAAAUGCUAUUCUAUAUUCUGAUUACAAUGUUUUAACCUUUAAAUUAACUACCCCUAGAUGUUGGAUUUUCUAGAACUUCAAAAUGAUUAAUGGAGAAAGAUCCCAUUAUCGUUAUUGCUAUAAGAAAUUGAUUUAUGCAUCCAAAGAUACAUUAUAUAUUUCUGUGUCUCUAUUUAUAGAUGACAUUUAAGCAUCCAUAAACCGUCAGACAGAGGAAGGGGGUUCAGUGCAAAGAUUCUGUUGACCUAGGGUUGACUGCAUAUGUCACUUGUUCGCAAUCUAUUAUUUAUUUUAUAUUUUGAAGAAUUUAAUGGGUAAUCCUAAUUGUUUGUUUUGGCAGGUAUGUGUUGUUAUCUCCUUCUAUCUAACAGUCGUACCUAAAUAGCAUAGUUUCAUCUGUGUUACCAUGUGAUGUACAUAAUUUCACAUUUGCCUCAGAUUAAGCUUAAUUUCCCACAGAAUAGAGCUGUCGCGACUGGACUUAGGUUGAUGUCCAAAGAGGUAAAUUAUUGGUAUGCCUAGAUAAUUUGGCCAUUUCCUAAUUCAUAAGUCUACAUUAAUUUUGAUUUUGAGUUGACUGAUUUCUUUUCAAGGUCUGCUUCCUUAACGGAGUGACCAAUGUUUUUCAACUAAAUUUAUCAUAUGAUGCAGGAAGCAGGGCAGGAUAUGCAAUGAGAAUCUCAUUGGUGGAAGUAUUGCCAGUAACAGAACCCAAAGAAAAUGAAACUGUUUCAAGGCAGCAGUUGGCAGUUGCAAGUGAAUGGAGGCCCUUGACAAAAUUCUCAAGCGGUUGCAAUGCAAUUACGAUCAUCCUCAGCCUCAGGUAAUUUCUUCUCCUGCUUUGUAUUUAUUUGUUAUCUAAUUAGGAAGCGUAAAGUAUCUUGAAUCAUUUUCUGUAUCUGGAAUAUAUGCAAGAGUUUCUAAAAUUUUGAUAUGAGUGUGAUGAUGGUAAUUUCUGUUUUCUGUCUGUCUUCAAAUGUUAGAAAACUUUCAUUGAGACGCUUGAACCGAGUCAUUUUUGACAAGUGAAGUGCUGAAGAGUGAAGAGUAAGAAUGGUGCUAGAUUGGGGAAUAAAGCAAAAGGAGGUAAAUUAUUGGCAGCUUCUUCAGCCUUAUUUUCUUUGGACCAGUGCCUAACUCACAAGUCUCCAUAAUUCGGCUUUUGACCAGUUGAUAGAUAAAAUUUUAAUUUCAUUGGUGCUAAUGUACCCGUGAAGCAGGCAGAGAAGGACUGUGGAAAAGAGAAGGUUUUUAGUGAAAGCUUAAACUCAGGUAAUUCUAAAAAUUAUAUGUUUUGGCUGAUUUAUCUAAAUCAGGAAAUUUUAUUUCCAUCUGUUACAAUAAAACAGAAACAGAACACAAAGAAAAAUAUUCUACUUCUUGUGGCAAUCUUGCCUUCAUUCAGACUAUGAAACCAUUUCCUUUCACCAAUUUCUUCCAAAAUUUUGAACACGUUUCAUGGUUGGACAUAGUUAUCUUCUUUUUCUUUUGGUGCAUUUAGGUACUAUCAAGUGACAGCCAUAAGUAUGAUUGCAUUGUUGGGAAAUUUUAGGUUUUGAUGGCUCCCCAUGUUAUUGCCAAGAAAUUUUAAGUCCUCAUGUCAGAAGCUGCGUUUCUUUUCAUCAGCCUGAACCCGAACCUGUCACUAUGGAUAACUGAGGUUUUUGUCAUCAACUAUAUCAUCUUUUUCACUGUUUUGAAACUCUUAAGAUUAAACUGUUGAGAAGUCAAUAUUAGCCCAAAUAAGUCCACACCUAAAUUAAUUUGAUGUCAUUGCUUACAUCAAUUUAGUUAGGUGAAUAUUAGCCCAAAUAAGUCCACACCUAAAUUAAUUUGAUGUCAUUGCUUACAUCAAUUUAGUUAGGUGAAAAUUAGGUAUUUUUCCCAUGUUUAAUUUCAAUGGUUUAAAUUAGUUUGUGGUUAUUUUAAUGAGUGGUUUAGAUUGUUUCUUGUAACCUAUAAAUACCUCAUUUGUAUUUGAGUUUUAUUAUUCAACAAUAAAAAGCUUUAUUAUAAGCAUUUGAAAGCUUUCUUAAGAGUUCUUCUCUUUUUGCAAUUUUGUGAGAUUAUUCUAAAGAGAGUUUUUCUUCUUCUUGAUCAAUUAGAGUUUUUACUCUAUUUUGAUUCAACAUUUGGUAUCAGAGCAUUGGUUGUAAAGUCUCUUGAAAUUCCGAGUAUGCUCUGUGGUUGCAGUUUUGACUGAUCUUCCACAUCAGAAAAGAUUUCUUGAGAUUAUUGCUGGGGUUAUCACAAACCUUGAGAGGGAGCUUCUUUGUGUCAAGAGUAGUGUAUUAUUCUGCACGGUAGUCACUCAAGAUUGUUCGGUGUAGUCAAAGUCUUGUCGAUACGAUGGGUGAUCUUCAAGUUGUUGGAGGAAUCAAGAAGCUCAACAACCAAAACUAUAACACGUGGGCAACGUGUAUAGAAUCUUACCUUCAAGGUCAAGACUUGUGGGAGGUUGUCGGUGGUAGUGAAGUUACACAACCGGCAGCGGAAGAUGCUAACGGCGUCUUGCGGAAGUGGAAAAUUAAAGCAGGCAAAGCAAUGUUUGCUUUAAAGACCACAAUAGAAGAAGAAAUGUUGGAGCACAUUCGGGAUGCUAAAUCACCGAAGGAAGCGUGGGACACCUUCGCUACACUCUUUUCGAAGAGGAACGAUACAAAAUUGCAACUUCUCGAGAAUGAACUUCUAUCAAUGGUGCAACGCGACAUGGCGGUUGCCCAAUACUUUCACAAGGUGAAGUCGAUAUGCCGUGAAAUUUCAGAAUUAGAUCCGACAGCUGCUAUUGGGGAAGCCAGGAUAAAAAGAAUAAUUGUCCAUGGCUUGAGACCCGAAUACCGAAGCUUUGUAGCCGCUGUACAAGGAUGGCCGACACAACCAUCACUUGUUGAGUUUGAAAAUUUGCUGACAGGCCAAGAAACUAUGGCCAAGAAAAUGGGAGGAGUCUCACUAAAGGGUGAAGAGGAAGCGCUUUACACCAACCAAAGCAGAGGUGGUUCAAGACAGCACAACAAAGGCGGAUCUAGAAAGACUGGUGAACAGACAAAAAGUCAUCAGGGAGGGAAUGGCUCUCGUCCAGGGGGAGCUUCGAAGAAUCGUGACAGUAAUAGAAAGUUCGAUGGCGAAUGUUACAAUUGCGGGAAGAAGGGCCACAUGAAGAGAGAUUGUUGGUCCAAAAAGAAGUCUACCGAAAGCAAUAUUGCUACUUCUAGUUCUAAAGAAGAUAGUGAAGAUAGCUGGGAUGCCGAAGCAUUACUCGCUAUGGAGGAAGAAGAAUUAGCUCUCACGGUAACAACACCAGAAAAGAUUAACUACGAGAAUGAUUGGAUCGUAGACUCAGGCUGCUCAAAUCACAUGACGGGUGAUAGACAGAAGUUGCAAAACUGUUCUGAGUACAAGGGAAAUCGUGUGGUGGUAACAGCUGACAACUCAAGGUUACCGAUAGCUCACAUCGGUAAAGCGAUCGUUACACCUCGAUAUAGUCCCAACCAAGUGCCACUUCAAGAUGUCUACCAUGUUCCAGGAAUGAAGAAAAAUUUGCUAUCCGUAGCUCAAUUGACAUCAUCAGGCCACUAUGUCUUGUUUGGUCCACAAAAUGUGAAGGUAUUUCGAGACCUGAAGAUCUCAGAAAACCCUACGAUGGAGGGACGACGAUUGGAGUCAGUUUAUGUGAUGUCAGCUGAGUCUGCAUACGUAGACAAGACAAGAAGGAAUGAGACGGCAGAUCUGUGGCACAUGCGGCUAGGUCAUGUUAGUUAUUCCAAGCUAAGUGUGAUGGUGAAGAAGUCGAUGCUUAAGGGACUUCCACAACUUGACGUGAGAACAAAUACUGUUUGCGCGGGAUGUCAAUAUGGUAAAGCACAUCAAUUGCCAUACGAGGAGUCGAAGUUUAAAGCAAAGAAACCAUUAGAGUUAAUUCACUCUGAUGUGUUUGGACCAGUUAAGCAACCAUCAAUUGGCGGAAUGCGGUAUAUGGUUACGUUCAUUGAUGAUUUCUCCAGAUAUGUAUGGGCUUUCUUCAUGAAAGAAAAAUCUGAAGCAUUCUCAAAGUUCAAAGAGUUCAAAGAGAUAGUCGAAGGAGAAGUGGAGCAAAAGAUUCGUUGCUUGCGCACAGACAACGGGGGUGAGUAUAGCUCGAGAGAGUUUUCUCAAUACCUACGGGAAUGCCAAAUACGUCAUCAGUAUACUUGUGCCAAUACGCCACAACAAAAUGGUGUAGCAGAGAGGAAGAAUCGGCACCUUGCUGAAAUUUGCCGGAGUAUGCUACAUGCGAAGAAUGUACCUGGAAGAUUUUGGGCCGAAGGUAUGAGAACUGCAGCUCAUGUCAUCAACAAGCUUCCUCAACCAAGGUUGGAGUUUGUUUCACCCUUUGAGAAAUUGUGGAACAAGAAACCUACAGUUAGCUAUUUUCGAGUAUUCGGUUGUGUAUGCUAUGUAUUUGUUCCUGACCAUCUACGUAGCAAGAUCGAUAAGAAAGCAGUCAGAUGUAUCUUUGUGGGAUACGACAAUCAGCGAAAAGGGUGGAAGUGUUGUGAUCCAGUAGAUGGAAGGUGCUACACAUCACGAGAUGUGGUGUUUGAUGAAGCAUCCUCAUGGUGGACCUCAGAAAAAGAAGUGCUGCCAGACUCGAAAGAAUUCGGAGACAUGCUACAACAAAAGAUGGGGGAGCAUACUGUCCAAAUUCAUCUAAGCUCAGCUGGGGAUCUAUGCGAUAGUGAUAGCGAACGAAGAGUAACUCUAAAUCCUUGGCAAUCUGGGGUGUAUCGACAACCAGAUGAAGAAGGUGUGCCUAGUGAAACAGAAGAAUCAACUCCAUUACGAAGGUCAACAAGAACCCGAAGGCCAAAUCCCAAAUACGCUAAUGCAGCCAUAGUUGAAGAAGCAACUGGAAUAGAACCUGAGACGUUCGAAGAAGCGUCACAGAGUUCUGAGUGGAUGACAGCUAUGAAAGACGAGAUCACUGCACUUGAGCAAAAUCAGACCUGGGAACUCGUGCCAAAGCCAAAAGAUGUGAAACCCAUAUCCUGCAGAUGGGUUUACAAAAUAAAGCACUGUCCAGAUGGGUCAAUCGAGAGGUACAAGGCUCGAUUGGUAGCUCGUGGUUUCUCUCAACAAUAUGGACUAGAUUAUGACGAAACGUUUAGUCCAGUGGCAAAACUUACAACCGUCCGAGUCUUACUUGCACUUGCAGCCAACAAAAGCUGGAACUUGUGGCAGAUGGACGUGAAGAAUGCCUUUCUCCAUGGAGAGCUGGAUAGAGAGAUCUACAUGAUUCAACCGAUGGGUUUUCAGAACCGAGGUCACCCUGAGUAUGUGUGUAAACUGCGAAAGGCUCUCUACGGACUAAAACAAGCACCCAGGGCGUGGUAUGGCAAGAUUGCUGAAUUUCUAACUCAAAGUGGGUAUUCAGUAACAUCUGCAGACUCCAGCUUGUUUGCUAAAGCUAAUGGAGAAAGGAUAGCUAUUGUGCUCGUGUACGUAGAUGAUCUAAUCAUCACUGGAGAUGAUGUUGAAGAAAUUUUCCGAACAAAGGAGAACUUGUCAGUUCGUUUUCAAAUGAAAGAACUUGGACAACUUAAGCAUUUCCUUGGGCUAGAGGUUGAUCAGACGAAAGAAGGGAUAUUUCUUUGUCAACAGAAAUAUGCCAAAGAUUUGUUGAAGAAGUUUGGGAUGCUAGAAUGUAAGCCGAUCUCAACACCGAUGGAACCAAAUGCCAAGAUGUGUGCACAUGAAGGCAAAGACCUGGAAGAUGCAUCGAUGUAUCGACAAUUAGUGGGUAGUCUAAUCUACUUAACCUUGACUCGACCUGACAUUUCUUAUGCAGUUGGCGUGAUGAGUCGAUACAUGCAAAAUCCGAAGAAGUCUCAUUUAGAAGCGGUUCGGCGAGUACUCAGAUAUGUGAAGAGUACAAUAGACUAUGGUCUUUUAUACAAGAAAGGUGGAAAUUGCAAACUAGUUGGCUACUGUGAUGCUGACUAUGCAGGAGAUCACGAUACUCGCAGAUCAACUACUGGGUAUAUGUUUACCCUUGGAUCUGGAACGAUUUCUUGGUGUAGCAAGAGACAACCGACUGUGUCCAUGUCAACUACGGAAGCAGAGUAUCGAGCAGCAGCAAUGGCAGCUCAAGAAAGCACGUGGCUGAUACAACUAAUGAAUGAUCUACAUCAACCACUAGAUUAUACAGUUCUGUUGUACUGUGACAACCAAUCGGCAAUUCGGCUGGCGGAGAAUCCUGUUUUUCAUGCAAGAACUAAACAUGUGGAAGUGCAUUACCACUUUGUUAGGGAAAAAGUUCUGCAAGAAGAGAUUGAGAUGAGGCAAGUCAAGACAGAUGAACAAAUUGCUGACUUGUUUACAAAAAGCUUGAGUGUUGGAAAGUUUGAACAUUUCCGUCGUCAGCUUGGCAUGAUUCAAAGAAUGGGGGCUAACAUUGAGGGGGAGUGUUGAGAAGUCAAUAUUAGCCCAAAUAAGUCCACACCUAAAUUAAUUUGAUGUCAUUGCUUACAUCAAUUUAGUUAGGUGAAUAUUAGCCCAAAUAAGUCCACACCUAAAUUAAUUUGAUGUCAUUGCUUACAUCAAUUUAGUUAGGUGAAAAUUAGGUAUUUUUCCCAUGUUUAAUUUCAAUGGUUUAAAUUAGUUUGUGGUUAUUUUAAUGAGUGGUUUAGAUUGUUUCUUGUAACCUAUAAAUACCUCAUUUGUAUUUGAGUUUUAUUAUUCAACAAUAAAAAGCUUUAUUAUAAGCAUUUGAAAGCUUUCUUAAGAGUUCUUCUCUUUUUGCAAUUUUGUGAGAUUAUUCUAAAGAGAGUUUUUCUUCUUCUUGAUCAAUUAGAGUUUUUACUCUAUUUUGAUUCAACAUAAACUUCAGUAAAGUUGUUUCAGUUAUCUAUGUAAUCAGGCUAAGGAUAUUUAGCAGCUUAUUUAGGCAACUGCCAGAAUUCAGUUUGUUCGCUCGAAACUUGUAUGGUGACAAGGAUACUGGCAAGGAUAGUGAGAUAGUUUUUUGUGCGAGUGAAUUUUGAAAGCUUGGGUGUUCUGGGAUUUGCAAUUGCAAUCAUCCUCUGCUUUAGGUGAUUUCUUCUCCUCUUCUGUCUUUAUUUUCUCUCUAAUUGAAAGCAUAAAGUAUUUCAAUCAAAUUCUGUACCAGGAAUACGAAAAAUUUACUAAUAUUUUAUUUCCAUCUGUUUGCAUUGAUAACUUGGCCGCUUAUGUACUAGUUAAAGAACAAACAGAAGCAGAGUUCAGGAAAAAGUUUCUUCGGCCACCAUAUUUUAAAAUGAAACCAUUUCCAGGAAGCAGUUGGCAGCAAAUUCAUAGAAAGUAUAGACAAUGAUGAGCAAAAAGGUGAUUCGCAAUUUCAUUUUUUUAAAAUGAAAUUAUUUGUUAAGUUGGAGCUGAUAUUGUUAGAAGGCCAUUGAGCUAACCUAUGACACUGCUUGCCUAGAUUGCAGGAGGUCAAGACUCAAAAGAUGCACUGAAUUUUAAAAGGCAUGCAAUAAUUCUUAUGGCCAUUUGUCAAUGGUGGAAUGCUUUUAGCUUCUUUUCCUUUCGUGCAUUUUGGGGUUCUAUCAAGCGACAGCCGUAUGUAUGGACGGAUAUAGCUGCUGCGUUGAUUUCUAAUGCGUUGUAUGAUGUUAUAGCAACUAUCUAUCUGGUCAAUGUUUCAAAAGAAUAAGACACAGGGAAAAAGAGAAAGCAAGUGGCCAAUCAAGUAUUCAUGUCCCAAAGAAAAGAAUGAUUCGACAAUAGCAUUAAGGGUUAAUUGGACACAACAGAAGUGUUUUAACCACUUCAAGGAAUGUAAAUGUAAUUUUCCAUUCUAAAGAAAAAGUAAAUAUAUGCACUGUCAAUUAAUCUUUGGUCAACCAGCAACAUUCAUAAUUUCGUGUAAGUUUCAUUUCUGUUUGUUGGAAAUAGCAGUGUAUUUCUGAGAGUUUGUUCAAAAUGGAAAGAUUUUAAAAUAUAAAUUUCACAUCUGUUUAUUACUGUUGUUUGGUCUAAUUUCUUAUGUAGAAUUUUCAGAAUCUGUCGGACAUUAGUUUAUAAUUUUGAGAUUUUGCAGCCAUAAAUUUUUUUUUUUUUUGGUUGCCAUUUUAUUUUGCUCCUUUAUCUAUGUGCAUGUUGACUGGCUGCAGUGAGUGAAAAUUUACCCAUAUUUGCUGGCUAUUCUUGGACAAUAUUAGAGAAAAUAAUCAUAUUAUUUCGCGUGAAGUGAACUUCCAUAACUUAUCAAUUGAAUUGCUGUAAAAUAUUAAAUAGUUUUAUUUUUCUUUUAUCGUGUAACUUGGACCAAAAAAGGAAAUGAGUUUAACAUGACCCUCAUUCCGGCACUAUGCAUGUUUUUCUUGUAUUGAUGACAGUGCUCUUGGUGCUUCUCAUCUGCUUCUUGCUUUGGUUUCAAACAAGUCUUUCUCCGUCGAGACAUUUAUUGUAAUUUCAUUUGGAGACAUAUAUCUGUCGUUCAAAUAUAUUUCAUAUGCAAGCUGUUAAUAAUUCUGCUUGCAGAAAGCCUACAAAGCAGCUGUGUGAUGUAAUAGAAGACCAUAGUCUGGUCAAUUUUUCAGCAUUAGAUAUUCAGGUCAUCAGCUUCUCAUGAAUUCUUUCCUGAGUUUCUUUGAAUUAUUUGUGAUGUAAUAACUUGUGCAUUUGAGAAACUGUUCUCUUGAAUUCUUUCUUGAGUUUCUUUGAAUUAUUUGUGAAUAAGUUGUUAAUCGGCUGCUUCUCUUCAGGAUAAGGAAAGUGUUGCAAACUGGUGAAGCAGCUGAUAGAUAAAAGCAAUGGGUACAUCUUUGCUGGCAUGGAUCGAUGCCAGUGCGGUUGAAUUCAGCAAGACUGCCGUUCGUGAUGUUGUUGAUUGGGAUUAUUUUCAACCUUAUGAUUCUCAUAUCCAUAGAACCUUUUGGUUAUUUAAUCAUAUUUCAUCGUAUGCAUCCGCAUCUUCAUGUGCGUUUGAGAAACUGUUUUGCGGUUAGGCAGGUUUCAAUCUUGAUUCAUGCGUCUUUCAUAAAUGUACAAAAUUAUGGAAACUUCUUUUUCCCAGAUAUUAUAUCUGCACUUAUUCCCAUGUAAUCGAGUCAGACAAGUUUUGCUUAACAAAGAUGUCUACAGUCGCUGAAGUGCAGGAGGAGUACAUUAAGGGUGAUGACAACAUUGAUUAACCCAACCCAACCUGUAAAAAAUCACACCGGUUAGGUUGGUUUCACGGAUUGGGCGGGUUGGUGCCCACCCAUAAAUAUAACCUCCAUUUCAGUACAAUGCAUGUUAAUUGUUCUCCAAGGACUUCUCUUGUUUCCCAUUCCCAACCUCCAUGCUCUCGAGAGGAAUUUGGCACCCAUCAAUUUUUAUUUUUGAAAACUCGUAAUGGUCUGAUAAAAUUAAACAACAUCAAUAACGUUACCAGUCUUUAAAUAGUAAUUAAUUUAUUUAAUUUGCCACCUAAAAGAAUCCUGCUGGAAAUAGAGGUUAAAAAUUUUAUUAGAUCUGCUUACCUUUGUUCAUUCAGCAAAAACACUUACAAUUCAUAGCUAGAGAAUCUAUCCAUUGACAAUUGUGGAUUAAAAUUAUAACACCUGAAUUCAAACAUAUCCUUAUGAAGUUAUGAAUUUGUUCAUACUUCAAAUGAUUUUUUUUUCCCCAAGCUAAUAAAGCGACCACUUUGAUCAAACAACGAUGUUGAAGGAAUUGCGUAUUUUCAAUGUCCUUUUCCAGACAGACGUUCGAGAGAGGGAAAGGAGAAGACUGGCCUAAUUAAGAUAUCUCACAAAGAUUAUUAUUGAGUUAAAAUGUUAUUGUAAAAGAUGUUUAAUACAAUAAUAGUACUUCUUUUGCAUUGUUAUAAUGAGGCUGGUGGGUUUCCUCAGAGGAUGGAUCUGGCUCGCUAGUAUGCAUUUGGGAAGCUGCUAAUUAUCGGCCAUAAAAAGUCAGGGGGUUGUGGCUGUUCCGUCGCCCAGAAAUUCCUAAACUCAUAUAUCAAAUUUCGGAUGAACUUGGGCAUUAUGUAAAUAUGUAUUUUUGAGAAUUAAACUAGUGCGUUAGAAAAAUUUUGAGCCACUGUAAUCAUUUGAUUUUGCUAAGAGAAAAUUUUACUCUGUGUUUCGCUUUGCCUUUUGUUUUUUCUGUGAUAAUAUGAUUCAUACGAAUGUGAUUACACACUAUCAUGCAUCUAUUUUCAUUUGCUUGUCAUGAAUGAUCAACAUGCUCGAAAUAUUUAUAUAGGUUGGAAAUAUUUAAAUCUAUUAAAAUACUAUACACACCCAUUUUAAAAUAAAAAUAUGAUUAUUAUAAUGAUCGCGAAGGUAACACGAUAUCAUAAAUAAAAUAAAAUAUUUCGCAAAAAAGAUAAGAUACGCUUGAAUACAUUGGUAUAAAAAAUAUUUUAGUGGAUUCAAGUAGCACUAAUGCUCCCUUAUCAAAAAAUAUAUAAAGAUAACUAAUCUGAUUGGGUAUACCGUGUGUGUGUGUGUAAUAUUUUUUGAUAUUAUUAUAUAAUAUUUUUUAAAAAGAAGAGAGAGUGGGCAAAGUUCAAAUCAAUUUUCUAAUCCCUAUCUCCUUUAGGAUUUAAACUUCGGUGUUUAGUGUCACGGGUCGCUCAAAUUUUCUAGUCAAAGAGGCUAAAUUGCACGAAAUUGUGCUAGCUUAUUUGAUUUUAAAAUUUUCCAAUGCACUGUAACACACUCUCAUGCUUGUACAUAGCUCGAAAAUCUCUAGAAUUUACCAGAGUAGUGUAGCAUGUAGCUUGUACAUAGGUUUUUCUGGAACACUCCAAGCAUUACUAAGCAUAAGAGCUUUGAGAACUCUCUAGACAUAAAACAUUCAAGGGUAGGCCUGCCCUAAAAAUAGGGCAUGAUGAUUGCCAUUUGAGCAUACAAGAAGUAAGAACAAAUCAAGUAUAUUUGUAAGCUCCCAAACUCUCUCGUACACACUCCUGUGAAUAUUAUGCUUUCUCUUUGACUAUAUUACUCUCUCUUCUCUCUAGUUUUUUUUCGCAAGUAUCAUAUCUUAGCUAGUCGAAAAGUUCAAGUAAGAAUGAUAAUUUUUCCUGAUGGGAUGGGAUGGGAUGGGAUCCUGUGGGAUCCCAUCUCAUUUAGGACGGGAUUGGGAUACAUUUUUAUCCCAUAAAAAAAUAUAGGGACGGGAGUAGAACUUUUUUUAUCCCACUUGUAUCUAUGGGACAGGACUGAGAUUAACAAAUCCAGUCUCGUCACGUCUCGUCUCAUUGCCAACUAGGGAUGGAAAUUUUUCCAAUUGAGAUGGGCUCUCACAGAAUCCCAUUUUUUUGGGGAUGCGAUUGAGACAUAUUUUUAUCCCAAAAAAAUAUAUCGACAGUGACACUUUUUUUUAUCCCACUUGCAUAUUCGGGACGAGACUGAGAUUAGUAAAUCCCACUCUAUCCCAUCACAUUGCCAACCCUAAGUUCAAGGCUUACUUUGCAACUAUCUCAUAAAAGUUGUUUUAAGUACCACAGGAGUUUGUUGUGCAAAAUACUCAUCCCGUGACAUUAGCUAAAUAAAAUUGUUUGAAAGCCACUUACCCAAACUAUUAAACAAAUAUUAUUCUUUUAAUAUGCAAUCUUUUAAUAUAAACUUUUGUCUUAAUUUUCUAUCUCCUACAAUAAAUUUUAUGAUUUUAAAAAUUGAAAAAAUUAAUAACUUUUAGAUAGAGCAUUCCUUACUGUUAAAAGAAAUAUGAAUGGUAAUAUAAAACUUACUUAUUAUAGUAUAAUGCUUUUAGUUUUUUGAAAUAAGGUUCUUAUUUUUUUCAAGAUAAAAUUCAAAGAAAACAAGUUAAAUGUUGUGGAAAAUCUUACGCCCAUACAAUAAAUUAUGACAGCUAAAUGCAAACCUGGCUGAAGUAUUAGUUGUUUUAUUACAAUCUCCAAAAAGAUGAGCACUUCCAAAAUCUUUCUUUGUAACAAUAAACACUACUGGUCAGCAACUAUCCAAGUCAAAAGUAACUCAAUGUGAGUCUUAGUGCACUUGCAGUGAAUCCCAAGAUAAACUAAUUUCACUAGCAAGUUGGAUACCAAAGAGUAAGGCUUCAGCCUCAAUUAUAUUAAAAUCUGAGUAAACAUUAAAUACCACAAUCAAACUCAGAAAUCAUAAUUAAACUAUCAUGAUUAAAAAUAAAGUUUUUUUUUUAGAUAUCCGUUUGUAGUAUCUCUUUAGAUGACAAAUAGGAGAUAAAAUAAAUAAAUAUUGGUUGCGUAAAUAAAAUAAAUAAUUUUUUUAACUGAAAAAAAUUCCUAAAAACUAAAUAGUUCAAACUUUUUUUAACAUGAAAUAAAUAUUAGAUGCGUAAAUAUAAAAAAAUUAACUGAAAAAAUUUCCCAAGAACUAAAUAGUUCAAACUUUUUGUUUAACAUCAUGGGUUUUGUAUAUUCAAUUGAACCGAACAACUAAAUUAAAUCGAAAUUACCCUGUUCGGUUCAAAUGAAUAGACGAAAACCGAACAGUUCAUAUUUUUUGAACUGAUGGUGCGUUUACUUCAUGAAAUGAAAAUAUGGUGGAAUGAGAAUGGGCUGGAAAUGAGAAUGUGUUGAAAUGAGAAUGAAGAAUGAGAAUGAGAUUCUAAUGUUUACUUAAUAAAAAUAAAGGGAAAUGAGAAUGUGCUGGAAUGUCAUUGAUGUGUUUAUUUGACAAAAUAAAUGGGAAUAAAGAAUGAGAAUGAGAAUUAAUUUACCAAAAUACCCAUAGUAUUAAAUAAUAUAAUUUUUAUUUUACUAGAUACAUGUAUAAAUAUUAUUAUAAAAAUAAUAUUAAUUAAAAUAAUAAAUGUUAAGAAUGAUAAUAUUAAUAAAAAUAAUAAUAACAAUAAUUAAUAAUAACUAAAAUAAUAAAGUUAAUAAAAAUAACAACAACAAUAAUAAUAAUAAUAAUAAAUGUUAAUGAUGAUGAUGAUGAUAAAUGUUAAUAAUGAUAAUAUUAGUAAAAAAAUAAUAACAGUAAUUAAUAAUAACUAAAAUAAUAAAGUUAAUAAUAAUAAUAAUAACAUUUAAAAUAAUAAAAUUAAUUGUGAUUUGAAUCAGAGUAAUUCGAAAAAUAUAAAAAAAUUAAAAUGAUACAAAAAUAAACAUAAAUUUUAUCCCCGUUCCCUCAUUUUCAUUCUCAAUUCCCCAUGAAAAUAGAAUUCCCAUUUCUUAUUUUCAAAUUACGGAAUCCCCAUAUUUUAUUAUCAUUCCCAAAUUAUAUUUUACCAAAUAAAUAUAAAUUUUAUUCAUAUUUUUUCAUUUCCAUUCUUUAAACCUUCAAGUAAACACAAUUUUCUUUUAAUUCGGGUUCUGGGCCUGAACCGAACCGUACCGUAAACUGCCCACCCUUACAGUAGUUUUCGGGGUUUUUAAUUAAAUAUGCCUUAAAAGUAGUGUAUUUAGUUAAAUAUACCCAUGUUUGAAAAUUAUCUAAGUAUGCCUUUUUAUGUGGUACAUUGUCUAAAAUAUCCCUAAAGAAAAAUAUAAAACACACACACAACUCACAACACUCUUUGCUUCUCACGUAUUUAUCAUCUAUACAAAAACUCACACCACACUCAAAAUCACUCACAAACAGCUAAUGCACUGAGUUUGUUUGCAGUUGGGUGUAUUAUUCAUCCCAUGAAUAAGGUAUUUGAAACUUUUUUUAUUUUAUUUUGGGCUAUCUAUUCAAUUUGUUGACAUUAUAUUAUUUUUAGGGUUUUGUUUGGUUUGUGAUAAACACUAAAGCAACUCAUAUUUUCAUUACAUUUGCAUCAUAUGACUGUUAUUUGAUGGAUUUUAUAACUACAUUCGUUAAAAUCUGAAGUUGUUGUCAAAUUUUUUUCUGCACCCGACAUACACGACAGCAGUCGUGUAUGUAUGUAUUUACAUGACUGUAGUCGUGAAAAUGUGCAAAAAAUUUCAAUUAUUAUGACACCUUAUUAUUCUAUUGGUUCAAAAAAUAUAUAUUUUUCACUAUAUAUAUCCUUUUACUAUUACUAUACUAUAGUCGUGUGUGUGAAUAAGUUACACGACUACUAACGUGUACGUAUAAACUUACAUACUAUAAUUGUUAAUAAGUUACACGACUACUAUGAACCUUAUAUACUUGUUAUUUUUUGUUGUUUUAAUUUUUUUAAUAUCUUUCAUAUUUAGUGAUAAAUUUUUACCUUUUUGUUUCGCAGAUGAAUAAACAUGUUUGUGUGACUUUCUAAGAACAAGUAUUGAAGGGAGGCGACCAGAGACUUAUAAAAUAUGGACUGAGUGUUUGGGUUGAAUAUGCCAAAAAUUUAUGAUGAAUGUUAAAUAACUUCUAUUAUAUUACGACUUAUUUACGAUUUCAAUAAUUAUUGGAUUUGUGUUAUUUGAUAGGCAAUCGAACUAUAGUUAGUUUCAUUUAUUUGAAGUUUGAUAUGUUUAAAAUCUAUAUUGAUUGUGUCAUCAAUAUAAUGAAUGAUUGAAAAGAAUUUUUAUUCUGUGCACAUACCCGAGUACAAUCGUGUAUUUUGGCUGUUACAAAACUAGUCAUGUUUAUUUCUAAAUACUCGACUACAGUCGUGUAUCUGUGCAAAUACUCGAUUAUCACAGAGAGUUUGUCAUAUUUAUUUCUAAAUACUCGACCAUAGUCGUGUAUCUAUGCAAAUACUCGACUACAGUCAAGUAUUUUGUCACAGAGAGCUUGUUAUUUUUAUUUGUAAAUACCCGACUACAGUCGUGUAUAUGUGCAAAUACCCAACUGCAGUCGAGUAUUUUGUCACAGAGCUUAUUAUGUUUAUUUCCAAAUACCCGACCGCAGUCGUGUAUCUGUGUAAAUACUCGACUGCAGUCGAGUAUUUUGUCACAGCUUAUUAUGUUUAUUUUUAAAUACCCGACCACAGUCGUGUAUCUGUGCAAAUACCCGACUACAGUCGAGUAUUUUGUCACAGAGCGUAUUAUGUUUAUUUCCAAAUACCCGACCGCAGUCGUGUAUUUGUGCAAAUACCUGACUGCAGUCAUGUAUUCUCUUACAGUGUAUUCCUUGUGUAUAUAUUGUGCAAACUAUCUUAUCUAUCAUUAAUAUAAAUAACAAAGAAAUAAAAUAUAUUAAUGCUGUCAAUUGUCUUUAAUGACAUCAAAUAUCAAUAACAUCCUCAUUACAACUAUUACAUCUCAUAAUCUAAAAAAUGACACUACAAAGUUUUUUUCCAUGACCUAUGCCCAAAUAAUUUUACAACCAAGGCUUGUCGAAAUUAUGUAACAUGAUUUUGUUGGCAUUAUGAAUUGACAUCAAGUCCAUGGACUAGGACCUCCAAGUACCGCAACAAAAAUGCUCCACAUUCACCACUAAAAAAAUUCAUAUAAAUCAAUUGUUAAAAAUCAUCAUUCUUAUUAUUAUGUUCAAAACACAUUAUAUAUAUAGUACAUACCCUGAUUUUUGUUGCGGGAUGUCACGCACUCGCACGAUGGGCCAAGGAAUUUUCGAAAUAACCUCACUACAGUCUGGAUGUGUUUCGUGAUAUGCUAUCUUCUGAAGUACUAGAGGUAUCAUGUCUGCAACAGGCAGCAAUUGUCUCACCAAAACUGAAUCCUUUGUUAAGUCUAUCAUGGAGUCAUAAAUAGAAAUCUUGCCCCCAAGUAUAUCGACCACACCGAGAACCCAAUGAUCAUUCAUGAAUAUUGGCAAAUACACCUACGAAAUACAGACAAUAUUCUUAACAAGUAACGGCAAAUAUAUCUACGAAAUGCUGUAACUGUUUUUAUCUACUUGCAGUUGAUUUAUUAAUAGUAUACUAUCAAUAGUUUUAUGCUAAAACAAAUAGCAAAUUGUUAAUAAAUUAGAAUUGUAAAAUAAAGGUUCUACAACAAAUAAUAGAGAAAACCCAGAUUGUAGCAUAAUGAAUGCAUACGCAGUUGAAGAAAAUUGAUAUAUAAUUCCCAUGGAUGAAGUUCAACUACAAACAAUAAGUAAAAUUAUAUAAAGAUCUAAUGCAUAAACUAGUGUAGCCAUAACCGAAAAUUCAUAAGGAUAAUAUUUAAUUAGGAACUCCCACAACCAUUAUUAAAGAGCUAUUAAUUCACUCUCUUCAAUUUCAAAUUCACAAGUUAAAGAAGCUUCAUUACAUUACCAACAAGAAAGAUUAUCAGUAAAUAAGCAAGAUAAUGACCAAAAUCAUGUGGGUAAUUUGUUUUUUAAAACCCUAUUGCAUAUAACCCUAACAAUUAUGCACCAUAAAUUCUCUUUAUAAAGUAAAAAAUAAGUGUAAAUGUGGUUAAUGACCUUUAGUUCGGUGAAUUUCCAGCCUUUAAUUCGGUGAUUUUGUAGCCUUUAAUGUGGUGGAUGAACUUGCAGCAGCAGGAGCAUGAACUUGCAGCAGCAGGAGCAUGAACUUGCAGCAGCAGGACAAGCGUUGUGUAUGGUAGCUCGUGAAUGCAGAUUUUGAAAUUUGAAGAAUUAAAUUGGGGUAAUUUUAUAAUUGCACAUUGAAAAAGGUAUAUAAAAAAAAUUUUGAAUUAUGGGGGUAUAGUUGGAUAAAUACCUAACCUUUAGGGUAUAGCGGGGACAAAUCCCUGGUAGUUUUCAUUAACCGACGUUGUACUGCUGGUAUGAAGUUGUUCAAAUGUUCAAAUCAGUCUCUCGCUUUCAGCUCAGUCAGAGUUUCCAGGUCCAGAGACUUCCCGCUGACUGAGAGCUUUUUUAGUAGCAGGUCUACAAAUAAAGGAAUAGAGCUGAUUUAAUGAUUAAUUUAUUUCCUUUUUCAAUUUCUUUUGAUUGCCAUUUAAUCUGGAUAAGUUAAACGUGAAUUAUUUAGUGCAGAUUAAAUGUUCGACGAAUUUCCCGCAAGAAUAUUAAGCUAAAGAGAAAAAAAGAAAACAAUUGAGCGUGAGCGGGAAUGGUGUUUGGCCAAGUGGUGAUUGGUCCGCUCGGCUCGGGAAAGACCACUUACUGCAAUGGCAUGUCUCAGUUUCUCCGCCUUGUUGGCAGGUAACUCCGUUUCUUGAUUUCAAGCAGCUUUAUCUUUGAUGGCCAAAAAAAUUGAUUUGGGCUUUGCCCAUUAAAUGAAUGUAAGAGCGGUAGGGAAUAACUGAGUUAUAGGAUUAGCUUUAAGUGAACAUUGAUGGUAACAUGCAUGUGAAUGUUGUAUGUGUUCAGCGGCAAGCUGUAUGCCAAUUUGGUCUAUAUGGUUGCUUCGGUGGUAACUUAUUAAUUUUUAUGCAGGAAGGUUGCAGUCAUCAAUUUCGAUCCUGCUAAUGAUAGUUUGCCAUAUCCUUUGUCGUUGAACUUUCUUACAAAUGCUGUGGUUUGUUGUAGUACAAUUAGUUCAAUCAGAAACUUCCUUGAUGUUAAUAUAGAUAUGAGUGUGCUGUGAAUAUUGAGGACUUCAUUAGACUAAGUGAUGUGAUGAUGGAGCAUUCACUUGGUCCCAAUGGAGGUUAGUCAGCCCAUUGUUGUUUACUCUUUCUUGCUUUAUCACGCAAUGAUAUUCCUUUGCUUUACAACAAAUUUCGUGAAAUUAACUUCAAUCAAGUGGCUAUGUUCAUACGCUGUUGAGAUUUUAUGGACAAAGAUUUGGUAGACUUUAUAUGCCGUCUUCUUUCUUUUUGCAGUGAUAUGUUUGUCUUCAAUGCACUUGUACUUGUUCUAUGGUUUCUAAAGUAGGUGUUUUUAUGAUAAACUAGGUCUUGUGUAUUGUAUGGACUAUCUAGAGAAGAAUAUUGACUGGUUGCAGUCGAAAUUGGAACCACUUUUGAAAGGUAAGAAGUGGCCAUUUUCCUUCAUUCUAAUGCCAAUAAUGCUGUCAUGAGACUCAUAAAAAUUGUUAAAAUGUUAAUGUUUUUGGUAUUUUGCAGAUCAUUAGCUUCUGUUUGAUUUUCCUGGCCAAGUUGAAUUAUUUUUUCUUCAUUCCAAUGCCAAGAAUUUUAUAAUGAGACUCAUAAAGAAGUUAAAUCUCAGUGUAUUGUUACAUCUUACGUCUAUGAAGGCACUCAAAGAGUUGAGAUGAAUUCAUCAUUGUUAUUUUGAUGCCAGAAUUGUGCAAUUCUCAGUUGCUUCCUUUCACAUGCAGUUGACUGCAGUGCAUCUAGUUGAUGCGCAUCUUGGCAGUGACCCCGGGAAGUAUGUUAGUGCUUUGCUUCUCUCAUUGUCUACGAUGCUCCAUCUGGAACUUCCCCAUGUCAAUGUCUUUUCUAAGAUCGACCUGAUUGAGAAUUAUGGAAAGCUAGGUGUGGUUUUAAGUGUAGCUCUCCUACUUGUUUGUUUAGUUUGAAAUAUCAGAUAUUGUCACAAGCUCCUAUCUGCUACGUUUCCUCACCAUUCAUUUACUUUGGGUAUGUUGCAGCUUUUAAUCUCGAGUACUAUAUGGAUGUGCAAGAUUUGUCAUAUUUACAGCAUGCCUUGGGUCAGGACCCUCGUUCUGCUAAGUACAGGUUUGAAUUCUAGCUGAAUCAAUGAUGCAAAUUAUGUCCAUUGCUAUUUCUGACUAUUGUUUCUAUCAUUUUCAAUUGUUACCUCCCCUUUCCAUCUACUGCCACACUACAAUGCCCACACAAAUAUCAUGAAAUUUUUCAAUGGAAAUGCCUUUCUGUUUGUCCAGAGACAGCUCUUAGAUGCAAGUGACCAAUUUUUGGCUUUGGCCAUGUUACAGCCUUAGAUUUCAAUUUGCCAUAUCUUGUCUCGGAAGUCAAAAGAAAGCAUAUUUGUUAGCCAAAUUUUAUUUGAAUUUCUUGUGUAACAAUGAAUGGGGGAAAAAAAAAAGUUCCUCUUUUGUUUUGAUCAGACUCAAUGAAUAAGUGGUUAAAAUGUGCCUGUACUAGAAAUAUAGAUGUGAGGUUUCAUAAAAUUUUCUUAAUCUUAAGAAAGAGUUAUCUUGAAAAGAAGAUAACAUGGAGAAUUCAACAACUAUACAGUCAUAUUGAUGUCUGUCAACUUGGGUCAUAUGGUGUUGUUUGGAUGGAGAUGUUAGGUCCCAGAUGGUAUACUUGUUAUCAAAUUCCAGUCUACUUCAUUCAUGCUUUGAUGACAUAUGCGGUGCAGCUUCUUAUCUAAGACCUGCAUAUGUUACAGUCAACAUUCUGUUCUGUAACUCAACCUCAGGAAUCUGCUUGUAUGGUGUUCUUCUAAUUUCAAAUGGAGAUAAGUAAUAUCUGUUGUUCAAAUAUAUUUUAUUUACAAGCUGUUAAUAAGUCUGCUUGCAGAAAGCUUACAAAGGAGCUGUGUGAUGUAAUAGAAGUCUACAGUCUGGUCAAUUUUUCAACCUUAGAUAUUCAGGUCAUCAGUUUCUCUUGAAUUCUUUCUUGAGUUUCUUUGAAUUAUUUGUGAAUAAGAUCUUAGUUGGCUGCUUCUCUUCAGGAUAAGGAAAGUGUGGCAAAACCUGUGAAGCUGAUAGGUAAAAGCAAUGGGUACAUCUUUGCUGGCAUGGAUGCCAGUGCAGUUGAAUUCAGCAAGAUUGCCAUUCGCGAUGUUGAUUGGGAUUAUUUCAGAUAUCCUUCUGUUCACUUAUUUUGAAUCUUGUUAUUCUCAUAUUCAUAAAACUUUUUGGUUAUUAUUAUGGUUCAUCAUAUGCAUCUACAUCUUCUAACUUGUUCGUUUGAGAAACUAAUUUUGCCGUUAGGUAGGCUUCAAGCUUGAUUCAUGCUUUUUUCAAAAAUGUACCAAAAUCAUGGAAACUUCUUUUUCCCAGAUAUUGUAUCCACACUUUUCCCAUAUAAUUGGGUCAGACAAGUUUUGCUUAACAAAGAUAUCUACAGUAGCCGAAGUGCUGGAGAAGUACAUUAAGGAUGAUGACGAUGUUAACUAAAAUGGGACGUGAAGAUAUGUGGUGUGCAAACCGUAAGCCUGCCUCUUAUUUUUGUGCAUGUUUACUUGCUUGUGAUUCACGUUUGUUAAUCUAUUUUGCUCUCUUGCAGGAGUUAUAAAGUUUUCAAUCAAUCAAACAUUUUAACUUAAGUCCUUAGCUCUUCACGGCUUGAAUGGGUCAGAUAGGACAAGCGCCGAAGAGGUGGUUUUAAUCAAACCCCUCCUAAUUAUGAUGUAUGGCCCGAAUCUCGGACUUUUUUUACAAUAUCAAGCGAUUUUUUUUAGUUGAAUCGGCUAGUGUACACAAAUGUCGAUUAUUGAUUUUUCUUUAGUAUUGUUUGUAAUUACAAGAAACGAAGUAAUGAAAUUUAUCAGUGCGUUCAUAGUUACGCUUAAGCUCAAAGAUUACCGUCAAGAUCAUCAACCUGCUGAUGAUCUGAAGCUUCCAUAGAAAAAGGAACCGGACAAAACCCAAGAGAGAGAACAAAAAUAAAUUAAUUAAAAAAAAAGAAGAAAAAUUGCCAAAGCUACUGGUCAGUUGACAUCAAUCUUUUGCACGUGGGAUGGAAAUGGAACACUGGGCACUUUGGAUGACUCAUAACUCACAAGAGAGCAUCGAAUUUAGGCCGAAUCAUAUAAAGUACGCUAAGCCUUAGUGCGUGCGCUGUUGCGUUGCUGUGUCUGCCGGUGAGAAUAAUUUUUCGUUUUUAAGGUAAUUUUCAUUUAUUUAUUUAUUUUUUUGGUGCAUAUGGUCGAACACUUGGUGGGCACCUCAGUUUUUGGAAUGUUCUCUUCAAUGAAUACAGGGAAAAAGGGACAAAAAUUAAGAACUUUAUUUUGUUCGCGUGGAAUCGAUAUCUGGAUUGGGAUUGUAUGUCGUGUUUAAUUUGAAUUGGUUGAUUCCUCUAAUGAAUUAUUUGAUAAAUUUAGUAGCAGUAUUUGGUGGCAAAAGUAUCAUUAAUUUUUGGAAAUAUGAUUAUAUUAUUAAUUAUUUUAGCAUUCUAAAAAGUCAAUGGUUAUGUUGGAAAUACUCUAAGGUAGACUAGAGUACAAAUCACAAUCACACAUAAAAAGUGAUAAAUAAUAAAAAAUAUAUUAUAUUUUUGAUCAUAUGAUUAUGAAGAUGUAUUUUACCUUAAAGAAGUUAUAAUAAGCGAAUUCUUUUAAAAAAGAAUAAAAUUUCUUUUUUAUCAUACUCAACCGCUUCAAACUUCUAAGAAGUAGAUAUACAAUGAGUGGAAUACUGAAUUGAGUGCGAGCUGCGGAUAACAUAUAAAAUUGGGAUACAAGCUUCAAAGAAAGUGUAUUGCUAUUCAAAUGUAGAUUUCAAAUUAAGAAGAUAUGCCAGCAAAUUGUAUAAAAAUGUAUAAAUUGAUCAGUAACAUUAAUUCCAAAUGAUGAAAUGAGUUAUCUUGAUCAAAAGGUCAAGAACCUACCUUACUUCUCUUAGAGAUAACUUGCAUCAACCGUUGUGGUAUUGAUACUUGUCUUCAGCUAGUAAAAGUGAAAGUUUCACAAUUGAAAUAAAGCUAAGGGAAGAUGCUAUGCUCCAUUUAUUAUUAUUAUUAUUGACGUGGUCGAGAAGUAAAGCCGUGCAUAUGAUGAAGUAUAAAUAAGAAUGCAAUAGCCCGGAAUUCAUUUACACAAACACUUCAAUAUCCUUUUGAUCACUUUUGCAAACAUCAAUUUGUCUCCUCUUGUAUUCACCAUGGUUGAUGCCAUCGUUUCCACUGUCUUGGAGCAGCUGAUUUCCUUCGCUGCUAAAGAGAUAAAGCAACAGGUGAUCGAAGUUACACCCGCAUAUUAUAAACACUUCUAAUGAUUUUAGUUGGUUUCCUUUUUAUCGAAAACAUUAUUUUUGCUUUAUUUUAUUUAUUUGGCAAUUUUAAAUUUGGAAAUUUGAAUUGAAUUUAAUUAAAAUGUGAUGUAGUUAGUAACCACUUAUUUUUAUUUUAUUUCAUUUAUAUUCUCAAUAACUACUCAUAUUUUGGUAACUUACUAUAACUUCCAUAUCUAAGAAAUUAUCAAAACCCACAAUUUUAACUCAGCACGAAUAUUCAAUGGUGAUCUAAGCUUUUGCAGAACACUCAAGUUUGUCAAACAUUCAUUAAUUCAAUGUUUAGUGAAAAAAACUCUUCUCAGCACAGAAUUCCAUGUCCAUUACUUAGGCUCUCUGAAAAAUUUCAUAAUUUUCAUACAUUCUUUGAGUUUGGUAAGUGAUUUCAUAUAAUUUCUUUUCAAGUUAAAUUUUAAUUUGGCUUCUGAUAUAGUCUCUUUGUUGAAUUUGUAUCUCUUAUGAUUCUUAGAUUUUGGGCUCCAACUUUUGAGGAUAUGAUAGUCACAUUUUAUGCUAUGCUCAGAUUGAUUUUUAUGAUUUUUUGUUCCCGUUAAGUGACUUAGAAUUUGACAAAAGUUUGAUAGGAAAUCUGUUUCACGAUUUUGUUUUAAUUGACCUUUUAGUGGAAAUAAGAUGCUUAUAACUUAAUGUGGAUGGUUUGUAAAAUCAUGAAAUUUGGAUAAUAUAAAUUUGUACGAGACUCUCCAUAAUAUUUCAUGAUUUUUCAUUAGCUCUGGGGUGUUACAGGUGCUACUUGUGACUGGUGUCAAAAAAGAAGUGAAAAAAAUUACCAACCACCUUCAAGCCAUUCAAGCUGUGCUCGAGGAUGCAGAGGAAAAGCAAGUGACGGAAACAGCUGUCAGACUUUGGCUGGGUAGGCUCAAGUCCGCAUCCUACGACAUUGAAGAUGUGUUGGAUGAGUGGAUCACAGCAAGAGGCAAAUUGCAAAUUAAGGGCAGCGUUUAUGACAAUGCUCUUGUUGCUCCUAAUCAGAAGAAGAAGGUAUGUUCCUGCUUUCCUGCCUCUUGCUUUGGUUUCAAACAAGUCAUUUUGCAUCGUGACGUAGCUGUCAAGAUCAAAGAAAUCAAUGAAGAGCUGGACGAUAUUGCCACUCAAAAAGACAUGUUUAAAUUUGUUGGGAGUGUCAGUAAAAGUAGUGAAAGACCAAGACGUGUGCAGAGUACCUCCUUGAUUGAUGAGGAAGAGAUUUGUGGUAGAGUUGGUGAGAGGGAUGCACUCUUAAGCAUGCUGUUGUGUGAGAGCAGUGAGCAACAAAAAGGCCUUCAUAUCAUCUCAAUUGUUGGUAUGGGAGGCAUCGGGAAAACUACUCUUGCACAACUAGCUUGUAAUCAUGACAAGGUGAAGAGUCAGUUCGACAAAAUUUUAUGGGUGUGUGUAUCAGAAACUUUUGAUGAGUUUAGGAUUGCCAAAGCGAUGCUUGAAGCUUUGACUGGUUCAACUUCUAAUUUAGAUGCAUUGCAAUCUCUUCUUAUAAGUAUUGACGAAUCUAUUGCGGGAAAGAGGUUUCUUCUUGUCUUAGAUGAUGUGUGGGACGGAGAUUACAUUAAAUGGGAACCAUUCUACCGUUGCCUAAAGAAAGGUCUCCAUGGAAGUAAAAUUGUAAUUACCACACGUAAUGAGUCAAUUGCCAGCAUGAUGAGAUCCGCAGAUAUUAUCUCUAUCAAGGAAUUGGCUGAAGAAGAAUGUUGGGCAUUGUUUAAGCAGUUAGCAUUUUUCGGUCGAUCCACUGAGGAGUGUGAAAAAUUGGAACAAAUUGGUCAAAGAAUUGCAAGAAAGUGUAAAGGUUUACCUCUUGCUGCAAAGACAAUGGGAAGUCUCAUGAGCUCUAAAAAAACUGAAGAAGAGUGGAAAAGAAUUUUAAAUAGUGAUUUAUGGAAGGUAGAAGAGAUUGAGAAAGGUGUUCUAACCCCUUUGUGGUUGAGUUAUAACGAUUUGCCAUCUAGAGUAAAAAGAUGUUUCUCGUAUUGUGCUGUCUUUCCAAAAGACUACAAUAUAGAAAAAGACAAACUAAUUACUUUGUGGAUGGCUCAAGGUUAUCUUAGUGCAGAAGCAGCAGAACAAGAUGAGGAGUUGGAGACUAUAGGUGAAGAGUAUUUUGGCAUCUUAGCUUCUCGCUCUUUCUUUCAAGAGUUUGAGAAACGUUAUGAUAAUCGUAUUAUAGCGUGCAAGAUGCAUGAUAUGGUACAUGAUUUUGCCCAAUUUGUUAGUCAAAAUGAAUGUUUUUCGUUGGAAGUUAAUGGUAGUGAGGAACUAAACGUCACAAACUCUACAAACUCUCUUGAUGAGAAGGUCCGUCAUUUAAUGUUAAUCUUUAGUAAAGGGACUUCAUUACCUGUUUCCACUCGUAGAGUUAAAAGAAUGCGUACCCUCUUAAUUAACGAUAGUAGAUCUGAUCAUUCAUUAUUAAAUGGUGAGAUCCUAGAAGAAUUAUUUAGGGAAUUGACAAGUUUAAGGGCAUUAGAUUUUGGCAAAUCGUAUAACUCAAGUUGGUCUUCGACUGUGGAGAUUCCGAGAACCAUAGAAAAGCUGGUACAUUUAAGGUACCUGAAUUUGUUUUAUCAGGGAAUAAAGAAACUACCGGAGACAUUAUGCGAGUUGUAUAAUCUAGAAAAGUUAGAUAUUAGUAUAUGUUUUAAUCUUAAAGAAUUACCUGAAGGGAUUGGGAAGUUAAUAAACAUGAAGCAUUUACGAAAUAGAGGUACUAGUUCUUUAAGGUACAUGCCAGUAGGGAUUGGGAGAUUAACGGGUCUCAGGACCUUGGAUGAGUUCCACGUGAGUGGAGGAGGAGGUGUUGAUUGUAGGAAAGCAUGUAGGCUUGAAUCUCUCAAAAACUUGGAAAACCUUCGAGUGUGUGGUAUACGUAGACUGGGUGAUGUAUCAGAUGUGGGCGAGGCUAAGCGAUUAGAACUUGACAAAAAGAAAUACCUCUCUUGUUUGAGACUUCGGUUUGAUAAGAAGGAGGAAGAAGAAGGAGAAAGAAGGAAGAACGAGGACGAUCAACUUCUUCUUGAAGCCCUACAACCACCUCUCAAUUUAAAGGAAUUAGAGAUAGAGUACUACCGAGGCAACACUGUUUUCCCCAGCUGGAUGACGUCAUUAACCAACUUAAAGAGUUUAGAUCUCUCUUCCUGCGAAAAUUGCGAGCAGCUGCCUCCUUUGGGAAAAUUGCCAUCCCUUGAAGCACUCAGCCUAUGGGACAUGAAGUGUGUGGAAAGAGUGGGUGAUGAAUUUUUGGGGAUAGAAAGUGAUCAUCAUGGCUCAUCUUCAUCGGUUAUUAUUGCCUUCCCCAAAUUGAAAUCACUUUCAAUUGAGUUUCUGCGCGAAUUGGAGGAGUGGGAUUAUGGGAUUACAAGAACGGGAAACACCGUCAUCAACAUCAUGCCACGUCUUUCUUCCUUGACAAUUGCUCAUUGCCCCAAAUUAAUGGCACUGCCCGACCACUUUCAUCAAACAACAACAUUGAAGGAAUUGCACAUUUGGGAGUGCAGGCUUCUGGAAGAACGUUACCGCAAAGGGGAAGGAGAAGACUGGCCUAAGAUAUCACACAUUCCCAACCUCCGUAUUGGGCUUUGACAAGUAAUUUCUUCUCUUACUCUGAUUUGCUUUGUUGUUGUUUUUAAUCUAAUUAAGAAGCGUAAAUAGCAUUUUGAAUCAAACUCUAUAUCAGAAAUCUGCAAUACUUACUUUCUAAUAUUCUGAUUUUCAUAUCCUAUGAAUAUACAAUUUUUAAUUUGUGAGAUGGGUAACGUUACUGUAAAAGAUUAUUAAUGCAAUAUGAGUAAUUCUUUUGCAGGACAAGUGACCUACAUUUAGUUUGGCUUUGGAGUUGAAUAAUAACCUUUCGAGGUCCCGACAACCAAAAAACGAAGCUUAAUUUGCCACAGAUUGCACGUAUUGCCAUUAUUGACAAUUUUCUGCACAAGCUUAGGUUGAUUUCAAAAGAGGUAAAUUAUUGGCAUGCCUGACUAUUUUGACCAUUACAUGAUUCAUAAGUUUACAUUAAUUUUGAUUUUGAGUUGAGUGAUUAGUUUUUAUACCCGGAAUAUGCAAAAGUUUCUAAUAUUUUAUUUCCAUCUGUUACAAGAUCAAACUGAAGUAGAACUCAAACAAAAGUAUGCUACUUCUUGCGGAAAUCUUGCCUUUGUUCAGAUUAUGAAACCAUUUCCAUGCAGCAAAUUCAUCCAAAAGUUUGAAUAAGUUUCAUGGUUGGACACUGUUGGCUUCUUUUUCUUCUGGGGUGCAUUUAGGUGCUAUCAAGUGACAGCUAAGUAUGAUUGCACUAAGCUGCCGCUGGGAAAUUUGAGGUUUUGAUGGCUGCCCAUGUUAUUUUCAAGAAACUAUUGAUGUAAGAAGCUGUGGUUCUUUUCAUCAGCUUGAACCUGAAACUGUCGCUAUGGAUAACUCAGGUUUUUGUUAUCAACUAUGUUGAUGCGAGAUUCCGGUUCUCCUCGUUCUACGACCAGGAUCUCUGCUCGAUCAACUUCACCACGACCAGGAGGUCUCCUAGUAAUGCUUCUUCUCCAGAUGUCCCUGCACACACAGACAAGUCAGAGUACGCCGGUUGUUCUCCCGGCGCAAACCCUCCGACGCUCAAGUCAGAUAUGAAGGUUCGGGGAACGCUUGCCACAGGUCUUAUGGCUUUUUCGUGGUUUUCUCUUUUAUCUCAAAAAUGCUAACCCUUUUACCUUCGUUGGCUACCUUUUUAUAGGCUUCCUCUGAAUCCCAGUUUUCCGCUUUUUUCGAGACGGUCUGGGGCUCUGACUGCUGCGUUAUGGGCAAACGUGGGAUCUUGCGUGUUACGCCACGGUUCAGGGGAAAGCGUGGCUGUCGUGGUUCUGUGAGAUCUUGUGUGUUACGCCACGGUUCAGGGGAAAGCGUGGCUGUCGUGGUUCUGUGAGAUCUUGCGUGUUACGCCACGGUUCAGGGGAAAGCGUGGCUGUCGUGGUUCUGUGAGAUCUUGCGUGUUACGCCACGGUUCAGGGGAAAGCGUGGCUGUCGUGCCUAGAUUCUUGGGCUGGAGAGUAUGUCUUGCCAACUGCCGUCGACCGGGUCUCCUCGCCUCUCGACCUCUAGCCGGAAUGGCCUUAUGCCUCUUAUAGGAAAUUGGCCUAGCGGAUGACAACAUCGUGGACGAGCAGGAUACUUCUGCUCCUGUUCUGAUGGCUGCCCAUGUUAUUAACACACCGGUUCACAGAACUCCGCUGUGGUUCUUUUCAUCAGCCUGGUCUCGUCGACGUAUUUAUGGAUAACUCAGGUUUUUGUUACAAACUAUAUCAUCUUUUUCACUAUUUUGAAACUCUUAAGAUUAAACUUUAGUAAAGUUGUUUCAGCUAUUCAAAUGAAAAACUCAUUGAUUUGAGACUUCCUUCAUUAUUGUUUCUAAUUACAGUGCUAACGAUCCAGAUAAAAUAAUAUUUAAUCGGCGAAGGUGUCCCUUGGAAGUACAUCCUUCUUUUUCUUUUAUUAUAUAAAUUCUUGCAAUGAGCUUAGUGAAGCUGUUGUGCUAAUCAUGCCACUGCAUAACUUGGCCCCUAAUGUGGGUACUCUGUUACAUUGUUCUGCAAAUUCUCCAGAAGUUAAAAUCAAUAAAUUUUCUAUUAGCUCUAGUGCUUUGACCUAAAUGCUAUUCUAUAUUCUGAUUACAAUGUUUUAACCUUUAAAUUAACUACCCCUAGAUGUUGGAUUUUCUAGAACUUCAAAAUGAUUAAUGGAGAAAGAUCCCAUUAUCGUUAUUGCUAUAAGAAAUUGAUUUAUGCAUCCAAAGAUACAUUAUAUAUUUCUGUGUCUCUAUUUAUGGAUGACAUUUAAUCAUCCAUAAACUGUCAGACAGAGGAAGGGGGUUCAGUGCAAAGAUUCUGUUGACCUAGGGUUGACUGCAUAUGUCACUUGUUCGCAAUCUAUUAUUUAUUUUAUAUUUUGAAGAAUUUAAUGGGUAAUCCUAAUUGUUUGUUUUGGCAGGUUUGUGUUGUUAUCUCCUUCUAUCUUACAGUCGUACCUAAAUAGCAUAGUUUCAUCUGUGUUACCAUGUGAUGUACAUAAUUUCACAUUUGCCUCAGAUUAAGCUUAAUUUCCCACAGAAUAGAGCUGUCGCGACUGGACUUAGGUUGAUGUCCAAAGAGGUAAAUUAUUGGCAUGCCUAGAUAAUUUGGCCAUUUCCUAAUUCAUAAGUCUACAUUAAUUUUGAUUUUGAGUUGACUGAUUUCUUUUCAAGGUCUGCUUCCUUAACGGAGUGACCAAUGUUUUUCAACUAAAUUUAUCAUAUGAUGCAGGAAGCAGGGCAGGAUAUGAAAUGAGAAGCUCAUUGGUGGAAGUAUUUCCAGUAGCAGAACCCAAUGAAAAUGAAACUAUUUCAAGGCAGCAGUUGGCAGUUGCAAGUGAAUGGAGGCCCUGACAAAAUUCUCAAGCGGUUGCAAUGCAAUUACGAUCAUCCUCAGCCUCAGGUAAUUUCUUCUCCUGCUCUGUUUUUAUCUGUUAUCUAAUUAAAAAGCAUAAAGUAUCUUGAAUCACUUUCUGUAUCUGGAAUAUAUGCAGCAGUUUCUAAAAUCUUCAUAUGAGUGUAAUGAUGGUAAUUUCUGUUUUUUGUCUGUCUUUGAAUGUUAGACAACUUUCAGUGAGACUCUUGAACCGAGACAUUUUUGACAAAUGAAGGACAAUUGCUGAAGAGUGGGAAUGGUGCUAGAUUGGGGAAUAAAGACAAAGGAGGUAAAUUAUUUGCAGUUUAUUCAGCAUUAUUUGCUUUGGACCAGCGCCUGAUUCACAAGUCUCCAUAAUUUGGCUUUUGACCAGUUGUUAAUAAAUUUUUUUAUUCCAUUGGUGCUAAAUGUACACGUGAAGCAGGCAGAGCAGGACUGUGGAAAUGAGAAGGUUUUUAGUGAAAGCUUAAACUCAGGUAAUUCUAAAAAGUACAUGUUUUUGCUGAUUUAUCUAAAUCAGGAAAUUUUAUUUCCAUCUGUUACAAGAUAAAACAGAAACAGAACACAAAGAAAAAUAUUCUACUUCGUGUGGCAAUCUUGCCUUCAUUCAGACAAUGAAACCAUUUCCUUUCACCAAUUUCUUCCAAAAGUUUGAAUAAGUUUCAUGGUUGGACAUAGUUAGCUUCUUUUUCUUUUGGUGCAUUUAGGUCCUAUCAAGUGACAGCCAUAAGUAUGAUUGCAUUAUCGGGAAAUUUUAGAUUUCGAUGGCUCCCCAUGUUAUUGCCAAGAAAGUCCUCAUGUCAGAAGCUGCGGUUCUUUUCAUCAGCCUGAACCCGAACCUGUCGUUAUGGAUAACUCAGGUUUUUGUCAUCAACUAUAUCAUCUUUUUUACUGUUUUGAAACUCUUAAGAUUAAACUUCAGUAAAGUUGUUUCAGUUAUCCAUGUAAUCAGGCUAAGGAUAUUUAGCAGCUUAUUUAGGCAACUGCCAGAAUUCAGUUUGUUCGCUCGAAACUUGUAUGGUGACAAGGAUACUGGCAAGGAUAGUGAGAUAGUUUUUUGUGUGAGUGAAAUUUGAAAGCUUGGGUGUUCUGGGAUUUGCAAUUGCAAUCAUCCUCUGAGUCAGGUGAUUUCUUCUUCUGCUCUGUCUUUAUUUUCUCUCUAAUUGAAAGCAUAAAGUAUUUCAAUCAAAUUCUGUACCAGGAAUACGUAAAAGUUACUAAUAUUUUAUUUCCAUCUGUUUGCAUAGAUAACUUGGCGGCAUAUGUUCUAGUUAAAGAACAAACAGAAACAGAGUUCAGGAAAAAGUUUCUUCGGCCACCAUAUUUGAAAAUGAAACCAUUUCCAGGAAGCAGUUGGCAGCAAAUUCAUAUGGAGUGUAGACAAUGAUGAGCAAAAAGGUGAUUCGCAAUUUCUUUUUUUUUUUAAGUGAAAUUAUUUGUUAGAUUGAAGCUGAUAUUGUAAGAAGGCCAUUGAGCUAACCUAUGUCGCCACUUGCCUAGAUUGCAGGGGGUCAAGACUCAAAAGAAGCACUGAAAUUUAAAAAGCAUGCAAUAGUUCUUUUACCAUGUGUCAAUUAAUGCAAGUUUGAAUAAGUUUAUUGGCUGAACGAUGUUAGCUUCUUUUCCUUUCGUGCACUUUGGUAUGCUAUCAAGUGACAGCCGUAUGUAUGGCUUGCAUAUAGCUGCUGCUGGGAAAAUUGACGAUUUCAUGGCUGGCCGUGUUAUUGUCUUAAAUUAGUUGUGAUAAGCUGUUGCUUGGAGAUUCUGUUGCCAAGACUUUGCUCACAUCAGAAGCUGUGGAAUCUGAACCCUUCGUUAUGUAUCAUCUUUUUCAUUGUUUUAAAACUCUCAGGAUUAAACUUGAGCGAAUUUGUUCGGUUGUCUAUAUAAUCAUGUAUUGAGUAAACUCUCAGGAUACUGAGCAGGCAAAUGUUAUAACUCGGUUUGUUAGCCAAAAACUUGUUGAAGAUUCUUGACAAAGCUGCAUCAAGUGAAUUGUCGGAGCUCUGAGGGUGAGAGAAAUUAGAGGAUUUGGAUUUGUUAGGAAGUUAUCAUAUUUAUUUUUAUUUUUUUAUUUUUCCCAGAAAAUCUUCUGGUGGUGCUAUAUUUUCAAACGACAGUCCGAUUCAAAACUUGAUAUUCCAAUUAUAUUCAUAAGCUUCUAUAGUUAUCUUCAAAAAGACAAAUGGAAGGCUUUGAACGGCUUGGGUCUGAGUAUUGUAGUUUGAUUUAUUUUGAUGAAAGUACCUUUUGACAUUGAGAUUCUUUCUUGAGUUAAACAUUCUUUUUAAAACCAACUUAUUAAAAAAAAAGUAACUAACAUAUAUUAUUUUGUUAGUGCUUUUUAAAUCAAAUAUAAAAAAGAGAACUGUAAUUCUUAGCAACCAAUUUUUCACUGAGUACAGCUACAACAAACUAUUAAAAAAUAAAGUGAUAGAAAAUGCCUGAUUUUUCGUACUUUCUAAUUACUUUUGGUCCUAAAAUAUGGCGAUUUGUGUAAUAAUAAGCCCAUGUAUAUCUUUAUGCCAUUAGUUUGAUAAAUAGCUAUCAAGGAUAACUUAUUAAGCUAAAAAUAUUUGAAGGAUAAAUUGGUAAAACUAAAAGGGUGGAGUAAUAAAACAACAGCUGCAGAUCUCGAAUGCAUCUUCAUUACAGUAUGUUCCAAGGAAGUGUAAUGCCAUAGCUCAUGCUAUAGCAAAAGUGGCUCUGGAUUUUGAGAAUUCUGUUAUAUGGCUGGAAGAGUUUCCAGUCCAGAUCAUGAUGUUACUCUCAAAUUUUAUCAAUUAGAAAGCUUUACUUUCUUUUCAAAAAAAAAAAAAAAAACAAGAAUUUCCAAUUACCUGCAAAGUCAGCUGCGAAGUUAACUCCUGAGCUGAGAAGGUGGCCUAGCAAAGUCUCUGGGCCCAAUAAAAAUGUGCUUUUUGCAGUAAAACAGUGUGUCCGUGGGAGAAGGUAGCAGCGGAAAACCAAGCCUCUCACAAGACAUGUUUCAAGUGCUCACAUGGUGGUUAUUCCAUUAGCCCGUCAAAUUACGCAGCCCUAGAAGGCAUCUUGUAUUGCAAACAUAAUUUCUCCCAAUUGUUCAAGGAAGAAGGCAGCUACAACCACCUUAUAUCAAAUCUGCUUCCAUGAAGCGUGCUGCAGUCUCUGUUCAAGAAGCUUGAACAUGUUAUGUUAUCUUCCAUAAAUCUUAUUUGGCGUGGGUUUUCUCUGGCUUGAGGGUGUGCUUUCUAUUUUGAUCCCUCUUGUUGUUUUUGCGGGGAACUACCAAACCUUCGGUUCCCUCUGCUUCUUUGGAUCAUCUUUGUUGGGACAAAUUUCAUGUAAUUAGAGAUACUGAUUUAUGGGAGGCAUAAUCCCAUGGUCGUAAAUUGACCAUUUUCUGGCAAUGUUCUUUUUAAAAAGAGAUGAGCAGUUGUUUAAAAAAAAAAAAAAAUAGCUUGCCUUCAUCAUUGUAUGUUACCAAAGUGCUAUGUAUAGCUGCUGACUAUGAGCAUCCGAAAAUGGUGCAUCGUGAUUCAUGUAGUGCAAUAUGGCUACCAACGCAUCCUAAAUGGAGUAUUACUCAGUUAGGGUGUGUUUGGGAUUGAGGUUCUGUAGCUUUUAAGCUACAGCUGUUGUGAAAAAAAAGCUGUAAUUAUGAAACAAAAGUUAAUAAUAUAUAGUAAAUAUAAAUUUUAAAUAAUAAUUUUGAUAAGAUUAUUAAAGAUAUAAUAAAUUUUAUAUUAUACAAGUGAAAAAUAAUAUCAACAUAGCUUAAAAGCUACAGCAGUUAGUGUUUACCAAACACUUUAGUGCUGUAGUUUUUAAGCUAUAACUGCCCAACCUCAAUCCCAAACGCACCCUUAGUCAGCAAAAUAAGACAACAUAACUGAUAUUAAAAAAAAAACUACAUUAAUAAGUGGGCAAGAUCAUGCCAGUUUAACUUUUCGCGCGUCGCUGCUGGAGAUAAUCAAAUCAGGGCAGAGAAAAGGAGAAUGGAAUCAGAGGCUAAGAUUAAUAAGUGGGCUUCUGCUUGCUUUGCCCCUCUUUCUUAAACGAUUGGUAGACUGCUGCUUCCACCGAUUAACCGGGUCUUCAACCACUGCUUUUACUGCCUGCCAUCUUGUUGUUUGUCGAAGGGAUGAAUUCGAUUCGAAAAGAGAAAGCGCGCUGAAAAAGAUAAAUCACUAGUGGUUAACUGCUGACUCAGCCAAGUGUUGGCUUCACUUGAUUCACCGAUUGAGGUUAUUUUGUCUUCUAUCUAAUGCAGCGAAGAAGCUUUGCUGCUUAACAUGCUGCAAUGCAACUUUAUCCUUUGAAGUUCACACUUCAGGGCUGGGCACUUUAUGUAAUCCUAUGAGUAAAAAGAAUUUGUUUUCAAAUGUGAAAAAAGAAAAUGUAAGGUAGUAACUAAAUAUAUUAUAGCAUCCAAGCAAGAUUUGAUAUGAAUUUAGUACAACAAAGAACAUCAAAUCUGUGAUUCCUUGUCUAAUGUCACCAUCGAGCAACAAAUUUAAAAGCCUACCUAUCAAAUACACGAGGCAAUAAACGGAGAAAAAUUUGAAUUACAAGAACAAGUUUACAAUUCUUGUCAAUGGUUAAUGAUUCGUGAACUGAGAUAGCAUUCAAGAAUCCAAUUUCAAUACAACAACGUAAAAGAUAAACAGAUGAUGAAUUUAUGAGAUAAAGAAGGAGAUCAUGUUUUAUCGUAUCUCUAUUUUCUUUCUUUUUAAAUUUAAAAUAAGCUUUUCAACCGGUUUGUUAACCGGUUAUAAUAUUUUUUUAAAAUAAUUAAAUAUUUUCAUUAUUAAAAAUAAUGUGUACCGUUGAUUAUAUCUAACGGUACAUAUUUCUUACACUACUAAUACCGUAAAAAAAAAUACAGCAUCAUAGAGGGACCCUUAAAACAUUUUCAUUUGAAAUUAUUUGGUGUAGUAAAAAAGUUAAGAAAGAAAUAGUUGUCCCUUUGGUCAUUUCACAAAAAUGAAAGCCCCAUAAAAGAUAAACAGAUGAUGAAUUUUAUGAGAUAAAGAAGGAGAUCGUGUUUUAUCGUAUCUCUAUUUUCUUUCUUUUUAAAUUUAUGAGAUAAAGCGGUUGGUCCAGUUACGGUGUUAUGCUAACGGGUUUAAAGGUUCCGAUCCAAUGAGUUAGGGUGGAAUAUGAAUAUAUAAAUUCCAUAGCUAAGGACUAGGAUUUGUUUGUUCAUAUCAAGAAAAAAGAUCUGAAAAUUUGAUGAUCAGAAGAUAAAAACACUUAAACACGUUUAUUUCAGAGAAACAAACGACAACAUGAUACUAGUAGUAGUUAUUCUUUUCAUCCGAUAUAUUACAUUGUAAUAUCACUACUCGUUCCACUGGUUUCAUAUACACCAUCGACCAGCAACAUGAUAAUUUCGUGUCAGUUCAUUUUGUUUGUAGGAAAGAGCAGUGUAUUUCUUAGAGCUUGAAAAUAAUAAAAAGAUUUUAAAAUAUAAAUUGCAUAUUUGUUUAUUACUGUUGUUUGGUCUAAUUUCUUAUGUAGAAUUGCUUGUCAUUCUUUGGACGUUAUUGAUUAUAUUUUUGUCAGACUUGGCGUAUACAUUCACAUACGUUUUAUUUUGUCAUUUUGUAGAACAUUUUUACACGCCAUAUUAUCACGACUCUUCUGUGUCUGAAUAAGAAGAAAGCAUAAUGCGACCCUCCAACAGCUUAAUCUAUGGAAUUAUCGUGUUUUGUAAGUUGAGGUCCAAUGGCGUUUUGGCACAUCAUAUGAUAGACCACUAUAUUGCGUUGCUUUACAAAAGAUUAAUAUUUUUAAAAUUAUUAACUCAUGAUAUGAUAGUCCAGGUUUUCGAGGACCACUAUAUUGUAUUGAUUUUUAAAAAAAAUUAAUAUUUUUUAAUAUUAAUAUUCUAAAUUAUAUUCAGUUAAAAUAUUAAAUAUUAAAUACAUUCUUAAUAUUAAUACUCUUAGAUGAAAUUCUUUUGCUGACUUAAGAAUAAAAUAUUAAAUAAUUUUAUUUUUCUUUUAUUGUGUAACGUGGACCCAAAAAAAAAAGGAAAUGAAUUUAAUAAAACCUUCCUUCCGCCACCAUGCAUGUUAAUUGUUUCCAAAUUCCAACCUCCGUACUCUCUUGAGGAGUUUCCCAUUCAUCAAUUAUUAUUUUUUAUAAUCCAUACCAUCCUGAUAUAAUUAAACACCAUUAAUAAUGUACCAGCCUUUAAAUAGUAAUUUAUUUAUUUAUCUAAUUCACCAAAUGUCAUUUCCUGUACAUAUCUCCAUUGGUAUCAAGAAGAAGCAGAACCCAAAGAAACGUUUCUUGCAUCUUCAUAUUUGUGCGAAUUCAUCCUUUCAUUGAGAAUAACCAUUUCCAGGCAGCAGUUGCCAAUCAAUUCAUGCGCACGUCGAUGCUAUUCAUAGAUAUUAAAGACAAUGAUGAACCAAAGGUGAUAAAUCAUAAAUGCAUAAUUACCAAACCUCCAUCCUUCUCUCAUUAUGAUUUGAUUUUAAAUGAAUUAUUGCUUGGUAACAUUAUUUCCAACCAUUGCAAGAUUUUUUUUGGAGAAAUUUUAAUUGAAAGUAAAACCUUUAGACAUUUACCUAAUGAAGUUAGUUAAUCGGGAGGGUGGAAAAAAAAAAGUUGACGCAAGUCAAUACACAAUAAUUAAUCAAAUCCGGAGUGACUAAAACAGAGCCACUACUUUUUUAAAAAUAUCUGCCUUCAUCACUUUCUCCAGCAGCUAGUCAGCUACACACGAGUCAAUUUCUCUCCUCGAUUGUCAUCCAAAAUUAUUCACCAAUACCAUGGCUGAUGCAAUCGUUUCCACUAUCUUGGAGCAGCUGAUUUCCUUCGCUGCUGAAGAGAUAAAACAACAGGUGAUCGAAGUUACACCCCUCAGAUUACAAAUACUUCCAAUGAUUUUAUUUGGUUUUGCUUUUAUCAAAAACAUUAUAUAUUUUUGCUUUAUUUUAUUUAUCUGGUAAUUUUAGAUUUUGAAAUUUGAAUUGAAUUUAAUUAAAAGGUGAUGUAGUAACCACUUAUUUUUAUUUUAUCUCAUUUAUAUUCUCAAUAACUACUCAUAUUUUGGUAACUUACUAUAACUUCCAUAUCUAAGAAAUGAUCCAAACCCACAAUUUUAACUCAGCACGAAUAUUCAAUGGUGAUCUAAGCUUUUGCAGAACACUCAAGUUUGUCAAACAGUCAUUAAUUCAAUGUUUAGUAAAAAAAACACUUCUCAGCACAGAAUUCCAUGUCCAUUACUUAGACUCUAUGAAAAAUUUCAUAAUUUUCUCACAUUAUUUGAGUUUGGUAAGUGAUUUCAUAUAAUUUCUUUUCAAUAUAAAUUUUAAUUUGGUUUCUUAUAUACUCUCUUUGCUGAAUUUGUAUCUUUUAUGAUUCUUAGAUUUUGGGCUCUAACUUUUUAGGAUUUGAUAGUCACAUUUUAUGCCAUGCUUAAAUUGAUUUUCAUGAUUUUUACUACCCGUUAAGUGACUUAGAAUUUGACAAAAGUUUGAAAGGAAAUCUACUUCAGGAUUCUGUUUUAAUUGACCUUUUAGUGGAAAUAAGAUGCUUAUAACUUAAUGUGGAUGUACAAGACUCUCCAUGAAGUCUCAUAAUUUUUCAUUCGGUCUGGGGUGUUACAGGUGAAGCUUGUGGUUGGUGUCGAAAAAGAAGUGAAAAGCCUUACCGGCCACCUUCAAGCCAUUCAAGCUGUGCUCGAUGAUGCCGAGGAAAAGCAAGUGAAGGACAAAGCUGUUAGUCUUUGGCUAGGUAGGCUCAAGUACGCAUCCUACGACAUUGAAGAUGCGUUGGAUGAAUGGAUCACAGGAAGACGCAAAUAGCAAAUUGAGGGUGGCAUUGGUGAAAAUGCUCUUAUUGCUCCUCAUAAGAAAAAGAAGGUACGUUUCUGCUUUCGUGCCUCUUGUCUUGGAUUCAAACAAGAAGAAUUUGGCUUCAAACAAGUCUUUCUACGUCAUGACAUUGCUGACAAGAUCAAAGAAAUCAAUGAAGAGCUACGUAAUAUUGCCACUCAAAGAGACAUGUUUAAAUCUGAGAGUGGCAGUAAAAGUAGUGAAAGACCCAGGCGUGUACAGAGUACCUCCUUGAUUGAUGAGGAAGAGAUUUGUGGUAGAGUUGGUGAGAGGAAUGAACUCUUAAGCAUGCUGUUGUGUGAGAGUAGGGAGCAACAAAAAGGCCUUCAUAUCAUCUCAAUCGUUGGUAUGGGAGGCAUAGGAAAAACAACUCUUGCACAACUAGCAUGUAAUCAUGUUGAGGUGAAGAGAAAGUUUGACAAACUUUUAUGGGUGUGUGUAUCGGACCCUUGUGAGCAGUUUAGGAUUGCCAAAGCGAUCGCUGAAGCUUUAGGCAUUCCCUCUUCUAAUUUAGGUGAAUUUCAAUCUCUUCUUAAACUUAUAUCUGAAUCUAUUACUGGAAAACGAUUUCUUCUUGUCUUAGAUGAUGUGUGGGAUGGAGAUUGUAUAAAAUGGGAACCAUUCUACCUUUGUCUAAAGAAUGGUCUCCAUGGAAGUAAAAUUUUGGUUACCACACGUAAAAAAUCAGUUGCAUCUAUGAUGGGAUCUACUAAUACUGAUAUUGUCACUGUCAUGGAAUUGGCUGAAGAAGAAUGUUGGUCAUUGUUUAAGCGGUUAGCAUUUUUCGGUCCGUCUAUUAAUGAUUGUGAAAAUUUGGAACAAAUUGGGCGAAGAAUUGCAGGCAAGUUUAAAGGUUUGCCUCUUGCUGCAAAGACAAUAGGGAGUCUCAUGCGCUCUAAACAAAUUGAAGAAGAGUGGGAAAGGAUUUUAAAUAGUGAUUUAUGGAGAGUAGAAGAGAUGGAGAAAGGUGUUCUGUCCUCAUUGGUGUUGAGUUACAACGAUUUGCCGUCCAAAGUAAAAAUAUGUUUUUCCUAUUGUGCUGUCUUUCCAAAAAACUACAAUAUAAAAAAAGAUGAACUAAUUACAUUGUGGAUGGCUCAAGGUUAUCUUAGUGCAGAACAAAAUAAGGAGAUGGAGACUAUAGGUGAAGAGUAUUUUAGCAUCUUAGUUUCUCGCUCUUUCUUUCAAGAGUUUGAGAAAAGUUAUGAUAAUCGUAUUAUAGAGUGCAAGAUGCAUGAUAUGGUACAUGAUUUUGCCCGAUUUGUAAGUCAAAAUGAAUGUUUUUCGAUGGAAAUUAAUGGUAGUGAGGAACCAAACACCAUAAACUCUCUUGAUGAGAAGGUUCAUCAUUUAAUGUUGAUCAUUGGUAGGGAGGCUUCAUUUCGUGUCCCUAUUUGUAGAGUGAAAAGAAUUCGUAGCCUCUUAAUUGAUAAUAGUAGAACUUCUCGUUCGUAUUUUAAUGGUGAGAUCCUAGAAGAAUUAUUUAGGGAAUCGACAAGUUUAAGGGCAUUAGAUUUUUGGGGAUCAUAUGUCGUAAGCCCAUUUUCGACUCUAAAGAUUCCAAGAAACAUAGAAAAUCUAGUACAUUUAAGAUACCUUAACCUGUCUUGUCAGAACAUAAGGAAACUACCGGAGACAUUAUGUGAGUUAUAUAAUCUAGAAAAGUUAUAUAUUACUCGUUGUCUGUAUCUUGAAGAAUUACCUGAAGGGAUUGGGAAGUUAAUAAACAUGAAGCAUUUACUAAAUUAUCGUACAGAUUCUUUAAGGUACAUGCCAGUAGGGAUUGGGAGAUUAACGGGUCUUAGGACCUUGGAUGAGUUCCAUGUGAUUGGAGGAGGAGGUGUUGAUGGUAGGAAAGCAUGUUGGUUUGAAUCUCUUAAAAACUUGAAACACCUUCAAGUAUGUGGUAUACGCAGAUUGGGUGAUGUAUCAGAUGUGGGCGAGGCUAAGCGAUUAGAACUUGACAAAAAGAAAUACCUCUCUUGUUUGAGACUUUGGUUUGAUAAGAAGGAGGAAGGAGGAGAAAGGAGGAAGAACGAGGAGGAUCAACUUCUUCUUGAAGCCUUGCGACCACCCCUGGAUUUAAAGGAAUUAGAGAUACGGUACUACCGAGGCAACACUGCUUUCCCCAGCUGGAUGACGUCAUUAAUCAAUUUAAGGAGUUUAGAUCUCUCUUUGUGCGAAAAUUGCGAGCAGCUGCCUCCUUUGGGAAA